This 277982-nucleotide long non-coding RNA is filed under the name Triticum aestivum (bread wheat). RNAcentral describes it as "long non-coding RNA (TAES_LNC012640)". Lineage: Eukaryota; Viridiplantae; Streptophyta; Magnoliopsida; Poales; Poaceae. The record is from RNAcentral.
ACUCAACAAACUCAACCCUAGUGCCGGCUACUGCGACAACAAUCCCGACUCACCUCCUUGUCUCCACUCGAGGGAUCGUGCUGGUGCAUCUCUCUGUUAGAAUAAAUCUGAGGCGCUCCGUCGACCUAACGAGGACCAAGCAAUCACACGAACCACGACACCGGAAUUUGUUAAUGAGGUUCGCCAAUAUCCUACAUCCCCAGGGCCGACUAUGGGCGCUCCUCCCUGUGACACCAUCACAGUACCGCACACCAGUCACCCGGGCGCCGGCACACGCCGCCGGCCCCCGUGCGUACUUGUGCUAUUAUGUUGGCAUAGGUUAUAUCGUGUGUCUACCCUCACUAUAUAUGAGAGACCUGUGAUAGAAGUGUCCUACCAGGACAUGACUUCAUACCUUGUCUACACACCGUACGACUCCAAGUCCAACUAUAACCUAACUGGUACAAUAAUAUUCGACACAACUCUAACAAACUCCACCAUGGUGAAUAUUCUCCACCAUUUUGGAUUCAUCCAUGCGUCGAACCUCCAUGUACAUUGGACUUGAGUUACGUCAUGAGCACCGCUGCUACUCCCAGACUCCACGUAACUCCACCUGCAACUGUAGUCCCUUCUCGUCUUCUUCAUAGUCAACGCUCGAGCAAAAUUAAGUUCAUCAUUACUCUACUUUGUGAUCCCAACUUCCGGAGAAUCGGUUCAAUGUCAUCACACACUGAUAACUUAUCUGCGUGAAAAUGAACAACUCACAUAUUGGACAUCACAUAUAAGAGUUACCUGGACUCAACAUCAUUGCUCUUUCUUGACCGUCUGUCUGAAAUUUGAAGGAAUUUCACUAUCGCCCUGUGUCACCCCGAGUCAAAUUUGCAGUUGUCUCACCCUUCUUCCGGUUAGUCUCUGGCAUUUCCCACAGCUAUAGCACUCUGCCUCCUUCUGUGUUCUUCCGAUCGGGCCGAUCCGAUCCGCCAUCUGCUUGUGCCUUGCGCGCGCCUGCACACGCGAGACCUACCGAGACCAUCCGCAGCCUCCUCGUAACCUUGCUCAUGAUAUCACUUGUUAGAAUAAAUUCGAGGCGCUCCGUCGAUCUACCAAGGACCAAGCAAUCACACUAGGCACGACACCGAGAUUUGUUAACGAGGUUCAUCGAUAUGGCUACAACCCCGGGGCCUGACUACGGGCGCUCCUCCCCGUGACACCGUCACAAUACCGCACAUCGGCCACCCAGGCGCCGGCACACCCCGCCGCCUCCCCUGCGUACCUGUGCUAUUAUGUUGGCAUAGGUUACAUCGUGUGUCUAUCCUUGUUAUAUAUGAGAGACCUAGGAUAGAAGUGUCCUACUAGGACACGACUCCAUACCUCGUCUACACACCGUAUGACUCGAAGUCCAACUGUAACCUAACUUGUACAAUAAUAUUCGACACAACUCUAACACUCACGGUAGCUCAGGAAGGUAGCAUUGAGGAUCUAGCUGCUUUGUACUUGGACGGGGCACCAAUAAAUCCAUGGCGGCAGCCUCGGCUGGUGGAUCAACGCUUUCUCUACAGUGACCGGUACUCGUCGAUUCCGCCGUCCUCCUCGGACGUGGGUGCGGCGAAGUGGUCAUGGUUUGUGCUUGUGCUGUGGGUCUCCUUGGGGGAGGCCGAACCCGAUCUAGAGCCGUCCAUCUUCUUCAACCUUGGCAGCCUCCACCCAAUCUUACCUUUGGUGGCCUGCGGUCACCGAAGCCGGUCAUUUAUGCACCAGAGAAAUCCAAGGCCAGUUGUGCUGACCACGACGACCCUGCUUCAUGUAGGCGUCGUCCAGGUUGUCCCCUUACCCCCUCCUCAUUCCCACUUCUCGUGUAGAAGGUGAAAACCUAGAUCUUGUCCAAAUUGGGCGGCAACAGAGCUCCGAGUGGCGUCACCCUGAUGGGGGUGCCAUCAUUGGUGCGCAUGGGGUGGAUGUGUACUUUUCUUGUUGUAUGGAGGUGGAUGGUGGCUUGGUCUUAGCUCUGUGUAAGCUCGCUCUUGUUCGUCUUCUUUUGGUGCUCUGUCCCCCUCCCCGCUCAUCCGUUUGUGUUAGGAUCUACGGUUGUUGUGGCUUCUGAUCCGGCGUGCAUCGUUCGCUAGGUUUCUGUGGGUGCAACCCAGCCAGCCCUACUUUGCAUGGACCUGCUCCUCGUGGGCGAUGUGCCCUGUUCGGUUGGGUCGGUAUCCCGGCCUCUCGGUUGAUUAAGUCAUUCCGGAAGCACUUUUUGUGUUUUGCAGAUACCAACUGAUUCUAGUUAACAAUGUAACAUGCAAAUUGAACUAUUUUCAAUCAUGUGGCUAUUCUACUGGUGUUUAGUUUUGAUUGCUUGUUAAUGUACGUUGUAGUCAUGCGUACCAUCACCCCACUACAAAGUAAGAGCAGAGAGUAGUCAAAGUUCAGUAGAGUAGCAUGUCGUUUCCUUCCCUGUUCAGUCUUAUUUAGCCUAACUUGCUUGUUUUUUUUUCUUUUUGCUGAGCUCCUCUAUACUGGUGCAUGUUCGAUGAAAAGAAUGUGUGAAGUGAGAAUCAAAUAACUUUAGCUAAGUUAACUCCGCUUUUCAGGUUAGCAUAUCAUAGCAAAGAAACCUAGACAAGAAAAAUUGAGAAAAUAGAAGUUUGUAUAGGUAAAUUACUACUCCCUCCUAUCUGUAUUAAUUGUUGCAGAUUUACUACAGAUAGGAGGGAGUAAUAGCUAAUGAUUUUCACUGUAGAAAUUCAAACCAUUUGUCAUUGUGAAGCAAACGAGUAGUUUGAGGAAGGCUCUAAAGCAAGUCUCUUGACCAAACAAGUCUCCACUGCACGAAACUGUAAUAAUCUAUGUGUCACGGGAGUGCUACUAUUCUGAAACAGAACAAUGUGGUGUGGUAAUAUCUUGUGAAGUACUCCCUCCGUACCAAAAUAUAUGAUAAUUUCCGGUUUAAAUGGAACUGCAAAACCGUCUUAUAUUUUGAUACAGAGGUAGUACUACUUUUCAAUCGUGAGGGAGGCUGGAAGUAAACAUGGUGUGGUAACAUCUUGUGAAGCACAUUUAUCUAUUUCCCUGAAUUCAAAUGUUGGUGAGGCACAAUCCUACUAGAGCAUGUACAAUGCACAUGUUUUUUCUACUGUGAGUGCUAGAGAGAAUCUUUUUUUCUUUGUUGUAUCAGAAUUUCUCGGUACUGAUUUCCUUCAUCUUUUUGCCUUCCCAUUAUACCCAACUAGUAUUACCGCCUUUUGCAUUUGAGAACAAAAAUGGUCACAUGAGUGCCUAUUGUGCAGCUAAUUUUCCAUGAAGCAUAUGUAAAGGGAUUUUCCAUUUGAGAGAAUGAGUUGUAAAAAAAUCCUCAUCGCUAGCUCUGCUCUAUUUUGAGACUCACUUGAAUGCACUUUGCUUCGCGUGUGUGUGCCCUUACAAGUUCAAAGCGCAGUGCUUGUGUAACUGCAAGUCAGGAAAGAAGGAGCAUUACAGGCUUAAUUUUGUGGCAAACAUUGAGAGUAUCAUGGCCCAUGCUUUGUCACCCAAAUAAUGUUGGAGAGUUUCUAGUCCUGCAAAAUAUCGUGCAACCUUUAAAUAUGAUGGCAAAACAUGAAACUGUAAGUAGACAUCGGGAAAGGAAACUGUUAACCUUUGGAACUAUCCACUCUCGAGAUUGGCCAGGACACCGCAUCGGCAAUGGGAUCUGGAAUUAAGAAAAGCUUUUGGACGUGAGUAUCUAAGAAAAUAGUAGUUGGAAACAACACUCUAUUUUCAGUGUCACGAGCCAAAAUAGAUUUACAGUCAGUAAAUGUUACCAUGGUAUUUUUGUUUUCCUCCAAUAUUGUGGACGAUUUGAAGUUGGAUAAAGAGAUAAACAAAUUAGUAUUCAUAUCCCACUCACUUAAUUGGGUAUCCUAAGGCAGAAGGUAUAUAUAGGACUCCCAUACAGAAUCAUGUGGUAGGUGUGAGCUAACCAUCCAGGAAACAUUGUUCACAUCAUUUGCUACACGAGAGUGCGCUACAAAAUCAUGCAUGUGGCCAUUUAACUUGUAUGUUUAGUUAUCGAUCCAUUUCCUAGGAAGUAUGGCUAUGAACAGAGUGAGUAGAAACAUUGUGUUUGAUUGGAGGAUAAUGCAACACAUGUUCACGAGAUAUAUACCUGUUGCAUCAACUGAGGAAAACAGGAUUGAGAUUAGCCUAAACUGCGGAGGAGAACCAUCAACUGAGGCCGGAAUUAUGAAUGGUAGAACAGAUUUGCCGAAACAUCCACUGCAUGUAACUGACUUUUGAAAAAAGGAAACUGCUAUAAUGUCUUCGUCUAGCGAUUCACGAAGCAAUGUUGCGCGAUCGAGGUUCAAAUUUACACAUAUGUUGAAUGUGAAAAUUGACACACAUCAUUGCUCCAAAGUUUAGACAACUGGAGAUAAGAAUGCAUCUCUCACAGAUGGUUAACUAAUUACCUACCAUGGCACCGUUUUCCUUAGCAUCUUUUGCCAUAGACAGAGUAUCCCAACUUGUACAAAAUUUGGGGGAAUGGUGAAGGAGAUAAUACACCCACAUUACAACAUAUCUGAACAAGAAAAAAACGUGAAGUUCACCAAAGCCGAUAAUAAUCAUGACACAGCCUAGUGCAUUAUUUAAAGCAAACACAUUUUUUUCCAUUUCCAUGCGGUAUUCGUCCUAUUUUCCUCCUAUAAAAAUAAUCUGAACAAGAUUAUUUGAAGCAAAACACAAUUCCCCUUUCCUGCAUCAUAAGGAGAAACAUUUCAGACACCCCAAACGGAUCAAGUGUAUUUCAGACAUCGAUGACAUACUUUUAACUAAUAACAUGAAGAUAAGAAUGCAUGCACUGUGUUCUACUCUACAGAAGACAACCCGAUAAAGUCUGUCAUGCUAGUUAGUUAAACAGUAUCCAAAUGCAUGCAAUGUGUUCUACUCUACAGAUGAUGAUACCUAAACAUACUAGAAAAAAUGGUUAAACAGGAGCUGACACCGCUGGUGCUUCACGACAAUUAAUUGAACAAACAGGUCACGGCCUGACGUUAAGUAGCUGCCAGUACAGGCAUAUAAAGCAGAGGAACAUGGCUCUCCUCUCGGGUGGCCGUCUUUGGCGGCAGCUUGCCACAGCUACGGCUAUGGCUACUUUGUGGAGCAUUACAAACAAGACAAUACUAUAAAGCCAGAAGUAAUCAUACUAUAAAUCUCAAUCACGCCUAGUCUGAUGUAACUUAAACGCUGGUUCAGGAAUAGCAGGGCACAUCACUGACCGACCCACUGACUACUGGAGGCUGUUCUGUAAAGAAACGGGGCUAUAGAAGCAUGUUAGCUAAUCUAGUCGCUGUAGUUUUUCUUCAGUUAGUUUGCUUUCGUCAGACAUAACGUAGCCAGGCGCAUGAGCUCGCGAGUCGUUGUGCGAGCCACGCGCGUAGGCGAUCUGGGUACGAUCGAUGCCCGAUCGAUCGGGGUGGUCAGCCACGAAACCCACUCGUGGGAUGGCACGAGAAUUCGGGAUCAUGGCGCUAGGACCGGGCCACUCUUUCUCUCUGUAACAGAAUAAGUAGAGGAGAUCAAAAACAGAAAAGUCACAAGGUUGUCCGUGACGCAAAAACUCCUGUCUCUCCUCUCAGUGAUCGCAAGCUGUGAGAGAUCGAGCAACCCUGACAAUUGGCAUCAAAGCCGGUUUAAGGUGAUCCCGACGCCCAUGGCUGACACCGGAGCUCAGCCGGACCAGGCGGCGGCGGCACCCCGCAACGGUGGCGGGGGUGGGAGCCGCUCGCGCACUCCACCACAGGAGCGCAGCCGCGGACGGAGCCACGUGAGAAGGGAGUGGCGGGUGGUGAUCCACCAGGCGGUGGCCAUGGAGCGCGCGCCGCUUGUGCCAAGCGCGGGCACCAUGUUCCCGACGCUCACAUCCACGAACUACAUCGAGUGGUCUCUCGUGAUGAAGGUGCACCUGGAGUCUUGGGGGCUCUGGGACGCGAUCGAGGGUAACGCACUGCAUGUGCGUGACGACAAGACGGCGCUCGGCGUCCUGUUCCGAGUCGUCCCCCUAGAGAUGCUUGGCGUCCUCGUCGUCAACGAGACGGCGAAGGAGGCCUGGGACACGAUCAAGGUCAUGCGCAUGGGGAUGCACCGUGUGCGCGAGGCCACCACGCAACGCCUGCGCGCGGAGUUCGAGCAGAUCACCUUCCGCGACGGCGAAACUCUCGACUCCUUCGGCAUGAGGAUCACCGCCCUCGUCAACCAGCUGCGCACGCUGGAGGACAACGUCGAAGAGGUACGCAUGAUCCCGAAGAUGCUCCGUGUCGUCCCCGCCCGCUAUGCCCAGAUCGCAGUCGCGAUAGAGCCCCUCCUUGAUCUGACCACGAUCUCGGUCGAGGAGCUGAUCGGUUGACUGCGCACCGCUGAGGAGCGCUGCGGUGGCGGGGCGGCUCAAGCCAGCGGCGGCGGUCGGCUGCUCAUGUCGGAGCAGCAGUGGGAUGCCUGGCGCCGCGAGCGCGAGCAGGGCCAGGGGUCCAGCUCAAACGGCGCCGGCAACGGGAACCGCAACGGGGGCGGCGGCAAUCUCCGCCGUGGCAAGCCGCAGAACCAGAAGUGCGGCAACGACACUCAAAGCCAAGGCGGCGGCAACGGCCGCGACAGCGCCGGCAACGGUGGGCGCGACAUGUCUAAGGUGAAGUGCUACAAUUUUCUCAGCGCUGGACACUGGUGUGCGCGGCGCCGUGAAACUCGGCGACGGCUCGGUGGUUCAGAUCGAGGGGAGAGGAACGAUCCUCUUCCAAUGCGGCAACUGUGAGCUCAUGGUCCUGUCUGAUGUGUAUUACAUCCCAAAACUUUGCAGCAACAUCGUCAGCAUCGGACAGUUGGACGAAAUCGCCUACGAGACCAAUAUUAGUCACGGGGUGCUCCAGCUCCGUGAUCCCAGUGGGCAGACUCCUCGCGCGAGUGCAACGUAACCAGGGGAGGCUGUACGUGCUGCAGCUCACGCCGGCCCAGCCAGUGUGCUUCGCGGCGCAUGCUGGCGAGGAUGCAUGGUGCUGGCAUGCGUGCUACGGCCACGUGGACUUCCGGGCUUUACGUCAACUCGCCCGGGACGAACUGGUGCACGACCUCCCGCUAUUUGACGAGGCGGAUCGUGUCUGCGAGGCGUGCCUCGCCGGCAAGCAGCGUCGAGCACCCUUUCCUUAGCAGGCUCUCAGCAGAGCCGACGAGGUGCUGGAGCUCGUGCACACGGACCUCUGUGGUCCAAUCUCCCCUCCAACGCCAGGAGGGAAGCGUUACUUCCUGUUGCUGGUUGAUGACAAGAGCAGGCACAUGUUGGUGUACCUGCUCGCGACAAGGACGAGGCGCAGCCCGCUCUGAAGCGCUUCCAGGCGAUGGCGGAUCUCGAUUUCGGGCGGCAGCUCAAGUUGCUGCGCACGGACCGCGGCGGGGAAUUCACCUCUGCCAGCCUCGGCGAGUACUACGCCGACAAGGAGGUCAAGCGCCAGCUCACGACGCCCUACACGCCCCAGCAGAACGGCGUGGUCGAGUGCCGAAAUUAGACGAUCGUGGGCAUGGCGCGCAGCCUGUAGAAGACAAAGGGUGUGCCGGCGCAGUUCUGGGGGGAGGCCGUGAUGACGGCGGUCUACCUCCUGAACAGGUCUACGACCAAGAGCGUGGCGGGGUCGAUUCCGCACGAGGCCUGGUGCAGGCGGCGCCCAAACGUUGAACACCCGCGCGUGUUCGGAGCGUCGCGCAUGUCAAAGUGACGCGUCCGAAUCUGUCGAAACUCGACGACGGGAGCACGCCCAUGGUAUCCUGGGCUACGAGCCAGGAUCGGCGGCUUACCGCGUCUACCACCCGCCGUCGAACCGUGUUCUGGCCUCCAGGGAUGUCGUGUUCGACGACGAAGCAGCGUGGGACUGGUCUCAGGUCGCGGCGACAAACAAGGAGCCGUGCUACCUCUUGAGCAUGCAUUGGUUUUCCCUUAAAGAGGAAAGGGUGAUGUAGCAAAGUAGCGUAAGUAUUUCCCUCAGUUUUUGAGAACCAAGGUAUCAAUCCUGUAGGAGACUACAUGCAAAUCGCCUAGUACCUGCACGAACAAUCAAGAACCUUGCAACCAGCACGAUAAAGGGGUUGUCAAUCCCUUCACGGUCACUUGCAAAAGUGAGAUCUGAUAAAGAUAAUAAGAUAAUAUUUUUGGUAUUUUUGUUGUAUAGAUUGGAAAAGUAAAGAUUGCAAAAUAAACGGCGACAGAAAUUGGCAAGUUGACGGGAGAUUAAUAUGAUGUAAAAUAGACCCGGGGGCCAUAGGUUUCACUAGAGGCUUCUCACAUGAUAGCAUAUCUUACGGUGGGUGAACAAAUUACUGUCGAGCAAUUGAUAGAAAAGCGUAUAGUUAUGAGAAUAUCUAGGGAUGAUCAUGAACGUAGGCAUCACGUCUGUGUCAAGUAGACCGAAACGAUUCUACAUCUACUACUAUUACUCCACACAUCGACCGCUAUCCAGCAUGCAUCUAGAGUAUUAAGUUCAUAAGAACACAGUAACGCAUUAGGCAAGAUGAUAUGAUGUAGAGGGAUAAACUCAAGCAAUAUGAUAUAAACCCCAUCUUUUUAUCCUUGAUGGCAAUAAUACAAUACGUGUCGGUUCCCUUUCUGUCACUGGGAUCGAGCACCGCAAGAUUGAACCCAAAGCUAAGCACUUCUCCCAUUGCAAGAAAGAUCAAUCUAGUAGGCCAAACCAAACUGAUAAUUCGAAGAGACUUGCAAAGAUAUUAAAUCAUGCAUAUAAGAACUCAGACAAGAAUCAAAUAUUGUUCAUAGACAAACUUGAUCAUAAACCCACAAUUCAUCGGAUCUCGACAAACACACCGCAAAAUGUAUUACAUCGAAUAGGUCUCCAAGAGAAUCGAGGAGAACUUUGUAUUGAGAUCCAAAGAGAGAGAAGAAGCCAUGUAGCUAAUAACUAUAGACCCGUAGGUCUGUGGUAAACUACUCACACAUUAUCGGAGAGGCUACGGUGUUGAUGUAGAAGCCCUCCAUGAUCGAUUCCCCCUCCGGCAGAGCGCCGGAAAAGGCCCCAAGAUGGGAUCUCACGGGUACAGAAGGUUGCGGCAGUGGAAAAAGUGUUUCGUGGCUCCCCUGGAUGUUUUCAGGGUAUAAGAGUAUAUAUAGGCGAAAGAAGUAGGUCGGUGGAGCUGCGACGGGCCCACGAGGGUGGGGGCGCGCCUCCCUGCCUCGUGGCUUCCUCGCUGCUUCCUUGACUUCCACUCCAAGUCUCCUGGAUUGCGUUUGUUCCAAAAAUGAUCCUCGCGAAGGUUUCAUUCCGUUUGAUAUUCCUUUUCUGCGAAACACUGAAAUAGGCAAAAAAAUAUCAAUUUGCACUGGGCCUUCGGUUAAUAGGUUAGUCUCGAAAAUAAUAUAAAAGAGCAUAUUAAAGCCCAUUAAACAUCCAAAACAGAUAAUAUAAUAGCAUAGAACAAUCAAAAAUUAUAGAUACGUUGGAGAUGUAUCAAGCAUCCCCAAGCUUAAUUCCUGCUCGUCCUCGAGUAGGUAAAUGAUAAAAACAGAAUUUUUGAUGUGGAAUGCUACCCAACAUAAUUUUCAAUGUAAUUUUCUUUAUUGUGGCAUGAAUGUUCAGAUCCGAAAGAUUCAAGAUAAAAGUUUAAUAUUGACAUAAAAAUAAUAAUACUUCAAGCAUACUAUUUAAGCAAUUAUGUCUUUUCAAAAUAACGUGGCCAAAGAAAGCUCAUCCCUACAAAAUCAUAUAGUUUGGCUAUGCUCCAUUUUCGUCACACAAGAAUGCUCUCAUCAUGCACAACCCCGAUGACAAGCCAAGUAAUUGUUUCAUACUUUAGUAUUCUCAAACUUUUUCAACUUUCAUGCAAUACAUGAGCGUGAGCCAUGGACAUUGCACUAUGGGUGGAAUGGAAUAUGAUAAUGGGGGUUGUGUGGAGAAGACAAAAAAGGAGAAAGUCUCACAUUGACGCGGCUAACCAACGGGCUAUGGAGAUGCCCAUCAAUUGAUGUCAAUGCAAGGAGUAGGGAUUGCCAUGCAAUGGAUGCACUAGAGCUAUAAAUGUAUGAAAGCUCAACAAAAUAAACUAAGUGGGUGUGCAUCCAACUUGCUUGCUCACGAAGACCUAGGGCAUUUGAGGAAGCCCAUCGUUGGAAUAUACAAGCCAAGUUCUAUAAUGAAAAAUUCCCACUAGUAUAUGAAAGUGACAAAAUAAGAGACUCUCUAUCAUGAAGAUCAUGGUGCUACUUUGAAGCACAAGUGUGGAAAAAGCAUAGUUGCAUUGUCCCUUCUUUUAUUUUCUUUUUUAUAUAUUUUUUUGGGCCUUCCUUUUUUUAUCUGGCCUUUCCCUUUUUUUAUUUGGCCUUUUUUUUCAUGGGACAAUGCUCUAUAAAUGAUGAUCAUCACACUUCUAUUUAUUUACAACUCACUGAUUACAACUCGAUACUAGAACAAAAUAUGACUCUAUAUGAAUGCCUCCGCCGGUGUACCGGGAUGGGCAAUGCAUCAAGAGUGACAUGUAUAAAAAAUUAUGCAAGGUGGAUUUGCCACAAAUACGAUGUCAACUACAUGAUCAUGCAAGGCAGUAUGACAAUGAUGAAGCGUGUCAUAAUAAACGGAACGGUGAAAAGUUGCAUGGCAAUAUAUCUCGAAAUGGCUAUGGAAAUGCCAUAAUAGGUAGGUAUGGUGGCUGAUUUGAGGAAGAUAUAAGGGGGGUUUAUGUGUGAUAGAGCGUAUCAUAUCACGGGGUUUGGAUGCACCGGCGAAGUUUGGACCAACUCUCGAGGUGAGAAAGGGCAAUGCACGGUACCGAAGAGGCUAGCAAUGAUGGAAAGGUGAGAGUGCUUAUAAUCCAUGGACUCAACAUUAGUCAUAAAGAACUCACAUACUUAUUGCAAAAAUCUACAAGUCAUCAGAAAACAAAGCACUACGCGCAUGCUCCUAGGGGGAUAGAUUGUUAGGAAAAGACCAUCGCUCGUCCCCGACCGCCACUCAUAAGGAUGACAAUCAAAGAACACCUCAUGUUUCAAAUUUGUUACACAACGGUUACAAUACGUGCAUGCUACGGGACUUGCAAACUUCAACACAAGUAUUUCUCAAAUUCACAAUUACUCAACUAGCAAGAAAGAUGAAUCUAGUAGGCCAAAGCAAACUGAUAAUUCGAAGAGACUUGCAAAGAUAUUAAAUCAUGUAUAUAAGAAUUCAGAGAAGAAUAAAAUAUUGUUCAUAGAUAAUCUUGAUCAUAAACCCACAAUUCAUCGGAUCUCGACAAACACACCGCAAAAAGUAUUACAUCGAAUAGAUCUCCAAGAGAAUCGAGGAGAACUUUGUAUUGAGAUCCAAAGAGAGAGAAGAAGCCAUCUAGACAAUAACUAUGGACCCGAAGGUCUGUGGUAAACUACUCACACAUCAUCGGAGAGGCUAUGGUGUUGAUGUAGAAGCCAUCCGUGAUCGAUUCCCCCUCCGACGGAGCGCCGAAAAGGCCCCAAGAUGGGAUCUCACGGGUACAGAAGGUUGCGGCGGUGGAAAAAGUGUUUCAUGGCUCCCUUGGAUGUUUUCAGGGUAUAAGAGUUUAUAUAGGUGAAAGAAGUAGGUCGGUGGAGCUGCGAGGGGCGUGCCUACCCCCUGGGGCGCGCCUCCCUGCCUCGUGGCUUCCUCGUUGCUUCCUUGACUUCCACUCCAAGUCUCCUGGAUUGUGUUUGUUCCAAAAACGAUCCUCGCGAAGGUUUCAUUCCGUUUGAUAUUCCUUUUCUGCGAAACACUGAAAUAGGCAAAAAAAAUAGCAAUUUGCACUGGGCCUUCGGUUAAUAGGUUAGUCCAAAAAUAAUAUAAAAGACCAUAUUAAAGCCCAUUCAACAUCCAAAACAGAUAAUAUAAUAGCAUGGAAGAAUCAAAAAAUUAUAGAUACGUUGGAGACGUAUCAAGCCGCAGUGGGACACCUUCUCCAUCGAUCUCGAACCGGUGCCCGCCAAGGUGGUCGGCGGCACCCCAUGCAGCGCAACAUCCCCUGAGGCGUCGAGCUCUCCUACCAUGCCGACAUCGACGCACACGAGUGCGGCCAGGACACGGCCCGCGAUGCUGAUCUGUGCCACACCAAGCCCAGACCGCUCUGGCAUGCAAUUCAUGUCUCCACUGCCGGGGGCGUCAGUGCCGCCGCCCGACAAGGAGGCUCCGCGGCGGUACCGCACCUUGGAGAAUCUGUGAGACACCACUGAAGAAGGGACAAGUGAUAACAGUCAGUACAGUUACCUGUGUCUCUUCGCAGGGGAGGAGCCGACCUCCUUCAAUGAGGCGCAGAAGGAGGGAGGAUGGAGAAACGCCAUGAACGAGGAGAUGCAGAGCAUCAUCGACAACGACACGUGGGAGCUGUGCGAGCUCCCUCCCGGGCACCGAGCGAUAGGCCUCAAGUGGGUCUACAAGCUCAAGAAGGACGCCCACGGCACGAUGGUGAAGCACAAGGCGCGGCUGGUGGCAAAAGGCUACGUCCAAGUCCAAGGAGUGGACUUCAAGGACGUGUUCGCUCCGGUGGCACGCAUGGAAUCGGUGCGCGUGCUGGUCGCGCUCGCCGCGCACCACGUGUGGCCAAUUCAUCACAUGGACGUCAAGUCCGCCUUCUUGAACGGGGACCGGCAGGAGGAGGUCUACGUUGUUCAGCCACCCGGGUACGUUGAGCUCGGCGACGAGGGGAAGGUGCUGCGUUUAUGCAAGGCACUGUAUGGGCUACGCCAAGCCCUGAGAGCUUGGAACGCCAAGCUGGACGAAAGCUUGCGUUCUCUGGGCUUUGAGCGUUGCCCCUCGGAGCACGCAGUCUACCGACGCGGGGAGGGCGACAAGCUCCGGCUCAUCGGUGUGUACGUCGACGACCUUGUCAUUACAGGGGCGGACAAGACGGAGAUCGACGCAUUCAAGUGUCAGAUGACCACGCUCUUCCGCAUGAGCGACCUCGCCGAGCUCAGCUACUACCUGGGCAUUGAGGUGCGCCAGGAGCGCGACCGCAUCACACUCUACCAAGCGGCCUACGCAAAAAGCUGCUGGAGCGUGCUGGGCUCAAAGAGUGCAACACCGGCAACGUGCCGAUAGAAGCUCGACUGAAAUUGAGCAGGGACAGCAAGGAGAGGCCGGUGGACAGCACUGAGUACCGCAGCAUCAUUGGAGGGUCGCGCUACCUCGUGCACAUGAGGCCGGACAUCUCCUUCACCGUCGGCUACCUGAGCCGUUUCAUGGAGGCACCGACUUCAGAUCACUACGCGGCUGUGAAGCGUCUGCUAAGGUAUGUAGCAGGCACUCUGGACCACGGUUGUGCCUAUGUCCGGGGGAAGGGCACGCCGGAGCUGGUGGGGUACAGCGACGCGGAUCACGCCGGUGACAUCAACGACAGGCGGAGCACGACGGGAGUGCUCUACUUCCUCGGCACGGCGGCAGCCCAGUGAGUUGGCAGUCGCAGAAGCAAAGGGUGGUGGCACUCUCCUCAUGUGAGGCGGAGUACGUGGCUGCCACCACCACCGCUUGCCAAGGGAUUUGGCUGGCUGGGCUGAUCGGAGAGAUGCUGAACAUCGACGUCUGGCCACCACGACUUCUGGUCGAUAACAAGUCAGCAAUGUGUCUCCAAGAACCCCAUCUUCCAUGAUCGAAGCAAGCACAUUGAGAUACGAUACCACUUCAUUCGUGAUUGUGUGGAAGAAGGGCGGAUCGACAUCGACUACAUCUGCACCAACGAUCAUCUUGCUGACGUCCUCACCAAGGCACUUGGACGACUCAAGUUUCUGGAGCUUAGGGGGAGGAUCGGCAUGACAGAAAUAAUUCGGCGGCGAUGAGCUUAGAGGGAGAUUUGUUAGCUAAUCUAGUUGAUGUAGUUUUCCUUCAGUUAGUUUGCUUUCGUCAGACAUAACGUAGUCAGGCGCAUGAGCUCGCGAGUCAUGCGAGCUGCGCGCGUAGGCGAUCUGGGCAUGAUCGAUGCCCGAUCGAUCAGGGUGGUCAGCCACGAAACCCACUUGUGGGAUGGCACGAGAAUUCGGGAUCAUGGCGCUAGGACCGGGGCACUCUUUCUCUCUGUAACAGAAUAAGUAGAGGAGAUCAAAAACAGAAAAGUCGCAAGGUUGUAGGUGACGCAAAAACUCAUGUCUCUCCUCUUUGUGAUCGCGAGCUGUGAGAGAUCGAGCAACCCUGACAAAGCACAUGACGCCUAUAGUCCAUUGUUAAUUCCUCUCUGUACCUAAUCUUGUUAAUUUCCCACACCAAAGAUGCUAAUCAACUGGCAUUCUAAAACUCUCCUAACAAGUAACAACAGCCGCGCCUAUGGACGAUCGAUCCCACCAGUGGCAACCAAUGGAGGUGCCAACGGUGGUGAUGCAACUUGUUUCCAUGUACAACAACUACGGCAAUCCGUCCUCUCCUACCUGCAUUGUCCUCGAAGGAAUGGAAGCGGACGAGAGAGAGCGUCGACCUGACUUAUAACAUUUUUCUUUCAGCAAUCUCUACAAAAAAUCAUGCCUCUCUUGACUUGGGGUCAAUAGCUCCUGUGCGACAUCUUUCGUGGGAAUUGGACAGAGUGCGACAUUGUUGACGAAAAUGGCUUUGGGGCGACACUUUUGAGCGACAAAAUAGCCCAGACACGACAUGGCCCUUAAACUGAUCUGAUGCCCUCAUUAGCUGUUAUGGGCUGGACCCACAACUUAUCCACGUAAGCGCGGGACCCACCAUUUGUCCAGUAAGCGCGGGACCCACAACUUAUCCACGUCAGCAUGGGACCCACCACUUGUCCAGUAUGCGCGGGACCCACCUCUUUGCAGCUAGAAGAGAUGACUGAUGACCCACAAGUGUAGGAGAUCUAUCGUAGUCCUUUCGAUAAGUAAGAGUGUCGAACCCAACGAGGAGCAGAAGGAAAUGACAAGCGGUUUUCAAUAAGGUAUUCUCUGCAAGCACUGAAAUUAUAGGUAACAGAUAGUUUUGUGAUAAGAUAAUUUGUAACGGGUAACAAGUAAUGAAAGUAAAUAAGGUGCAGCAAUGUGGCCCAAUCCUUUUUGUAGCAAAGAACAAGCCUGGACAAACUCUUAUAUAGAUAAAAGCGCUCCCGAGGACACAUGAGAAUUAUUGUCAAGCUAGUUUUCAUCACGUUCAUAUGAUUCGCGUUCGGUACUUUGAUAAUUUGAUAUGUGGGUGGACCGGUGCUUGGGUGCUGUCCUUACUUGGACAAGCAUCCCACUUAUGAUUAACUCCCAUUGCAAGCAUCCGCAACUACAAAAGAAGUAUUAAGGUAAACCUAACCAUAGCAUGAAACAUAUGGAUCCAAAUCAGCCCCUUACGAAGCAACGCAUAAACUAGGGUUUAAGAUUCUGUCACUCUAGCAACCCAUCAUCUACCUAUUACUUCCCAAUGCCUUCCUCUAGGCCCAAACAAUGGUGAAGUGUCAUGUAGUCGACGUUCACAUGACACCACUAGAGGUGAGACAACAUACAUCUCAUCAAUAUAUCGAACGAAUACCAAAUUCACAUGACUACUAAUAGCAAGACUUCUCCCAUGUCCUCAGGAACAAACGUAACUACUCACAAAGCAUAUUCAUGUUCAUAAUCAGAGGGGUAUUAAUAUGCAUAAUGGAUCUGAACAUAUGAUCUUCCACCAAGUAAACCAACUAGCAUCAACUACAAGGAGUAAUCAACACUACUAGCAACCUACAGGUACCAAUCCCAGGCUAUGAGACAAAGAUUGGAUACAAGAGAUAAACUAGGGUUUGAGAGGAGAUGGUGCUGGUGAAGAUGUUGAUGGAGAUUGGGCCCCUCCCGAUGAGAGGAGUGUUGGUGAUGACGAUGGCGAUGAUUUCCCCCUCCCGGAGGGAAGUGUCCCCGGCAGAACAGCUCUGCAAGAGCCCUAGAUUGGUUCCGCCAAGGUUCCGCCUCGUGGCGUCGGAGUCUCAUCCCGAAAGCUUGCUUAUGAUUUUUUCUCAGAUGAAAGACUUCAUAUAGCAUAAGAUGGGCACCGGAGGGCCACCAGAGGGCCCACGAGGUAGGGGGCGCGCCCCCACCCUCGUGGCCAGGGUGUGGGCCCCCUCUGGUAUUUUCUUCGCUCAGUAUUUUUUAUUAUUUCCAAAAAUAACUUCCGUGGAGUUUAAGGACUUUUGGAGUUGUGCAGAAUAGGUCUCUAAUAUUUGCUCCUUUUCCAGCCCAGAAUUCCAGCUGCCUGCAUUCUCCCUCUUUAUGUAAACCUUGUAAAAUAAGAGAGAAUAAGCAUAAGUAUUGUGACAUAAUGUGUAAUAACAGCCCAUAAUGCAAUAAAUAUCGAUAUAAAAGCAUGAUGCAAAAUGGACAUAUCAACUACCCCAAGCUUAGACCUCACUUGUUCUCAAGCGGAAGCCGAUAAUGAUAAAUAUGUCCACAUGUUUAGAGGUAGAGGUGUCGAUAAAAUAAAAUACGGACAUGAGGGCAUCAUGAUCAUUCUUAUAACAGUAACAUAUAUGGAUAUUGUCAUAUUAUUUCUUAUGAUAAAGUAACAAUCUAUCCACAAUGUCAAGUGUGAAUCAGAAACUUCAUUGAGAACUAACAAACGAUAAUCUCAGUCAUUGAGGCAAUUGCAAUUUAUCAUAACAUCAUAAAGAGUCUAUGUAAGAGCUUUUCAGCAAGUCCACAUACUCAACUAUCAUUUAGUCUUUCACAACACUCACGCAAUACUUGUGGUUAGGGAGUUUUAAUCGGACACAGAGAAAGAUAGGGGCUUAUAGUUUCGCCUCCCAACCUUUUACCUCAAGGGUAAUGUCAACAAUAAUAGUUCAUUCUAAUUUGCAUCCAAUUAUAUAUAUAUAUAUAUAUAUAUAUAUAUAUAUAUAUCAGGAUCUUUCCAACACAAGGUGCUUGCCAAAGGAUAUAAAAUGUAAAAAGGAAAGGUGAAGAUCACCAUGACUCUUGCAUAAGGUAGAAAAUAAAAGUAAAAGAUAGGCCCUUCGCAGAGGGAAGCAGAGGUUGUCAUGCGCUUUCAGGGUUGGAUGCACAAAAUCUUAAUGCGAAAGAACGUCACUUUAUAUUGCCACAUGUGAUAUGGACCUUUAUUAUGCAGUCCGUCGCUUUUAUUUCUUCCACAUCACAAGAUCGUAUAAAGCUUAUUUUCUCCCACACUAAUAAGUCAUACAUAUUUAGAGAGCAAUUUUUAUUGCUUGCACCGAUCACAACUUACUUGAAGGAUCUUACUCAAUCCAUAGGUAGAUAUGGUGGACUCUCAUGGCAAAACUGGUUUUAAGGGUAUUUGGAAGCACAAGUAGUAUUUCUACUUGGUGCAAAAAAUUGGCUAGCAUGAGGGAGAAAGGCAAACUCAACAUGUUGGAUGAUCCAUGACAAUAUACUUUAUCUCAGAUAUAAGAAAACAUGACCCAUUAUGUUGUCUUCCUUGUCCAACAUCAACUCUUUAGCAUGUCAUAUUUUAAUGAGUGCUCACAAUCAUAAAAGAUGUCCAAUAUAGUAUAUUUAUAUGUGAAACCUCUCUUUCUUUAUUACUUCCUAUUAAUUGCAACGAUGACCAAAACUAUGUUUGUCAACUCUCAACAACUUUUAAUCAUCAUACUCUUUCUAUGUGAAGUCAUUACUCUCCAUAAAAUCAAUAUGAUCUCUUUUUAUUCUUUCUUUUUCUUUUAUUCACUCAUAAUCAUAGCAAGAUAAUCAAGCCCUUGACCCAACACUAAUCUCUAUUAUAUAGCUCACGGACUUGAUUACAUAGAGGGAUCAUAAAGCAAAACUCAAAACUAAAUCAUAUUAAAACUUUAUUCUACUAGAUCAAGAUAUUACCAAAAGGAUCGAACUAAGAAAAACGGUAAAGAUAGGAGUGUGAUGGUGAUACAAUACCGGGGCACCUCCCCCAAGCUUGGCAGUUGCCAAGGGGAGUGCCCAUACCCAUGUGAUUAUAUCUCCUUUGCUGGCGAAGGUGAUGGUGGAGUUGUUGAUGAUGUGGGCUUGUCGUCCAUCGAGCGUAAGAGGUCCUCCAACUUGCAGAUAAUGCCCUUGAGUGCGAUUUUAUAUGCUCCCUCAACAAAAUAUUUUCACAUGUGAGAUACUUCUUUUUUAUACGAGCUAACUCAAUCAUCUUGAAAGCUUCGAUCUCAGUUGGGGUAAGAAGAUUGUGAUCAAGUUGAAGGAUGUCUUCUGCUGCCGGAGCUUGGUCCUCUGUGGCCUUAUUGAUCCCUUCAUCUUUGUUGAUCUCCAUGGGUUCUUCCCUCUUCAGCUCUAUCUUCAUUAGCCAAGCAUCGUUGUCACCAUUGUUGGAGGAGGAGGACGACAUGAUGCCUGGCCUAGACAACCCUGACAGAAAAUAAUGCAACUCGAAACAAGAACAGAGGAUAAUUGCGUGAUACGGGAGUCAAAAUCUUCGGGAGUUUAUAUAAUGAAUUUUUACCGACCGAAAGAAGUAUCGUGCAAGAAAACGGAGUCCGGAGAGCACACGAGGUGCCCACGAGGCAGGGGGACGCGCCCAGGGGGUAGGGCGCGCCUCCCACCCUCGUGGAAGCCUCGUUUCCUUCCCGGACUGCUUCUUAUUUUCCUAUUUUUCUAAAUAUUCCAAAACAGAGAAAGUUUGCAAUUAGAACUGUUCUGUAGUCGGUUUACUUACCGUACCACAUACCUAUAACUUUUCGGGGUCUGAAACGUUCUAGAAAGUGUCUCUUAUGUAUUCCUCCGGUGUUACGGUUUCAACAACAUUAGUUUCAACAUUUAUAGGGUUACCUGAGAUAUAAUGUUUGAUUCUUUGACCGUUCACCACCUUCGGACUUGUGCCUUCAAAGUUGUUGAUUUUUAUGGCACCGGAACGAUAGACCUCCUCGAUAACGUAAGGACCUUCCCAUUUAGAGAGAAGUUUUCCAGCAAAAGAUCUUAAACGAGAGUUGUAUAACAAUACAUAAUCACCUACAUUAAACUCAUGCUUUUGUAUCCUUUUUUCAUGCCAUCUUUUAACUUUUUCCUUAAACAAUUUGGCAUUCUCAUAGGCUUGGGUUCUCCGUUCAUCAAGUGAGCUAAUGUCAAAUAACCUCUUCUCACCAGCAAGUUUAAAAUCAUAAUUGAGCUCUUUAAUGGCCUAGUAUGCCUUAUGUUCUAGUUCGAGAGGUAAAUGACAUGCUUUUCCAUAAACCAUUUUAUACGGAGACAUACCCAUAGGAUUUUUAUAUGCAGUUCUAUAGGCCCAUAAUGCAUCAUCAAGUUUCUUGGACCAAAUCUUUCUAGAUCUAUUAACAGUCUUUUGCAAAAUUAAUUUGAGCUCUCUAUUACUCAAUUCUGCUUGACAACUAGACUGUGGGUGAUUAGGGGAUGCAAUUCUAUGAUUAACAUCAUACUUAGCACGCAUUUUACGAAAAGCACCAUGAAUAAAAUGUGAACCACCAUCGGUCAUUAAAUAUCUGGGGACUCCAAACCUGGGAAAAAUAACUUCUUUAAGCAUCUUAAUAGAGGUGUUAUGAUCAGCACUACUAGUCGGAAUAGCUUCUACCCACUUAUUAACGUAAUCAACAACAACUAAAAUAUGUGUAUACCCAUUAGAGGAAGGAAAAGGUCCCAUAUAAUCAAAGCCCCAAACGUCAAAUGGUUCAAUAACAAGUGAAUAAUUCAUAGGCAUUUCUUGACGUCUACUAAUGUUACCAAUUCUUUGACAUUCAUCACAAGAUAAGACAAACUUACGAGCAUCCUUGAAGAGAGUAGGCCAAUAAAAACCGGAUUGCAAUAACUUAUGUGCAGUUCUAUCUCCAGCGUGGUGCCCUCCAUAAGCCUCGGAGUGACACUUGCGUAGGAUCUGUUCCUGUUAAUGCUCAGGUACACAACGCCUAAUAACACCAUCUACUCCUUCUUUAUAAAGAUGUGGGUCAUCCCAGAAGUAAUGUCUUAAAUCAUAGAAAAACUUUUUCUUUUGCUGGUAUGUGAAACUAGGUGGUAUAAAUUUAGCAACAAUGUAAUUAGCAUAAUCAGCAUACCAUGGAGCAGUACGAGAAGCAUUUAUAACAUUUAAUUGUUCAUCAGGAAAGCUAUCAUCAAUAGGUAGUGGGUCAUCAAGAACAUUUUCUAACCUAGACAAGUUAUCUGCAACAGGGUUCUCAGCUCCCUUUCUAUCAAUAAUAUGUAAAUCAAAUUCUUUUCGCAAGAGAACCCAUCUAAUAAAUCUAGGUUUAGCAUCUUUCUUUUCCAUAAGAUAUUUAAUAGCAGCAUGAUCAGUGUGAAUAGUUACUUUAGAAUCAACAAUAUAAGGUCUGAACUUAUCACAAGCAAAUACAACUGCUAAAAAUUACUUUUCAGUAGUGGCAUAAUUUCUCUGGGCAUUGUCUAGAGUUUUACUAGCAUAUUGAAUAACAUUUAAUUUCUUAUCAACUCUUUGCCCUAGAACAGCACCUACAGCAUAAUUGCUAGCAUCACACAUAAUUUCAAAAGGUAAAUUCCAAUCAGGUGGCUGAACAAUAGGUGCAGAAAUCAAUGCUUUCUUAAGUAUUUCAAAUGCUUCUACACAAUCAUCAUCAAAAACGAAAGGUAUAUCUUUUUGUAAGAGAUUAGUCAGAGGCCGAGAAAUUUUUUAGAAGUCCUUAAUGAACCUCCUAUAAAAACUAGCAUGACCAAGGAAACUUCUUAUACCUUUGAUGUCCUUGGGACAUGGCAUCUUUUCAAUAGCAUCAACUUUAGCUUUAUCAACUUCACUACCUCUUUUAGAAAUUUUAUGCCCCAAGAAAAUACCUUCAUUAACCAUAAAGUGGCACUUCUCCCAAUUCAAGACAAGGUUAGUUUCUUCACAUCUCUGCAAAACUCGAUCAAGGUUGCUCAAGCAAUCAUCAAAAGAGGAUCCAUAAACGGAGAAAUUGUCCAUGAAAACCUCACAUAUCUUUUCACAAAAGUCAGAAAAUAUAGCAAUCAUGCAUCUUUGAAAGGUAGCAGGUGCUUUACAUAAACCAAAAGGCAUACGUCUAUAAGCAAAAGUACCGAAAGGGCAAGUAAAAGUGGUAUUUGCUUGAUCAUCAGCUGACACAGGUAUUUCAGAGACACCAGAGUAACCAUCUAGAAAGCAAAAAUGUGUAUGUUUGGAUAAUCUUUCUAGCAUUUGAUCAAUAAAAGGUAAGGGGUAAUGAUCUUUUUAGUAGCCUUAUUUAAUUUGCGGAAAUCAAUUACCAUCCUAUAACCUGUAAUAAUUCUUUGCGGAAUCAAUUCAUCUUUAUCAUUGGGAACGACAGUAAUACCUCCCUUCUUAGGGACACAAUGGACAGGACUUACCCACUGACUAUCAGCAACGGGAUAAAUUAUACCUGCCUCAAGGGGCUUUAGUAUUUCCUUUCUUACCACUUCCUUCAUCUUAGGAUUCAGACGUCGUUGAUGAUCAAUAACUGGUUUGGCAUCUUUCUCCAAAUUUAUUUUGUGUUGGCAUAGAGUGGGACUAAUGCCAUUAAGAUCAUCAAGAGUAUAUCCAAUAGCAGCACGGUGCUUCUUCAGAGUUUUCAGUAAUUUUUCUUCCUCCUUCUCUGAAAGGUUAGCACUAAUAAUAACAGGAUAUAUCUUCUUUUCAUCAAGAUAAGCAUAUUUAAGAGUAUCAGGCAACGGUUUAAGCUCAAACACGGGAUCACCCUUGGGUGGAGGAGGACCCCCUAGGAUUUCAACAGGAAAAUUGUGUUUCAUAAUAGGUCCAUGUUUAAAGAAUACUUCAUCUAUUUCCCUUCUUUCAUUCAUAAACAUAUCAUUCUCAUGGUCUAGCCAAUAUUGUUCUAAAGGAUCACUAGGAGGCACGGCAAUAGAAGCAAGACCAAUAAUUUCAUCCUUACUAGGCAAUUCCUCAUCACGCGAGGUUGUCUACGAAAUUUAGAGAAAUUAAACACAUGAGACAUAUCAUCCAAACCAAUAGUAACAACAUCCUUUUCGCAGUCUAUCUUAGCAUUAACAGUGUUCAAGAAGGGUCUACCAAAUAUAAUGGGACAAAAGCUAUCUUGUGGGGAACCAAGAACAAGAAAAUCAGCAGGAUAUUUAGCCUUCCCACACAAGACCUCAACAUCUCUAACAAUCCCAAUUGGUAAAAUAGUAUCUCUAUUGGCAACCUUAAUGGUAACAUCGAUAUCUUCUAUCUCAGCCGGUGCAAUAUCAUGCAUAAUUUCUUUGUAUAAGUAAAUAGGUAUUGCACUAGCACUAGCACCCAUAUCACACAAGCCAUGAUAACAAUGAUCUCCUAUUUUAACAGAAAUAACAGGCAUGCCUACCACAGGUCUAUGUUUAUCUUUAGCACCAGGUUUAGCAAUUCUAGCAGUAUCAUCACAGAAGUAUAUAACAUGCCCAUCGAUAUUAUCAGACAAGAGAUCUUUAACAAUAGCAAUAUUAGGUUCAACUUUAACUUGCUCAGGAGGUGUAUAAGUUCUAAUAUUACUUUUACGAACCACAGUUGAAGCUUUAGCAUGAUCCUUUAUACUAACAGGAAAAGGUGGUUUCUCAACUUAAGCAGUAGGAACAAUAGGAUCAUUAUAAGUGAUAGUCUUUUCUUCAACUUUAAUAGGUUCAACUACUUUUACUUCUAUGGGAGGAUGAUAUUUAAACCACUCUCCUUAGGGAGAUCAACAUGAGCAGCAAAAGAUUCACAGAAAGAAGCUACUAUCUCAUAGUCAAGUCCAUAUUUAGUGCUAAUAAAUUUACGGAAAACAUCGGUAUCCAUAAAAGAUUUAACACAAUCAAACUUAGGUGUUAUACCCGACUCCUUACCUUCGUCGAGAUCCCAAUCUUCAGAGUUGCGUUUAAUUCUUUCCAGUAAAUUCCAUUUGAAUUCAAUAGUCUUCAUCAUAAAAGAGCCAGUACAUGAAGUAUUGAGCAUGGAGCGAUUAUUGUGAGAAAGCCGAGCAUAAAAAUUAAUAAUCAUUUCUCUUGAGAGUACAUGAUUGGGGCAUGAAUAUUACAUUGACUUAAGCCUCCCCCAAGCUUGAGCGAUGCUUUCUCCUUCGCGAGGCCAAAAAUUAUAUAUAUAAUUACGAUCACGAUGAACAAGAUGCAUAGGAUAAAACUUCUGAUGGAAUUCCAAUUUCAACCGUUUGUAGUCCCAUGAUCCCAUAUCAUCACAUAGCCGAUACCAUGUCAAUGCAUCUCCCUUCAAAUAUAAAGGGAAGACCUUCUUAUUGAUAACAUCAUCGGGCACACCUGCAAGCUUAAAUAAUCCACGAACUUCAUCCACAUAGAUUAAGUGUAAAUCGGGACGCAAUGUUCCAUCUCCUGCAAAAGGAUUAGCCAGUAGUUUCUCUAUCAUACCCGAAGGAAUUUAGAAGUAAACAUUUUCAUUUUCAGUAGGUUCAGUAGGUUGAGGAGCAACUCUUUGCUCUACUGGUCGAGGUGAAGAUACCCCGAACAAGCCCCUCAAAUGAUUACUUUCCAUAGUAACAAGUGACAGUAAAUUUCAGCACACUAUAUAAAAUUUUCAUUACCAAAUUCCACCUACCAAAGGCGCUUCACUCCCCGGCAACGGCGCCAGAAAAGAGUCUUGAUGACCCACAAGUUUAGGGGAUCUCUCGUAGUCCUUUCGGUUAGUAAGAGUGUUGAACCCAACGAGGAGCAAAAGGAAAUGACAAGCGGUUUUCAGCAAGGUAUUCUCUGCAAGCACUGAAAUAUAGGUAACAGAUAGUUUUGUGAUAAGAUAAUUUGUAACGGGUAACAAGUAAUGAAAGUAAAUAAGGUGCAGAAAGGUAACAAGUAAUAGAGAAAAGCGCUCCCUGAGGACACAUGGGAAUUAUCGUCAAGCUAGUUUUCAUCACGUUCAUAUGAUUCGCGUUCGGUACUUUGAUAAUUUGAUAUGUGGGUGGACCGGUGCUUGGGUGCUGUCCUUACUUGGAAAAAUAUCCCACUUAUGAUUAACUCCUAUUGCAAGCAUCCGCAACUACAAAAGAAGUAUUAAGGUAAGCCUAACCAUAGCAUGAAACAUAUGGAUCCAAAUCAGCCCCUUACGAACCAACGCAUAAACUAGGGUUUAAGCUUCUGUCACUCUAGCAACCCAUCAUCUACUUAUUACUUCCCAAUGCCUUCCUCUAGGCCCAAACAAUGGUGAAGUGUCAUGUAGUCGACGUUCACAUGACACCACUAGAGGAGAGACAACAUACAUCUCAUCAAAAUAUCGAACAAAUACCAAAUUCACAUGACUACUAAUAGCAAGGCUUCUCCCAUGUCCUCAGGAACAAACGUAACUACUCACAAAGCAUAUUCAUGUUCAUAAUCAGAGGGGUAUUAAUAUGCAUAAUGGAUCUGAACAUAUGAUCUUCCACCAAGUAAACCAACUAGCAUCAACUACAGGAGUAAUCAACACUACUAGUAAUCCCAGGCUAUGAGAAAAAGAUUGGAUACAAGAGAUAAACUAGGGUUUGAGAGGAGAUGGUGCUUGUGAAGAUGUUGAUGGAGAUUGGCCCCCUCCCGAUGAGAGGAGCGUUGGUGAUGACGAUGGCGAUGAUUUCCCCCUCCUGGAGGGAAGUGUCCCCGGCAGAACAGCUCUGCCAGAGCCCUAGAUUGGUUCCGCCAAGGUUCCGCCUCGUGGCGGUGGAGUCUCGUCUUGAAAGCUUGCUUAUGAUUUUUUCUCGGACAAAAGACUUCAUAUAGUAGAAGAUGGGCACCGGAGGGCCACCAGGGGGCCCACGAGGCAGGGGCGCGCCCAGGGGGUAGGGCGCGCCCCCCACCCUCGUGGCCAGGGUGUGGGCCCCCUCUGGUAUUUUCUUCACUCAGUAUUUUUUAUUAUUUCCAAAAAUAACUUCCGUGGAGUUUCAGGACUUUUGGAGUUGUGCAAAAUAGGUCUCUAAUAUUUGCUCCUUUUCCAGCCCAGAAUUCCAGCUGCCGACAUUCUCCCUCUUUAUGUAAACCUUGUCAAAUAAGAGAGAAUAAGCAUAAGUAUUGUGACAUAAUGUGUAAUAACAGCCCAUAAUGCAAUAAAUAUCGAUAUAAAAGCAUGAUGCAAAAUGGGCGUAUCAACGACCGCCCGUCCCCGUCGGCCCGCCGCCACCCAUUGCUUCCCCUUUCCCCAUUCUUCCUCUUCUCUGGCGAGCUGGUGCAGAUGUCCACCUCCUCCGCCACGCACUGAAAAUGGCGUCAGUAUGGUCCAGUGCCGCUCACAAGGUGCCCUGACUGCCCACGCCCAGAGCCUCUAAAACGGUGGGUCAGUAGAACUGAUGAGAAUGGAAAUCUUGGGCGGGAAUUUGUGAAGUGCUUGAGCAAAACAAUGGCAGAAAGGGAUGGCAAGGUUAGAUCUCAGUUCUUAGCCCAUUCUUUCACUGUCGUUUGCUCUGAUUUAUCCAUAUUUUGUUUUUUUCCUCGAAUUUGGAAUUUAGGGUUCAUGUUGUUGUUUUUUCCUCGAAUUUGGAAUUUAGGGUUCAUGUUGUUGAUUUAUCCAUAUUUCAUGUUGUUGAGAGGAUUCAGUUCGAGGGCUACAUUGAUUCGAGCGGGGCCGCAACCUGGGAGCUCAAUUUGGGGGGAGGGGUGCCGCAGAUGGAGAAUUUGGGGUCGAGCUUGGACAGAGGGGCGGGCAGAGUCGUGUCGAUGGCUAGGUAUGCGCGCAAUGCUGAACUGCACUUGGAGUCUGAACUAACCGAGGAACUGAAGAUAAUCAAGAAAUCAAAUGGAGAUGAUCAAUCUGCAGAAGCAAGCAAAUAUCAUGGCAGGGGGGGUUCUAUUGUUGUGUCAUUGCUCUGUUUUUGUUUUACUUGUUGUUCAUCCGUCAUUAGAGGGAGCAUUUAGGUCUAUCAGGGCAGAGGAUGCGAUCUGUGCGCCAUGCCAAGUUCAUGUAACUGAAUCGAAGCAGAAAUAUUCUAUGUUGAUGCUUUGUUCUUGUUCUUCAGUUAACAGAGUGCACACCCCCCAAAUUCAGUUUCUAGUAAGAAAAUCUUGCUGCCGAAUAGAUGUUGGGCCAUGAAAAAACAACGAGGCCCAAAUAGAGACAAGCCCACCCGCGUAGGGGCACCAGCCCAGUUUUAUAGCAUAGAGGCACCCAUGUUUAAAAAAAAUGUUCGACUAAAAACUCAAAAUAAAAUAUUGCUUCGGCAAAUAAACCUUUAACAAACAUAUACUUCUUUACAUAUUUGUUGCUUGUCCACGCUUGCACAAAAUAUUGGCCAGAGGUAAAAUUCAAACUAAUAUUUUUAGGAGCACAGAAAUAUUUCUUUUGUGACCAAUAAUUGUUUGCAUGAACUAAAAUAGUUGCAUUUCCAUGGUUGCAAAAAAAAUUGCACCGUACACCUAAUAGCUAGGGUGAUCCUAUUUGCAUGAACUAAAUUAGUUGCAUGUCCAUGGUUGCACAAAAAUUAUCACCGUACACCUACUAGCCAGGGCCUAGAUACAUGCAAGCACACAUGCAUCACACCAAGAUAUGAAAAAAAAUUGCAAAAAAAUUUGGGUACCCAUACACUUGCAUGUCCGUAGUGGAAGCUACCUUUUAUUAGUAAGACAUAGAUCAAAUAGGGAUCCAAUCAACUAGAUAUAACAUGGGUACCCAUAGAACAUCAAGCACCAUAUAUAUCAACUAACCAAUAUCAACUAGAUAGAAAAAAAUAACAGAUAGAACAUAGUAGCAUAAGUAGUAGCAUUGCAUAGAUAAGGGUAGCACGACAUAUAUAGUACCACUACAACAUAGAUAAUUCAUAGUUCAACCCAACACGACAAUAAUAAAACACCACCAGCUUGUUUGCUUGCUUGCUCAAAGGCCAAAUCCUCCAUGGCCAACUCCUUCACUCGUCGCCGUUGGUGGGGUACGGGAGGGUGUGCAUGCGCUCAUCGGCGGGGAAGGCACUGUCGAAGUCCGUGAAGAUGUUGUACAUGGUGAAUGCGAUGAACUCGCAUCCACAUCAAAAAACACGACCGAGGAGGUAGUAGGCGUCGAAGGGGUUGGUGAACCUCACGAUGAGCCCGAUAGGAUGGCCACUGCUACUGACCUCUUUGACACGGAACAUGGCCGGAGAGCCCCUCGGGAGGUGCCGGUAGCCGGCGGAGAGGAAGAACUCGGUCAGCCCCCUUGCCCCCCUCCACCUCGAGAUCGCCCACACCCGUAGGGUGUUCUCCACCCGGACUCCGGUAGGGUAGAGCCUCUCAGGGAAGGUGCGCGGCACACGGUAGGUAGCCCCGGUGAACUGCAUCUUGCUUGCUAGCUUUGAGUGGAUCUUGGAAGAUGGGAGAUGAAGGAGAGUGAGAGGAAGAUGUGGGUAGAGGAAGAUGUAGGCUUGGGUGUGCUUAAAUAGCCGAGGUGCAGUGUUUUAACGUUUUGUUUUCCUCUCCCUCGUAAUGGCAUGGGAAACGAGCAAUGUGGCAUCGAGUCACCCGAGCCAACCCGUGUGUACACGCGCAUGCAUUGUGGUAGUAAUGCCAAUGACCCGCGUAGCACUCUAGCAAUAAAAAUGCGUCGAGAGAUGAGCUCGAUGCCAUGCAUGCAGCGGCUAGCGGUCGGGCAUCUAGACCCAUCUAGAAUGGGUAAAUAGCCAUAAUGCUACGAGGGUGUCGGCGGGCAUGCUCGCCCGCGAUGCCAUCCAUGCAACGUCGAACGCUGAGAGGGCGGCCGCAGGAGGGCUACACGCGCGUGCAUGCUUUUCAGGCCGAAUGCAGCGUCGUGUCCAUCGGUCCAAUGGGUGGGCCGCUUUAAUUAAGCCCAACAACACAUGGCAGGCCUGCUUAGUCUUACAAUGUAAAAAAUGGGCUAAAACGACCAGCCAAUGAAAGCGCAACACGCGGAUCUGUGACGUGGCUCCUAAUCCAGACUGUUGCUUAUGUUCACAUCCAUCCAAUGGUCCAGAAUGCUACGUGUUAUAAUAUUCAGCAUCUUCGAAUCAGCCAAUCAGAGUGCUGCCUGCAGAUCGCUGACGUAGCCCUGGUGCCUGAUCCAGACCGUCCAUUCAUAGCGAUCCAAUGGCCGAGAGGAGUGUGGGGUUUCAAUGGGGUUUUGAGUGGUUUUCAGCGGUUAGGGUUGAGCAUAACUAAUUCAAAAAAAUCAAAAAAACUAUAAAACUUGUGUCGAUCAUCGUUCUAUGUGACUAAGUAUCUAGGAAAAAUAAGAAACUUGUACUACGGAUAUUUUCAUGAAAAAACCUUCACAAAAGAUGGCUAUCAAGAACGACCUUGUAGGGUUUUGAAGAGAAGUGAGCUAGGGUUUAGUGUCAAACAUGUCAUACUUUAUCGAAACAAUCCAAUAUCAGGAAGGACUCUUAUAUACACACACUAGAUGUCAAGUUUCCUUUUUGGGCUCAUUUAGAGAAGGUCGAAAAAAGCUUGCUUACAAAUGGGUCUGUUUUCCCUAGCUUUGGAGGGGUUUUGGAGGUCAUGUGGAGCACAUUUUUCAUGUCCAGAGUUUUACAUAAUAAAAGUGCUCCGAUUAAUCAACUAACAUGCAUAAUAGUCCAGAAAUCAUUGUAACACCAACACCACAGACCAAAUAACUUCAAAUUUGAAUUUUGUCUCAAAUUUGAAUUUUGUCUCAAAUUUGAAUAGUAUUACACAAAUACACAUCAUAUCAAAGUACAAAUAUCAUUACACAAAUUCAGGCAAGGUUUUAUUACUACAACAUACUAGCAAUACACAAGUUUCAACAAAUUUUCACUUCUGCUUCUUCCUACCACUCGAUUUGUUCUUCUUCUUUUUACCAAUGCUUGUUUUUGGUUGUACAACACCCAGUUCACUCAAGCUCUUGAUUUUCUUCACUGGACUUCCUGGAACACAAGCUUCAUUUCGCACCACAACAGUUGCAGUAUCAUCGGACCCAAUAUCACCAGUUGGCAACACAACUUCCAAUAUAGGCUCAGUUGGCACCACAUCAACUGGAAUAUCUUUAGUUGGCAACUCAACUUCCAACAUAGGCUCAGCUUGCACAGCAUCAGCUGGAAUAUCUUCAGAGGUACCCAUAGCUUCAGUUGGCACCAGAACAUCAAAAUCUUGCUCAUCUUGCAGCAGCACAUCCAAGUCUUGCUCAUUUUGCACCACACCAUCCAAGUCUGGUUGAAUGUGUAUUGUUUCACCAAAACUUCUCUUUCUUCUAGAGCCAUUGCCUCUUGCUUUUUUCUUUGGCCAGCACACUUCAACAACAAGGGGCUCACCUGCACGCUUCCUCCUAAAAAGAUAAAGCAUGUCAACUGGUUAGUAAUUGAAAAAUGCAACAAAAUAGUAAACAAUGCAAACAUAUGCCCACAUACUUUGGCCAUUCAUGAGUGUAACAACAUUUGGGAGAUCCAACUCGGUGCCCAAGUUCCUGGCACAACUUGCCUCUAUUUUUUUUUACCUUUUUGGGACCUUUUUGGCUUUGCAUUCUUCUUUCCCUUGCCCUUUUUACUACUCCCACCUUUCUCAAACCAUGCCUUGAAUCUACUUUCUUUAGGCCUGCCAGCCUUUCUUUUUGUUAGGGGAGGACCCAUGGAAAAUUCAAUUUCAACUUCAGGCCACUGAGACUGAUCUGUAAGUGCUAGAAUUGGAGUUGCAUAUGCAGCCUUGAAUCUUGCUACUAAGUAAUAUUCGUGCAAAUAUGGGUGCAUGUUUAUCUUCGGUCGGGAGGCCAAGAAAAGUAUGGCAUGACUCACAUGGUUUCCCAGUGUGCUGCCACUCCAAACAAGUGCAAUCAUGCAUUUCAGUGUUAACAACAUGCCUUCUACCAGUUUUGGUAUCUCUAACUUCAACACCCCACACAGAAGAUUUUUCAACAGAUAAAUGUGUAAGAUUUAUGCUCCUGUUGACCACCUGGUGUACCACUGCAGGAAGCUUAUCCCCUUGUAGACAAUCACCAAUCCUUCUUCUCAAUUCCCACAAGCGCAUGAUCAUGAUCCUGAUUUGGUCAACCAUGUCAUGCACAGGAAAAAAAUUUAACUGCUUCACCCUGUUGUUAAAACUUUCUGCCAAGUUGUUGUUGAUAUGAUCACACUUGAUGGCAGUGUUAAAUCCCGACCUAUACCAUAAUAGAGAAUGGUACGUGUUCACCCAUGGACCAAACUCAGGACAUGAUGUCAUUAUCAUACCAAGAUGAUAUUAAUGUGUUUGUUUAGUGUAAGAUCUUGCUGCUGGCCACAUACGACCAAAUUCUUCCCCUUUGAAUUUUUUGAUCAAAUUCAUCCACAUAUGGCCGAAGCACUCCCUCUGCUCACAAUGGGGGAAAACAUUCUUCACUGCGUUUUCUAGCCCUUUGCAUGCAUCUGUGUGGACUGCCAAAGGUGACACUGGACCUAUGCAUCUUUUCAACUGCACCAUGAACCAUGUCCACGAGACCUCUAUCUGUGACUGAAAUAAGCCAAUAGCAAUAGGGAACAUCCAGUUGUAUCGAUCCAAAGCAUUGCAAGCUGCCAAUUGACCAAUUGAAAGUGCACCUAUGCCUAGGUGGUUUUGGUAAUUCCUAACAACAUAUAGCUCAUUGAGCUAAUGAUAUCUCAAGAUAAAUAUUUCAGGAAAGCACAAUGAUUGGCAUGGCAUGGAUUAGAAAUGUGACCCCUCAGAAUACCAAGGACAAAAGAAUGGCUCAAGCUCUAAAGCUCAAGACUCUACAUUUUACUUUUAGUGAUCCAAGAUCACAUUGAGUCCAUAGGAAAAGCAAAUACUAUUAAAAGGGGAUGAGGUGUUGCUUAAUGGGUUGCUUGCUCAAAAUGCUUAGUGAUAUGCUCCAAAAACCCUCAACUACUUUCUCAUAUCCACAUAUGUCCCAAACCAGAAGUCAAACUCGGCCCCACCAAAACAUCCUAUCUGGCACCACCGAGUUCUCUUGACAUAGCCACUGCCACAAACCCUAGUCACUUUGGUCUCACCGAUAGGGAUCUCGGUAUCACCGAGAUGGGAUUGCAAACAUCUGUUUCCCUUCCUAACGUUUCGGUCCAACCGAGAUGAGCGAUCGGUCCCACCGAGUUUGCAAUGCAAACUCUCUGUUUCCCCUUCGUAACGUUUCGGUCUCACCGAGAUGAGCAAAUCGGUCCCACCGAGUCUGCCUCAUCAACUCUCUGGUUAGCUUAUCACCAAAAUCAGUCCCACCGAGUUUGUGUAAUCAGUCUCACCGAGAUUACGUUAUGCCCUAACCCUAAUGAAAUCGGUCCCACCGAGUUGACAUGUCGGUCCCAUCGAAUAUCCUAACGUUCACAUUUUGAACUAAAUCGGUCCGACCGAGUUUCAUUAUUCGGUCCCACCGAGUUUGAUGAUUUGUGUGUAACGGUUAGAUUUUGUGUGGAGGCUAUAUAUACCCCUCCACCCACUCUUUAUUCGUGGAGAGAGCCAUCAUAACAUGCCUACACUUCCAGCAUACAUUUUCUGAGAGAGAACCACCUACUCAUGUGUUGAGGUCAAGAUAUUCCAUUCCAACCACAUAAAUCUUGAUCUCUAGCCUUCUCCAAGUUGCUUUCCACUCAAAUCGUCUUUCCACCAAAUCCAAAUCUGUGAGAGAGAGUUGAGUGUUGGGGAGACUAUCAUUUGAAGCACAAGAGCAAGGAGUUCAUCAUCAACACACCAUCUAUUACCUUUUGGAGAGUGGUGUCUCCUAGAUUGGUUAGGUGUCACUUGGGAGCCUCCGUCAAGAUUGUGGAGUUGAACCAAGGAGUUUGUACGGGCAAGGAGAUCGCCUACUUCGUGAAGAUCUACCCUAGUGAGGCAAGUCCUUCGUGGGCGAUGGCCAUGGUGGGAUAGACAAGGUUGCUUCUUCGUGGAACCUUCAUGGGUGGAGCCCUCCGUGGACUCGCGCAACCGUUACCCUUCGUGGGUUGAAGUCUCCAUCAACGUGGAUGUACGAUAGCACCACCUAUCAGAACCACGCCAAAAAUCUCCGUGUUUAUAUUGCGUUUGCUCCCUCCAAACUCCUCCCUUUACCUUCAUGUGCAAUGUUUUACAUUCCGCUACUAUACUCUUAGACUUGCAUGUGUAGGUUGAUUUCUUGACUAGUGCUAAGUUGCUAAAAUCUGCCAAGACUUAAAAUUGGGGAAAGGCUAGAUUUUUAUUUGGUCAAGUAGUCUAAUCACCCCCCCUCUAGACAUAAUUUCGAUCCUACAAGUGGUAUCAGAGCUACGGUCUCCAUUUGCCUUGAUUUCCAUAGCUUUUGGUGAUCAUAGCCUUGGUUUCACAACCUAGGAGACUAUGGCGUCUAGCAAGGGAAAUUACCACCAUAGAGGUCCUUACUUUGAUGGUACUAAUUUUGCUACUUGGAAGCACAAGAUGAAAAUGCAUAUUCUUGGACAUAACCCCGCCGUUUGGGCUAUUGUGUGUAUUGUCUUGCAAGGUGAAUUCUUUGAUGGGAGAGAACCGAACCGUGAAGCUACUGCGGAAGAGUUGAAGAUGCUACAAUACAAUGCUCAAGCUUGUGAUAUUCUCUUCAACGGAUUGUGCCUCGAAGAAUUCAACAAAAUCAGCCGUCUUGAGAAUGCAAAGGAAAUUUGGGAUACUUUGAUUGAUAUGCAUGAGGGUACCGACUCCGUCAAGGAAUCCAAAUUGGAUGUGCUUCAAAGUCAAAUUGAGAAGUUCAAAAUGAAGGAUGGUGAAGGUGUCACUGAAAUGUACUCUAGGCUUGCUCUCAUCACAAAUGAGAUUGCCGGCUUAGGAAGUGAAGAGAUGACCGAUAGAUUCAUCAUCAAGAAGAUCCUAAGAGCCUUGGAUGGAAAAUAUGAUACCGUGUGCACAUUGAUCCAAAUGAUGCCCAAUUACAAAGAUCUCAAGCCAAAGGAAGUCAUUGGAAGAAUUGUUGCUCAUGAGAUGUCACUUAAGGAUAAGGAAGAGCUCCACAACAAGUCAAGUGGUGCUUACAAAGCCUCAUGUGAUGCUCCUACACCAUCAAGUGAGAAACAAACCUUUAAUGAAGAAUUGAGCCUAAUGGUGAAGAAUUUCAGCAAGUUCUACAAGAGUAGAAGCAAGGAAAGAAGUUCCAAGUCAAGAUCCUACAAUGACAAAAGAUCUUCAAGUCGUGAACGAAAUUGCUACAAUUGUGGAAGACCCGGACACUACUCCAAUGAGUGUACGGCUCCCUACAAAAGAAGAGGAGAUUCUCCCAAAAGACGAAGUAGAAGAGAAGAAUCAGCACCAAGAGAGAGAAGGAGUAGAGAUGAUUGUUAUGAACGAAGAACCUCUCGGAGAAGCAAGGAUUCGGAAAGGAAGGACAAAUCAUCAAAGAGCUACACAAAACGAAGACAUCAAUCUCACGUUGGUGAAUGGGUAUCCGGCUCCGACUCCGACCAUUACUCCGAAAGAAGUUAUCACUCCGACUCCGACUAUACUCAAGAAGAAGGUGUUGCCGGUCUAGCACUUGCGUCAACCAACUCCUACAACAUAUUUGACUCACCAAAUGAAGGAAUUGGAAGAUGCUUCAUGGCUAAAGGCCCCAAGGUAUCACACCCCGAGUUUGUUGAUUUCAAUAGUGAUGAAGAUGAUUUGCUAGGAGAUGAUGAUUUACUUGUUGACAACUCCAGUUAUGAAAACUAUGAUGAACUUGCUAUUAGUCAUGCUAAUCAAGAUAAAACGAAUGACGAUGAUAAGAAGGAGAUUGAGCGUCUAACUAAAGAAUUAAACACUCUUAAAUUAGCUCAUGAAACUACCAUGGAAGAUCAUCGAGAACUUUUAAAGACUCAUGAGAAGCUACGCUUUGAAAGGCUCAACCUUGAGCAAGAGCAUGGGUUCUUAAAAGCAAUCAAUGAUGAUCUUCGCAGGAAAAAUUCUUCUUACAUUGCCAAGCGUUUACUCUUGUCUACUUACAUGCCACAAGUAGAAUCUAGCAACAAGAGUAAGAAAGAUUCUUCAUCUAGUAGUAACAAUAAUCAUGCUAAAUCCAAUGUUGUUGCUUCUAGUAGUUCUCUUGAUUCCACUAAUGAUUCUCUUAGCCAAGUUACAAUUGAGCAAGAAAAUAGCUUAUUGAAGGGAAUUAUAGAGAAAGGUGUUUACAAGAGCCUUGUCGGAAGUAAGCAAUUUGAGGAAAUUGUACGCAACCAAGGAAGGCACCGGAAAAAUCAAGGUGUUGGUUUUGAACGAAAGUUCAAUGCCAAUGGAGUUGAGUGGGAAGAAGAUCAAUACCCCAAGACGAAGUUUGUUCCUCAACAAGAGAAGUAUGAUCCUACUUCCUUCCAAGGAACACAAGCUCAAGAUGAUCUUCCACCACAAGACCACAAGCAAAAAGGCAAGGACAAGCUUCAAGAGGAGAUUGAUGCAUUUUAAGAAGCUCCCAAGGCCUUGGUCGAGUGGGUUCCCAAGACUACAUCAAAUACGACUACAACUCCAAGGAUUCCCAUCAAGAUGAUGUGGAUCCCGAAGAAGAAGAACUAGAGAGUUCUUGAGGGUGACUCCGCCAACAUACUUCACUCAUAUCUUUUGGCAAGGACAUGUGAGAACAACUUCCACAUAUUGCACUAGUUCAAGGAGUCACAAACCCUCUUGUUUGUAAGACAAGGGACAAGGUAACCUAAUGCUUUCAUGGACAUCAUCUUGUGUGUACAUCACUCUAUGUCUAUGGAUAUCCUUGUUUGUUCCUUGUGGGACUAACCAGUGUAGGUAUUGGAAGUGCAACUCACUCCAAUGGAUUGCUCCGAAUGAUCUACAUCAACAUUGAGCAUCCACAUCUUCAACACCUACAUGAAGUCAUCAUCGACAAAACCCAAGGUUAGUUCAUCCCUCUUAGGGGGAUAUCACAUCUAGGGGGAGCUUUACUCUAAUAAAUUGAGCUAAAGCAACUCUAAUGGUGUGAACACAACAAUGCUUUAUGUGAAAGUGGUAACCCCACUUAUGCUUAAACGAUGAGUAUGACCUAUGAUCAAAUGUUCUCAUUUGACUCCUAAGUCAAUAUACUCAUAUAUAGAUGACCUAGUCAUCGCCAAUUGCUUGAUAGAUGCUAGAGUCUUUGUGCAUGCUUUGUCACAUAUUUCGUUUGCCAUUUUAUUGUGUGAGCAUGUUAAUUGCAUAUUUUACUCAUUCGAGGACAUCCAUUUGUUGCUUUGAUUGUUUGGCUUUUUCUCUUUUGCCAAAUGGAUGGACAAGAAUGCCUAAGAACUCCCUCUAGCUAUCUAUGCUUUUCUCGUCUCAAACUCUAUUCAUGCUACAUCACAAAGUUUGAUCAAGUCAGGUUCGAACCACUCUGUGUGAGGAGCACUCGGAGUCCCCGAUUCGUCAUAGACUUAAACUUCCAAAACCUCUUUGUGCAUUUCGGUAUGACCGAUUCAUCCAUUUUGGUCACACUGAGUUCACUAAGUUGAUCUAGGUUUUCCAUCUCGGUGCAACCAAUUUGAACUUUUCGGUCACAUCGAGUUGCAGUAACCGCUUGCGAUUCUGCAUCUCGGUGCCACCGAGUUGUUCCACUCGGUAACAUCGAUAGGGUCGGGAUAUAUAAACCCACAGGUGAGAUUUUGGAAAUUUCUUCAAACUCCUCAGCCCGCGUGUGUCCUGCUCUGCCUCCUCGGGUCUCCGGAUCGUCUCCUCGCCGCCAGCGACCUCCCGCCGCUGGUUUCCGUUGCUGUCAACGGAAUUCUCCUCUGCCGUUGUCGCCAUAGCGAACUCCCGCCGAACUAGGGUAUGGGUUCGACUCUUUGUGCUAUUUCCCUACUCCAAUUUGUAGCACAUUUCUUUUCCAUGAUCUUUACCACGUAUGAAAAUAAUCUAUCGAGAGAAAACAUCCUUUAGGUUAGAUUUGAUUCAAAAAUUUAGGGUUAGGUCUCCGCCGAACUCAUCUCAGACCAACCGAGUUGUAGAAAUCGGUCUCACCGAUUUGGCUUAGGCCAUUGCACAUGCUUUUUGGUCUGACUGAAAACGGCAAAUUGGUGCGACCGAUUUCGAAUCUCUGUGAAACCCUAGCAAUCUCGGUGCCACCGAACUGUGACUCGGUCUGACCAAGUUCACUAGUUUAGGUUCCAAAAGUUGCUUCGGUAUCACCGAGUUUAACAAAUCGGUAGCUCCGAAAUGCUUUCUGUGGAGAACUAUAACUAAGUUUUUGAGUCAUCUGUUUUGCAAAAGCUCUGCACUUUGUGAUGCUCAUCCACUCUACCUCAUCUAUAUCUAUUCACAGGGUUUGCUGUCAGUGUGAUUGCCAAGAUGUCUGAUCAAAGUGACAGCCAGAACAGAUCUGAAGAGCAAGUGCAUAUGAGUGAGGGCACUAAUCCCUCAAGCAGCUAUGAUGAGGGCAGCAGAAGCACACCAAGUAACUUGCCCAAGGUAGCCACUAGAACAAGGAAGAAGAGAACCUCAGACUCCGAGGAUGAGGACUAUGUGGCCAUUGAGGAUGAGGCCACCUCAAGGAAGAAAGUGCUGAAGAAAGAGUAUGGCAUAGCUGCUGCAACUAAGCCAGGGUUGCAUAAGAAGGCAACAGCAAAGAGAGUCCCAAUGUCAAAGCCAACGAAAGUUCCAACAGGAGAAACCAUGAAAUUCACAAUAUAAUCAGAUGAUGGUGAGGCAGUUGGUGAUGGCAAGAAGAAGAAGAGGGCAAGAACCACAUCUGCAAAAGUUCUUGGAAAAUCAACUAUGGUAAGAGAUUCAGAAGAAGAGGAAGAGGAAGAGGAUGCUGCACCAGCACCCAAGUCUCAGAAGCUUAUGGGAGAUGCUAUCAAGUCAGGGGCUGCUCCAUCAAAGCCCAAGACUGCUCCCAAAGCAACAGCUCAAACUCAGAAGCCCUCUAAGCCCAAGAGAAGCACCAGAAACAUUCCUGCAGAAGAGAGGAACAAGGCCUCAGUGCCUAAGGUUGAAGAAGAGGAUGAUGAAGCCCUAGUGCUAAGAAAACUGAAACCCAAGAUUCCAGACCACAAUGACACUCAUCCAGUGGCUGAGGACAUGCACAUCAGGAAAGAUGCAGGAUUGAGACUUUGGAGACAGUCUGAUCCUUAUGCUGCGACAAGGAGAACUGUUGUGGACUACAUGUUCCACACCAAAGAACAACAAGACUUCUAUGAGACUAUUCUGCUUGACAAGAAGCCAAUUGUCUGUGAAAUGAGAUGGGUUGAUUGGGAAUACAUCAAAGAGAAUGAAGAUCACUUCCCAGGUGUACCAGACAGCUUCAAAGCAAGUGGAGUUGAUAAGUUUGUAGGUCAGAAGCCCACCAAAUGGAAUGAUGAGCUAAUCAUGCAGUUUUACUCCACUGCUCAUUUCUAUCCAGAUGGGAGAUAGUGGGGAUGUCUGAAGGUACAAGGUACCAAUCAACUGUAGAAAAAUGGGCCAAGUUGAUCAAUGCCCCAGAAGAGUAUGAGGAUGAUUUGGAUGUGUAUGCCAAGAAGAAGAAAGACCACAACUCUAUGGCAAAUAUGUACAAAGAGAUCCCUGAUAAAGCUUUGGAGACACACAAGCUUGGAUCUGUGCACUAUUUGUUGUCUGGUCUACCCACUAUCAACACUAUCUUAAGGCAUACUCUGGUACCCAAAUCUGGAGAUCACAAGAUGAUCAGAGGACAUUCCAUCAACUUGCUGCAAAUCUUUGAUGUCCCUUAAAAAUUCAAGGUCGUGAGUCUGAUUGUUGAGACAAUCAAGAGGACAGCUGCUGACCAGAAGAGAUCUUGUGGGUAUGCUCCACACAUUCAGGUGGUCAUCAACUCAAAGAUGGGCACAGGGACUUACAUGUUGGACAAAGAACAUUUACCCUUGUAUCCAGAUUUUGAAGAUAAUGAAGUUGUCAUGAAUGAGAAUGAACCUUCAUCAGCACAAGCACAAGAGAAGAGAGCUAAAGCAAAGGCAGAAAAGGCUGCAAGGAUGCCAAGUGCCGAGGAAGCAUCUCAGGUGUCCCUGAAGAGCAAGAAAGAUCAGCUUAUAUCUGAUUCAAGCUACAUUGAGGAUUGAGAAGGGCUUGGCCACCCUGACUCAGAAUCAGGAGAGCUUGGAGAGGAUCAUAGAGACAAAAUAUUAUGAUCUUGAUCUGAAGGUCACUGAGAUACAGAGAGCAGUUGAGCAGCUCCAGGAGGAAGCAGGAGAGAGGAAAGGGAAGGCAACUACAGAUGCUUUUCGGCGAGUGCCAAGAGGUCAGAGGUCUGCUGCAGUGCCAGUAUCAGAUACUAGAGCUACAUCGUCAGCACCAAUAGCUACAGCUUCAGUGCCACCUCCAGCAGCCACUCCACCAGCUCCAGCUACAUCCACUGAUGCCUUCGUCCUUGGAGUUCUCUCUACUCCACCUCCUGAAGACCAAGCCUGAGAGACGCAUAGCACUAUGCAUUUUCGAACUUUUUGAUAACUUGUUGCCAAAGGGGGAGAAAUGUAUAGAUCAUAGGCUUCGAGAGAGAGUGUUUUGCUUCUUUGUCUCUCUUGAUUUUGGUUGAACUUUAUGGUGUUCUUGGUUGAUACUCUAUGUCUGUGUGAGAUACUUGUUUGAUCAUGGGUUUGAUCAUAUGCUACUUUAAUGCUUGCUUGGAUGGUAUUAUCUCUUAUAUCCCAUAUAUGUUCAUUCACUUUGCUUGGUGAUGAAUGCUUUCUUUUAAUUUCCACGAUCCUAAUUGAUUGUGCAUUUGCAUUCAAAAGAUGUAUGUGACAUGGAAGAGUAACCCAUGAUCCUAAUCGAUUGUGCAUUUGCAUUCAAAAGCCUAUUUUUAAUAAUGCACAAAUUUAGGGGGAGCUCUUGCUUAUCACAUACUUCUCAAAGCGACGAUGUAUUUCAAUCUUAUGAUCAUUUGUCAAAGCUUUGAUCUAUAUGUUUUCAUCAAUUAUCAAAAAGGGGGAGAUUGAAAGUGCAACUAUCCCUGGGUGGUUUUGGUAAUUCCUAACAACAUAUAGCUCAUUGAGCUAAUGAUAUCUCAACAUAAAUAUUUCAGGAAAGCUCAAUGAUUAGCAUCGCAUGGAUUAGAAAUGUGGACCCCUCAAAAUGCUAAGGACAAAAUAUUGGCUCAAGCUCUAAAGCUCAAGACUCUACAUUUUACUUUUAGUGAUCCAAGAUCACAUUGAGUCCAUAGGAAAAGCCAAUACUAUUAAAAGGGGAUGAGGUGUUGCUUAAUGGGUUGCUUGCUCAAAAUGCUUAGUGAUAUGCUCCAAACCAAAAGUCAAACUCGGCCCCACCGAAACAUUCUAUCCGGCGCCACCGAGUUCUCUUGACAUAGCCACUGUCACAAACCCUAGUCACUUCCGGUCUCACCGAUAGGGACUCGGUCUCACCGAGAUGGGAUUGCAAAAUCUUUGUUUCCCUUCGUACAUUUCGGUCCAACCGAGAUGAGCGAUCGGUCCCACCGAGUUUGCAAUGCAAACUCUCUGUUUCCCCUUCGUAACGUUUCGGUCUCACCGAGAUGAGUGAAUCGGUCCCACCGAGUUUGCCUGACCAACUCUCUGGUUAGCUUAUUACCAAAAUCAGUCCCACCGAGUUCGUGUAAUCGGUCUCAUCGAGAUUACGUUAUGCCCUAACCCUAACGAAAUCGGUCCCACCGAGUUGAAAUGUCGAUCCCACCGAAUAUCCUAACAUUCACAUUUUGAACUAAAUCGGUCUGACCGAGUUUCAUUAUUCGGUCCCACCGAGUUUGAUGAUUUGUGUGUAACAGUUAGAUUUUUUGUGGAGGCUAUAUAUACCCCUCCACCCACUCUUCAUUUGUGGAGAGAGCCAUCAGAACAUGCCUACACUUCCAGCAUACAUUUUCUAAGAGAGAACCACCUACUCAUGUGUUGAGGUCAAGAUAUUCCAUUCCAACCACAUAAAUCUUGAUCUCUAGCCUUCUCCAAGUUGUUUUCCACUCAAAUCAUCUUUCCACCAAAUCCAAAUCUGUGAGAUAGAGUUGAGUGUUGGGGAGACUAUCAUUUGAAGCACAAGAGCAAGGAGUUCAUCAUGAACACACCAUCUAUUACCUUUUGGAGAAUGGUGUCUCCUAGAUUGGUUAGGUGUCACUUGGGAGCCUCCGUCAAGAUUGUGGAGUUGAACCAAGGAGUUUGUACGGGCAAGGAGAUAGCCUACUUCGUGUAGAUCUACCCUAGUGAGGCAAGUCCUUCGUGGGCGAUGGCCAUGGUGGGAUAGACAAGGUUGCUUCUUCGUGGACCCUUCGAGGGUGGAGCCCUCCGUGGACUCGCGCAACCGUUACCCUUCGUGGGUUGAAGUCUCCAUCAACGUGGAUGUAUGAUAGCACCAUCUAUCGGAACCACGCCAAAAAUCUCCAUGUCUACAUUGCGUUUGCUCCCUCCAAACUCCUCCAUUUACCUUCAUGUGCAAUGUUUUACAUUCCGCUGCUAUACUCUUAGACUUGCAUGUGUAGGUUGAUUGCUUGACUAGUGCUAAGUUGCUAAAAUCUGCCAAGACUUAAAAUUGGGAAAAGGCUUGAUUUUUAUUUGGUCAAGUAGUCUAAUUACCCCCCCCCCUCUAGACAUACUUUCGAUCCUACACCAUUCCACUUGCCAGUCAAAAAUGAUGAGUCUAUGCUCAAAUAUGGACGACACCCUACCUUGAAGCCAUCAAUGCUAGGCUUCAAAGCCAUAAUAAACGUAUAGAAAAGUACUCUUCCAUCCUCUGUUACCUCAGUAUCUAUCUCCACAACACUCCCAGGUGACCUCUUCUCCACCUCUGCUUUGAAAUUAUAAAGCAUCCUAAAAGUAUUUGCCCAGUCACCAUAUAAUUGUUUCAUUGCCCUUUGUUUUGCCUUCCACACCGUGUUAUACUUCUCCUUAAUGGGGUAUUGCUUUCCAAGUAUACUUUAAGUUUCUUUGCAGUGGUGUUUGGUUUCUUGGCUAGAAUAGGAGUGAUCUUUUCUGCAAUCCAAAGCUGUGAUGUCAUGGUUGAUACUCUCGGUGAACUUGUAAUACAAGUAUGUUGGUGAGGGAUUUGAUUCACCCUAAUGGUACUUCCAUCAGGUUGGCGUCUAGCAGAUAUGUACUACUUGCAAGGCUUGACACUUCCAUCAAAACCUCUACACCUUGCAUAAAACUUCUUUCUAUCAGUCCACUUAGUCUUGGCACCAAACUCAUGUUUGACUGCAUAUGUCUUGAAACACAUCCUAAACUCAUCCAUGUUUGGGAACAACAUCCCCACUUCAAUAACAGGGUUUUCCUUGUCAUACACAUUUACCAACUCAUCAUCAUGUGCAUCAUCUACAUCAUCUGCAGCAUCUUCCAUCAGCUAUCCAUCCAGAUCUUCAGUUCUAUCUUUGUUAGCAUCAGUAUCAGUAGGCAUACUAGAUUCACCAUCCUUCUCCUCCUUAUCUUCAUCAGCUACUGGAAUGCCAAAUUUUUUGGCCAUCUCAGUGUCAUCCAUUGGUGCAAUGACUAAAUCAGUUGGGUCAUUUAAUUCUACUGAAUUCCAAUCAACAUAAACAACCCUUCCAACACCCUCAGAGCCAUCUUCUGCAUCACCCCCCUCAGGUAAUACUGUCACUUCACCUGUACACAUGGGCAUUAUCUGCCUCUCUGAAGCCCAAUCAUCAUCUACCAUUUGUGAAGCUAACUUUGAGGGCACAUAUCCAACCUUAGAAUCUGAUUUCAGAUCAACAAGCUAUGCAUGAAACAUAGUUUGUUUGGUUGUCCAGCCAUCUUGUUGAUCAAUUUCAUCAACCAUGUCUUCACCAUCCUCAAUUCUCACAUACUCUCCUUUCCAAUUAUCAAACCGUAACAAUGCUACCUCUUGCUCUGGACCCCAAAAAAUGCUCUCCCCAAUUUUUUUCCACCACAUUCUUCAUGGCCUUCUCUUCCAUGCUCUGUAGUUCUUGUGGAUCAAUCUCUGCAAAAUCAAUCUCCGGAUGCUACCAUCACCUAUGUCCCGCAUGCUACCAUCACCUAGCUUCGCCUUAGAAGGAAGGAAUUCCGCAGUGAAUUUGAACGUCCGAGCAACAUCCCCCCUAUUUCGGGGCAGUGUGAGGUGAGCUACCGGAAGCAGACGAGGCACAAAUCGCAUUCCUUGGAAAGGAUGCACAUUAAGGGAUUACCUUCUAGAUGUUGUUGUCUCUGGCGGCUCCAUCGCGUGCAGGCCCCCCUCCCACCCACCCAAAUCUGGAUCAAAUUGACCAAAAACACCAAAAAACAGAGGGAAAGAGAGGCGGUGAGAUCUAGCUCGACACGGAGGGGAACGGGAUAGGGUUCCUGAUUCACUCAACACAGCCGCCGCCGUCGCCGAGAACGAAAGCUCCUCUGCGCUGCUAUCACCGAGAACAAAAUCUCCGGCGCCGGCGCCGGCUCACCGCCAAGAACAAAGAGGGGGGGUACACGUUCAGAUAGGCAUGGGGACACGUUUCACCUGAUGCACUGCCAAGUGGGGCCCGCAACUAGAUGCACUGCCAAGUGGGAUCCACAUGUCUUAAACAUAACCUCACUCCCGUUGACGACCAGUUUAAUCGCCCGAGUGGACCUUGGCUAUUUGGGCCUCUGAAACAUAGUACUACAGUUAUUUUCGUCAACUAUGUCGCUUUCCUUCCAUUGCACCUCAAAUAUGUCGCACAGGAGCUAUUGACCCCUUGACUUGUUGCAGCUGGCCAUUUUCUACUACGAAACCAAUUUUCUAGGAGUAAAUAAAUAAAUGAACAACUACAGCAUACAUCAUAUGAGUUUCAGACUUUAUGAAGCCUGAAUGUUGAAAAAAUAAGAAAAAGAGACAACGUAAGGACCUCUGCUCUGUCGUGCCGAUGGAUGACAGAAGCUAAUUGCAGAUGGCCGGAGUUGCGACAUCAGCCUCUUCGAGACACGCGGAGACCUCCGUAUCUCCUCGAGCUCUCCUGCCGCGCGGGGCCGUCAGCGCCCAACAACCUAUGCGGUGCCGCCGCCGUCUGUCUCAUAGGGAACAGCAGAAAGGCCAUUUUCUUUCGGGUGCUUUGAUAAAAAAAAUCAUAUAUUACAGGUGGGUCCAGGACUACUUAUCAACAAUACAUCUCCUUCUCAAUGUAUCCGAAAUGGGGAUUUUGAAAUAUAUUAACCGGAGUCUCUGAAAUCUAACACACUAAAAUUCAGGAACCUAUGAAAACUGGUACAUUUCUUCAUCAACCAUCCUUCGAACCUCAUGUGGCAACGCAGAUAUCAGAGCAUGUGUGUCUUCCUUCUAAGACUUUUGCAUGUUGCCCCUCUAUGCUCCUUUUUUACGGCCAAUGUGUGGAAGGUCAUGUCCAUAACCUCAUUGAUAGUCAAAACAUAGACGAUGAUGAUUGUGAACAUCCGCUGUGGCUUCAGAUUGCGAUGAUGUUGCCUCAUCCCCCAAUUGUGUAGACACAGGCUCCCAUUACACAAAGGGAAUGGUGGGGCGAAUAGACUCGUACCUCUGAAGAGCGAGGAGAAGAUACAUGUAUUUGUUUUCCUCCAAUAUUUUAGAUGGGCCUAGGACAGAUUGAGAGGGGAGCAAAUCCGAAUUUAUACCACACUCACAUUGACAUCCCAAGAUGGUGGAGUAUAUAUAGAACUUCUAUACAUCUUGUUUUUAAUAGCUCAUUUUUAGGAAGGAAAAAAAUAAAUUGUUAUCAUGGGAUAUGUGUUGAGCAGGUCAUUCAAAAAUGUUUAUUUAAUCAUGUGACUGAAUACACCAGAAUCAUGUGAUCAUCCUACUUGCAUGUUUAUGUUAGUCUCCAACUUCCAAAGUAGAACCUAGUAUACAUGGUAUUCUAGUUCUCUCCUGUGUACCAUCACUCCAAGUCCAUUGCAUCAUGAAAGACGUGUGAAACGUGAGAACUGGCAUUGCAUGAUUCUUCUCCAUCUCUAUGUUUCAUCUGGAUAAAGGGUGUCAGAGUAGAUGAUGGGUUUAAUGGCAGAGAGGGGGGGGAGAGGGAGAGGGAGAGAUCUCAUUCUUGUAAAAUGUAAAAAAAAGGAAUGGAAGGAAAGGUCCACACUUAGACAAACUGAUUAGAUCCGUAAACUAAUUAGACCCGCAAAAAAAGAUGACGCUAUAAAUAUCUCAUAACAACAGAGGGAGAGGAAGGCCAUAGCUUUUAUUGUGUAUGGUGAGACCGGCUUUUCAACACCCGGGUGUCAGACACCCGGCUAUCAGGCCGUUCAGGCAAUACCUCUCAUUGGGAUAUGUGUCUGGUCCUGCACCACCAUUUUCAUUAGCAGGCAAGGUGAAUAGUAAAUGGAUGUGACAACAGAGAACGGCCAUAGAGCGGACGAGCUCGCCUGUGUUGAACAGCCUGUCACGUUACACAAGGUGCACCGAAGCAGGAGUAUUGAGCCGCACCAGAAGUCCCAAUAUAUUGGUAGAGAUAAGCUAGGUAGUUAGUUCAUAUCUAUCCUUUGUAACCUAUUCUAUCUCUUCUCCUUCAAGUCUCCUGUAAUAUCUCAACUUCUAACUUGUAUGUGCUUCAGGGAUUGCGCCCCUGCCUAUAACAUGCAACGCGUCCCCUCGCACCGAGGUAAAGACGUUUCCGCAUCUCGCACAUGGUAAUCAGAGCCAUCCUACUUCCCAUCUAGUUUUCUCUCGAUUCCAAUCGUGUCCAAAAAUCAUGUCUUCCUCCUCCGGCAUCUCUCACCCUAGCCUCAGUGGGCAGGUCAUUGAGAAACUCUCCCGCACGAACUACGUGCUAUGGCGCACACAGAUCACGCCACAAUUGCGUGGCGCCGAUGUCUUCAGCUAUGUUCAUGGCACCUCGCCGGAGCCGGCCAAGCUCCUCGCCGCCAAGGACAAGGACGGCAAGGAGACCUUCCAGCCCAACCCUCUCCACCCCAUCUGGGUCAGGGAGGACCAGCAGGUUCUCGGCUACCUGCUGAGCAACCUCUCCAAAGAGGUGCUCCUCAUGGUGACCACGAUCACCACGGCGCAGCCGCUCUGGACGACGCUGGCGGGCAUGUACUCGUCGCAGUCGCUUAGCCGCAUCAACAACAUCCGUACCUCGCUCAUCAAUGCGCAGAAGGGCAACCAGUCCGCCACCGCCUACUUUGCCUCCAUGCGCGGUCUCGCGGACGAGCUGGCAGCGGCCCGCAAACCCAUCCAGGAUGACGAACUCAUCUCGUACAUCCUCCACGGGAUGGAUCUGGAGUACCAGCCCCUCGUCUCCGCCCUCGACACCCGUGUUAGCCCCGCCUCCCUCGACGAAAUCUUCUCCAUGCUCAGCAACUUUGACCAGCGCAUGGCGCGGUUCCAUAGCUCGGGCGGCGGCAGAUUCAAGUCCUCCGCAAACGUCGCUACCCGUGGACGUGGCGACGGCUCUCGCUACCGCGGUCCUUCCCGUGGCAAGGGGAGGUCUGGUGGCGCCAGGACUAGCAGCGGUGGUGGGAUCAGUGGCGGUGGCAGGCGUGGCAACAAGGGUCGCCGUGGUGGCGACUCUGGUAGAACCCGCCCGGACACGCCGCGCUGUCAGAUUUGUGGCAAGCCGGGGCACACUGCCAAAGACUGUUGGUACCGCUAUGAUGAAGACGAGGACGACUCUCAAGAUGAUGGAAAGGUCGCUACGGCGGCUGAUGGCUCCUACGGUGUUGAUACCAACUGGUACCUCAACAGCAGCGCCACUAAUCAUCUCACCGGUGAGCUUGAAAAGGUGACUCUCCGUGAGAAGUACCACGGCAAGGAUGAGAUUCACACCGCCGAUGGUGCAGGUAUGAGAAUCAGUCACAUUGGUCAUUCGGUUAUACAUACCCCUCGUCGUAAAAUUCAUCUUAGGAAAAUUUUGCAUGUUCCUAGUGCCAACAAAAACCUCCUUUCCGUUCAUAGAAUUGCACUUGACAACCAUGUCUUCAUUGAAUUUCAUCCCUUUUUCUUCUUGAUCAAGGAUCAGGCCACGAGGAAAACCCUAUAUCGAGGUAGAUGUGUUCGAGGACUCUACCCGUUGCUUCCGGAGUUUAGAAGACACAAUAAACAAGCCUAUGCUGUUGUCAAGCUUUCUUCAACAUGGUGGCAUGAUCGUCUAGGAUAUGCUUCUUUUUCUUUAGUUGAACAUUUGCUUAGGAAGAAUAAGCUCAUGUUUGUUGGUGAGCGUCAUGUUGAAACUGUUUGUGAUUCAUGCCAAAGAGCAAAAAGUCAUCAAUUGCCUUAUCCUGUUUCUACUAGUGUUUCUACUCAACCUUUGUAAUUAAUCUUUUCGGAUGUCUGGGGUCCUGCUCCUUGUUCGGUUGGUAGACACACAUAUUACGUAAGCUUCAUUGAUGACUAUACCAAGUUCUCAUGGAUCUACCUUCUCAAGAAACGAUCCGAUGUUUUUCAAGUUUUUCAAAACUUCCAAGCACUCGUUGAAAGAAAUUUGACAGCAAGAUCAUUGCAGUCCAAUCUGACUGGGGGGGAUACGAAAAAUUAAAUUCCUUCUUCCAAACCCUUGGCAUACCCCAUCAUGUUUCAUGCCCUCACCCUCACCAACAAAACGGCUCUGCCGAACGCAAGCACCAACACAUAGUUGAAGUUGGUCUAGCUCUCCUAGCCGGUGCUUCCAUGCCCCUCAAGUUUCGGGACAAAGCCUUUCUUACCAUCGUCCACAUAAUCAACAUGCUUCCUAGUCGUGUCAUCAACAACGAAACUCCCAUGGAAAAACUCCUUCACAUCAAACCAGACUACAAGUCUCUCCGUGUGUUUGGUUGUGCUUGUUGGCCCAACCUUCGUCCAUACAACAAUUGAAAGCUCAUAUUUCGAUAAAAACAGUGUGUUUUUCUUGGGUAUAGUGCCCAACACAAGGGUGUCAAAUGUCUAUAUGUAUCCACUGGUCGCAUCUAUAUUUCACGUGAUGUUGUUUUUUACGAGACCAAGUUCCCAUUUGUUGACCUUCACCCCAAUGCUGGUGCACUCCUUCGCAAAGAGAUCCUACUUCUCCCUUCUCAUCUCACUAGUUUUGAUCAAGGGGGCGAUAAUUGUAAUGAUCAAGUGUUGACUGGCCCUCUUAAUACCACAUAUGAGCCUGGUGAUGAUGCAGGAGAAGGCACAGAAAAAAACAGCAGUCAAGAUGGUGAAGAAAUGCGCUCUACAGAGCCAUAUUUCAUGUGUCCAGGUGAAGGGAACAAGUCCCCUUCGGGAUCCGUGCUGCCAGGCGUGUCAGCCGCAUCAUCCUCAGGAGACCGCGCAGACGCGUCAGGGCGGCCACGCGAAUCUGCACCAGAAUCCGCGCCAGCCUCGUCAGGCGUGGUCGGGAGCGAGCCAUCGAGCGGCGACUCCGAGCCAGCCACGCGGCGCCCUGUGGCUGGGGAACACGCCUCCUCUGCUCCGCGCCAAUCACGCAUUUGAAUAUUCAAGCGUUUGAAUAUUUUUAAUAAAGUAUUGCAAAUGUUAAUCAAGCAAUUGAAACUUGUUAAGGCCUUGUUCGGUUUGGCAGGGUUUGAAGAGGUUUGAAAGGAUUGAAGGGGAUUAAAUCUCUUGCAAGUCAAAAUCCUUCUCAAACCUCGCCAAUCCCCUUCAAUCCAUGUGGCAAGGGGAUUAACCGAACAUGGCCUCAAUGUGUAUAGAAAAAAUGGUUGCCAUGUAAACAAAUAAUUAAUAAAAAAUAUACAAUGUGUAGGAAACGAAUGUUGAUGGUGUAUUUAAAAAUGUUGAUAAAUAAUUAUAAAUUUAUCAAUGUAACAAAAUAAAUUUCUCAUGUGUUCAACAUUUGUUAGUGGUCAUAAUACUUUUUGCGCGCACAAUGCACAUUUCUUUUAUAAAUCAAGAACAUUUUUUUACAUUCUUAAUAUUAUAAAAAUACAUAAUUACCUUUCUUAAAUACAUUUUUAUGGUGUCUACUUUUACUUAAUGUGCAUAUUACAUUUUUGUAUAACUGAUCAGCAUUUUUAUAUACACGUUUAACAUUUUAAAAAAUAUGAUCAAUAUUUUUCCAUAUGAACAAAGCAAAGGCAAUAAAAACCAACUAAAACCUAAAUAGAAACAAAUGAAAUAAAAAUAAAAAAUAAAAAAACACCGCAGAAAGAAUAGAAAACAGCAAAAAUCGAGAAAAAAGGAAAAAUGAAAAAAGAAAGACACAAAUAGAAAAUAAAGAAGAAGAAGAAGAAGAAGAAGAGAAAUAAAAGAAAAAACAUCUAAAAACCAAUAAAGAAACAGAAACAGAUCAAAGAAAACAAAGAAAGCUAAAAGAAAUGAAGAAAUACACAUUCACCAGUGACGCGAUCAUGAGCGGGCAUUUUUUUGUUUUGUUUUGAGAAAUGGACCUCCUAGUUGCUACACGAGAGAGUUAUUCCUUCCGGGUAAAGAAGCUACGAACUCGGGUGAAGCAAGACAUAGCUCUCGCGGGAAAAGAGAGCUCCUCGUUGGCGCGUUAAGCGAGGCGCACCUAUGUAUCGCUUGAUACGAGAUGAAACAUGCGACCGCUUAGGGGUCGCAAUACAUGGUUCGGCCCAGAUAGGUUCCAGGUUAGGUCAUCCUUUUUCAUGUGUUUCUACUUUUUUCGAAAAUAUUGUAAACAAAUAUAUACAAAAACAUAAAAAUUGUUACUAAAAAUAGGAGCUGCAAUUUGAAAAUGUUAAUGAAAUGUAUGUUAGCUUAAUUAAAAGAAAUAUUGGUAGCGUACAAAAAAUAUGACAUUUAACAAAUAUUCACGUGUUUCAAAAGUAGUAUGUGACUUUAUAACCAUGUAUUUCAAAAAUCUUAAAUUUGUAUGUAGACUCUUCUUUAUUUACACAAAAAAUGUACAAAUGUGUACGUAAAAAGUAGACAUAAAUGACAUAUAUUUGGAAAAUGACACUUCUGUAUUAGAAAAAUAUUAAAUAUGCAUCCAAAAUGUUCUUGAUGUAUAAUAAAUUGUACAAUACGUAUAAAAAUCUACAUAUAAACAAUUAUUUGAAACAAAAAAAUUAAUCAUGUAAAUUUGCCCGUCUCCGCGAGAUCAAUUUGUGGUUCCGAACAACGAGCUCGCUCAACGCAGAAGCCAUGGCGGUGGUUGAGGCGCUAGACAAGGAGGUAGUGUCAAGGUGUUUCCCUGGUAACAAGAGCAACCAUGGUGGUUCUCUAAAUAAUGGAGGAGGCAGAGUCAACAGAUCCCUCCAAGCAAUUCAAGUGGGCGGUGUUCAGGUCCCUUACCACAAUUUUCCUUGCGUCUGUGGAGGUGGUAAGGGUGUUACCGACAUCAAGAAGCAGUUCGAUGCUGAUUGUGAUUUCAGAUGAGGAGCUUGAGCUGCAGCGGGUGAAGAAGAAGGGCAUGGUGGUGAGUUUCCCACACGGCUCCGCCAGGCUCCAUGCCCUCUCCGCGCAGAGUAGGUGUCUCCCCGGAUGGUAGCUGCUUCUAGUUGGUGGCCGCGGAGGAUUGCGACUAGGCUGAUGCUGGAGAGGGUUGCCCGCCGGAUAUCUCAGGCAUAUUUCUAUCUGCUAAAUAUUUGCAUUCUGCUUCACAUAUUAGUGAUGGUAGAAAUGUUUUGGGUUGGAAUAAAAUUCAAUUGAAACUGAAAAAGAAACAACAUAAAUAAACACGUCCAGCUACAUGAUUCUAGAGUUUGUGAUUGGGAAAAUAAAGUUGAUGAAAAUUCGUCUUCUGUUUGUUAACCAUGUAUAAAAAUAUGCUUAUCAUGUGUAAAACAUUAUUUAGUGGCGCUAAUUGCUUUUGCACGCACAAUGCACAUUUUUUGUACAUCAAGUACAUUUUUUCUUAACAUUUUAUAAAUACAGAAUCAAUUGUUUAAAAAAUAUGCCGUCUACUUUUAUUUAAUGUACAUAGUAUAUUUUUGGUGCAAAUGAUCAGCAUUUUAAUAUAUACAUUUAACAUUUUUUAAACAUGUUCAAUGUUUUCCAUAAGGACGAAAAAGACAAAGAAACCACCUAAAACUGAAAAAGAAUCAAAUGAAAAAAUAAAAAUAAAAAAGAAAGAAAACCACCUCAAAAAGCAUAGAAAACAGGGAAAACCAUGAAAAAAAUGAAAACAGUGAAAACGAAAGAUACACAAAAAAUGAAAAAAAGGAUGAAUAAAUAAAAUAAAAAACAACUGAAAACCAAGAAAGAAACAAAAAAACAUGAAAGAAAACAAACAAGAAUAAUAAUAAAUCGAAUGGAGAAAAAAAUAAAAAUCGAUGGAAAAUAAAUAAACAAGGAAAACAGGCGAAGAAACAAAGAAAAAAAGAAGUAAACGGACCUUGCCAGUUGCUACGCGAGAGAUCUAUUUGUUCAGGCAAGAGAAGCUACGAACUGAAGUGAAGCGAGAUAUAGCUCUCGUCGCACACGAGAGUUCUUGGUCGGCGGAUUAAGCAAGACGGAGCGUGCAAUAGCUUUGGUGUCAGCUAUACAUGGUUCGGCCCAGAUAAGUUCCAGGUUAGUUCGUCCUUUUUAUGUGUUUCUCCUUUCUUUUGUUCUUAUUUUGAAAAAUGUUGUAAAUAAAUAUAUACCAGAACAUAAAAUUUAUUUAAAAAUAUAAAAAUGUUGAAUGUGAAUGUACUAAAUAUGUUAGCUUAAUUCAAAAAAAUAUAGGUAGCGCACAAAACAAUUGUGACAUUUAACAGAUAUUCACGCGGUUCAAAAAAAGUAUGCAACUUUAUAACCAUGUAUUUCCUAAAUGUUAAACGUCUAUAAAAAAACUCUUCUUUAGUUACGCAAAAAAUGUAGAAUUGUGUAUGAAAAAAGUAGACAUCAAUAACAUAUAUUUGAAUUAUGUUACUUUUGCAUUUAAAAAAUGUUAAACAUGCCUAAAAUAUGUUCGUGAUGCCUAAAAAAUGUUGCGAUGAGGAUGGCUGUCAUCUCGCACCCGCCGACUGCUUGAACAGCUAGCGUCGCUGAGCUUGAGGAACCCCUUGUAGGGACCAAAGCAGACAACCUUGACGUUGCUGGCCUCCGUCGGCAUAUCAACAAAGCGCGACGCUUUCACUGUCGGACCAAAUCAGAGAUGGAUUAGGUCUAAAAUAUAUAUUUCUUGGUUAAAGGAAAAACAUGUAAUAACUGAACUCGCACUUAAGAAUUAAUCAACAUGUUGAUUCCACCGAAGCAUGCAUGCCUCCUGGAUGCUGAAACACGACUCACUGACUAUAAAAGCAGAGGACUCACUGACUAAGUACAGGAGCGAGUGACCGACUCUCGGCUCGGGUGAGGAUAAAAAAGAUCACCUGCUGCUGCUGGUUAUUGGUAAAAUCCAUGUGAGUGCUUGAUAAAAAAUUAUGGAACAUUGUAUAUGUUGUUACACAUAAAUGUUGGGAUAAAAAGAAUCAUCUUGGUACACUGCCUAGUCUUUUGGUGGACAGAAGAUUGUAUGGUGCAAGAAGCUAUUCAGAUACAACAACACUGGGCUACAUGACAGGAAUGGUGUACACGCCCCAAGGGCCAGCAGGCAGCAGCAAACCAGGUCAAGAUGAGAUGGUCUGGGCCUAGGAUGUUGAUUCAGAGAUGCCUGACUCGACGCCAAGCAGCAGCCACCCUACACCGCAGGCCCCGGCAGUUCUCGACCGAGAGCGACUGCGGCACAGUUCAGUUGUAGAAGCAAUCACAUGCCAUUCCCCCAGCAGAGCAGAACAGAGCAGAGCAACAAUCAGGGAUCAGGCCUGUCAUUGAAUAGAAGCUGAAUGACCUUCAGCUUCAGCUCCGGCAGGCCUGCCUCCGCUCACGGACUAGCCUCGGUAUUUCCUUCCAUGUCUUCGGUUUCAAUGGUUUGAAUUCCGUUACUGCACAUACCAAAAACGAUGUCAGAAAAAGCUUGCACAAAUUAAUGUGUUAUAUCAAAAUAUAUAGCAUGAUGGCAUUCAAAUAAUGGAGAAGAAACUUCUGCAAACGUGUUAGACCAUUAUGUACAAGGGAUGGAACGGAUGACUGCAUCUGUUUGUUAAAUGUGGCAAAGAUAGAAGGACGUGCUGCAAGCAUACCUUCAUAGCAGGCAUCUAGUCGUUUGCGGCUGAUGCUGCCCAGUUGCUGCUGCAGGCAUCUAGGGAGCUUCUUUAUAGCAGGGCAGCCUCUAAUUUGAAGAUACACGAGAGACCUGUAUACUUGCAGCUCAUUCGGCAGGGAUGCCAGGGUACUGCAUCUGUCAAGAUAAAGGACAUCCAGCGAUGGGGGGUGCUCUCCCGACAGACACUCCAGCGAUGUCAGCCCACUGUUUCCCAUAAUCUGCGGUCCCUUGAGGGGUGCAGGUAGACGGAGAGUCCCACCCAACAUGCCAGCACAGUCCACUAUUACUAGAGAUUCGAGAUGGGGAGGAAGUAAAUGCUCUCUUGCAGUUGGUGUUGCUGCUGCUGGUGGCUGUGGCAUGAUAGGACUUCUGCUUAUGGAGGUAGUGACUUCUGGUUUCUGGAGCCCACCCAGCUGGCAUGAUAGGACUUGAAUACUACUACAGCUAGCAAUACGAAUGUACUUUAAAGACGGAGGAAGGUUCAGAACCGCUGGUAAGCUUCCACAUCCAGAUAAAAGUAGAUCUUCUAGGCAUGGACAAAAGUGAUUCAUGGGUGAGGAUGGCAACUCUGAUACAGCUGCAGCCCUGAUUGCCUCACUGCUAGAAGAUACUUGGACUAACUCUGCCAUGCCCUGCUGCUUGCUGAAUAUGGAGUCAAGCUUAAUGCACCUAUCAAAAUUCAUUUUCUUGAGAGAUGCCGGGACGUUGAACAUCUCUACUAAACUUGGGCAGUUUUCUAAGCAAAGAGACUCUAGACCUCUCAGGUGCUGACUCCUUUCGGACGCCAAUGGCUCAAGAGGAGCUUGUGCAUAUCCAAUCAGAUUUUCACAGUUUGUAAUCGCCAAGCUCCUCAAGGACACCAAGCUUUGGAACACUUUCUCUGGCCAGUGGACGAGCACAUCGCAUCUAUCAAUUUCCAACUUUUCAAGAUCUACAAAAUACUCACACGGCUCUAAUGCACCCGAUCCAAAGAACAAGUUGCAGCAUCUUAGCUCCAUAACUGUAAGAGGGGAUUUCUGGUUCCAUUUCUCCUUGCUGUCCACCAAUACAAUUGAAGUGCACUCAACCUCUGAUGUUGUUUCUGUGUUUUCUAGCUUCAGUAUCAGAUUGGUCAAUGAGGGCAAAUAUCUAUCUACAGAAUCGGAGAUCUCUUGCUUGCCAUCUUCAAUUUCUAAUACACUGAGUUUUGGUGCUUCAGGCAAUGCUACCAGUUUUGGGCAUUUCUGGACUGACAAUUUCUCAAGGUGGGGAAACAAUGUACCUUCGACUGCAUCCCAUCUCUGAAAGCUCCCCAACCAUUUCAUUUUGAGCACCUUUAAGGCAGGAAAGGCUGAACGUACCAAUCUAUAACCACCUUCACUACAUGGUUCUUGAAGCAAUGGUGCUUCAGGUAACGCUGUCAGCUUUGGACAUUUCUCAAUUGAUAGUUCCUCCAGACAAGGAAACACUAUCUGUUCUCCUUGAGUCUCUUCGACUGCAUCCCAUCUCCGAAAGCUCUCCAACUCUUUCAUUUUGAGUACCUUUAGGGCAGGAAACGCUGAGCGUACCAAUGUAUAACCACCUUCACCACAAGGUCCUUGCAGCAAUGGUGCUUCAGGUAAUGCUACCAACUUUCCACAAUUACUAAUAAACAACUUCUCAAGCACAGGAAAUAUUGUUUGUUCUUCUUGCCUCUCAUCUAUUUCCCACCAUCUUACAAAACCCAACAAACGUUCUAGCAUUAGUACCUUCAGUUUUGGAAAAGUGAAGCUUGCACUGCAUCUGAACAAAACUUGCAAUCUUUCACAAUGGAAAAGAUGGAUCUCAACCAUGUUUUGCAGCAUACCCAUGCACUCUCCUCCAUAGGAAUAUAUCUUCAGAACCUGCAACCCACCAUGUGGUUCGAAAUUGUCGAGCACCAUGCUGUCACAAACAGAAUUCCAUCUUAAUGUCAGUUCUCUGAGAUCCUUCUUGUUUCCAAGGUUUGCCACUUUUGCCUCUGCCUCUAUAACAUUCUCUAUCUGACAUAGCUCUAACUGACCACCAAGGUUUAAAUGCUGCAGCUCUGCAACAUCACUGCAAUCAGUGCCAGUAACUGCUGCUGCAAAAAAUGUAAGCGUCUGCAGCUUAGUGAGUUUUCCUAGUUCUGGUGGCAUGCUCUUCAAGUUGCGACAUCCAAGAGUGUAGAGGUGACGGAGGGAAGUCAUAUACUUCAUUUGCCUCGGAAGUCGAUCAAGAUGAUAGCAGUUGGAAAGGUCUAACGUUUGCAGGUUAUAUAGAAUACUUAUAUCUUCAGGAAGUGCUUUGAUAUCACUGUCUGAGAGAUCAAGGUACCUCAGGUGAUACAGAUACAUUGAUUUCAGAAGAAAUGAUUCUGUGCCUCUAAUACAGAGCUUUAAGGCAUGCAAAGAGCUAUAUUUUGAUAGAUGCUUCAAUGAGCUUCGCACAUGGCUAUCACAUAUCAGUGUUUGAAUGGCAGGGGAUUUUUUCUCCAGAGCAUCAUUCAAAAUACCUUCUGUUUCUUCACAUGACAAGAACAAAUGCCGAGCAGUAUCUGGAAGCCACUCGGUUUGCCUUGGUUCCAUAGUUGCAACAACUCAUUCCUCUUCCAUAACAGACAUUGCAAUAUCAUGCAUAAGAUCAUGGAUUUUACAUGUAUUUCUGGAAUAAUACUCCCAGUCUUCUUUACUCUUCUCUAUAUCCAGAAAGAAUGACCUUGAAGCAAGCUCAUCAAAAAUAAGUUGUCCAAUGGUUUCAAGACUAUCUUCCUUGUGUUCAGGGAUAAAGCCAUUUGUGAUCCAUAGUUGGAUCAGCUUUGCUACAUCAAUCUUGUAAUCCUUUGGAAAUACAGCACAAAAAGCAAAGCACUGCUUCAUGUGCGAUGACAAGUCAUUGUAGCUAAGCUUCAAUAUUGGCAAGAUUCCAGUUUCCUCAGUGCAAAUGCUGCUUCUAGAUGCUAUAGCCUUCCAUUCUUUCACGGUGGUCUUGGUACGAAGUACAGAGCCCAGUGCACUUGCAGCUAAAGGAGAGCCACGACAUCUGUUCACAAUCUGAUCAACCAUCUUGACUAGCUCAACAGGCUUUUUUUUUCCGGAACUGAAUGCUCGAGCCUCAAUAAUUUCCUUUAAGAAUAUAUCAUCCAAACGACCGAGAAUGUGGGUAUCUGCACCCAUAAUUUCAGCAACUCCUUUAUCACGAGUUGUUGUCAGCACCGCACUACCCAUGACACCAUGCUUAAGAUGGUCCUUCAGCCUUUCCCACUUAUGGACUUCUCUGUUCCAGACAUCAUCUAAUACAAGGAGAUACCUCUGCCCGGUGACCAAUUUCUGAAGUCUCUCUAGUUGUGGUUUGUUUGUAUGAUAAUUUUUCUUGGGAGAUGCUUCAACUAUACUCUUGGCUAGGGAGUUCACAUCAAAGAUAUCCGAGACACAGACCCACAGCAACAACUGGAAAUGCUUCUGAAUUCUAGGUUCAUUGUAUAUGAGCUGUGCUAAUGUGGUCUUACCAAAGCCCCCCAUUCCAACGAUGGCAACCACUGCGAGAUCAGCACUAUUAGCUUGGCGAAGUAGUCUACCAACAACUUCCACCUUAUCUUUGUCUCUGGAUCUGCUAGCAAUGUCUUGCAGGUCGGUGAUAACAGAAUCCGUCUGCCUCCACUGCUUGGACACGGGUGGCUGUGGUCGGUACUUGAACCUAAAGGCAUGCAUCUCUGCUAUGAGCACAUCAAUGGCCUUCAGGAUCCGGCAAAGCUUGCGACCCAUUUUGUAACGGAACACAAUACAGUUGUGAGUAGGGAAGAGUUUAAUUACAUCGAAGCCGAGCUUGCUGUAGUGCCCCUUCUUCCUGGCUUCACGACGGAGUGCUUCGUACUUGAAUUCGUCAAACACUUCAUUUGCCUCAUAUGCCACCGUCUUGAGCUCCUGGAGCCAGGUUUUGGCCCCAUCUCUAUGCUCCGUCGCCUGCUUCUCGGCGUCGGUCAUGACGUCGAGGAUGGCCGGAAGCUUGCGUUUGAGAAUCUUGUGCUGCUCCUCCAUUCCCUCCAUCACCUUGUACUGGUCCAGGAGGGAGUUGCCCGCCUUGUUCACCAGCAUGGACACCAGCGGCCGGAUGGCCAUGGCGGCCACCACCUCCGCCAUUGGAACGCCCACACGAUUGGCACAGCAACACGAAGCAGUGUGGAAUGGAGAAUGGAAUGGUGUGAGCAAGACGUGCUUGCUUUGCUAGUAAUGAAACUGGAAGCCAAGGUGAGUAUUGACUUUCUGGGAGCGAAGUGGAUGAGCUCGCGUUACGGGAACCAAUCACAACUAUCCAAUCCUGAACAGCUCAGCACUGGGCAUUGUUUUUGGGCUGAUGCAUAAUAGGACAAUCAGCAUACCACAUUAACAGCUGGGGGCAUCUUCAUUUCUUAAUGAGACACAACCAGAGUGCAAGACGACGCGGGCAACCAUAAUAUUGCAAGUAGAUCAUUGUAUUAGGUAUUUGUGUCAGUACAUCCAAUCCAGUUUUUCAAAAGUGACGUUUCACUGGCUGUGACCUUAGCAGAUGGUACGAAUUUCCUUAACAAAUACAAAGAGUUGCAGGAAUGCAAAUUAAAUAAUUACUUCCACUGGCUAGACGUGUGACAGCACACCUACUGCCUAACUACAGCAUAUACUUAUCUCAAGUGCCUGCCGCCCAGGGAGACCAGAAUAAUGGUGUUCUUGGAUUAGUUGAACCUUCAAUGCAUCACUACUUAUCACCGAAGCAUUAUUUUAUUGUUCUUUUUUUUUUGGAAUGGCCUCUAAGUAUGAUUGAGUACAGGAUUGAUCUCAGAGCAAACAUAAUCGGCUGGCAGAGAAUUAUGUCUUGUUCAUAUAGUCUGAUGCAAUUUUGUGGUUACACACUCCUCAGUUUUUAUAACUAAAUACAGAAUUUUAAUCUGUUGACAGAUCAGACAAACGUAGAAACAGUUAGCAAGAGCCCCAAUGAGAUUAUAUGCAGCAUCAUUUUAAUCGGAAAGCAAUUGCCCUCAUGAGAUCAGCAACCAUACACAGUGCCAAUAAAAAAAGGUGGCUCGUACUAACGACGCAGGUUUCAAAUUAAUCAAGUGGCUAAACCGAGGCAUCGACAGCCAUAUGGGACAAUGUGCACUUCAGUUAGAAAAUGAACACUUGCAGGCAGUAAAAUAAUUUAUGUCAGUACACCCACGAUAUUGCAAAUAGAGUAUUAAUUACGUAUUUGUGUCAGUACAUCCAAUGCAGUUUUUCAAAAGUGACGUCCCAUUGGCUGUGACCUUAGCAAAUGGUACGAAUUUUCGUUCUAAGUACUACAAAAAGUUGCAGGAAUGCAAAUUAAACAAUUACCUCCCAUGUCUAGACGUGUGAGAGCACACCUACUGUGCAACAACAAAAUAUAUUUCAUCUCGGGCACUUACCGCACAGGGAGGACCACAAUAUUGGUUUUCGUGAAUCUAAAAUACAUCACAUGCUUCCUGCUGAAGAGGGAAGACCCGGUGGCAAGUGGUUAAUUUCUUGUCCUUUUUUAAUGACACCUCUAACUAACAUUGAAGGGGCAUGAUUGAUCUCAGAGAUGAGCAUAAUAAGCUGGCAGAUGACCAUCCCUUGCUCAUAUGGACAAAUGAUACACUUAAUAUACUGAUAUGAUAAAAUACAACUUGACAAUCUCCUGAUAUUCGACGAUGAAAGAUAUGUAUGAGUAUGCGAUUCAAUUUGGUGGGCUUAAUAUGUUCCGUUAUUGAGAGACAGUGAAAAGCGGAAUAAAGGGCAGGGUGGAAUUCUCUAUAUCAGGUUAAGGAGAUCGUCUUAACUAACUAAAAUCAGAUGAAGCCUAACUUUGCAACCAUACGACGGAAGCAACAAAAAUAAAGACAGGGAGCCAGAACAGAACAAAGAUAAAUUCCAGUGCCCUUUUAUUGAUCACUGCCUAUGGCCAUAUAGAUGAGAUCUGGGACUCGGCCAGCUGAAACAUUCCUCUAGAAAGCACAUUUCCGCUGAUGCACAUAUGAAAUACGACAGUACAAAGCAGAAUAAACACUGAGAUUAUACAGAUGAUUGGACGCUGUAACUAAGUUGGAUAUCGCGGCGCGCAUAGGCGGAAAUGAGAGAGAAACGGAAUGUCCAAAGCCACAAAUGUACAUCGCUGUCAGGCUACCCAGCUGAAUCCUGCUUCCUGCUGACCCUCCUGAUUCACGCAGACGCAGCUAGCAUGGAGAUGGGCACGCCUCUCGAAUUCAUGUGAAUCGAAUCGCUGGAAGAGACGGACGGACAGGAUCAAUACCUUUGUGUCGACGGGGAGGGGAGGCCGGAGUGGCUGCCGUCGACGUACGGCGCGCAGCCGACGGGGGAGCUCCGGGACCUUCUUGUCGACACCAUCUGCAAUGGAAGUAAAAAAGAGCUGUUAGAAGAGGAUACGAGAGAGGCUCACGGUAGGAAGGAAUGGGGAAGGGGGAUGAGUGAGUACCUCGAGCGGCCGCGGUGGUGGUGGGCGGGCGGAUGCGGAGGGUGGGAGGGAGGCUGACACCUCCGCCGCCACAGACGUACGUGGAGCGGCCACGGGCGUUGCGUUCUGGUAGAGGCCACGGGCAGUGGGGUCCGGGAGACGUCGUGCGCCGGCGAGGAGGACGGGGAAGGGGAGACGAAGACGACGCGGAUCGGCGGAGUGUGGGCUGGGCUUGUGACGUUGGGGCCUCCGAAAACUAUAGCCCAGUUCGAAUUGGUGCCCUAACACACACAGCGCUUACGUCGGCUAAAUCCUAUUUGGCGCCUUCAGCGCCCGCUAUAGGUCUUUCGGCCGGCCCAGUUUCGACAUUUUUUCUGUGUUUCCAAAAGGCAAAAAGGGCGCUAGAGCUGGGUAUCGAAAACGCUACAACCACUCAACCACACCCCUUGGUGUGAUUGGUUACAUGUUUUCUCGUCUUUUCUUAUGCUUCUUUUCCUUUUUAUUCCUUUUUUUCUUUCUUUUUUCAAAUUCGCAAAACUGUUUCUUCAUGAAUAUUUUCUGCAAAUCGAUGAACUUUUCUCUUUGAAUUUGAUGAUUUUUUUCGAAAAAUUUGAUGAACGUUUUUUCAGAUCCGAUGAACUUUUUUUUGAAUUCCAUGAACUUUUUUCAAAUUCGAUGAACUAUUUUUCGAAUUCAAUGAACUUUUUCUGAAUUCGAUGAACUUUAUUUCGAAUUCAAUGAACUUUUGAUCGAAUUCGAUGAACUUUUUUAAAUUUGAUGAACUUUUUCAAAUUCUGAUGAACUUUUUGAAAGGACAAGAGUACAUACCGUAGCAAAACGGUUUGUUUUUUCCAAGAAAAUCAGUACACACUGUAGCAUUUUUUGAGCGAGAGAAAUAAAAAAGUGAUCGAGCGGUAGCUAGCGACCGAGCGGCGACAGCAGCGAGCGUUGCUGGGCCAGGCCCAUGCAAGCGACGCAGUGGGCGCCGUGUUCACUCGCUCCACCUCUGCAUUGAUGUCUCUAGCUUGUAGCAAUUGCCAUCCUUUACAUGUAAAGAGGAUUUGAUGAGUCAUGUCAUGCUCUAUAGGCGUCAGUUCAUCUUAUCACCUUAGAGGAAAAUACAAAGUUAGUUUUUCGAAAAGCAACCGAGCCUAGAAGAACCGUACCCUCGACACGCAAGGCUUUAGCAUAUCUUAAUAGCCGAGACACGAUUGCGACUUGGUUCCACACAAGUUUCGUCUUUCUUGUUAAUGGCUGACAGCCCAUACAAGAUUCCAAACUCGGUUGCAAAAGUGAUACUAUCCUGAUAAGUGCGUGACAUGUAAAGUGAAUAAGGUGAUUCAUCUAUAGCAAACUUUAGGAUUUCUAUACUUUGUGUAUAAUCAUAUGCACAACUAAAAAGCAACUUUGAUGAUCAAUCCAAAAGUACGCUUGUAGCUAGUGCAACCUAACACAAUGUACCAAAAAUCCAUUUCAGAAACAUCCAAACAUAAUUAUUAAAGCUGAUGGAAAGAAGGAAAGAGAUGGUGCCCGGGCUACUAUAAAUAGGCAUGAAGUAUCAAGAUCAUCACAGGCACAAUCAUCAAAACCAAGCAAUACUAGUUAACACCAAUCCACCAUGAAGACCUUCCUCAUCUUUGCUCUCCUUGCCAUUGCGGCGACAAGUGCCAUUGCACAAAUGGAGACUAGCCGCGUCCCUGGUUUGGAGAAACCAUGGCAGCAACAACCAUUACCACCACAACAACAACCACCAUGUUCACAGCAACAACAACCAUUUCCACAGCAACAACAACCAAUUAUUAUACUGCAACAAUCACCAUUUUCGCAGCAACAACAACCAGUUCUGCCGCAACAGCAACCAGUUAUUAUACUGCAACAACCACCAUUUUCGCAGCAACAACAACCAGUUCUACCACAACAACCACCAUUUUCACAACAACAACAACAACAACAACAACAACAACCACCAUUUUCGCAGCAACAACAACCAGUUCUACCACAACAACCACCAUUUUCACAACAACAACAACCACCAUUUUCGCAGCAGCAACAACCAUCUUCACAACAACCACCUUUUCCACAACAACACCAACAGUUUCCACAACAACAAAUCCCUGUUGUUCAACCAUCCGUUUUGCAGCAGCUAAACCCAUGCAAGGUGUUCCUCCAACAGCAGUGUAGCCAUGUGGCAAUGUCGCAACGUCUUGCUAGGUCACAAAUGUGGCAACAGAGUAGUUGCCAUGUGAUGCAACAACAAUGUUGCCAACAGCUGCCGCAAAUCCCCGAACAAUCCCGCUCUGAGGCAAUCCGUGCCAUCGUCUACUCCAUCAUCCUGCAAGAACAACAACAGGGUUUUGUCCAACCUCAGCAGCAACAACCCCAACAGUCGGGCCAAGGUGUCUCCCAACACCAACAGCAGUCGCAGCAGCAGCAGCAACUCGGACAGUGUUCUUUCCAACAACCUCAACAACUACAACAAUUGGGUCAGCAGCCUCAACAACAACAGAUACCACAGGGUAUAUUCUUGCAGCCACACCAGAUAUCUCAACUUGAGGUGAUGACUUCCAUUGCACUCCGUACCUUGCCAACGAUGUGCGGUGUCAACGUGCCGUUGUACAGCUCGACCACUAUUAUGCCAUUCAGCAUUGGCACUGGAGUUGGUGGCUACUGAUAAGAAAAGAUUUCUAGUAAUAUAUAGUCGUUAGAUCACCGUUGUUUAGUCGAUGGAUAUGUCGAUGUAGCGGUGACAAAUAAAGUGUCACACAAACGUCAUGUGUGACCCGCAAACUAGUAGUUAAAUUCUGGAAUAAAAUACAAAUAAAGUUUUCUCUAGACAAUGUUCAUACCGGCGUUCUGUGGACGUCGAUGUGACUACCAUGCUUGCAAGUUCAUAAGUUCGUCUUGUCUGGUCACAAACCUGGUGCGUUAAUUUAUUAUUCAUGUAUAGAAAUAAUCAAAAUUUAAAUAUAAUAGUGUUAUUGUAAAAUUUUGGUUGAGUUGAAGCAAGGACUAACAUACAACUCUUUAAUGGUUGGAGAUUCAAGAUCUUAUUUUUAUUGGUUUGUAUCUGGUUCCAACUACCACCAUGGUCUACAGUGACAACCACAACUGGUUUGAUCGUUAACUCUCUUUGCUUGGUUUUUUUGCAAAUAUGUUCAUUGAUUCUUUGCACAAUUUUUUUGUCAAGAAAAAGGUCAGCUUUUGCUUGAACUUCACACACACACACCACUACAUAGUUAAUUCGAAAUAAGUUGCUGGUGAUGUCCUAGACCAGCUAGCACAGUCAGUGUGUGUGGGGAGGGGGAGUUGUUGCAUGCGUAUUCUUCGCGCAUUAUUUUAUUUUGUUCUUUUGAUGCUCUUACACCAUACCACAUUUUUACUUGAUGGAAAGCAAAAUAAACAACGCAGCUAGAAACCAUAGAACUUGAUACUGGGUGUGUGUCAACUUCACAUCCUCCUCCUUACGUCAUUUCAAUUGGAAAGCAAUAGCCCUCAUGAGAUCAGAUAUCCAUACAUAAUGCCAAAAUAAACAAGGUGAUGGCAUUAACGAUGCAAGUUUUAAAUUAGUCAAAUGGCUAAACUGAGGCACCGGCAGCCAUAUGAGACAUCCACGAGCAUGUAAUCCAUCUUAUUGCAAGUAGAGCACUGUAUUAUGUAUUUAUGUCAGAACAUCCAGUGCAGUUUUUCAAAAUGACGUUCCAUUGGCUGCAACUAGCAAAUGAUACGAAUUUUCUUUCCAAAUACUACAAAAAGUUGCAGGAUUGCAAAUUAAACAAUUACCUCGACUGACUAGACGUGAAACAACACACCUGCUGUGCAGCAACAACAGAUAAUUCAUCUCAAGCACCUACCCAGCAGGGAUUAGUUCUCGUGAAUUCAUGGAAUUUAGAAUGCAUCACAUGCUUACUGCUGAAGAGACAAGACCCAGAAGCAAGUGGUCACUUUCUUGUCCUCUUUAAAUGACACCUGUAAUUAAGAUUGAGUACAUCAUCGAACUCAGAAGUGACCAUAAUCUGCUGGUAGACCAUUAUUUCUUGUUCAUAUGAACAUACAUAAUACUUAAUAUACUGACAUGAUACAAGGCAACUUGACAAUCUCCUGUUAUUCGAAGAUGAAAGAUAUAUAUGAGUAUGCGAUUCAAUUUGGUGAGCUUAAUAUGUGCCGUUAUUGUGAAACAGUGAAAGACUGAAUAAAGGGACAUAUGGAAUUCUUUUUAUCAUAAUAACGAGUUUCUAAACACAGAACGAAAGCAACAAAAAAUAAAGACAGAGCGCUAAAAUUUCAGAGAAGUUUUUGAAGAUAUAAAAUGCAGUGCCCUUUUAUUGAUCACUGCCUAUAGCCAUAUAAAUAAGGUCUGGGACUCGGUUCGCUGCAACAAGCCUCUAGAAAGCACAUUUCCUCUGAUGCACAUAUGAAAUUUGAGAGUAAAACAUAAAAACGCCGAGAUAUACGGAUGAUUUAAUGAUGUAACUAACUUGGAUAUCCUUCUAGUGACCACGGAAUGGACAAAUUUUCUUCCGAGACGUCGAAAAGGGAUGGAACCUCCACACCCACUGCUUCUCCUUCACCUGCAUAGCGUGCGUAGGCGGAAAUUUGAUGAGUAUUUGAAGUGACAUCCACAUAGAGCAGGAGUUAUUCGGCUAGCAAAGUGCAAAUGUACAUCACUCUCAGGCUACAAGACUGAAUUCUGCUCGAUGAUCUUCCUGAUUCAUGCAGCGGAUAUGCAAAUGGGCGUGCCCCUUAAAUUCAUGUGAAUCAAAUUGCAGAAGAGACGGACAAACAGGGUUAAUAUAUACCUUAUUUCUUGUGUUGACGGGAUGGCUGGAGUGGCUGUCGUCGAUGUACGGCCCGCACUCGACGAAGAGCUUGAAGACCCUCUUGCGAAGACCAUCUGCGAGAGGAAGCAAGAGUUGAGGUCAGAAGAGGGUACAGUAGAGGUUGAGGGUGGGAAGGAAGGCAUCAACACUAGUAGAAAAAGGGCCUAAUGUGAAGCACAUUAGUCCCGGUUUGUAACAAAACCGGCACUAAUGUGUCCAUUAGUGCCGGUUCCAACGGCUAGGCGGGUGGAGCUAAAUUAGACUGAAUUGAACUUGUUCUUUAUAACUAGCUUGGGACAGAAAAAUUACUAUGAAAUGCACUUGAUUAUACUUGAUUUUAUGGGCUACAAAAAAUAUCAUCCAAAAAUGCUCUAAAAAACACGUUCUAAAGUAGGUUUGGCAGGAGAUGCGGCACAUUAUCAUUCAGAAAUUAGACCAAGAUAAAUGUGGAGUUGGCGGCUCAACACUCUAUAAGACUGUAACAGGUUGUCCCAGUGUCUCAGUCCUUUAGGACAUAGAUCCAGAAAAUGUAGAACUAACAUAUUAGCGGUUAGGAUCAUAUUUGCAAUGUGGGAACUUGGUGCGCUCGCUCCAACAUGCCUAGUGGAAGCAUGUGUCCUCUGAUGCACAUAUGAAAUAUGACUGGUACAAAACAUAAGAAACACUGAGAUUAUACGGAUGAUUGGAUGCUGUGGCUAACUUGUGCGUCGCUCCAGUCAACUGAGUGGACGAACUCGCUAAGAGCUUUCUUCUCGGAGAUCAAAGGGGACGGAACUUCCUAAGAGCUUUUGAUUCAACCUCCAUGCUAACUAACUACUUCUCCACCUGUUUAGUGGGCGUAGGAGAAAAUUUGAUGAGUAUUUGAAGUGACGUCCACAUAGAGCACAUAGCUAUAUUCAGUUAGAAAAGCCACAAAUGUACAUCACAUCCAGAUUAAUGGAGGUGGAAUGUGAAUGUGUGUGCCCUUAAAUUCAGGUGAAUCAAAUCGCAGAAGAGCCAGACGAAUAGGAUAGAUACCUUGAGUGGACGUGGAGGACGGAGUGUCUGCAGACAAUGUAUGGCCCACACCUGAAGGAGACCUUCUUGCCGAAAGCAUCUGCAAGAGGAAGUAAGAACAUGGUUGUUGACAUCAGAUUUUGGCAUGGUACAAAAAGCAAUUAAGAUUGCCCCAAAUGGAGAAGUGAUUUACAUGAAAAAGUUCCAUUUUGUCGACCUGAACAUCUUUGAAGUUUGUGCCAUCGCCAUCUAAUCUCAUCUCGAAGGCCAAAGUUAUGUUCGAAAUACUGAGAUUUUGUAUCCAGAGCACUGUUCGGCCGAUUAUGCCUCAAGGGAUGGUCACUUUCUACAUGAAUUGUCUUCGUCUCAUCAAAACGGUCGAUUUUGAUAAAAAUUCAUGUCAAUCCGAGGUUGUAUGUAAAAGUUAGAGCCACCCGAGUGCGGUCAUGAGCCAAAAGUGGCGAGUAAUAGUCUAUUUUGCACGAGCAAUUCGUCCCUGAAGUUGGCAUCUAUUCGAAACAUGUUUAACAUGAAUGUUGUUCGUCUCGGUGAAACGGUUAAAUUUGGUUCUUACACGAUUUUGAUCUGAGGUCAUUUACUACCCAAAAAAUGACCCGCAAGGUGAAGCCAAUUUUUAGAUCGAAUAGUUUUGGGAAGUUCGGAUCGAACAAUCCGAAUAGGAAUCAAAUUAGGGUUUUGGACAUGAAUUCUAACCUUUCCUUGCACGGGAAGUCCAUCCACCUCUUAUAUACAUGAGGGGUGACGGCCGAUUGAGAAACAACACACAAUCGCAAAACCCAUCUACAAACUUUCAUCUCCUAUCCUACUUUUCUGCUUCUCGUUCAUCAGUGUUCUUUGCUUCGGAGAGCUCUGAUCUAUGAAGUCCUAGGGGUGGGCGAACCAACCUAGGGCAGCCCAGCACUGUCGUGCGGCCAGACAGGGUCUCUUCCGACCGCGUGGGGUUUCGGGUCUUCAAAAGCGCUCGCCGGAUUGUAUUGCGUACCACUCUUCCGGUGAGCCUCCUUCGGCGAUGUGUCUUGCGUAUCGCGCUCGACGCCGAGGGUACACGGUGACGUGUUUGUGUGUGAACACACUUUUUGGCGACUCCGCUGGGGACCAAAGAGCAAUCAUCAUCAUCCAUCAUGGUCAAUCUUCCCAAGCCAUCUGAAGUGGAUGCCGAUAACAUCAACAAGCCCAAUUUUGAGGAAUUAUCGGCAGAACAUCGCCAAGCUUGUGAGUAGUACAAGAAGGCACGUGAAGGGAAGGAGAUGCAGGAGUUCCUUGCUAAGUUCAAAAAGGAUCGCCAAGGCAACAUCACUUCAAUUGAAGAAAUCAAGUUUCCUCCUCUUCACAAUGAGUAGGUAGAGUCGGCUGAAAUCACUACUCUUAUUGCUCAGAAUAAUGAUCGAAAAAAUACUCCUCAAUCAUCUAAUGGUAGAAAAUAAUACUGAUCGAAAAAAUACUCCUCAAUCAUCUAAUGGUAGUGGUAGUAUGUCUGCUGGUGUGGAAAACUUUAGUCCAAAUUUACCUAUUCCAGCGGUGCUGCCCAUGCCAUUGAAUUCUUAUCCCAGUCAGACAAACCAACUUGUUGCUCCACCAUUUAAUCCAGCCAGGAAUAUGCCAAGUUCAGUGAAUCCAACUGCAUUGCUAGGUUAUGGUUCGGCAAGUCCAAGUGGAUUGCUGCCGAACUAUGGUAUAACAUACACACCACCAUCUCUUCCGACUAGCACUAUACCAACUAGUAGAAAUCAUAUUCACCAUGCGCCACAACCACACGCAACGCCGCUCAAUACGAGUGAUAUUUUGGCUAAUGUCAGAGAGGAGAUGUCGAGGGUGUUCCGAGAGCAUUGCGGGAUUGAACUACCUCAACCACGAAUUUCUAGGAAACCAUAGCUAGAAAUUUUUGAUGUCGUGCCAUGUCCUCCCGGAUAUAAAGUUCCAGAUUUUGUUAAAUUUAGCGUAGAGGGAAGAAAGACUACAUGGGAGCAUGUUAGUCGGUACUUGGCACAAUUAGGUGAGGCAAGUUCACGAGACGAGUGGAAAGUACGUUAUUUUCCUUUAUCUUUAACCGGUACUGCUUUCCCGUGGUUUUCUGCAUUACCACCCGGUUCUAUUACUGCAUGGUUUCACUUGGAGCAAAAGUUUCAUGACCACUUCCAGAGUGGUGACAAUGAGCUUAAACUAUCCCAUCUUACAUCGGUUAAGCAAAAGCAUGAUGAAUCAGUCUUCGAUUAUGUCAAAAGAUUUAGAGAUACAAAAAACCGGUGCUAUAGUUUGGUGAUAACCGAGAGAGAUGUGGCUGAUCUCGUGCUUAGUAGUUUGAGAACUCACAUUAGAGAGAAGCUGGAAGGCUAUGAGUUUUCAAGUAUCAACCAUGUCUUAGAAAAGGGCUUUGGCUCAAGAAAGCCAAAGCAAAGAGUUUAAAGAGGUGCAUAGGUAUAACACUGAUCAUCCUAAGAUAAAUAUGAUUGAGUAUGAUGGUGAGCACUCGGAUGAUGAGGGUGAUAUUUAUGAUACUGAAUUUGUUUGGCCAUCUAAGGCCAAACCAUUUACUUGCAAUGAUAUAAAGCCAAUUUCAUAAGAAUCGUGAUGAAGAGAUGAAAAUUACUUUCAACAUUACUAAGUGUGAUAGAAUAUUUGAUGCUUUGUUGCAAGCGAACAUUAUUAGAAUAUCUCAUACUUUACCGCCGUUUCAAGAGCUGAAACGGCGUGCUUAUUGCAAGUAUCAUAAUUCUUUUUCUCAUGCCACUAACGAUUGUAAUGUUUUUCAACGACAAAUACAGCCGGCCAUUAAUAACGGACGAUUGAAAUUUUCUCAGAUUCCACUUGAUAAGCAGCCCUUUCCAAUGAACACCAUGGAUUUGGAGGGAAAAAGAUGUUAAUUCGGCCCGAUAUAGCCGAAUCAGCUAAUAAAAAUAAGAUUGUCAUUGGUGAGCCUCAGAAAAGCAAGGAAGACGACAAGGCCUUGGGGAGACAAGUUGUGCUUGACAAGCGACCCGGUGGCAAGGAGAUCAUUAAGAUCACCAUCAAGAANNNNNNNNNNNNNNNNNNNNNNNNNNNNNNNNNNNNNNNNNNNNNNNNNNNNNNNNNNNNNNNNNNNNNNNNNNNNNNNNNNNNNNNNNNNNNNNNNNNNNNNNNNNNNNNNNNNNNNNNNNNNNNNNNNNNNNNNNNNNNNNNNNNNNNNNNNNNNNNNNNNNNNNNNNNNNNNNNNNNNNNNNNNNNNNNNNNNNNNNNNNNNNNNNNNNNNNNNNNNNNNNNNNNNNNNNNNNNNNNNNNNNNNNNNNNNNNNNNNNNNNAAAUUUGUUAAACCAAAGAAUCCAGAGGUUGGCAAGUGGAAGACGAAUGAAGCUAAAGUACAACGCAAGAGAAUCAAGCCAACUUUUGUUAUGUUGCUAUGCAAAUGUGCCAAUCAAGCGGCCAAUUCUAGCUCUAACCGGUCAUCAAAUUUAAAGCUCUCCAGGUCACCUCCUCGACAAGAAUUUCAUCAUCAUGCAAGGCCAUAUGGGUCUUGGGCACCUUGACCAUCGAUGGCACCACCCCCCCUAUGUGUCAUACUACAUGGGAAACUUUAAUGGAGGAUGGGGGCAACCUCCAAUGACCCCUUAUGCUUUUCAUCCGGGUUGGGUAGAACCAAGGAGGCCCGUUUGUGAGAGGCUUUCUUACCCUAUACAUGGCCGUUUGAACAAUGGUGUCAAUCGGCCAAUGCAGGAUAAUCAAAAAAGGUUCAGCAAUCAAGUGUGGCGAGCUAAAUCACCAAGUGCUGAAAUUUCAGAGGCUAGCAACCAAAAGGAGAAGAGUACUAGUGCUGAAACUAUUAUUGUAGGCACUAAAGAAUUAACAAUCAAAUAGCCGAUUAUUGUUGAUAAUGCAGCUAUUUCUAACAAGGAUGUGGCUGCUGUCCAACAAGGUCCCGUGGCUAAUGAUCAUGAAGCUAGCACAAGCAAGGCCAAGCUGAGGGAUCCAAAAUAUACUUAGCCUAAGUGGUGUCCCUCCGGUCUGACCAAGGCACAAAAAAGUAGGUUGCAGCACAUGAGAAGCCACGAGAAGGAGGGAUAAGAAGCGGAGAGGCAAAGGGAUAAACUGUUCAAUGAAACCCGUCCCAUGAUGUCCGCAAAACAAGUGUGGAGGCCUAAGCAAAAGGAAAACAUAGUAGCUUCUGCAUUGGUAAUAACAGCACCUACACCACCAAUGGAGGACGAUGCGACUGCUAUUACAUCGUCCACUUCACCUAUUACUUCCUCUUCACUAGGAGAUAUUUCGGAGUCGAUGGACAUGCUUCAGGAUGGAGAUGGUAUUUUGGAUUAUGAGUCUACACCGGUUCAUGAAGGUAUUGAUAUUAAUAUGGUGCACUACUUACCCGCUGAAUUCCGUGCUAUAUAUGAAGAAGGGCAAGUACCUCAGUUGGAUUUUGGUCCUAAAAAUGCUAUAAUCGAGAAGCCAAAAGAAUGGGUGACGCACCUGAAGCCAUUGUUCCUUAAAGGUCAUAUUAAUGGAUCGCCGAUUGCUAGAAUGCUUGUUGAUGGUGGUCCUGUGGUGAAUCUUAUCCCAUAUUCAGUCUUAUAAAAAAUGAGGCUGCGUGAUGAAGAGUUGAUAAAGACCAACAUGGUGCUCAACGGAUUUGAAGGUAAAGAGAAAAUUGAAGCCAAAGGUGUGAUGUAUGUGGAGCUUACGGUGGGAAGCAAAACUUUGGCUACCGCAUUCUUUGUCGCCGAGGUGCAAGGUAACUCCAAUGUGAUAUUAAGCCAUGAUUGGGUUCAUGCAAACCAAUGUGUGCUAUCUACUAUGCACCAGUUUUUGAAUCAAUGAGUUGAUGAUGAAGUGGAAGUCAUUCAUGCGGAUAAUUCGAUCGGCUUGUGUUGCUUUGGCCGAUGAAUCGGUGGAUUGGCAACAUCCCAAUGCUACUUGCUUGACGGGGCGCGACUUAUCAGAAUUUGAUUUUCUUAGCGCUACAAAAUUGGUUUCGUGCCCCUUUCUAUAAAGCCGGUUGGCGAUAAUCGGCUCCAAGGUAUGAUGUAUUUAAAUGGAUCCUAUCUCAGAGUGGUUUCAAAAGCGUCUUGUAGAAUAUCGGUCCAAUGAGAAUGAUAUGUAUGAGUCCAUAGAAGAGUUAGAUGAUAUGGAUAAAUUAGGACAAGGUUUUACAUCGGCGAUCCAUUAGAAGAGAUAGAUAUAGCAGAUGGUUCAUUUCUUAGGCCGACAUUUGUAAAUAAAAAUUUAAGAGUCGAUCAUAAACUUAAGUUGAUCGAGCUGUUAAAAGAAUAUAUUUGUUGCUUGGCAUGGGAAUAUCAUGAGAUGCCCGGUUUAAGCCGAGAGCUAGUGGAGCAUCGAUUACCUAUAAAGGCUGGUUUUUGACCGUAUAAGCAAUCGACCAGAAAGUUUAAUCCAAAAACAUAUGACCGGAUCAAGGAAGAGAUCGGUCGUUUGCUGAAAGCUAAUUUUAUUAGACCUUGCAAGUAUGCCGAGUGGAUUUCUAACAUUGUACCAGUGAAGAAGAAAGGCUCGGGCAAGUUGAGGGUGUGUAUUGAUUUUAGAGAUUUGAAUAGAGCUACACCCAAAGAUGAGUAUCCCAUGCCCAUAGCCGAUAUGCUUAUUAAUGAUGCCUCUGGACAUAAGGUCAUUAGCUUUCUUGAUGGUAAUGUGGGGUAUAAUCAAAUUUUUAUGGCCGACGAUGAUAUGACCAAAUUAGCUUUUCGAUGUCCCAGUUUCCUUGGUUUAUUUGAGUGGACAGUGAUGACCUUUGGUUUAGAGAAUGCCGACACCACGUAUCAAAGGGCUAUGAAUUUAAGUUUUCAUGAUUUACUUGGUGUUAUACUUGAAGUCUAUAUUGAUGAUAUUGUUGUCAAAUCGGAUGCUUUUGAAUCUCAUCUAGCUGAUUUGUGCUUAGAUUUUGAGAGAAUGAAAAAAUAUUGACUAAAGAUGAAUCCUUUGAAAUGUGCUUUUGGUGUAUCGGCUGGUAAGUUUUUGGGUUUCAUUAUUCAUCAACAUGGCAUAGAAAUUGACCCAAAAAGAUAGAGGCUAUACAAAAGGUGUGGGCUCGAACAUGCAAGAGAGAUAUGCAAAAAUUCCUUGGCAAAGUCAAUUAUUUGAGGAGAUACAUAGCCAAAUUGUCAGGGAAGGUUGAUACAUAGCCAAUUAUUUGUGCACUUCUCUAGUGUUGAAAGCCCCCAAGCAUAGAGAGCCCUUUAGGCUUUAUAUUGCGGAGGAGAAAGCCCCCAGGCAUAGAAAGUCCCCUCAAGAGACCGAAGGAAAGGAGCAUGCUAUUCUUAUUUGAGUCGACGCUUAUUGGAUGUCGAGAUAAGGUAUACAUUGAGAAAUUAUGCUUAUGCUUAUAUUAUGCUUGCACAAAAUUGAGACAUUACCUAGUGCCUAGUACAUGCAUUAUAGCUUUUCAAACUGAUGUCAUCAAAUACAUGUUGCAUAGGCCAAUUCUUAGUGGUAGAAUUGGCAAGUGAGCUUAUGCUUUAAUUGAAUAUGAUUUGGUUUAUGAAUCUCUGAAAUUCAUGAAUGGGCAAAUCGUUGUUAAUUUUGUUGUUGAGCAUCGGAUUGAUGACAAGCAUGAUAUUGAUCUUAAACUUGUCUAUUAGUACCAUGGAGAUUAUAUUUUGAUGGUUCCGUUUGUAGCAAUGGACAAGGUGUUGGUAUUGUUUAUAUAUCUCCUCAUGGAGCUAUUUUUCAAGCCUCAUGCCGCUUAGAGUAUUUUUGUACAAAUAAUUAGGCCGAAUAUGAAGCAUUUUUACUCGGUUUAGAGAUGUUGCUUGCCAUAGGCGCUACACAUAUUGAGGCUUUUGGUGAUUCGUUAUUAGUAGUGCAACAAAUAUCCAGAGUAUUUCAAUGUUUUCAUGAAUCACUUAAUGUUUAUCUUGAUAAAUGUCUAGAUAUAAUUUCUACUUUGGAUUAUUUUAGCAUUCCUCAUAUAUCUAGACAUGACAAUUGGAGAGCAAAUCAGUUGGCACAACAAGCAUCUGGCUAUCAUGUUAAUCAUGACAUGUUUCAUAUUUACCAAAGGCCGAUGUCUAUUCUUGCCAACGUAGGGGAGGCUGAACCGGAGCCCACCGUUUCGGUCACAAAUGAAAAUUUUAAUGUAGAAAAUCUGGACUAGAGGAAAGCCAUUAUUGAUUAUUUGCGUGAUUCUAAUAAAAUUUUGGAUGAGGACCAAGCAAGAGUUGCUAUGAGAGAGGUUCAUGAAGGAAUUUGUGGGACUCAUCAGUCGGCUCCCACUAUGAAAUGGUUAUUGCGACAGGCUGGGUUUGAUUGACCAACGAUGAUUAAUGAUUGCUUCAGGUAUUAUAAAGGAUGUGCAGCUUGUAAAAUGUCUGGUGAUAUUCAGCUAGCUUCUGCUGCUAUGUUACAUCCUAUUAUUAAGCCGCGGCCUUUUAGAGGUUGGGGAUUAUACUUUAUUGGAGAGAUUCAUCCUUCUUCUUCAAAGGGGCAUCAGUUUGUGUUGGUGGCAACUGAUUAUUUCACUAAAUGGUCUGAAGCAAUACCGCUAACAAAUAUGACGCAUACGGAGGUAAUUCAAUUCAUAACUUAGCACAAUAUUCAUAGAUUUGACAUUCCUCAAAUGUUAACUACGGACCAAGGUUCAUCUUUUAUGUCAGAUCAAGUUAGAGAAUUUCCCGAAUCAUAUAAGAUAAAGUUGCUCAAUUCAUCUCCGUAUUAUGCCCAAGCCAAUGGACAAGCUGAGUCUAGCAAUAAAAUAUUAACCAACCUCAUCAAGAAGAAGAUUGAGGAUAAUUCAAGGAGAUGGCAUGAGCUAUUGUCCGAAGCUUUGUGGGCACACAUAAUCUCAAGGUAUGGUGCUACAAAGGUAACUCCAUAUGAGCUCAUAUAUGGUAAAGAGGCCGUUUUACCAGUGGAAGUGAAUUUGAAUGCUUUGAGAAUAGCAAAACAAAAUGAUUUAUCGGCGGUGGACUUUUAUAACUUGAUAAUGGAAAAUAUUGAUGAAGUCGCUGAUAAAUGUUUUGUUGCUUUGAAGGCCAUAGAGAGAGAUAAUUUGAGGGUGGCAAGAGCUUACAAUAAGAAGGUCAAGUUGAAGAAUUUUCAAGUUGGCGAUCUCGUGUGGAAGGUGAUUCUACCAAUUGGUUCGAAAGACAUAAAAUUCGGGAAGUGGUCUCCAAGUUGGGUAGGUCCUUUUAAGAUUACAAGGGUAGUUCCCAGAAACUUAUAUUUAGUGGAAUCCGUACAAAGGACAUUGUUACCUCGAGCUGUCAAUGGCAAAUAUUUGAAGAAGUACCACCCAAGUGUGUGGCAAGAAGCCUAGAUAAUCAAUGGCCGAUAUACGACUAUGGCCCUUAGCAUAAACAUGGCCGAUAUAUAAUUAUCGCACCGAGAAGUAUAAAUGACACAUGGAGUGUUGACAUCGUCCUUAGAAUAAACGCGAUGCAAAUUAUUUUCCGGCAUUCAAGCUCUGCCCAAAACAGAGGAUAAGGGUUGACACCAGAUUUUAGCAUGGUAGGAAAUGCAAUUAAGAUGGUCCCAAAUGGAGAAGUGGUUUACAUUAAAAAAAAGUUCCGUAUUGUCGACACAAACAUCUUCGAUGUUUGGGCCAUCGCCAUCCGAUCUCAUCUCGAAGGCCGAAGUUGUGUUCGAAAUACUGAGAUUUUGUAUCCCGAGCACUGUUCGGCCGAUUACGCCUCAAGGACGGCCUCAAAUGAGAAAACUUUCGACAUGAAUUGACUUCGCUUGGUCGAAACAGUCAAUUUUGAUAUAAAAAUCGUCUCAAUCCAAGGUCGUAUGUAAAAGUUAGUGUCUCCUGAGUCCGGCCCUGUCACGAGCCAAAAGCUACGCGAGUAAUAGUCUAUUUUGCGCGAGCGAUUUGGCACUGAAGAUUAUAUCGAAUCGAAAACUGUUCAACAUGAAAGUUGUUCGUCUCGUCGAAACAGUUAAAUUUGCUUCUUCCGCGAUUUUGAUCCGAGGUCGUUUACUACCCCAAAAAUGACCCGCAAGGUGCAGCCAAUUUUUAGACUGAACAGUUUUGGAAAGUUUGGAUCAUACGAUCCUAAUUGGACUCAAAUUAGGGUUUUGGACAUGAAUUCUAACUUUUCCUUGCACGGGAAGUCCAGCCCCCUCUUAUUUACAUGAGGGGUGAUGACUGCCCCUCCUAGAAAAAACCAGACUGGGAGGACAUUUUUUUCCUGUCCGAAAGCCGUUUCCGCCUCUUGGAAGAAGAAGAAGAAAAAAGAGAAAACACGUUUUUUUUCGUUUCCGAGAGCCUCUCGCGGAAACAAAACAAUGCCGCUCAUGGAAGAAAAACAAAAAAAUGCAUUUUUUCACGAAAGCAAAACCGUGCCUCUCGUGAAAGAAAGAAAAGAGAAAACACAUUUCUUGUCCUUUUCGUGAGGCACGGCAGUGCCUCUCGCGGAAGCAAGACCAUGCCUCUCGCGGAAGCAAAACCGUGCCUCCCGCGGAAGAAAAAUACAGGGAAAACACGAUUUUUUUUCGUUUAUGAGAGGCACGACUGUCUCGCGGAAGCAAAGCCAUGCCUCCCGCCGAAGGAAAACCGUGCCUCUGGUGAAAAGGGAAAAAAAGAAAACGUGUUUUGUCACAGGAAAAAAAUUAAAAAAAAUUGGUCCAAAACCUAGGGAAGACCGGUGAACAACCAAAAAGCCGGAAAAUUAAAAAAAAAAACAUCUAAAAUACCAGAUGGAGGUUGAGAGUGCACCAAGUGACGCGCUCUCGGCCCAUCCACAAAUGACCCUUGGGAAGGGUGGGAACGAGCGCUCUUUAGUAUUAUUUUUUGAGGCAAACCGUUCUUUAAUUAGUUGCUCCGGGGAAGGGGAAUGGAAGACGCAGAUCGGCAACGUGUGGGCUGGGCUUGUGACGUUGGGGUCUCAGAAAAUAUAGCCCAGUUCGAAUUUAGUGGUCUCAGCAAGUAAAACCAGCGCUUAUGUUGGGCCUAAUCACUCACUCCAGGCUGUGGGCCUCGCUAGCAGCCCCAUCUUACCAUUCCCCUCGUUCUCUCUCUCUCUCGCAAAAAAAAACCAUCAUUUCCGUCAAAAAGAAAAGACAUCUACCCGUCUCGCCGCCAAGAGAUCCAGGAACCCCGGGGUCGUUCCAUUGUUUUGCAUAGCGUGUAGAUUAGGUUUUCUCUGUUAGUUUUAUGUGUUCUUAGUGGCGAUGGCUUGACGGUGAAGGCGAGAGUGAUGAUGGUCUCUCGGCUCCAUUCCUGUUCUGAUUAUGCGUUCCCGGCUAAGAAGGCCAUCAAACAUAACAUAAAUGGGGUGCUUUCUUUUCUUCUUACCGAUCUCCUCCUAGUUUACCGGCUCAAGGUGUAUCGGCUCUACAAACAUCUUGUAUCCACCUCACGUCCUGGGAAAUUACUGUCGGUAACUUUCAUCGUAUUGCGAUAACAAUAUUUUCUUUCAAGAACCCGCCUUCCUUGAAUUUCGUACAAAGUUAAUUGUCAAUGUCAUAACUAAUUGCAAGACCAGGUACAGCUCUUCUCUACAGGAAGUUACAGUUUCUAAAUUGCAUGACCCUGUAUCACUUUAUGAAGCAAGCACAUCACCUUCAGCUCCUCAUUUGCAAACUUAGGACCCAUUUGGACCACAUAAAUUUUACAAUAUGUUUGCUGCAUUUCACAAGAAACCAUCGAUUUUGUGAAGAAAGAAUUACAUUGUUUCAUCGCCGUUACAACACAACAUUAAUCAGAUCACCUUAAUACCUCCCACUGCGUUUUUUUUUGGAAAAAUACACAACAUACUGAUUGACCUUAAAGAAUGAAGGAGGCCAUAAGGUCUUGUACAAUGCUAGGUGUUUAGAAAGAUAAACCGGAUUUUACUGAUACACCGGUGCCUAUUUCUACCGGAGAGACGUCUAAUUAAGCGUAUACCCUGUACAAAUAAGUAUCAGUGCUUAAGGAAAGCCUGGUUUAUUUCUCGAAGCACCUCUCCUAAGCACCUUGCAGUGUACAAGGCCGAGAAGAAAGCUCUGACUUCCUAUUGUUGCUGCAUCAGCAGGAAAAGUAGUCUUCAUUUCAAAAAGAAGCUGAAAGUGCUAGAGUGAAAAAUAUCAUAUGUACAGAAGCUGGAUAUAUAUUACCAGCAAGGUGGAGAAGUGGGGAAAAAAAUGCUCAAAUGUGGUUAUCAAUCUUUUGAAAUGCAAGCAAGUAAGCGGAUGGGUGUUUGAGCUAUCUUUGUGUGAUCAGAACAAAUCCAUGUCCAUUAAUUAGUCUUAAUAUCAUCUUCACAGUACCAGGGACUCCCGGAUACUAAGAGUGCUUAAUAAUCUUAUAAUUAGGUGGAGACAUUUUCAUUACCUGCAUACAAAUGCGUACGAAUGAUGAUAUUUUAUAUUUUUUUCUUUGCAACUUCGGAGUGCCCACAAAGUGAAAUAGAAGGUGUAAACAUAACUUCUUUCAACCUCCAGUAAAAGUAACAAUUCUCUCUCCAUGUACCACUCUAUACCAACUUCUUCAAUACCUGUUGACUCUCAUGUUUUUGUUUUCCUUCAAUAUUUCAGACGUUCUAAAGCUCGGUCGAAAUCACUCGAGCUGGUCAACCCUGCCCCCGUGUCGCCCGCAACAGACGAUACGGGGAAAACUUUCGUCGCCGCCGGUAGCCUUCCUCCGCCAGUGCCCCUCCCCCCCCCCCCACAUCGCUGCCGCAGGAGGGUCGGCCAGCGAAGUCGCGCCGCGCUCGGGGAUGGCGGCGGCGGGGCGGUUUCGUACCCUCCCCCCCGAUGCGCUGCCCCAACAACCCCUUCGCCGCCAUCACCUCCCCGCGCCGCUGCUGCCGCGUCGCGCCUGAGGGUGGGGGCGGCAGGGCAGCUUCAUUCCCUUCAUGCUGUAGCUCCUCGUCCCCAACCUCCUCGCCCCCCAGAUCCAAUCUGGUGCGCCGCGGGCUCCCCUACCCUCCAACUGCUACUGUGUUCGUCCUGCCUGUCCGACGAGGUGGCGCGGCCGUGCCCGUCGUGCACCUCCCCAGUCUACCUCUUUCACCUUGCUGGCGCAGCUUCCUUCUUGUUGUUGUUCGCUGGGGCAUGCGAGGACUCGUGUGGAGGUCACGGGCUGGCCAAGGCUCGGUCUUGCCCCGUGUUGCAGACCACCCUUCGUCUCUGAUGGCGUCUCCUUCUAGUUACGGCGGCGACCUCUGCCCGUGUGUGGUCAAGGUGUUGUUUUGGGCAGCGGGAUGAAGCUUCGCGGUGGGUCCUUGCCGACACUGCUCCGGUCCCAGCGGCCAUCGACCAGCGUUCUUCGGCCUCCCUACCGCCGUGAAUUCAGCCCCAACACUCCGGUCGCUGCGUCUCCUUCCGGCAUCUUCGGUUUGCCGGUGUUCUGGUGGUUCCACCUCCGGCAGCUCGGAGUUGUGCUCCCUUCCGCCUCCAGCUUGUCAGCGGCGCCGGUCACCAUCCCACCCUCCAUGCCGGCUUUCUACCAUGCUGCCUUCCCGACCCUGUCGACACCCGCAACAUGUCAUUUCCAAAGCUCGUGUUCUUUCGGCAGCAGGUGCAGCCCCACCACCUCCGUACCGGGAUGGUGGUUGACUAGCGGAUUGUCUUCCUCAUCUUCGGAUCCUGAUUUGGCAGCUAUGGCAUUGCUCAGACUAAGGCCAGGCGAAAUCCAUGCUCUGCUUGCCAAUGUUGGCAGAGGCGACACUCGUGAGUGCUUUGCCAUGGCCUUUAUCCGGGCCCCUCUUCGAGCGCUGGGGGAAACCCUAGGUCCGGUUCUUCGGAUCGGAUGGUGGCGGUGUCACGAUGUCGCACCCCUUCCUGAAGGCGCUAUCUUGUUCGCCCCCGGUGUCCCUGUUUGUUUGAUUUUGAGAUGUUCGACGUCGUGCUUGUUCGGCCUGCCUCUCUGUUUAGGAUUUGUGGGUGUAGUUGUGUCAUUUCCCCUGUUCGGGCUGAGCACCCCUUGUCUCUCUGCUCCGGGUUCCAUGAUCAUGCCUCUUUGGGUUCAUGCCAUGUGUUGUAUCCUCUGUUGUACGCAUUCUCUUUCUUCUAUCAAUAAAGGAUAUGCAAGCUUUGUGUAUUCACAAAAAAAAAGACGUUCUGAAGCUCUGAAGCUAAAGAUGUAAAUAAAUCUGAACUCUCGCACUCACUUUUAAAUCGUGGGGCAGUAUACUCUAAUCUAUCCAGCUCUUCCUGUAAAACAAAUAUACUGUCAGCAUGUGAUUUAUCAUUCAUGAAUCGUUUAUCAUGCCAUUUUUAGAAUGUGACUGGCAAAAUGGUGUGACUGUACAAUUCUACUUUUUUCGAAAAAGAGGAUUACCCCUAGUAUCUACAUAGAGCCAUGCACACAACCAUUUUAUUAUAUUAUUUAACGGAACCAAACGAAACAAAUAUAUGGAUCAAGCCAAAGCCACCUCCCUAGAAACUAUUGUCGUUACACGUACAAGCUUUAAUGGCGUGCCCUGACCACUUAUCAACACACAUCAUAUAUUCCGGUCGCCUCACCAAGAUGCCUGCCGGCAAUUUGAGAGCAUCUACCGGUCUAGCUAGACCCUCUGCACGCACAUCAUGCACACGCUUUAGAUUCAGCCACCGCCAUGUUCCGCGGUCCCACCUUCAAGAGCGAUCAACGUAUUCAUCUCGCUAGGCCAUCUCGACACCAGAUAGCUCCACUAUCCAGCGCGGGCGCCCGUCGCCGACACUCCGCCGUGCCACGCCACCGAGACCCUGUGUCGUCCUUUCGGUAGAUGUAACACCGCUCCUCCACUUGUCUCUUCCAGUCGGCUCCUACUCGAGACAAUGCCCCUAGGAGGGAGAACGGCGCUGAAGGCACCAUCAUCGUCCGAUCCGGGAUACCCAGAACUAGAGUUUCCCCCGGAACAACCCGAGCGUAGUGACACAACUUACAAAUGACGAUGCCUCGAAAAAGGAAACAACGUUAGAGACGCCACCAUCUGCCAUGACCGCAGUUAGCACAAUUUCACCGGAAGUCGCGUCGACAUGGAGACGUAAGCUGUCGCCGGAACGUCGGCAUAGGGCCUCCAGUCGCCCCUGACCUGUCCCUGCACGCAUCGCCUGCCGGCCAAGGCCACGCCAAGAUGGAUCUGGAUGGGACGCUAGUUCCGCGGCCACUGCCGCCACCCAUCACAUGGUCGGCCAGGUCAACGACUAAUCCCACAGCCAUGGACAAACCGGUCGCCGCCGCCAGCCCGGGUCACCACCCUGACCGCACCGGCUGAAGACACAGGUGUCGUCGCGAGAUUGAUACGGUGAACAAGGCCCGAAUCCCUCGUGCUCGACCUUGAUCAGCCACACACAAGCAUCUCUCCACGCUGACGAGGGGUCCACUAUGGGAUCCAUCGCGCCGACUUCCGCCACCGCGCCGCGGGAAUAGACUGCCCUGAUGCUGCCGCCCACUGAGGCGGGCUUCGCCUGUUCGGCCUCCUCCAACAGCGUCCGGCCGUGGGCUGCNNNNNNNNNNNNNNNNNNNNNNNNNNNNNNNNNNNNNNNNNNNNNNNNNNNNNNNNNNNNNNNNNNNNNNNNNNNNNNNNNNNNNNNNNNNNNNNNNNNNNNNNNNNNNNNNNNNNNNNNNNNNNNNNNNNNNNNNNNNNNNNNNNNNNNNNNNNNNNNNNNNNNNNNNNNNNNNNNNNNNNNNNNNNNNNNNNNNNNNNNNNNNNNNNNNNNNNNNNNNNNNNNNNNNNNNNNNNNNNNNNNNNNNNNNNNNNNNNNNNNNNNNNNNNNNNNNNNNNNNNNUUCAGCCUCUCCACUUGUGGGAACAAUAUCCUUGAAUGUUUAGUUUCUCAUAUCUUUACGAAAACGGAGUAAGGGAAAUAUCGUGUGUGGUUGCAGGGAACUCACAUCAAAUGAUUGGGAGAUGUUCAUAAAUCAGUGAUAAUAGCCUUUGCAAACAGGCUAAUCCCAAAUGAUUCAAUGAAACCAACCUUCAUGUACUCAAUGAACGUAUUAUGCAUGUUAUGCUAGUUCAAGUCAUACUAAAUAUCACUUGUCUGGCAAAUAACAACAGCGUUCUCUGAAACCAUUGCAUCAUGAGAGAAUUGUGUGAAAUGGAAAUUGACACGAUUUAAAUUUUCAGGUUCCUUUCCUGGUGAGCCUAUCAUAGUAAAGAAACCUGGAAGAAAACAUUGGAGAAAGGAAUUCACAAAAUGCGGAAUUAUUAAUACUAAAUGACUGUUGAUGUUCAAAUGCAUGUCAGUUCUAAAUAAAUAAAUGAUUUUCUUCUUCUUUCUGCUCUUCAAUGUUUUCUUCCCUUACAAGAUUCUAGCAGUCUUAACACCAUUAUGGCCACAGAAAAAAAAAACAUCUAUCCCAUUUGUUACACGAGCUAAAAAUAAAAAUAGCACAUGAGCAUGGGCUGCAGAAAUGCACAUUCUUACUUCUAAGAAUAAUGUCAUCAAGAGAAGCAAAAGGCUGGUUUUUUGUGACAAUAAUUUAUUCAAUGAAAAGAGUGAGCCCGGGUUGCACGAAAUAUGAGUUUAUCUAUUUUUCUUCCAACAAAAUAUCUGGUCUACCAUCACUGCACCUUCGAACAUCAGAGUGCACACAGAACAAGAAAUAAAGAAGCAAAAGGGCCCUUGCGUAACUCAUGUAUUUUCAAACAAUGCUACAGAAAAUAUCCCUUAUACUCCCUCCGUCUAGGUUUGUAAGUCAUCUUACGAAAACAAAAUAAUCCCAAAACACUUAGGCGCGGUGCGUUAACUUCUACCUCGUUUCUUGUUUCUUGACAUAUCAACCAAUAAGAGAUAUGGGUGUGCAUGCUUUUAAUGACUUGAGACUACCAAACACGACAUGCAGUGGUUAGUUCAUUGCAUGCAAUGCUAUUAAUUAGCAAAAAACAUUAAGUUCUCUCGUUUUCCCUCCUCCUUGGUCACGGUGCACAACAUAAGAUGACUUAUUCACUUAGACGGAGGGAGUAUCAUGGAUUUGCGCCUGCAUCAAUUGUUUCCGAGUGCUGUCAAAGAGAAAAAUUUACUAAGAUUUCCAUUGUCAAACUGUGAUGUCCGACUAGUGUUGGUGGAAGAAUCACAUAUUGGAGAGGAUAAUUUGGAGUAGGGGAUGAGAAGAAGUUGAAGAACAGAUGAAGAGGGUGAGAUGUAGAACAGAGUAGGUGAGAGUUCAAACAAUUCUCAUUUCAUCGAUAAGUUACGGCACAUGUCUGAUUCACUUGCCCCUUUUAAACACAUAGGCACUCUCUUACAAGUGGGCCCUCAAAUCCACACGCCCAGUGCACUAGAUGAUCUUCCUAUGGCUCACUCCUAAGUUGUCUCUCUCUAGUUGUUGGGCCCUUCGUCCUCCAUAUCCUAGUCCUCCUCAUUCCACUGGACUGGGAUCUUGAUUUCCGUCGAGGGUGUGGUAGAGAGCAGAUGCAUGACACAAUCUUUGUUCCAUUACGCUUCCUCAAAGUCGCCAUUUUAGACAUUGUCAUGUCUACAACACACAAUUAGACGCUUGGUGACCUGUUGCUUCAAAAAUAUAUUUUGAAAUCAUGUGCCUAGAGGUGUUUUGAAUGUAUGGCUACAAAUGUCACUGAGGUUCCUAGUUCCUGUUCCAUCAGCAUACCCUGCCGAAGUGGUAAUCUGACUUCAAGUGGAAUAAGCAAGACAGGAGAAAGAAUUAAGGUGGUAUUCAGCUCGUUUUCCCCUCACCUUUUUGACUCUCACAUUUUUGUUUUCCUCCCAUAUCUUAGAUGGGGUGAAGCUAUAUGCAUAAACAAAUAUGAAUUCAUAUCACACUCACCUCGACAUCUCAGUAGUACAACACAGGGCUUUCGUCACAGGGCAAUUUUCACAUUAGUCCCGGUUCAGUCACGAACCGGGACUAAUGUGAGCAUUGGUCCCGGUUCGUGCGGCUAAGGCAUUAGUCCCGGUUCACCUGGGCCCUUUAGUCCCGGUUGGUGCCACGAACCGGGACUAAAGGGUGCGAUGCCCAUUAGUACCGGUUGGUGGCACCAACCGGGACUAAAGGUCUAACCUUUAGUACCGGUUGGUGCCACCAACCGAUACUAAUGCGCUUUGAGGCAUUAGUACCGGUUCAUGGCACGAACCGGUACUAAAGGGCCCAUUUUCAAACUCUACCCCCCCUGGUGGACCGCCUUUUCAGUUUUAGGAAAAACAAAAGAAAAUGAUGGAAAUGUCAAAAAAAUAAAAUAAAAUAAGUUUCCCAUGUGAUAUGUGGUCUAGUUGUUGGGAAAAUUAACAAAUAUGAAUUUCGACUUUAUUUGCAAAAUCUCUCUGAAAUUUCUUAAAAUGGGCAUAACUUUUGCAUACGAACUCGGAUGAAAAAGUUUUUUAUAUGAAAAAUCAUCUACUCAAAAUCCUCAAAAACCUAACAGAAAAAAAGAUACGGGACUUUUAAGAUCUGGAGAGGCAAAAAAAUUCAAAAAAUUUCAAUUUGUGGUCAAACUGUGGUCAAACAAUAGUCAAACUAAUUAUUCUAGAAUAUUAGUGUUACUAAAUAAUUAUUUCAGUUUUUUUGAAUUUUGGUCAAAUCUGGUCAAACUGUGGUUAAACAGUGGUCAAACAAUGGUCAAACUAAUUAUUCCAGAAAUAUUAGUGUUACUAAAUAAUUAUUGUUUUUAAAAAUAAUAGUUUCAAACUCAAACAGUGAAAUAUGUCACUUCAUGCUCAAGCUAAAUUCCUGAGGGUUAAUAAAAUUGACAUCUUACUAUUGUCAGGAAAACAACAAGUGCAGACUUGGAAACGAGGGAGAAUAGAACCCAGAAGUUAAGCGUGCUCAGGCUGGAGUAGUGAGAGGAUGGGUGACCGUCCGGGAAGUUAGAUGAUUUGAAAUGAUGAGGGGUGAUUAGAGAUUAGAGGAUAAAUUGAGCAGUGAUGAGGGGUGGUGAUUAGAGAUUAGAGGUUAAAAUAAUUCAGAAAUUUGAAAAUCAAAAAAAAAGUUCGCAAAUUUUUUUUUCAAAAAAAAUAUAUCAUAAAAUUCUGCGUCCACGUGGACGGCCUUUAGUCCCGGUUCGUGUCUAAAGGCUUGGGUAUAUAUAGACCUUCUACACGUCUCCAAUCUCUAGUAGCUCUUCAUAUGAUAAAAAUAUAUUGUGAGUAUGGGAUAUGUGUUGAGAAGGCCAUUCAGGAAUCGUUUAUCAUGUGAGUAGACUGCAAAAUGACAUAACCAUUCCACGAGCAUGCUUAAGUUUGAAAACUCUUUCCCGGGAAGUAUCCUAUGUGAUUGAAUGUAACUCAUAAUUAUUAAAGAAUGUAUAGAAGUUUCUAAACGAGCGAGUGGUUGAAUGUCAAAUGCAUCUGAUACUCGGCGAAGACUUAUGUUUGCCAAAUUCGGUACUCGGCAAAGUUUCGCCGUGUUUAUUAUGGGCUCUGCCAAGUUUCUAAGAAGACAAUCCGGGUAGUGAUGGAUGCCUGAUCUUUAACAUGGAAUGUCUGUAUACAUAGUCCUCAAUGUGGGGCAUAAUGUAGUAGCCGGACAAGACGCUUGAUUAAUCUGGUUCUUCUCUACAAUAGAAACUCGCCUUGUACAUGAACAUAUUUUGUUUUGGGUAUAUAUAGACCUUCUACACGUCUCCAAUCUCUAGUAGCUCUUCAUAUGAUAAAAAUAUAUUGUGAGUAUGGGAUAUGUGUUGAGAAGGCCAUUCAGGAAUCGUUUAUCAUGUGAGUAGACUGCAAAAUGACAUAACCAUUCCACGAGCAUGCUUAAGUUUGAAAACUCUUUCCCGGGAAGUAUCCUAUGUGAUUGAAUGUAACUCAUAAUUAUUAAAGAAUGUAUAGAAGUUUCUAAACGAGCGAGUGGUUGAAUGUCAAAUGCAUCUGAUACUCGGCGAAGACUUAUGUUUGCCAAAUUCGGUACUCGGCAAAGUUUCGCCGUGUUUAUUAUGGGCUCUGCCAAGUUUCUAAGAAGACAAUCCGGGUAGUGAUGGAUGCCUGAUCUUUAACAUGGAAUGUCUGUAUACAUAGUCCUCAAUGUGGGGCAUAAUGUAGUAGCCGGACAAGACGCUUGAUUAAUCUGGUUCUUCUCUACAAUAGAAACUCGCCUUGUACAUGAACAUAUUUUGUUUUGUGGAACUUCCUCCGGAUUAAAAAUACUUGAAGAUAGCAACAUAAUUGAUGAACUAAAAAAUGGUACUCUGGUAGCAAUGGGAUAAAACAAUAUUAUGCCUUUCUUUCAUUAGUUAACUAAAAAUUUGUGCUGCAGUAGUAACGGGAUAAAACAAUAUAAGUAGAAACAAUUUUGAUAAGCAAUAACAUUUCCUUUUGCUAGGGCAACGCUAUAGGUAACUCCUACAAACUAUUUCUCCUAGGUGUUGAUUAAUAAAUUAGCCAUAUGCAAAAUUAAACUGCAGUGGAUUAGUAAUACACGGUUGAAGUCAACACUUCCGGUUAAUCUUAUAAAAUCUAGCCUCUUUAGUCUCCAAUCUCACAUUGAGACAUGGUUAAUAGUUGUUGGUAUAUCUAAAUCCUAUGGGAGGACAUCCUCUUAUUCUCAGACACAUGAGCCCAAGUAUCUCCACAAAAAGUUCACCAGACAUACAUAUCAUGUCCUUUCAUAGCCAUCCAAAAAAAGGAAGGUGCUAUGAUGUAGUGCAACAUUGAUGGAAUAAUACCAAAAAAUGUAAAAAGGGUGUUUCAUUCUCAAAAAUAACUUUGGAAGUAUAUCGGUGAACCAUCUAAACAGGAACAUACUAGUAAAUUUGUUGAGGAAAUUGUUAACUGGUAGCAGCUUGGUUGGCUAGGGAGUAGGGGAUUAAUAGGGUGAUCGGCAAGUUUAUUGGCCUAUUAAGCAAUUAAACGGAGGAUUUAUCAGUUUAUUGGCUACAUGGUGACCUUACAAGUAGGGAUUAAUUCCCAAGUUAACUGGUUAAUCAGACGAAUUCUUCAACAGGACCAGUAAUCAUGCUAAUAUGGUACAUGAUAAUCUCUUAUGGUUGAAUGAAUAUGAGUAAUGUCUGUAGCUAUCUUUAACAGUAUUUUAUUGAGUACCUAAAUAUGUAAAGUUCAGUAGUUUGUACUAUCAUGUUAUUGCACAAAAAAAAAGGAAAUCUCUCAUUCCAAUUUUUUUAGCUAAACUAAACAAAAGAUACUAGCAUGUUGCUCAGGAGAUAGGAAUGGUAGCAGGGGUAGAUAGCCAACAAAAACAUUAUGUUAUUACAGUGUGAAUAAUAAAUAAGAUUAUUUGGAUCAUAUGAAGGAUAAAGCCAUCAAUCUCGCCCAUGUGCAAUAAUUUUAAUUUGUCUUUGUGUAGUAUAUAUUGUUGAUUAAUCAUUCGUGAUGAGAUAUGCACCUUCAUAUGGUUUAACAAAUAGAAGAUGGGUGGCGCCAGAAUAAUUUUUCUGACCGUGCAAAGAUAGAGAUCUGCAUUGCUCUCAUCAAUGACCUGCAACGAUUCAUGCAUGCUUCUACUAUGAUCCUUGAGCCUAUCAAAAUUAAUUGCUAUAAUCUUGACUGACCGAGCUACUGAUAUGUGGGCGUCUUGAUGAGUAUGGCGAAUUCUCUUUUAUCUUGGUGGUUGUUCAUUUCAUAGACAUCUCAAUAUAUUGUUUAUUUGGAUGGUUUUGUCUCCUCCUUUAUUUUGGGGUUAUUUUUACAAAGAGAAGUCUAGUUUUCUCCCUAACAAUUUCACAUGGAGAAGUGUCACUCAUAUUUAUUUCAAUCACAUUUACCUCUUGACCUUAAUAUUCACUCACAUUUACCUCCUGACCUUUUGGUUUUGGUUUAAUUUUUCCAUUAAAAUUUCACAAAUGAUAGAAUCCUCCCUGGAAGUUUUAAGAAAAAAAAAAUCUAGUAAAGGCAUAUGUAAUUUUUUUGUAAAGGAGAAUGUAUUAAUAUCAAGCAGAUACCAAUUAUUCCCAGACUCUGCAACAACAAGAUGCCUAAAAACAUCCAGGAUGCACACAGCUAAAAAUUAAAAUAAAAAGGGAAGAAAAAAUGAGAAAAAAUAUCCCGCCACGGUGAUCAAUCACCCGAUGUAGCCGCACUCUAACCACCACCAAAGAUGUCACCCGGACUACAAAAUAGGUUCUCCAAAAGCAAUGCCUCUAGAAAGGAAACAAAACACAAGCAUUGUCGUUGCCCGAUCAAAGAUAUUACGUUUUCACCCUGGAGAAAGAUCAGGUUCCCAACAAUAAUGCCUUCAACAAGACUACCGCCAGGCACAACCAAUAAAGGCCAGACCUUGGGUUUUCACCUUGGAAAUCCUGAUUGGGUACUCAAAGGAGCACCGAAUAACAAAGAAGUCCUCCAAUGCCGCCACCCCCACUUGCGGAGGCUAAUACUGCAAGUCACGCACCAUUAGGCUCACAGGAAUUCACAUCCCGCCUGGACGGGAACAUAUCCUGUAAGCCAUGUCUAAACAACUGCCUAUGAAGCAAAGUCUUCAUCGCAUCCAAGACCUCGCAUUCGCCACUUGCAAGUCCUUCAAUCACGCCAUGGCAUUCUCCGUAUGUGUUGAUCCCAUGGAAAUCUUGGUGCAGACAUGUCCCAAGGUGCCAACAAAAACAGAGCUUCACGAUACCCCGGUAAACCUGGUUAUGCUGAUGUUGCGGGUGCGCACGACAGGCCCCUAUCUAGUCAAGGUGUCCAAAGAGCGCCAUAUGUGCCAGUCCUUUUUUUCCUUCAAAGGAGAAGUCCGGAAAUCGCAGAUGGCCAGAUUGAAGAUCUCAGGUUCUCAAUUGCAUGAGCUUGUGAGCAACGAGAAUGAGCAAGACCGAACAAGGGGAAACCAUCCAAGGACGGGAACACCGUGUGCACAAUAUAUAGGAUCCAAUUUGCACCAGCAAUGUUUAUACAGGAAUAACCAAAAUGUGAGUGUUGCCACGUACAUGUAUUUACUACUGCAGAUAGUUUUCUUUAUUGCACAGGUAUAAAACUUGUUCUUAAUUUUAAUCAAUUCUCUUGCACAAAUUUAUCCACAGAGAGCACAUAUAUGAUUUAUCUAACACUAUGUUUUCAAUAUCACAAGAUAAAAUCUUGUCUUUACAGAGCAAAAUUAUACACCGAUAAAAAUGUGUUGUCUGCCUGCAUGAAAUUACAUAUGCUAUGCAAAACUCUUUACUUCGUAUCGUCAUGAUCAUCCACAAUAUUAAAAUUGUAAAUAAACAAAAAAAGAGGUGCCGGCAAAUAGUUUUGGAUAGAGUAGUUUGGCACAAUAUAUAUGUUAUCCCUGAAAAUAUAACGUCUUCCUGGAUCACACUGUAGCUUCGUGAUAGUUUUGACGGCUAUGAUAACAAAAGCUGCCGACACAUGGCUCUGGAAAUAGUUAUGGCUGUAGGGGUAAAUAUAAUAGCUGACAGCUCUAAAAAAUAUUCCCGCAAAAGAAGGCAGCUCUAAAAAACAAGCCGACAAAAGAAUCAUGAAGCUACAGUGUGAAUUAUACUCUCUCCAUUCACAUUAUUAUGGGAAAACGAAUUGUGCGAGUACAGUCUGCCAAAAUGAGUGGUCGUCCAUGCACCUUGUUUAGGGGCAACUUUAUUUUAAUGUGUCUUUUUGUAGUAUAUAGUGUUGAUUAAUCGUCCGUGAUGAGAUCUGUGCCUUUGUGUGAUAUAACAAAUAGAAGAUAUAUGGCGCCAGACUAAUUUUUCCAUCCGUACGUGCAAAGAUGAGAUAUGAAUGCAUUGCUCUCAUGAAUGACCUGCAACGAUAGACAUAUGCAUUCAUACAUGCUUCUGCUGUGAUCCACGAGCCCGUCAAAAUUAAUUGCUAUGCAGUGGCUUAACUACUCAGAUGAACGUGGGCGUCUUAAUGAGUAUGGUGACUUCUCUCUUAUGUUGGUGGUUGUUCGUUUCAUAAACAUUUCGAUAUAUUGUUUAUUUGGAUGGUUCUGCUUCCUCCUUUAUUUUGGGGUUGUUUUUACAGUGAAAAUUCAAGUUUUUUCACUAACAUAUUCGCAUGGAGAAGUGUCACUCAUAUUUAUUUUCACUGACAUUUACCUCCUGACAUUUAUUUUCACUCACAUUUAACUCCCGGCCUUUUGGUUUUGGUUUAGUUUUCCCAUUCAAAUUUCAUAAAUCAUAGAAUUUUCUAUCGAAGUUUCAAGAUUUGUUUUUCUAAAAAAGGUACAUGUAUGCACUAUAUAUUAGAUCUAAUUUGUACCAGUAAUGUUACCAGCUACAUGAAUUUACUGCUGCAGAUAGUUUUUUUUUGUAUUGCAUAUGUAUAAAUCUUGUCCUUAAUUUUACUCAUUUCUCUUGCACAAAGUUAGCUUCAUAGUGCACAUGUAUGAUUUACCUAAUAUUAUUAUUUCAAUAUUCCAAAAUAUAAUUUUGUCUUAACAGAGUGAAAUAAUACACCAAUAAAAAAACAUUGUCUGUAUGCAUGAAAUUACAUAUGCUAUGCAAAACUCUUUAGUAUGUAUCGUCAUGAUCAUCCACAAUAUGAAAAAAUAGUAAAGAAACAAACAAGAGGAGCAGACACAUGGUUUUGGAUAGAGCAGUUUAGCACAAUAUAUUUUAUCCCUGUUUAUAUAACGUCUUCAUUGCUCACACUGUAGCUUCGUGAUAGUUUUAUUGGCUAUGAUAACAGAAGCUGCUGACACAUGGUUCUGGAAACAGAUAUAACAGCAGGUGUAAAUAUAAUAGCCGCAGCUCUAAAAAAUAAGCUGACAAAAGAAUCAUGAAGCUACAGUGAACUAUACUCCAUCCUCCCUUGUCUAGGGGCAACUUAAUUCGCUUUGCGAAGGAUAAUGCAUCCAUGGCAAACAGUUUCAGGGUUGUCAGAAUAAGAAAUCUUAUGCCUCCCGAUCAAGAUCUAGACAGAUUUUCAGGGCAUGGUGUGGCCGUCCAACUACCUGAUAAAAAAAAAGAUAAUGAAAAGGGCCCACAGCAUCAAACCAAUGACAGAUAUGUUCAGUUUCGAAUCUCUUAAUAUUUAGUUUGAAAGCUGCAGAUUUUCAGGUUGUGAGAGCCGAAACUCUUGGACCAAGCCAUAUGUUCAGUUUCGAAUCUGACCUAGUAGCGUCCUGGAACUAGUUAUCAUCGAUUGGCUGCCAAACUCCCCCAAGAAACUCCGCACACAUCUCUGCAAUCGAACCAGGGCAAAUUAAUUUAGCGAAGGGAACUCACAACGCAGUGUCUCUUGACACAUCAUCCUAUUUAGUGAAAACUAUUUAGAGACAAUGACCCCUAUUCAUUAUAUACUCAACACGUCUCUUAAUAUUUAAAGUAUCUUAUAAAUGUCGUAUCUAAAUGAUAUUCCAUUUAAUUAGUUUAUGGACCUUUUUUGCAUGUCAACAUUGUGGCCUACUCCAGUUGUGAAGACAAAAAUUGUGAGAUAAACCACAAAGGCUCAAAGCGUUAGUCACUAUACGCAGAAAAACAAGUUAAUUAAGAGCCAUAUCUACACUAAAUAGAACAUAGGGAAGCUCAUCGAUCCAUCACCGGCCACACUUCUUGAGUUAGGCGAAUGUUCUCUUUUGGAGACCAUUGAGGACAUGCGCAUUUCAUCGCUCCAUCUGCCUGUCACUACAAGGGAUAAGGCUACACUAGUAGAAAACAGGGUUUUGGUUCGGCCAGAAAAGAGCAUUAAUCCCGGUUGCAUUACGAACCGGGACUAAUGUGAGCAUUAGUCCAGGUUCGAGCGGCUAGGGCACCGUACAUGCAUUAGUCCCGGUUCAAAUGGGACCUUUAGUCCCGGUUGGUGCCACGAACCGGGACUAAAGGGUGCGAUGCCCAUUAGUACCGGUUCGUGGCAUCAACCAGUACUAAAGGUUAGAUCUUUAGUCCCGGUUCGAGCCACCAACCAGUACUAAUGGGGUUUGAGGCAUUAGUACCGGUUCAUGGCACGCCUUUUCAGUUUUGUAAAAAGCAAAAGAAAAUGAUAAAAACUUCAAAAAUUAAAAUCCUUCCAGAUGUAGUUAUGUUACUACAUGUCCUAGUUAGGAAAAUUUAAAAACUUCAAUUUGGACAUGUUUCGCAAAAAGUGUAGGGAAAAUGUAAAACGGCUAUAACUUUUGCAUACGAUGUCAGAAAAAACGUAUAAUAUAUCGAAAUGUUCAGCACGAAAAUCCGCAUCCGAUUUUGACAGCCUACGGCCUGUUUGUAAAUUUUUAGAAUCCUCAAAUUCUAAAAGGGAAAAAAGUUAUGCUAUUUCUGUUUUUUUAAUUUUUGUUAAAUCUGGUCAAACUAUGGUCAAACUACUUAUUCAAGAAGUAUUAGUGUUACUAAAUAAUUAUUCAAGAAUAUUAGUGUUACUAAAUAAUUAUUUCAGUUUUUUUGAAUUUUGGUCAAAUCUGGUCAAACUGUGGUCAAACAAUGGUCAAACUAAUUAUUCAAGAAAUAUUAGUGUUAGUAAAUAAUUAUUUCAGUUUUUUUGAAUUUUGGUCAAAUCUGGUCAAACUGUGGUCAAACUACUUAUUCAAGAAAUAUUAGUGUUACUAAAUAAUUAUUGUUUUUUAGAACAAUAGUUUCAAACUCAAACAGUGAAAUGUGUGACUUCAUGCUCAAGCUAAAUUCCUGAGGGUUAAUAGGAUUGACAUCUUACUAUUGUCAGGAAAACAACAAGUGCAGACUUGGAAACGAGGAAGAAUAUAACCCGGAAGUUAAGCGUGCUCAGGCUGGAGUAGUGAGAGGAUGGGUGACCGUUCGGGAAGUUAGAUGAUUUGGAAUGAUGAGGGGUGAUUAGAGAUUAGAGGUUAAAUUGAGCAGUGAUGAGGGGUGAUUAGAGAUUAGAGGUUAAAAUAAUUCAGAAAUUUGCAAAUCAAAAAAAAAAAUUUAAAAAAAAAAUCAUAAAAUUUCCUUCAGUACCGGUUGGUGUUACCAACCGGGACUAAAGGUGGACCUCACGUGGAGGGCCUUUAGUCCCGGUUCGUGUAAGAACCAGGACUAAAGGGGGAGGCUUUAGUAACGACCCUUUAGUCCCGGUUCCAGAACCGGGACUGAAGGCCCUUAUGAAGCGGGACUAAAAGCCCUUUUUCUACUAGUGCUAGUAGUGGCGCGGUUUAAAGGCAUAGGAGUAGCGCGGGUUGCCUCUCUACUUACAUUAGCAACUAUAUAAAAACUCAUCAUCAUCAUCAUCAUCAUCAUCAUCAUCAUCAUCAUGUAACAACUCAUCAGCGCGUAGCUAACUGGUUCCUAGUAAGACGGGCCAGGCUCGGCUCUAAUACUACUUACAUUAGUAGCAGCGCGGUGUUUGGCCCGUGCUACUAAUAACUAGCUAUAGCGCGAGGCCCCCCGCCACUACUAACUCUAUGUAUUUCCUUUCUACAUAUUAUACUAUAUUAUACAAUAAUUAUACAGAUUUUUAUACACUAGCAACUAUAUAACAACUCAUCAUCAUCAUCAUCAUCAUGUAACAAAUCAUCAUUAUCAAAAUGAUAUAACUCAUCAUCAUCGUAGUGAUAUAACAGCUCAUCAUGAUCAUAAUUAUAUAAAAAUGUCUCAUCAUCAUCGUCAUCAUCACCAUCAGCAUCAUCAUAAGUUAACCACUACUAGCUAAUUGUCAUCAUCCUAGGUAAGUAACUUUCAAGCACAUGACAAGUACUAUGACCUACUCUAGUGUCUUAGGUAAAAUAGAAUAAAACAGAAAAAAUAACUACAUCUCCAUGAUGGACCACAGAGAUCCCCGGUCUCCAAUUUGUUGCCCGCGCUCAUUGACUAUUUGCCUCCAUCAUUCAAUUUUGAGGCAUCCAUUUGAUUAACACUCAGUCAAGUAUGUAUAUUUGAAUCCGAUCUUCAAAGGGCAAAUAAUAGUCAUCUCACUUUUGACGUCCAUCAGCAGAGGCACAACAACAUUUGGGACCUUCCGCUGAAGUACAUAAUAGUAACAUAGUCGAAAUAUGCAGAUAUAGCAAGAAUGAUCCUAAUUUAUUUAGGCAUCACUACCAGUUUGCCCUCAAUGCCUCGAGCGCCAUCUGGCAGAUCAACCAAGUUCCAAACUUGAUUGUCAUCCAUGGACUUUAAUUCGGAUCUCAUGGUCUUAAGCCAUAACUCAGAAUCAGGGCUCUCCGUCGCUUCUGCAUACAUUGCCGACUCGUUGUUCUCCAAGAACAACACAUUGCAGUUAUGCAUAUUGCGCAACCUUUCCGACCUCUGUGGAAUCAGCGUCGACUCCACUAUGGGUUCCUUGACUAACUCCAUGUGGUUCUCGAAUUUCCUCUAGUCGGAUCAUCCUCCCACUAGCCUUCCGAUUGAGAAACUCUUUCUCAAGGAAAACUCCAUGUCGAGCGACAAACACUUUGCCCUCUUCACAGAUGUAGGAGUAAUAUCCCAAGGUUUCCCUUGGAUACCCCAUGAAUAUGCACUUGUCCGAUUUGGGUGUGCGCUUGUCUGACUGGAGUCGCUUGACGUAUGAUUCACAACCCCAAAUUUUUAGAGAAGACAAAGUUUGGCUCUUCGCAGUCCAUAUCUCAUAUGACGUCUUAUCUACAAACUUGGAUGGUACCCUAUUUAGUGUGAAAGCUGCAGUUUCUAGAGCGUAUCGCCAAAAUAACAAGGGUAAAUCCGACUGACUCGUCAUUGAUUGGGCCAUGUCUAACAGAGUCUGAUUCCUUCGUUCCAACACGCCAUUUCUCUGUGGCAUACCCCGAGGAGUCAGUUGUGGAACUAUCCUACGACUCUUCAGAUAAUCAUCAAACUCCUGGCUCAUAUACUCAUUCGCCACGAUCAGAUCGCAGAAGUUUGAUUCUCUUGUCGAGUUGAUUCUCCACUUCAUUCUGAAACUCCUUGAACUUUUCAAAAGUUUCUAACUUGUGCCUCAUCAAGUAGACAUAUCCAAAUCUACUCAAGUUAUCUGUAAACGUCAUGAAGUAUUGGAAACCACCUCUAGCUGGACUUGUUUUACCAUUGUUGAAAUGUCUUGUGCAUCGGGAUUCCGAGUCUGAUCGGAGGGUCUCGAGAUGGAGGAUUGUCUCUGCGGAUCGUGAGCUUGUCAUGGGCAAAGUUGGGACACCCCUGCAGGGUUUAAACUUUCGAGAGCCAUGCCCGCGGUUAUGUGGCAGAUGGGAAUUUGUUAAUAUCUGGUUGUAGAGGACUUGAACUAAACUCAAUUAAAAUACACCAACCGCGGGUGUAACCGUGACUGUCUCUUUCCAGGUGCGUUCGAGAAGAGAAUACGGUUGGGUUAUGUUUGAACGUAAGUGGUUUAGGAUCACUUCUUGAUCACUAUUAGUUUGCGACCGUUGUGUAGAUUCUCUUCUUACUUUUGUACUCGUAAGUUAGCCACCAUACAAAUGCUUAGUGCUUGCUGCAGCUUCACCACUAUCCAUUCCAUACCCAUUAAGCUUUGCUAGUCUUCAUACCCAUGGUAAUGGGAUUGCUGAGUCCUCGUGGCUCACAGAUGACUACAACAAUAGUUGUAGGUACAGGUAAUGCAAUGAUCUGACGUGAGAGCGAUGCUUGAUUGCUUUUGGAGUUCUUCUUCUUCUUCGAUCAAGGGAUUAGGUUCCGGGUCGGGGAGCCUGGGAUUAGUGGGGUGGAUAUUAUUCUUCUUUUUUGUUUGAUUUCAUCCGUAGUCGGAUCCUGCCCUUCUGUGUGCGCUCGAAAUGCGGUUGGAACAGACGAUCGCUAGACAGCGCGCCCGCAUUGCCACCCUCAAAGACGGUGAUGCCAGCUCUGCCUUCUUUCACCGGCAGUGCUCGUUUCAAUGACAGAAAAACCGCAUCUUCUGCCUCUCUGCGAACGGCACGCUACUCACAGACCAUGACGAGAUGGCCGAGGCUGCAUUCCGGCACUAUGACACACUGCUUGGCACGGCGGUCGAACACGACCACUCGAUGGACCUGUCGCAGCUCAUCGAGGGGAGCGAUCUCUCCGACCUUGACGCGACCUUUUGCCCGGAGGAGAGAUGGGAAGCUGUGAAACGCCUCCCCGCGCACAAGGCAGCUGAGCCUGAUGGCUUUAGCGCUGAAUUUCUCCGCGUGUGCCGGAGCAUCAUCAAGCAGGACUUCAUGGAUGUGUUCCAGUAGCUCUUCGAGCUGCGUGGCCGUGGCUUCUGCAAGGUCAACCAGGCCCUUCUCACGCUGCUGCCGAAGCCCAGGAGGUGCGCAACUACCGCCCGAUAUGCCUCAUUCAUAUCGUGGCCAAGGUACUCGCGAAGGCCCUCUCGCUCCGGCUAGCUCCAAAACUUGACCGCUUUGUCAGCCGCAAUCAAAACGCGUUCAUCCUCGGACGGAGCCUACACGACAACUUUAUGCUCGUCAGGCAAUCGGUCAAGCUGCUGAGCCAACUUGGGGGCCCCAGGGUGAUGCUCAAGCUCGACCUCACGCGCGCUUUUGACUCCAUCUCCUGGCCGUUCCUCUUUGAGGUUCUGCGCCAAUUUGGGUUCGGGAAUCGCUUCCUCGAAUGGAUCGCCAUCCUCCUGUCCUCGGCAAGCACUCGGGUGUAGUUGAUUGGUGUCCCAGGCCCACUGAUAUGGCAUAAGGGAGGGCUGCGGCAGGGGGGACUCCUUGUCCCCGCAGCUGUUCGUGCUCGCGGUCGACACUCUCGGCCGGCUGAUUCGGCGCGCCCAUGAUACGGGCAUCCUCCAGCCGCUGCAUCUGCGGAGGCCGAUACCGGCUAUAUCCCUAUACGCCGACGACGUCAUGCUCUUUUGCCAUGCCACGGAGAGUGACGUGACUGUCGUCAAGGAAAUCCUUGACCUGUUUGGUAGAGCGUCCAGCCUCAAGGUGAACUACACCAAGAGCUCGGCCACGGUCUUGCAUCGGGAAUAGGUUGCCUCCGAGAUGAUCACCAGCUUGGGGUGUUCGACUGCCGCGCUCCCGGUCACCUACCUCGGUAUACCUCUGACGAUGCGCCGCCCUUCCGCCGGGCAGUUGCAGCCCCUUGUCGACAAGGUCACCGGACGCUUGCCCACCUGGAAAGCAUGGCUCAUGAACAGAGCCGGCAGGCUCGCCCUCGUCAAGUUCUUCCUUUGCACUAUCCCGGUGCACCAGCGGGUUGCAUUUGCCCCCUCGAAGAAAAGACUGCAGCAACUCGAGAAAAUUCAACGAGGGUUCCUCUGGGCCGGGCGAGCCAUCACCAACGGCGGGCACUGCCAUGUGAACUGGCAUCAUGCUUCCCGCCCGCUCGCGCUUGGCAGCCUUGGGGUUCGUGAUGUCGAGCGCGUUGGACUCGCGCUCAGGCUGCGGUGGCUCUGGCUCUCGCGAACGGACGAAGGGCGCGCCUGGCAGGGGCUGGACCUCCAAUUUUCUAGCAACGAGCGUACACUGUUCUUUGCCUCCACCUACAUGACCAUUGGAAAUGGCAUGAACGCCCUGUUCUGGGAGGAUCGAUGGCUCAACGGGCACUCGGUUGGCGAGCUCAUGCCCCUGUUCUACAGCUGCAUCCCCAAACGCCGGCGCAAAGCUAGAACGGUGGCCGAAGGUCUCAACUGCAACGCAUUGGCCCAUGACAUCCAGGGCGUCCUCGUCAUCCACGAGAUAGGCCAGUAUCUACAGCUUUGGCAACUCACGGAACAGGCUAUGCUCAGCGAUGCUCCUGACCAGCUGAUCUGUAAGCAGACUGCGAGCGGCAUCUAUUCGGCGCAGUCUUGCUACGCGGCUACCUUCCAAGGAUCAGUGCACUCCUACUCUUGGAAGUUGAUCUGGAAGGCUUGGGCUCCCCCUCGACUCAAGUUUUUCCAUUGGCUUGCCAACCUGGAUCGCUGCUGGACUGCCGAUCGACUGGCCUGCCAAAGACUGCAGCAUCAUCUGUGCUGCCUUCUUUGCGAUCAGGCGCCGGAAAUGAUCCGGCACCUCAUGCUUGACUGCCCCUUCUCUAGGCAGGCAUGGCAUGAGACCCUGGCCUGGCUACGCAUACCGGCGUCGAUCCCCAACCAGGAGCCCACCCUCAUGGACUGGUGGCGGCACGCCGCAAGCACAACGCAAGGCCCUGCAAUCCGUAGUGCUACUCGUACCAUGGCUCGUCUGGAAGCAUAUGAACAGCCACGUCUUCGACAGCGCGACGCCCUCCCUAGGCACGCUAGUCGACCGGAUCAAGGAGGAAGCCGACUCCUGGGCUAAGGCCGGAGCAGUAGGCCUUAGAGUAGUCCUACCCCCUUUAUGGGACGUGCACUGAGCAUUGUAUCUGAUCCUUCAUUAUUCAUCCUAGGACGACUGUAACUGACUCCCUACCUUUUCAAUGAAAAGAAACGGAAAGGUCUUUUGCAUUUUCUCGAGAAAAAAAAGAAUGACCUUGAGGCAAGCUCAAUGAAAAUACGUUUUCCAAAGGUUUCAAGACUAUCUUCCUUGUGCUCUGGGAUAAAGCCAUUUGCAAUUCAUAGUCAGAUCAGCUUGUCCACAUCAAUCUUGUAAUCCUUUGGAAAUAUAGCACAAAAGGAAAAGCAUUGCUUCAUGUGUGAUGGCAAGUCAUUGUAGCUAAGCUUUAAUAUUGGCAGAAUCCAGUUUCCAAAGUGCAAAUGCUGCUACUAGAUGAUAUAGCCUUCCACUCUUCGACGCUAGUCUUGGUACGAAGUACAUAGCCCAAUGCAGUUGCAGCUAAAGGAGAGCCAGAACAUCAGCUUACAAUCUCAUCAACCAUCUUGCUUAGCUCGACAGGCUUUUCUUUCUCCGAACUGAAUGCUCUAGCCUCAGUAAUUUCCUUUACGAAGAAAUCCUCCACAAUAUUGAGAUUGUAGGCUCUACCUGCACCCAUAAUUUCAGUGACUUGUUUAUCACGAGUUCUUGUUAACAUUGCACUACCCAUGCCACCAUGUUGAGGACAGACCUUCAGCCUUCCCAACUUAUAGACCUCUCUGUUCCAGACAUCAUCCAAUACAUGGAGAUACCUGUGCCCGCUGUCCAGUUUUUGAAAUCUAUCCAAAGGUAUCAUAGACCUCUCUGGGGGAUGCCCGCUGUACCCAGAGCUGCAACUGAAAAUGAUUCUGAAUUUCAGGUUCAUUGUAUAUGAGUUACGCUAAUGUGGUCUUGCCAAGGCCCCCCAUUCCAACAAUGGGAACUACUGCGAGAUCAGUAUUGCUAGCUUGACCAAGUAGUAUGUCAACGAUAUUAUUCUUAUCUCCGUGUUUGGAUCUGUUGGCAAUUUCUUGUUGGUCGCUGAUGACAUAAUCUGUGUGCCUCCACUCCUUGGACACUCGUGUUUGCCUCAACUGAUUAGACACCAACAACGUCUGCCUCAACAUAAGCGCGACGCGUUGUUGGGCUAGGCCCAGAACGGUGCGCGGGCAGGUGGGGCGUAUUUUUACCGUAGUAACUGUUUCGUCCGCUGCGCUUCCCCACGACCUGCGUUGAACACGCACGUGGAGGGUCGUGCGUGACGUGGGGGUCAUGCGUGGGGCGGUCUCCACACGCAUGCGUCACAUCGCAUUUAAUGGGAAAAGAGGCGGCCCACGCCUUCCCCGUAAAAAGGAAUAACAGCGGGCGCGCUGUUCAUUUACCCCCUGCGUCUUCUUCAAUCUCGGAAUCGCCGUCCCCUUCUUCUUCCUUCUCAAACUCUCGCCUUUGCUCGUUGCCGCCGCAUCUUCGCUGUCCUCCGUCCUUUGCCUCUCGCAGCCGCCAUGGCCCCCAAAACAAGUAAAGGAAAGGGAGUGGCCAAGGAUGCCGGGGCGAAGGAGCCGCCGGAGAGCGAGUUGGUGGCGCGGCGGACGCAUCUCGCCUACUUCCCCUCGACGGUCGACGCGGUCGAACUCCGGGACUACUUCAGGNNNNNNNNNNNNNNNNNNNNNNNNNNNNNNNNNNNNNNNNNNNNNNNNNNNNNNNNNNNNNNNNNNNNNNNNNNNNNNNNNNNNNNNNNNNNNNNNNNNNNNNNNNNNNNNNNNNNNNNNNNNNNNNNNNNNNNNNNNNNNNNNNNNNNNNNNNNNNNNNNNNNNNNNNNNNNNNNNNNNNNNNNNNNNNNNNNNNNNNNNNNNNNNNNNNNNNNNNNNNNNNNNNNNNNNNNNNNNNNNNNNNNNNNNNNNNNNNNNNNNNNNNNNNNNNNNNNNNNNNNNNNNNNNNNNNNNGCGUGUCAUCCCCGCCAAUUGCGCCGAGGCCGCCCCGAAUCGGUAUCCGUUCUUCGUCGAUUACUUUUCUUGCGGUCUCUGCCCCCCUUUCUCCGAUUUCUUCAAUGAUGUCAUGCACACAUUUGGCUUCCACCUUCUGGAUUUCACUCCCAAUGCCGUGGCGUGCAUGGCUCUUUUCGCCCAUCUCUGUGAGGGCUUCGCCGGAGUUCUUCCCAACACAUUGCCCUUCCGCUAUUAGUUUUACCCUCGCAUCCAAAAGGGAGGCGCCAUCUCUGGUUGCGUCGCCUGGAUACCAAGGUCCAAAGGGACGUACCCGGAGGGCGCCCAGAAGGAGAGGUUGGAAGAGUGGCGGGGCCGGUGGUGCUGGAUUGGGGAGGACGACCCGCCGGAAUUUUUCCGGGUUCGUCAGGCGCCGCCGGUUCGCAGGAACGACUGGGGCGAUGUCAACGCCCUGGAUGACAAGCUCAAGGUCGCCACCACCAGGAUUCACCGCCUCACCGUUGCCGGGCUCACCCUGGAGAUGAUUGGGGCGGACUUGAUCCGCCGCCGAAUCGCUCCACUGCACAACAAGGGGAGACCGGCCUGGCUCUUCCAAAACGCGGCUGACAUCAUGAGGCUUCACUCUGGCCUCAACAACAACUUCACGGUGAUGGGGCACGCCCACUUCUGCUAGCGGAUCUUUCAGCUCGACGUGAACCGCGACGGCAGGGCCAAGAGGUCCGGCAAGGCUGCAAAGGCCGGCAAGGUCCUCAAGGGGCCCUUGUUUGGGUUGCCAGCGGGGGUGGUCCCGCUGAGCAACAACUCGCGCCAGACCGACAUCAUCGCCAUGAUGUCGGACUACAAUGCACACGGUCCCGUCCCAAAUUGGUUCGAGCCGCUAGCGGAUCAGGUGCAGGAGUUCUUUGAUACUUUGGCGGAGAAGUAUGUCUGCGACGAGCCGCUGCUCAUCUAGGACACCACCCAAGCAGAGCUGGACUACAUCGCCGCCAGGGCGGCGGAGGCGGAGCUCGCUAGGGAGGCCGGCAGCGCUGGCGGCAUGGAGGACGAGGUCGCAGCAGCCGCAGAGGAGAGGGAGCUCGCCCAGUGGGAGGAAUCCGAUGGGGAGGCCAGCAGCGCCAGCACCGGGGCCCCUCUUAUUGAAGAUGUGGUCGACGAUUCGGAGGAGGAGGAGGUCGAGGCUGUCGAUCCUCCGGUCAUGGGGAGAGGGCGAGUCCUGCGGCGGGCCAGCUCCGGCAAGCCGGUCCAGCCCGGCAGGGCUGUGCAACCGCAGCAGACCUAGGAGGGGUAUGUGCGCCAGACAAGGGCCGCGGUGGCGAGGAAGUUGGUGAAGGCCGUGGUGGCGAAGAAGAAAGCAACAACCUCUUCUUCGUUCAAGCGUGGCCAGACUCCACCUUCUUCCCCUCCUCGGGCAGACGUUGACACGGAGGUCGUCUUCGACUUUGGGUCCCUCAGCCCAAGGAGGAAGAGGAAGGCAUCAGAAGAGGAGGUGGAGGAUGAGUAAGUUUCUUGUUACUUUUUGUCAUCUCCGUCUCCUCAGACUGUGCUGCUUAUCUCGAUUUGUUUUCAUCUUUGCAGGGAUGCGGAGACGCUGGCCCAGAGGGUGAAGAGGGCCAGGUCCUCGGCUGGCGGCCGGCCUCCGGCGGGCACUUCGAGGAUGCCACUAGUGGUGGUGAGCAGCCCGGACAGCAGUCCCCGAAGCAGCCCCCGGCGUAAGUUCCCCACUCGUCCCUCGUCAACGUGUGUUGGGGGUACGAUCCCUUGGCGCUAACCUUGCCGUGAUUGCAGGAGGAGGACAACAGGAGGAGGAGCCACGGAGGGUUACCCCCAACACGCUGCCCCCAUCGACCACGCCGCCCCGAGGGGUGGUGUCUACUACGCAACCUUCUUCUUGUAGACGUUGUUGGGCCUCCAAGUGCAGAGGUUUGUAGGACAGUAGAAAAUUUCCCUCAAGUGGAUGACCUAAGGUUUAUCAAUCCGUGGGAGGCGUAGGAUGAAGAUGGUCUCUCUCAAGCAACCCUGCAACCAAAUAACAAAGAGUCUCUUGUGUCCCCAACACACCCAAUACAAUGGUAAAUUGUAUAGGUGCACUAGUUCGACGAAGAGAUGGUGAUACAAGUGUAAUAUGGAUGGUAGAUAUAGGUUUUUGUAAUAUGAAAAUAUAAAAACAGCAAGCUAACUAAUGAUAAAAGUGAGCACAAACGGUAUUGCAAUGCGUUGAAACAAGGCCUAGGGUUCAUACAUUCACUAGUGCAAGUUCUCUCAACAAUAAUAACAUAAUUGGAUCAUAUAACUAUCCCUCAACGUGCAACAAAGAGUCACUCCAAAGUCACUAAUAGAGGAGAACAAACGAAGAGAUUAUGGUAGGGUACGAAACCACCUCAAAGUUAUUCUUUCGGAUCGAUCUUAUUCAAGAGUUCGUACUAGAAUAACACCUUAAGACAAAAUCAACCAAAACCCUAAUGUCACCUAGAUACUCCAAUGUGACCUCAAGUAUCCGUGGGUAUGAUUAUACGAUAUGCAUCACACAAUCUCAGAUUAAUCUAUUCAAACCAACACAAAGUACUUCAAAGAGUGUCCCAAAGUUUCUACCAGAGAGUCAAGACGAAAACGUGUGCCAACCCCUAUGCAUAGGUUCAUGGGCGGAACCCGCAAGUUGAUCACCAAAACAUACAUCAAGUGGAUCACGUGAUAUCCCAUUGUCACCAGAGAUACGCACAUGCAAGACAUACGUCAAGUGUUCUCAAAUCCUCAAAGACUCAAUCCGAUAAGAUAACUUCAAAGGGAAAACUCAAUCCAUUACAAGAGUGUAGAGGGGGAGAAACACCAUAAGAUCCAACUAUAAUAGCAAAGCUCGCGAUACAUCAAGAUCGUACCACCUCAAGAACACAAGAGAGAGAGAGAGAGAGAGAUCAAACACAUAGCUACUGGUACAUACCCUCAGCCCCGAGGGUGAACUACUCCCUCCUCGUCAUGGAGAGCGCGGGGAUGAUGAAGAUGGCCACCGGUGAGGGUUUCCCCCUCCGGCAGGGUGCCGGAACAGGGUCCCGAUUGGUUUUUGGUGGCUACAGAGGCUUGCGGCGGCGGAACUCCCGAUCUAUUCUGUUCACCUAUGUUUUUAGGGUAUAUGGAUAUAUAUAGGCGAAAGAAGUCGGUAAGGGGAGCCACGAGGGGCCCACGAGGGUGGAGGGCACGCCCAGGGGGUGGGCGCGCCCCCUACCUCGUGCCUUCCUUGUUGCUUCCCUUACGUACACUCCAAGUCUUCUGGAUUGCUUCGGUUCCAAAAAUAACUCUCCCGAAGGUUUCAUUCCGUUUGGACUCCGUUUGAUAUUCCUUUUCUGCGAAACACUGAAACAAGGAGAAAAACUGAAACUAGCACUGGGCUCUGGGUUAAUAAGUUAGUCCCAAAAAUAAUAUAAAAGUGCAUAGUAAAUCCCAUUAAACAUCCAAGAUGGAUAAUAUAAUAGCAUGAAUACUUCAUAAAUUAUAGAUACGUUGGAGACGUAUCAGCAUCCCCAAGCUUAAUUCCUGCUCGUCCUCGAGUAGGUAAAUGAUAUAAGAAAUAAUUAUGAAGUGUGAAUGCUAGCAGGUGCACAAGUUUGAUCAAUGAUAAUUUCAAUCACCUUUUCAAGCAUCAUUAUAUGUCAUAACAGUAGCUCAACUCAUAAAACUUUUCAUGAUCAAGUAACAAGCUAUUCACAUAUUAAAGCAUAGACCAUAAACUUUCUUGAAAACUAACAAACUAUGUUCUCAGUCAUCAAACAAUUGCAAUUCAUCUUAUUUUCAGGAAGGGUCUAUGUAAGAGCUUUGAUUUAGCAAAUCCCACAUACUCAACUAUCAUAUAGUCUUCCAUGAUUGCUACCACUCAAAGCAUAUUUUCGGAACAAAUAGCAUCCAUCGAACACAGAGAAAGAUAGGGGCUUAAUGUUUCGCCUCCCAACUUAUUUAUCAUAUAGAUAAUUGUCAACAAUAAUAAUUCAUGAUCAAAUAUAUUUGAAUGGCCAUAUAUGCUUAGAUCUUUCCAUCACAUGAUGCUUGCCAACUAAAAAGUAGGUUGGAAUGAGAAGGAAUACUACUGACUCUUGCAUAAAAGUAAAAGAUAGGCCCUUCACAGAGGGAAGCAGGGAUUUGCAGAGGUGCCAGAGCUCGAAGCUAAAACAGAGAUGAAAAUAAUUUUGAGAGGUAUGCUUUCAUUGUCAACAUAACGACCAAGAGUUCCCAAUAUCUUCCAUACUACAUACAUUAUAGGCGGUUCCCACGCGGAAAGGUAAAGUUUUUACUCCCCCUCCACCAACAUUCACACUCCACGGCUUGUCCGAAACAAUGGGUGCCGUCCAACUAUCAACAUUCUUGGGGGAGUUUGUUGAAAUUAUUUGUGAAUUUGUUUUUGAUCUUUUGAUCAUAGGACUGGGCAUCCCAGUUACCAGCCAUUUUCUCGUGAAUGAUGAGCGGUGUCCACUCAUCGUGAGAAUAACCCACCCAGCAUGGAAGAUACUGACAGCCCCUAGUCGCUACAUGAGCGAUUCGGGCAUACAAAACAGAUUAUUAUUUGAAGGUUUAGAGUUUGGCACAUGCAAAUUUACUUGGAACGGCAGGUAAAUACCGCAUAUAGGUAGAUAUGGUGGACACUCAUGGAAGAAACUUGGUUCGAGGAAUUUGGAUGCACAAGCAGUAUUCCUGCUUAGUACAGACAUUUUGGCUAGCAAAUGAUUCUAAAUAGCAAGCACCACAAGUUAGAGGAUCCAUAACAAUAUAACUUCUAUACAAAUAUACCCAAGCAUAACUCAUUAUGUUGUCUUCCUUGUCCAACUUCAACUAAUUUGCUCAGGUUUGCUAAUAAUUAAUGGGGCUCACGAUCAUAGAAGAUGUCCAAGAUAGUAUUAUAUGUGAAAUCUCUCUUCCUUCAAUAUUCUUUCAUGAAUUGUUCAAGUGACAAAUACAAAGUUUGCUAACCUUCAAAAAAUUUACCACCUCUACUUCUUAUAUGUGAAGUCAUUACUCCCCAUGGGAUAAGUAUAUGAAACAUAUAUAAUUUCAGAUUUAUAAUAUUCAAAUCAUUCAACUAUUUACUCAUAGGAUAUAAGUGAAGCACACGAGUAAAUGACAAACUACUCCAAAAAGAUAUAAGUGAAGAUCAAUGAGUAGUUAAAUAAUUAUGUAGUUAUCUGAAGACUCUAUCUCAUUUAAGAAUUUCAGAUCUUGGUAUUUUAUUCAUACAGCAAGCAAAACAAAAGAAAAUAAAAUGACGCUCCAAGUAAAACACAUAUCAUGUGGUGAAUAAAAAUAUAGCUCCAAGUAAAGUUACCGAUGAACGAAGACGAAAGAGGGGAUGCCAUCCGGGGCAUCCCCAAGCUUAGGCUCUUGGUUGUCCUUGAAUAUUACCUUGGGGUGCCUUGGGCUUCCCCAAGCUUAGGCUCUUGCCACUCCUUAUUCCAUAGUCCAUCGAAUCUUUACCCAAAACUUGAAAACUUCACAACACAAAACUUAACAGAAGAUCUCGUGAGCUCCGUUAGCGAAAGAAAACAAAACACCACUUCAAGGUACUGUAAUGAACUCAUUAUUUAUUUGUAUUGGUGUUAAAUCUAAUGUAUUCCAACUUCUCUAUGGUUUACAAACUAUUUUACAAGCCAUAGAUUCAUCAAAAUAAGCAAACAACACACGAAAAACAGAAUCUGUCAAAAACAGAACAGUCUGUAGUAAUCUGUAACUAACGCAAACUUCUUGAACUCAACAAAUUCUACCAAAAUAGGACGACCUAGAUAAUUUUAUUAUUGAUCUGAUGCAAUUGGAAUCAGUAUUUUAUCACGUUCUGGUGAUUUUAAACAAUUGUUUUCGUGAACAGAAAGUUUCUGGAAUUUUCAGCAAGAUCAAAUAACUAUCAUCCAAGAAGAUCCUAUAGGUCUUACUUGGCGCAAACACUAAUUAAAACAUAAAACCACAUCUAAACAGAGGCUAGAUAGAUUAUUUAUUGCUAAACAGAACCAUAAAGAAAGAACAAAAAUAAAAAUCGGGUUGCCUCCCAACAAGCGCUAACGUUUAACGCCCCUAGCUAGGCAUGAUGAUUUCAAUGAUGCUCGCAUAAAAGAUAAGAAUUGAAAUAUAAAGAGAGCAUCAUGAAAAAUAUGACUAGCACAUUUAAGUCUAACCCACUUCCUAUGCAUAGGGAUUUUGUGAGAAAACAACUUAUGGGAACAAUAAUCAACUAGCAUAGGAAGGCAAAACAAGCAUAACUUCAAAACUUUAAGCACAUAGAGAGGAAACAUGAUAUUAUUGCAAUUCAUACAAGCAUACAUUCCUCCCUCAUAAUAAUUUUCAGUAGCAUCAUGAAUGAAUUCAACAAUAUAACCAGCACCUAAAGCAUUCUUUUCAUGAUCUACUUGCAUAGAAAUUUUCCUACUCUCCACGUAAGCAAAUUUAUUCUCAUCAAUAGUAGUGGGAGCAAACUCAACAAAAUAACUAUCAUGUGAUUGAAAAUUAAGAUCAAGAUGACAAGUUUCAUGGUUAUCAUUAUUCUUUAUAGCAUACGUGUCAUCACAAUAAUCAUCAUAGGUAGGAGGCAUGCUUUCAUCAUAAUAAAUUUGCUCAUCAAAACUUGGGGGACAAAAAAUAUCAUCUUCAUCAAACAUAGCUUCCCCAAGCUUGUAAUCAUGCUCAUCAUUCAAAUAUUUAGUGCCAAACAUUCUAAUGCAUUCUUCCUCUAGCAAUUGAGCGCAAUUAUCGGAAUCCUUAUUUUCACGGAAGACAUUAAAAAGAUGAAGCAUAUGAGGCACACUCAAUUCCAUUUUUUGUAGUUUUCUUUUAUAAAAUAAACUAGUGAUAAAACAAGAAACUAAAAGAUUCCAUUGCAAGAUCUAAAUAUAUACCUUCAAGCACUCACCUCCCCGACAACGGCGCUAGAAAAGAGCUUAGUUGACGGGGUGUGAGUGCCGCUUACCUAGCCUCCCCGGCAACGGCGCCAGAAAAGAGCUUGAUGUCUACUACGCAACCUUCUUCUUGUAGACGUUGUUGGGCCUCCAAGUGCAGAGGUUUGUAGGACAGUAGCAAAUUUCCCUCAAGUGAAUGACCUAAGGUUUAUCAAUCCGUGGGAGGCGUAGGAUGAAGAUGGUCUCUCUCAAGCAACCCUGCAACCAAAUAACAAAGAGUCUCUUGUGUCCCCAAAACACCCAAUACAAUGGUAAAUUGUAUAUGUGCACUAGUUCGGCGAAGAGAUGGUGAUACAAGUGUAAUAUGGAUGGUAGAUAUAGGUUUUUGUAAUCUGAAAAUAUAAAAACAGCAAGGUAACUAAUGAUAAAAGUGAGCACGAACGGUAUUGCAAUGCGUUGAAACAAGGCCUAGGGUUCAUACUUUCACUGGUGCAAGUUCUCUUAACAAUAAUAACAUAAUUGGAUCAUAUAACUAUCCCUCAACAUGCAACAAAGAGUCACUCCAAAGUCACUAAUAGAGGAGAACAAACGAAGAGAUUACGGUAGGGUACGAAACCACCUCAAAGUUAUUCUUUCGGAUGAUCUUAUUCAAGAGUUCGUACUAGAAUAACACCUUAAGACACAAAUCAACCAAAACCCUAAUGUCACCUAGAUACUCCAAUGUCACCUCAAGUAUCCGUGGGUAUGAUUAUACGAUAUGCAUCACACAAUCUCAGAUUGAUCUAUUCAAACCAACACAGAGUACUUCAAAGAGUGUCCCAAAGUUUCUACCGGAGAGUCAAGAUGAAAACGUGUGCCAACCCCUAUGCAUAGGUUCAUGGGCGGAACCCGCAAGUUGAUCACCAAAACAUACAUCAAGUGGAUCACGUGAUAUCCCAUUGUCACCACAGAUAUGCACAUGCAAGACAUACAUCAAGUGUUCUCAAAUCCUUAAAGACUCAAUCCGAUAAGAUAACUUCAAAGGGAAAACUCAAUCCAUUACAGGAGUGUAGAGGGGGAGAAACAUCAUAAGAUCCAACUAUAAUAGGAAAGCUCGCGAUACAUCAAGGUUGUACCACCUCAAGAACACGAGAGAGAGAUCAAACACAUAGCUACUGGUGCAUACCCUCAGCCCCGAGGGUGAACUACUCCCUCCUCGUCAUGGAGAGCGCGGGAAUGAUGAAGAUGGCCACCGGUGAGGGUUCCCCCCUCCUGCAGGGUGCAGGAACAGGUUCUCGAUUUGUUUUUGGUGGCUACAGAGGCUUGCGGCGGCGGAACUCCUGAUCUAUUCUGUUCCCCGAUGUUUUUAGGGUAUAUGGAUAUAUAUAGGCGAAAGAAGUCGGUAAGGGGAGCCACAAGGGGCCCACGAGGGUGGAGGGCGCGCCUAGGGGGGUGGGCGCGCCCCCUGUCUCGUGCCUUCCUCGUUGCUUCCCUUACGUACACUCCAAGCCUUCUGGAUUGCUUCCGUUCCAAAAAUAACUGUCCCGAAGGUUUCAUUCCCUUUGGACUCCGUUUGAUAUUCCUUUUCUGCGAAACACUGAAACAAGGAGAAAAAACUGAAACUAGCACUGGGCUCUGGGUUAAUAAGUUAGUCCCAAAAAUAAUAUAAAAGUGCGUAGUAAAGCCCAUUAAACAUCCAAGAUGGAUAAUAUAAUAGCAUGAAUACUUCAUAAAUUAUAGAUACGUUGGAGACGUAUCAAGGGGCGUCCCCGGCAAGGGCGCCAAGCACCGAGCCCAUGCACACAGAGGAGGAGGAGGCAGACUUGGGCGCUAGUGGCUCCGCCUCGGUGCCAGAUGUUGGCAGGGAAGGGGCUACUUCUUCCCAGCCCGGCACGGGUACGUCACUUGCCUCCUGUCCCUGCUUUUUCUUCUUCUUUUUGAAUCUUGGUCUUGGCUCCGCCUCAUCCCCUUCUCGAUAUCCAGACCCUCCCUCGGCGGACCGGGAGGACAUAGACACCGUCAUCGAGGAUGUCGCCAAGGACACCGCGGCGGAGGCCGAGAAGAUUGCCGCCGAGGAGGCCGCCAAGGGCGCUGCCGAGGACGCCGCAAAGCGAUCUGCCGGGGAGUCCGGCAUGUCUACUGCCAAAGUGGCCGGCAAGGGGCCUGCCGGGGAGGCCGGCAAGGCCGCUGCCGGGGAGGAGGUGGUUAACGACCAACCUUCCUCCUCUGCUGCCUCUGGUUCCGGCAGGUAUCUGAAGGUGAGCGACGACCUAUUCGUCAACCUCCUAGGGACGGCGAGCACUAGGGCGCCCACCGAGGGAGAGGUGUUCGACGAGGAGGUGCUUGCCGCCGCUGGGCUCGAGGUUGUUGACGAGUCGAGCGCCGGUGGCGACGGUUCCCAGGAAGAGCGGCUCCUUCAGGCCAUGGGCGCCAGCUUUCGGAAGCUCCAGGCGCUCCACCGCGCCCGCCUGGACAAGGCCAAGUCCAGGAUGGCAGCGGUGGAAAAGGCGGAGGCGGACCUCGAGGGUCGCAUCGUCGAGACGCAGGCUUGGUUCCGCCAGGGCUGCGAGGAGCUGAAGACCGCCCAGGACGAGCUGGCCAAGCGCAAGGUGGAGCUCGUCAUGAAGCAGGCCGACAUCGAGAGGGGCCAGGAGUUGGCGAAGAACCAGGCCGCCAAGGACGAGGUCGCUCGGUCCCAGCACCAGGCCGCGCUGAACUCCCAGGAAGAGGACCUUGCCGCUCGCGAGGAGAAGCUCGCCGUGACACUCCGCGGCAAGGACGAGGAGGUCAAGAAGCUUGUCCUGCAGCGGACCCAGGAGUUGGAGCAGAAGCACGAGGAGGCGCUCAAUGCCCAGGCUUAGGUCCACGCCGGCAAGGUGAAGGAGCUGGAGGUGGAGCGGGACGAGCUGAAGAAGCAGGCCCUGGAGUUGACGGCGGAGAGGGACGCUGCCAAAGGUGCCCUGGCCGACGCGCAGGCCGCAGUCCUCAGCAAGGCCGGGCUACUCUCCACGGCCAACGAGACCAUCAAGGACCUGAAGCUGAAGCUGGAGGGCCUUGAGGGGACGCUCUCGGAGGCCAAGGCCCGGGAGGAGACCCUGGCCAAAGAUUUGGAGGCCGAGAAGCAGCUGCGGAAGAACGAAACCGCCAACCACAAGGAUUUUGUGGAGGGCGAGAACCGCUGGAUCAGCCGCCUCAAAGGCGUCGCCGGCAGGAUCACCACGCAGCUGGCUACGAUGGGGAUGCCAAAUGUGAGGUACGCCCCGGAGCCCAAUGUGACUCCCAAUGCCAAGCUGACCCUAUUCUUCGAGGGUGUCCUUGGAGCCCUGGAGCAUCUUCGCUCCAGCAGGGCGGCCUCUUUGGCCGAUGAGGCCCGGAAGCUUUGCCGGGGUGCCAUGACCAAGGUCCUCACCAAGGUGGCGUACUGGAACCCCGACCUCGACUUCGACGCCGCACUAGAGAGCUUGCCGGAGGAUGCUGACCUCGCGGCGCUCAAGGAGCGUAUCAAGCCCAUCAUCAGUCGCGUCGACGGAAUCCAGAGGGUGGAGGGCCAGCGCUGGGAUUAGGCACCCCGUUUCUCAUUGCCGCUGCAGGUUCAUGACCAUGACAAUUUCUAUCUUUAGUUAGAACCGCGGCAACAACUGAUGUAAUAUAACUCUGCAGUACAUUCGUGAUGAUGUAUGUUAUCUUCCUGUUUGAUCUUCCUUUGUAUGUUCACCCUACGUUAAUCGGGUAGGCUUGCCGGCGCGUAAACCCAGGCCGCGGCGCCUUGAGGAUGGAUCCCCAAUGGCCUGCCGGGUAUGCUUGCUGCCAGGCGAACCACCUUACCGCAUUAGUAGAAAACAGGGCUUUGGUUCCGGCCUGGCCAGCCCAUUAGUCCCGGUUCUUCAUGAACCGGGACCCAUGGGGGGCAUUAGUCCCGGUUCAUGAGCCCAGGGGGCCGUCCGGGGCCUCGUGGGCAUUGGUCCAGGUUCCUCUGGAUCCAUUUGUACCGGUUCUAGAGGGCCGCGCUCCUUGCCCACAGCCAUUGGUACCGGUUCGUGCCUAUAACCGGGACAGAAGGGGGGGGGGCUUUAGUACCGGUUCGUGCCACAAACCGGGACAAAUAAGUUGCCUAUAUAUACUCGUCGCCGCAGCAGAGCACUCCACAGUGCUCUGUUUUUUCUGGCCGGCGAGGGGAGGGCAUUUGGGUGCUCUAGCUCACCUCCUAUGCACAUGAGGUGUUUGAUGAAAUGCCCGAGCGACACUAGUUAAGCUUUCUCCUCUUGAAGCUCGACCUCGGAGCUCCAUUUUUCCCAAGAUUUGUCUAGAUUUAGCGGUCCGUCACGCCCCGUCCCCGUUUUCACCGCCGUCAAUCGCCCGUGCCGAUCUCGUCGCCGGCACCAUCGUGGUGAGCCUCUUGUUCUUAUCUUCUUUCUGAUUUGCUUAAUUUAGAUAGAUACUUGUCUGAUUUUCUUACUUUUGACACACAUAAUUAUAUAUAAUGCACGCAGAUGAACCGGCAAUGGAUGUACGGUGACAGACACACCUCCGAGUACAUUAAGGGCGUGCAUGAAUUUCUCGAAGUGGCAGAGGCAAACAAGCAGAAUGGUUUUAUGUGUUGUCCAUGCCCUAAAUGUGGGAAUACGAAGUCUUACUCUGACCGGAAAAUCCUGCACACCCACCUGCUUUACAAGGGUUUCAUGCCACACUAUAAUGUUUGGACGAGGCACAGAGAAAUAGGGGUUAUGAUGGAAGACGACGAAGAAGAAGAGGACGAUGACAACUAUGUGCCCCCUGAAUACGGUGAUGCUGCAACGGGGGGAGCUGCCGAAGAUCAAGAGGAACCAGACGAUGUGCCCGAUGAUGCUGCAAUGGGGGAAGCUGCUGAAGAUCAAGAAGAACCAGACGAUGUGCCCGAUGAUAAUGAUCUCCGCCGGGUCAUUGUCGAUGCAAGGAUGCAAUGCGAAAGUCAAAAGGAGCAGCUGAAGUUCGAUCCCAUGUUAGAGGAUCACAAAAAAGGGUUGUACCCCAAUUGCGAAGAUGGCAACACAAAGCUCGGUACCGUACUGGAAUUGCUGCAGUGGAAGGCAGAGAAUGCUGUGCCUGAGAAAGGAUUUGAGAAGCUACUGAAAAUAUUGAAGAAGAAGUUUCCAAAGGACAAUGAAUUGCCUGACAGUACGUACGCAGCAAAGAAGGUCGUAUGCCCUCUAGGAUUGGAGGUGCAGAAGAUACAUGCAUGCCCUAAUGACUGCAUCCUCGACCAUGGUGCGUACAAGGAUUUGAACGCAUGCCCGGUAUGCGGUGCAUUGCGGUAUAAGAUCAGACGAGAUGACCCUGGUGAUGUUGACGGUGAGCCCCGCAGGAAGAGGGUCCCUGCGAAGGUGAUGUGGUAUGCGCCUAUAAUACCACCGUUGAAACGACUAUUCAGAAACAAAGAGCAUGCCAAGUUGAUGCGAUGGCACAGUGAGGACCGUAAGAAAGACGGGAAGUUGAGAGCACCCGCUGACGGGUCGCAGUGGCGAAAAAUUAAGAGAAAGUACUGGGAUGAGUUUGCAGGUGACCCAAGGAAUGUAUGGUUUGCUUUAAGAGCGGAUGGCAUUAAUCCUUUCGGGGAGCAGAGCAGCAAUCACAGCACCUGGCCCGUGACUCUAUGUAUGUAUAACCUUCCUCCUUGGAUGUGCAUGAAGCGGAAGUUCAUUAUGAUGCCAAUUCUCAUCCAAGGCCCUAAGCAACCCGUUAACGACAUUGAUGUGUACCUAAGGCCAUUAGUUGAAGAACUUUUAUAGCUGUGGAAUGGAAACAGUGUACGUGCGUGGGAUGAGCACAGACACGAGGAAUUUAACCUCCAUGCGUUGCUGUUUGUAACCAUCAACGAUUGGCCCGCUCUCAGUAACCUAUCAGGACAGACAAACAAGGGAUACCACGCAUGCACGCACUAUUUAGCUAACACCAAAAGUAUAUACCUGGACAAAUGCAGGAAGAAUGUGUACCUGUGCCAUCAUCGAUUUCUUCCGACCAACCAUCAAUGUCGAAAGAAAGGCAAGCAUUUCAAAGGCGAGGCAGAUCACCGGAAGAAGCCCGCCAUGCGUACCGGUGAUCACGUACUUGCUAUGGUCAAUGAUUUACACCUAAUGUUUGGAAAGGGUCCCGGCGGACUAGCUGUUCCGAAUGACGCUGGGGGACGCGCACCCAUGUGGAAGAAGAAAUCUAUAUUUUGGGACCUGCCCUACUAGAAAGACCUAGAGGUCCGCUCUUCGAUCGACGUGAUGCACGUGACGAAGAACCUUUGCGUGAACCUGCUAGGCUUCUUGGGCAUGUAUGGGAAGACAAAAGAUACAGCUGAGGCACGGGAGGACCUGCAACGUUUGCACGAAAAAGACGGCAUGCCUCCAAAGCAGUAUGAAGGUCCUGCCAGCUAUGCUCUUACCAAAGAAGAGAAGGAAAUCUUCUUUGAAUGUCUGCUUAGUAUGAAGGUCUCGACUGGCUUCUCGUCGAAUAUAAAGGGAAUAAUAAAUAUGCCAGAGAAAAAGUUCCAGAACCUAAAGUCUCAUGACUGCCACGUGAUUAUGACGCAACUGCUUCCGGUUGCAUUGAGGGGGCGUCUACCGAAAAACGUCCGAUUAGCCAUUGUGAAGCUAUGUGCAUUCCUCAAUGCAAUCUCUCAGAAGGUGAUCAAUCCAGAAAUCAUACCAAGGCUAAGGAGUGAUGUGGCGCAAUGUCUUGUCAGUUUCGAGCUGGUGUUCCCACCAUCCUUCUUCAAUAUCAUGACGCACGUCCUAGUUCAUCUAGUUGACGAGAUUGUCAUUCUGGGCCCCGUAUUUCUACAUAAUAUGUACCCCUUUGAGAGGUUCUUGGGAGUCCUAAAGAAAUAUGUCCGUAACCGCGCUAGGCCAGAAGGAAGCAUCUCCAUGGGCCAUCAAACAGAGGAUGUCAUUGGGUUUUGUGUUGACUUCAUUCCUGGCCUUAUGAAGAUAGGUCUCCCUAAAUCGCGGUAUGAGGGGAGACUGGCUGGAAAAGGCACGCUUGGAGGGGACUCAAUAAUAUGCAGGGACGGAUAUUCUUGGUCUCAAGCACACUACACAGUUCUACAGAACUCUACCUUGGUGACCCCUUAUGUCGAUGAACACAAGAACAGUCUGCGCUCCAAACACCCGGAGCAUUGCGACGACUGGAUUACAUGUGAACACAUCAGGACUUUCAGCAGUUGGUUGGAAACACGUCUCAGAGGUGACAACACUGUUUGUGAUGAGAUGUACUCGUUGUCCAGGGGACCAUUUUCGACUGUAUUGACUUACAAAGGAUACAAGAUAAAUGGGAAUACAUUUUACACGAUCGCCCAAGAUCAAAAGAGCACCAACCAAAACAGCUGUGUCCGCUUUGAUGCAGCAACCGAGAGGGGAAAGGACACAUAUUAUGGUUACAUAGUGGACAUAUGGGAACUUGACUACGGACAUGAUUUUAAGGUCCCUUUGUCUAAGUGCAAAUGGGUCAAUCUGUCAGGAGGCGGGGUACAGGUAGACCCACAGUACGGAAUGACAACAGUGGAUCUGAACAAUCUUCGGUACACUGACGAACCUUUCGUCCUAGCCAAUGAUGUGGCACAGUUUAUCUAUGUGAAGGACAUGUCUACCAAACCGAGAAAAAGAAAAGAUAAGGAAGCGAAUACAUCAUACGAUGAGCCAAAGCACCACAUAGUUCUUUUAGGAAAAAGGGACAUCGUGGGAGUGGAGCGCAAGACAGACAUGUCUAAAGAUUAUGAAAAGUUUCCUGAAAUUCCUCCCUUCAAAGUCAAGGCUAACCCAAGCAUCCUAAUAAACGAUGAAGAUUAUCCAUGGUUACGGCGCAAUAAGCAAACGACACAAGCGAAGAAAAAGUGAAGACUUUCUCUCUACAACUAUUAUGAUGAUGCCUUUGAUCUAGAAUAUCACUGCAAUUACAUGUGAAGAAAUGAAAUGCAUGUUGUAACAAACGAGUUUCCGUGUGAAAUGAUGAUACCAUGCCAAUUUGCAACCUUAUCGGAGUUCAUUUGAAAUGGUUUUCAAUUUCCGGGUCUUAUAGCUCAAAAAAGCAGUAAAUGCAUGAAAAAUAACAAAUGAAGUCAGAAAGGGUUGAAAAUUGAUGAUGUUGCUUUGAAUGGUGCAUUUUGAACACACAAGAAGUCUGGAGUUCAAAUAAGUUCGAAAAAAUGAAAUCCCUUUGUAACAGAUGAGCUUUCGUGCGAAACCCUGAUACUUCGAAAGAGAUUGUCCGUUUUGUACACAAAGUGCAUCUAGUUUUUGCCGUAACCCUCUCAACUUUCUUGCACAUGCUAUGUGGGUGAAAUGAUGAUAGCAUGCCAAUUUUCAACCUUUUCGGUGUUCAUUUGAAAUGCUUUUCAAUUUUCGGGUCUUAUAGCUCAAAAAAGCAGUAAAUGCAUGAAAAAUAAUAAAAUGCAUAAAACUAUAAUAUUUGUUAUGAUCACUAAAAAACUAAAAUCAAUUAAAAUAUUAAAUAGCAGGAAAAAGAAUCACUCAAAAAUCUAUUUUUAUAGUAAAUUUAUUCAUAAAACUAGUGAUUCACAUACAUUUAAAAAAAAUCAAAUUUUAAAACUAAUGGCACUAACAGAAAGUUUAUAAUUUUGUGACCCAAAAGCAAAAAGAAAUCACUAAAAAACUAUAAAAUUUAGUUUUAAGUAGAAAUAAAAAAAUAAAAAGAAAAAAAGGAAAAAAAAUGCCACCUACUGGACCUCCUCGGCCUAAAUACGACUAGAAACCCUACAAUGGGCCAGGAUUCAGGCCCGCAGAAGGCCCAAUAGGCCCAACAGGCAUGGCAAAGUAGAGAUUAGGCCCGUAAGCCUGCAAUAGAGAGGAGCUCGAGAGGGUGGCGGCAGCAAAGCUUAUAAACCACCCCGAGCCCCUCUCAACUAGCGAGGUGGGACUAAACAUCCCACCGCACCGUGCCAGCACAAGGCCUAUGGUCCCGGUUCAUGCCACCAACCGGUACCAUAGGCGGGCAUUCGUACCGGUUCGUGGCACCAACCAGUACCAAUGCCCACCUACGGUCCCGGUCCGUGCCACCAACCGGGACCAUGGGCCUCUGUUUCCCGCCCUUGGGGCUGCCGAAAAGAGACCUUUGGACCCUGUUGGUGGCACGAACCGGGACCAUAGGUAGGCAUUGGUACCGGUUGGUGCCAUGAACCGGUACCAUUGGUUUUGCUAUAUAAGGUAGCACUUGUGAAAAUUUCGCCAACUGCUCCCCCAUUCCCCCCGACGCCGCCAGGCCGUUCCUCGUCGUCGUCGCCGUCGCCGCCCCGAGCCCCUGCCCCGACGNNNNNNNNNNNNNNNNNNNNNNNNNNNNNNNNNNNNNNNNNNNNNNNNNNNNNNNNNNNNNNNNNNNNNNNNNNNNNNNNNNNNNNNNNNNNNNNNNNNNNNNNNNNNNNNNNNNNNNNNNNNNNNNNNNNNNNNNNNNNNNNNNNNNNNNNNNNNNNNNNNNNNNNNNNNNNNNNNNNNNNNNNNNNNNNNNNNNNNNNNNNNNNNNNNNNNNNNNNNNNNNNNNNNNNNNNNNNNNNNNNNNNNNNNNNNNNNNNNNNNNNCCCGACGACGUCGCCGCGCCCUUGACCCGCCGUUGACGUCGUCCUCACCGUCGCCGUCGUCGUCACCGCCCCCGAGCCGCUCCUCCCAGAGCCCUCGCUGUGCGCGUACCCCUCCCCCAAGAGCCCACCGUCCUCGUCGCCGUCAUCGUCACCGGCCUCGUCGUCGUCCUCGUCACCGGCCUCGUCGUUGUCCGGCCUUGAGCCCCCAGUGAGCCCCUUCCAAUCCCGAUCCGUGCACUGCCGCAGCUGCCGCCGCCCCCCCGCGCCGCGCCGCCGCCCCUGUUUUUUAUAUGUAUGUAUGUAUGUAUCUAUGUAUAUGGAUGUAUGUAUGUACGGAUGGAUGGAUAUGCAUGUAUAUGGAUGGAUGUAUGUGUAUGUGUUCAUAGUUUUUUUUUGUUCAUAGUUUUUUGUUGAUAGCAUUUUUAGGCUGUAUAGUUUUAUUUUUGUUCAAUUUUUAUGGUUAGAAGAGGAGAGGAAAAAAUUGUGUUGCUAAAGUUACAUUUAAGGUUAGUUGAUUUAGUUCAUUUUAGGUUAUUAGUUCUACUGUUAGUGCAUUUAAGGUUAGUUUAUUUUUAGUUGAACUAGUUGAUUUAAUAAAACUAAUUUAUUUUACUAUACAUAUAAGUAGUUUAUUUUUAGUAAGUACUACUUUAUUUUAUUUAUAGUAAGUGCUUAGUAGUUGAACUAGUUGAUUUAAUAAAACUACUUUAUUUUACUAUAGAAGUAGUUUAGUUUUAGCAAGAAAAUUAAUAGAAUUAGUUUAUUUUUUAGUUCAAGCAAUUAUUCCCGCAUCGACAUCGACGAUGCCUAUCCCGCAUCCUCGUCGUCGACUCGGCGGAGGAGGCCGACUUGAUCAGAGGGGCCAUGUCCGGGACUGGGCUCCGCCGGGCUGGUAUUGGGAGGUGCUACCUUCCGGGGGGCGUAGGUUGGUGAGGAGCCAGCCCGUCGUUGACCCGAUCCUUGUUUGGUGGCGGUCGCGUGGGCCAGUGACUGUAUCGAGGCUUCCGGACACCGCGGAGGUGGUACGUCACCAUGUCAGCGAGGAGGACGAGCACGCCCGUCGCUACAUGGUUGCGUUGGAGGGCAGGUUCGACAAUACCUGGCAGCUUCUUCAGGGAUCUCAUUGGAGCUAUGAUCAUGUGAUGGUUCCUUCUCUUUGGGCAUCCACCGCCCGCGCCGAUACCCGUCGGGCGCUACGGUUCUAGCUGUACUAGCGAUGCUAUAUGUAUGAUAGUAUUCGAGGUGUAUUAGUGAUAAUAUUCGACGAUGUACGGACGCAAGAGAUGAUGUAGUUUUGCUUAUAAUUGAAUGCAUCCUAAUUUGAAUACUACUUUAUUUUGCGAUCUGAUUUUGCUUAUUGAAUGCUCAAAUUGGAAAACUACUCCUACUUUGAAUGCUAAAAUUAGAGAGCACUAUGCAAGGCGUAUGCAUAUGAUUAGUUGAUAGCUUAUAGUGUUUUUGUUUUCGCAAAAAUAUAGGAGCCCCCAACCAUCAUCCCCGCCGUCGUCCCCGUCACUGACCCCCUCCGACGUCGAGGUGAGACCAGCCAAAUCUCCAUGUCAAUAUGAGUCCUAUAAUAUGAGUCCUCGGGUCGACUUUAAGUCUGUCGAGUCUCCACCAUAUAUGAAAGGACGAAGAAUCAUGACUGUUGUCGUGGGGGUAGCUUCUCCUUCGUUCCCGUGAUGAAUAAUAAUGAUCUAACUUAGGUUUUUAGUACAUAUAUUUAAUUGUAGAUGUUUAAUAUUUGAAUUAUGAACAUAGGAAAUGUCGUACUCAGACUACGAAAGUCUCCCGGGGGAGUGCGACUGGUGCCACGACGACCGAGGUUAGUGCGACCGGCCUCACCUGGACGAAGAUCAGCGCUUCAGCAUUAAGCUGGAGGAGACCUUCGAUGUUGAAACGGUACGCAACGACGACAAGUGUUAUUUUUUCGUAAUUAAGCACGACUUCAAGUAUUUCAACGUGUACUUCUUAUCUUUUACAAUUCGACUAGCUUAUCCCAUGCCAUGCAAGACGCUAUGUCUUGGAGAGGAUGGGUUUUGAAGACCAGGAAAGUUUCGAAACAAAGAAAAUUCAUCUAAGGACCCAUCAUGGUGUGGAUUUUGAAGUAAAGCGGUACAAUUCUGAGAGCGUAACCCAUUUUGGUUGCAAAAAAUGAGAAGCACUUUGCAAGAUGUAUGGUUUUGAUGAGGGUAUGCUUGUCACCAUUGAUCUUGGUGACCCUGAAAUCGAGCAAGACAAUAUGGACAUUUGGGUCCUUGUUGAUACGCCUCCAAUUCUACCGCUAUGUGAGUUUCUCAAACAUAGUUAUUAGCUAAUUUAUAUUGUUUAUUUCAAAAUAGUUGACAACUUAUUUCCAUUGACAGCUUAUUUUGAUUGUUCAAACAAUGUGCGGAACAUGGUAGACAAAACCCACUACACCGAUGGCUCCGAAUUAACUUAUCAGGAGAAAAAUCAUCUGGUCUGAUUUUGUACUGAUAUUGAGAAUUACAAUAUCUAGAAUCAAACUCCUCAACAUUAUUGUCAAUACGUGCCACUAGUGCACGUGUUGAACUACAGUAACUACCAUGGAGAUACCCUGGUAAGAUUUUUUACUAUUACGACAUCCGUGCAUCUUUUGCAUACUUCUAAAACUAGUACAUCAUUGCUAACUAUGAAGUUAUUACUAUGUUUUUCAACAGAGAAUCCCAGAGGAUUGUGUGCCUCAUUUGAUGUAGCAGAAUGGCAGCCUUCGUGUUUUGAACAUAUAUCCAAGUCAUCCAACGAAUCUCAACUGUCCAUACCGGAUUUAUCAAUGAAGUGGAGACAUGCUAAUCAAAAAAUGGAAAAAAUGUAUGGACAGUCGUAAGGAGGUUCUUGGAAGCAAAAGGAAGCGAAGCGUAAGAAUUGGAGACAGGAUGAUCUCCAUUCUCCAUAAUGGAGAGUCAGGGUCUAUAUUGUUUUAUGCUAUUUUACCUUAAAGAGGGUAUUUAGGUCCUACCUAAUACUGAUGAUCAUGUGCUAAGAACAAUUAAGUAGGGCUGGUUCGAUGACUAUGAGGAUGAUGAUCGUAUGACUUGUUAUUAAUAACGAGUAGAAGUUGUAUGAUGAUGAUUAGUAGGACUUGUUAUUAUAUAAGAUGAUGCAUGAUGCGAGCAUGAAGAGUUAUUAUAUAUCAGCGGGUGAAAUGAACAUGGAUUGGAUUGAAGUGAAGGCAACAUGCAUGUGGUGCAUGUCGAAAGUACUACAAUCCAAACUUGAUCAAAGUUAGGAUUAGUAUUACUUUCGACAUGCACCACAUGUUGCCUUCACUUCAAUCUAAGCCAUGUUUAGGCAUAGCAGUAGCGUUGGUAAACCAAGCACGGAGAUAUAAGAGAGGACACUUCUCUCUAUUAUAUUAGCUAGCUAAUAACAACCUAAAUUAACCCCCAAAACCCCUAAAUCAGCCCCUUUAAAAAAACAAAAAGCUCAACUCCAGCCAGCUGCUGACGCGUGGAUGCCUUUUGGUCCCGGUUGGUGUCACCAACCGGGACCAAAGGCCCCCCUGCCUGGGCUGGCCGUAGUGGCCACGUGGAGGCCCAUCUGUCUCGGUUCGUGUAAGAGCCGAGACUAAAGGCCAAGGGCAUUAGUAACGACCUUUUAGUCCCGGUUCCUAAACCGGGACAGAAGGCUCUUACGAACCGGGACAAAUGGCCCUUUUUCUACUAGUGCCGCUCUAAACGCGGCCGCUCGAACUGUUGAGCUUGACUCGAGUCAGAAUCGAGAGCGUUGCCGAUUGCGGAAGGCUAUGUUGCCGUUCUCGACGCGGCCGCUUGAGCUAUUGAGCGGACUCGAAACAGAGUAAGGGCGUUGCCAAUAGCGGAAGGGCCCCUUUGCGUGCAUGUUUUCCAUACAUAGGGCAGGACCUUCGAGUACAAUAACCUUCUAUAUAAAAAGAUAUUGCUUAAAGUUUCACACGACUUAGCUUUUCUGUCAUUGCACGGGCGUCCACCGCAUCUGCAGAUGGUGCCGUCAAGCUUGGUCGUCUUCUAUCUUGGAACGACGGCCACGAUGAAGCCGCUGCUCCGAUCAGACCAAAUUUCCACAACUGCGCCCCCUACCUAGCGCGCCAAAGAUGUCGGGGGAAAUCGACACCUAUGGAAUCACAGGGAUCCCUUCUACGGUUGGCGGGCGCGGGGUUGUGCAAAGAGCAGGUCUGACAGGAAGCACGCAGAUCGUUUACCCAGGUUCGGGCCGCGGAGAUGCGUAAUACCCUAGUCCUGCUAUGGUGGAUGUAUUCGAGUGUUCUUGUGUUCUUGAACUAGCUACGGGGUGUAACUUGCCCAGAAGAUCCGAAUCCCUGUCCUGGAUGCCUCGGGCCUCCUUUUAUAGACAAAAGGGGUUGCCACACUGGCACACAGGAGGUGGAAAGGUGUACAGUGGAUGAGUCUAUCCUCUGGCACCGUUGGACGAACACAUUUAAUGCGCUGCCAACGUGACCCUCUCGCUUUAUCGGGGACGGUCAAGGAAGCUCGUCCCAGCUGUCGCCGCCUCGCCUGGCUUCGACACGCGUCCGAGCUGACGAGGCGUCGUGGCGCCACAUUGGCUGGCUGCUGGGCUGGCGCGGUGGUGGAGCCUUCACGAAGGUCUGCAUGCCACCACGCAGGUGCUUGCUGUGUCGGUGUAGAGGCCGCUCGUCGCCACGCAGGUGCCUGCCCAGCUGGUUGGGCUAGCAGCUGCACGGGGACGGCGGUGGAGUCUUGGCAGGCGCGGGCCUGGCUGUGGCCCCGCUGAUGCCCUUGGCAAGGGUCUUGCCGGGGGCCCGGCAAGGGUCUUGCCGUGGUGCCGCGGUCGUCCCCGGCAAGGCGCUUGCCGGGGGUCUCGUGGAUUUCCUCGGCAAGGACCUCGCCGAGGAUCAUCGUCUUCUGGUCCUCAUCUGAUCUUGUGUAUUUAUGAUCUUCACAAAGAUCAGCAUGCCACCACGGAGGUGCCUCCCGAGCCUUGGUCCCAAUGUGGUUGAUGGCGUUGGAACCCUUGGGCUCAAUGGAGGCGCGCUUCGUUGGCGUCAGGCAAGUUGCCCCGGCAAGGCUCUCGCCGGGGCUGAGGAGGCCGUCCCGGCAAGGGUCUUGCCGGGGGAGUCCACCUCGCCCUCUUGCCCUUUGUGUCUCUGGUCUUGGCAUUGCCAUGGCUGUCUUGUGCUCCGGCUUCCCUCCUCUGCCCUGCUAAGUGUGGCCGUGGGCGCGGCUCUGACUACCAGUGCACAAGUAAAGGGGUCAAAAGGAGAGCCCCUAGUUUUAUACACCGACAUGUAUCCUCCCAGAAUCUCGUAGAAGUACCGUUACUGAUCACAAGCUUUGUCUGAUUGAAAAAAAUGGAUUUAACUCUCAUCAGUCCUUUCCAAAAGGGCUAGUCCAUUGGCCUCACUGUGACCUGGGAUAAAGUUCUGGAAUGAAGGUACUUAUUACGCAGUAUUUGUGCCCAUGUAGCCCCCGUCUCGCUAGAUAGCUUAUACAGCCAUUUGCUGAGAAGACAUAUGUUCUUCACCUUAAGAUUUUUGAUACCUAGACCCCCUUGGUCUUUGGGUCGACAAAUAAUAUCCCAUUUAGCGAGUAUACUUUCUCUUCAGAUCAUCACUUUGCCAGAAGAAACGGGAUCGAUAGAAAUCUAGUCUUUUCCGAACUCCAACUGGUACCUCGAAAAAAGACAAGAGAAACAUGGGCAUGCUCGUGAGAACCGAAUUAAUAAGAAUUAAACGGCCUCCAUAUGACAUGAGUUUGCCAUUCCAGCAACUGAGUUUCUUCUCAAAUCGAUCCUCAGUGCACUUCCAUUCUCUCUUUGUUAGCUUACGAUGGUGAAUUGGUAUGCCCAAUUAAGUGAAAGGCAAAGCCCCCAAUUCGCAUCCGAACAAUUGCUUAUAUGCCUCUUGUUCCUCAUUGGCUCUUCCAAAAUUGUAUAAUUCGCUCUUGUGGAAAUUAAUUUUUAGUCCGGUCAAUUGUUCGAAUAAGCAUAACACCAGCUUCAUAUUUCUCGUUUUUGCCAAGUCAUGGUCCAUGAAGAUGAUAGUAUCAUCGGCGUACUGUAGGACAGACACACCUCCAUCCACUAGAUGAGGUACCACAGGAGAGCACCUGCGAUAAUUAUAUCAUGCCACACGAGUACAAAGGAUGAAGCAUCUUAGACGUUUGGAAUAGAUUUGGGCAUCACAUACGAUUUAUUUUUCCAAAAAGGUAUGCAUGAUUGGGCUCUAUCUGUAGGAGAUAUGCCCUAGAGGCAGUAAUAACAGUUAUUUUGUAUCUCCAAGUUUGUAAUGAAUGUUUAUGAUCCAUGCUAUAACUGCAAUGAUUCUCGAGUCUACAAUAUCCACGAGGCUCGGAGGGAACUCAUAUGCACGUGUGGUAUUAUAAACGGUAAAAUAUAUUCCUAGUCUUGCCUCUAAGACUAGCUCAAGUAUUGCAUGAUGAUCCUGUUUCCUGAUCAUGGGCAUGACUAUGCCGGCAAUUUUGAGGGCACAAGUUUGGUAGAACGCUUGUGUUGAAUCAACCCGGAUUGAUGUUGUGCUAUGAGAUGCCUUCGUCACAAGUUUAUGGUUAAUAUCAUUGAGAUAGUUAAUGUUUGCAUAAUUCCUUAGACCAUGAGAGUAUCAAGUUCCUUCGUGCUUGCUUCGUGAACUUUGGGGUUUGUUAAACGUCAUCCGUAACUUGGUGGCUAUUAUGGCAGCUUUCGGGUUCACGGAAAAGUAUAGGAAGUAACAAGAUAGCUCAAGAUUGGGAUUUGCUCCUCCGACGAUGGAGAGAUAUACUCGGGCCCUCUCAGUGUAACGGUAUCCAUCAUCGUCUGGCCAGACACAUUGUGAUUUGAUCACUGGGAUGCCGGAACACGGAAACGAGAAAAGAGAACAAAACCGGUAACGAGGUAACUUGCAUGGUGGACAAAUUGUUCGUCCAUGGGCAUGCAAUAAAUCUCACCUCGGGUGUUUGUGACAUAUCGCGAAGCAACAGGAAUAGCUCACUACAACUAGAGGUUCACUCGAAUAUUCAUUCGUGUGGGUAUAGGGGUCAAUAUGGGUGUCCACGGCUCCGAUGUUGAUCAUUGAUCGGAAGGGGUUCCAGGUCAUGUCUAUACUUCACCGAACCUAUAGGGUCACACGCUUAGGGGUCAUCUAUCUGUUGAAUACUAGACAGGGAGUCUGAGAGAAAAUCACCGAAAAAGUUUCGGACACCGAAAAGUUUCGGACAGCGGAAUCGUACCGCAGAGAGAGGUCAUCGGAUAAGUUUCGAUGAUACCGAAAAGUUGUUUCGGGAUACACCAUUAAGUCAAAUUGGUUUCGGCACAUGCCUGAUAAUUCUUGGAGGAUGCCAGAAUCAUUCUGGAAGCUUUUUGGAAUUUUCUGACAUAAAAACCGGAAAUGUUCCGGAGCUGCCGGAGCCACUUCAGAUGCGUUUCGCAGAUGAAAAUCACUAAAACCGGAAUUGUUUCGGAACGCGUUGAAAAACAUUUUAGUGGGUACUGGAAAUGUUCUUAGCCCACAUAAAUAUUUUCAGUUCGAUCAGACGCUGAAAAAUGUCGUCGUGAAUAGUGAAAAUCAGCUUUAUGGUUACUUUAUGGAAAGCCACCUUUUGGGGCUUUGCUCCAAAAGAUCUUGGGGAUGACAUGGAUGGAUAGGACCCAUUUUUUGGGCCCCUCAUGGGGGUGUGGCCGGCCACAUGGGGUAUCCCCCCUUGGGGACCCUUUUGUUCAUUGGUUUCACUUCUAGGUCCUUGUGGAAGGACUUCAUUCAUGUGCAUUUUGGGUUUUUGUGUGAAACUACCCUACCCCUUGGGAUUUCCUAUAAAUAGAGGUGGAGGGGCAGCCCUCCACACUCAUCCCUUGCUCUCAUACACAUGCCAUGCAUUAUCUGGCUUCUUCUCUCCCUCCCACGAAAAGAGUUUCGUAGAGCCGUAAGGCUGUCUGGGUUCCGGCAGGAACUAGUUCUGGACGGCGAAGCCCUGCCGGAUAGCUGACACCGUAUGUGUGCAACCCCGUAGAGAGAUUGUAGUUUCGAUCUUUUGCCCGAGGGGCUGUUCGAGUGUCCUCCCGAAGGGCUGUCCGAGUCUCCGUCCGAGUUUCGAGGGUCCUCCCGAAGGGCUGUCCGCGACAUUGUCCGGGGGACUGUCCGACCGCCUCCCGAAGGGCUGUCCGGAGAGGGAGUACAUCCUCGCGGUUGGGAGGUUGUAAAUCCUAGCUGCGGGGAUCUGCACCGACGAUCUACACCGACUCUUCUUCCGCUGCGCUUCGAGUCGGUACGGAUCAGAUCAAACCUUGUAUGCAGUCUCCAUAGUGGUCCUGGGCGUGCUCGCUAUACCGAAAAUUUUCGUUUUCUGUCGCGUUCCCCUACAGUGGCAUCAAGAGCCGUGCUAUGCGUAGAUGCAGGUUACGAUCUAGAAUACAUGGAGAUGUAUGGGUAUUGCAUAAUAUAAUUUUGGAGUAGAUGAGAUGUAUUGCUGAAAAUUAUUUAUGCGGGUGACAGAUGAAAUCUGUUACCCGACGUUCUUGUUGCUUCCCUAGAAUUUGCGUUUGCUCAAUCUCGAGACAGGAUGGUGGAAUUUGACAAAGUUCUGGCAAUCCGUGAUCCUGAUUGAUCAUGGAAGUGCUAUCAGUUCUUUGGGUUCUGCCAUAGUCAAAAGAAAGAUGAAAUUCGCAGAUGAAAGGGCAUUGCAGAUAUGAUCUGCACGGGGGUCAUGCGUAUGACGAAGUUUAGUAUGGGGCUCGAGAUUUAAUUAUCUCGUGUUUCAUACACCCCGAGAUGUUAAUCUAGCAACUUGAAUAAUCAUACUUGAUGAUAAAACGUUGGUAGCUGCGGUUUAAGUCAAAACCUUAGAAGCCACGUAAAAUAAAAUUUUGCAUAAACCGAUUAGAGGCGUCUAACUUGGUUUUGCAGGAUGUGCAUGUGAUGUGGUAUAGCAAUGCUCAUAUUCAAUUUGAUUAUGUAUGAGAUGACUAUAUGAUGUAACUAACAUGACCUGCGUGUCAUGAUUCUGCAUGAUGGCUGGAGCCAUAUGAUUGCACUUUAAUGACCUGCGUGUCAACCUUAAGUAAUGCACUUAUUUUAUUAGCUAUAGAGAUAGCAAUAUUAUCUGGUGCAUCGACAAGGUGGUGGCAAUCUUCGCGAAGGUGAACACCGACGCAAAUGCCGAAGACGAAGAAUUGAAAGACUUCUCCGUCAGAAAGGGCUAUACCAUAUCAUGCUAAUUAUGAAUUGCCUGAGAUGUUUAUCCCCUAUGAUGCACCCUUCUUGAUUGCGCGGUAGUCGCUUUUAUUAGGGUGAUCUCUCACUUAAAAAUAUCAAGUAGAUAGUGUUCUCCCAAGUGUAGCACCGUCACGGCACCUAUCGUUUCGGGGUGCGCCGUGUCACACGGGUACGAACGAUUAGAGAAGUGUGAGGCGGGUGAGUUGAGACCUCGCAGCGAGAUCACUUGGUUGUCUUGACGUUCAGGCAUGACCGUCAUGAGCUCGGAACACACGCAUCGAAAGAUGAACAAGAGUCACAUAGUGAUGUGAUUGGCAAGUUGGCCUACCGGUUAAGAUUUUCGUCAUCAGUGGUGUUACACCAAUGGCGAACAAUCAAGACACGGAUCUUGAAUCACUCAUAAUCAAUUUUGAGAGAUAUUGAUUUGAGUGGGAGUGCAUUUUAGAAUAAAAUGUUUAUUCACUAGUGCAAAUUUCAUUAUAAACAAAGUCUAAGUGAAACUUGUGUCUUCGUUGUAGAUCAAAUGGCUCGCAACACCGCGUUCAACUUAGGCCCGAUGUUAGAGAAAGAGAAGUUAGCUACGACUGGAAACAACUAUGCGGACUGGGCCCGUAACCUGAGGAUUGUCCUCAGGAGCGCUAAGAAAUUGUACGUGCUUGAAACUGCUCUUCCAGCUAAACCGGCGGCAGAUGCACCGGUAGAUGAACAAAAUGUCUGGGCCACUAAGGAUGAUGAUCACAACUUAGUGCAGUGCCUCAUGCUAGCUUGCAUGAGUCCAGGGCUUCAAAAACGUUUUGAAUUCCAUAAAGCCCGUGAUAUGAUCCGGGAAUUGGAUGCUCUGUACAAGGAAACCGCAAAGUCUGAACGAUAUGAUAUCAUGAAGGCUUGGAUGGAUUGCAAGAUGGCUGAGGGUAGUUCAGUUGGCGAACACGUGGUCAAAAUGAUUGGCUAUUCUGAAAGGCUUAAAGCCCUAGAAUUUCCACUUCCACCUGGCCAUAUGAUGGACAUGUUGCUUUCUUCACUCCCCCCGUCUUACGACGGUUUUGUCAUGAACUACAACAUGACAGGGAUGGAGAAGACGCCGAAAGAAGUGCUCGCCAUGCUGAAAACUACAGAAGGAGGACUGCGGAAAAAUCGCAAGUAAGUGUUGCUUGUGAAUAAAACCGCCUGUUUCAAAAAGAAGAAAGGCAAGCCAAAGAAGGGCAAGGGCACCGGUAAGACCGGCUCCCAAAGCAACUCUAAGGGCGGAGCCAAGAAUGAAACUGAGUGCUUCUACUGCAAGGGCACAGGACACUGGAAGAGAAACUGCAAGAAGUAUCUGGAAGAUAAGAAGACCGGGAAAACCGGAAAAGGUAUAAUUGUUAUACAAGUUAAUGUCAUUGACGUUUUGCUUGCUAGCGAAAACUCUAAGUCUUGGGUAUUUGAUACCGGAUCGGUUGCUCACAUUUGCAACUCGAUACAGGGACUUCAGAAGGUGCGCAAGCUAGCAAAGAAUGAAGUCGUGAUGCGCGUCGGGAACGGCGCUGGGAUCGCCGCUCAAGCCGUCGGCAUUAUGCCUCUACGUCUCCCUUCAGGAUUUAUCUUAGAACUAAGUAACUGUUAUUUUGUUCCACUGUUGUGUAGAAACAUUAUCUCCGGAUCAUGUUUGGUACACGAUGGGUAUUCGUACAAGUCUGAGAACAAUGGUUGUUCACUUUAUUGUAAGGAUAUGUUUUAUGGAUUUGCACCCAUUGUUGGGGGCCUUUUCAUACUAAAUCUUGAAUGUGGAAGUGAUGUCUUUAACAUGAAUGCUAAACGCCUUAAGAAGGCUGAUACCACCACCACUUUCAUGUGGCACUGUCGCCUUGGCCACAUCGGUAAGAAACGCAUGCAAAGACUCCAUAAAGAUGGAGUUUUACCGUCCCUUGAUUUUGAAUCAUUUGACACAUGUGAAGCUUGCCUGAUGGGGAAAAUGACCAAGACGCCGUUCACGGGUCAUCCUGAACGGGCGGGUGAAUUAUUGGAAAUAAUACAUAGUGAUGUAUGUGGUCCAAUGAACACAGGCGCACGGGGUGGAUAUUUUUACUUCGUGACUUUUACUGAUGAUUUGAGUAGGUAUGGCUAUAUCUACUUAAUGAAGCAUAAAUCGGAAACCUUUGAAAAGUUCAAAGAAUUUCAGAAUGAGGUAGAAAAUCAUCGUAACAAAAAGAUUAAGUUUCUGCGGUCUGAUCGCGGAGGCGAAUAUCUUAGUCAUGAGUUUGGCCAACAUCUGAGUGAUCGUGGAAUCGUUUCACAGCUUACGCCUCCCGGAACUCCACAGAGAAAUGGAGUAUCGGAACGACGUAACCGAACCUUGUUGGACAUGGUAAGGUCAAUGAUGUCUCUUACAAAUCUUCCAAUAUCUUUUUGGGGUCACGCACUACUUACUGCUGCUCACACACUAAACAAAGCACCGUCUAAAUCUGUUGAGACGACGCCACAUGAGAUGUGGCACGGGAAGAAACCCGACCUGUCGUUUUUCAAAAUUUGGGGUUGUGAAGCUUAUGUAAAACGUUUACAGCCAAGCAAGCUUGAUCCCAGAUCAGACAAAUGUUACUUUGUAGGUUAUCCCAAGGAGACAGUUGGGUAUUCUUUCUACCACGCCUCCGAGAAUAAAGUGUUUGUUGCAAAACAUGGAGUCUUUCUUGAGAAAGAGUUUCUCACUAAAGAAGUGAGUGGGAGGACAAUACAACUCAAUGAGAUUAGUGAAUCUUCGGGAACCGUUGAUAUGGCUAAGGAACCGGAAGAAAUUCCGCUAAUUAUCCCUACAACCGAGCCGGAAGUUGUCGCAUGUGAUGCGGAGACUUCAGACAAUGUUGUAACUGAACCGCGCAGAUCAGGUAGGGCUAUCCAGCCACCUGAGUGGUUUCAUAACGAAAUCUUCAUUCUUGAAGACGAUGAACCUGCGCACUACAAGGAAGCGAUGGCGGGGCCCAGCUCAAAAGAAUGGCACAAAGCCAUGAGAUCCGAAAUGGAAUCCAUGUACGAAAACCAAGUUUGGAACUUGGAAGAACUUCCAGAAGGCAUAAAGCCCAUUGGUUGUAAAAUGGAUUUUCAAAAGAAAGACGGACGCGGAUGGUAACAUUACUAUCCACAAAGCUAGACUUGUCGCGAAAGGGUUCACACAAGUUCCAGGAGUGGACUACGACGAGACUUUCUCGCCAGUAGCUAUGCUUAGGUCUGUUCGGAUAUUGCUAGCAAUUGCUGCUUAUUUCGACUAUGAAAUAUGGCAGAUGGAUGUCAAAACGGCUUUCCUAAAUGGAAACCUCAAAGAGGAUGUAUACAUGAUACAGCCAGAAGGUUUUGUCAUUCAUGAGGAUGCUGGAAAGGUAUGCAAACUUCAGAAAGCCAUUUAUGGUCUGAAGCAAGCAUCAAGGAGCUGGAACAUUCGUUUUGAUGAAGUGGUCAAAGAGUUUGGCUUCAUCAUGAAUGAUGAAGAAUCUUGUGUUUACAAGAAGUUUAGUGGGAGCGCAAAAGCAUUUCUAAUCUUGUAUGUGGAUGACAUAUUGUUGAUUGGAAAUGACGUGAAUUUUCUUAGCGAAAUAAAAGACUCAUUGAAGAAAAGUUUUUCAAUGAAAGACUUAGGCGAAGCGGCAUAUGUAUUAGGCAUCAGGAUCUAUAGAGAUAGAUCAAAACGCCUGAUAGCGCUUAGCCAAAGCACGUACAUUGACAAGGUGUUGAAAAGGUUCAACAUGGAGAACUCCAAGAAAGGCCUACUCCCCAUGUCACCUGGCACAGUGCUUUGCAAGAAUCAGAGUCCUCGGACUCUGGAUGAGCGAGUACAAAUGAAUGAUGUUCCAUAUGCCUCGGCAGUUGGUUCUAUUAUGUAUGCCAUGCUAUGUACAAGACCAGAUGUUUCCUAUGCGCUAAGUGUUAGCAGCCGGUACCAAAGUGAUCCAGGGUUGGAACACUGGGCCGCAGUCAAGGGUAUUCUUAAGUACCUCAGAAGGACCAAGGAUUUACUCCUUGUGUACGGAGGUGAUGAAGAGCUCAUUGUAAGUGGUUACAAUGAUGCAGGCUUCAUGACUGACCCAGAUGACUUCAAAUCUCAAUCAGGCUACGUUUUCAUAUUGAACGGCGGCGCAGUUGAUUGGAAAAGUUCCAAACAAAAGACUGUGGCGGAUUCUACGACGGAGGCGGAAUAUGUUGCUGCUUCAGAAGCCUCCAAGGAGGCGGUAUGGAUCAAACAAUUUCUUGAAGACCUUGGUGUGGUUCGUAGUGCCCAGGACCCGGUGGAGAUCUAUUGUGAUAAUAGUGGCGCCGUGGCUCAGGCAAGGGAGCCAAGUUCGAACCAUAAGACAAGACAUAUUCAACGCAAAUAUAAACUCAUUCGACAUCAUGUCGAAGAGGGUUUAGUGAAAGUACGCAAAGUUCACACGGAUCUGAACGUGUCAGACCCGAUGACAAAGCCUCUACCACGAGCAAAACAUGAGCAACACCGGAUAGCCAUUGGUGUUAGGGAAGCCAUGUAACUGGAUUAUGACUCUAGUGCAAGUGGGAGUCUGUAGGAGAUAUGCCCUAGAGGCAGUAAUAACAGUUAUUUUGUAUCUCCAAGUUUGUAAUGAACGUUUAUGAUCCAUGCUAUAACUGCAAUGAUUCUCGAGUCUACAAUAUCCACGAGGCUCGGAGGGAACUCAUAUGCACGUGUGGUAUUAUAAACGGUAAAAUAUAUUCCUAGUCUUGCCUCUAAGACUAGCUCAAGUAUUGCAUGAUGAUCCUGUUUCCUGAUUAUGGGCAUGACUAUGCCGGCAAUUUUGAGGGCACAAGUUUGGUAGAACGCUUGUGUUGAAUCAACCCGGAUUGAUGUUGUGCUAUGAGAUACCUUCGUCACAAGUUUAUGGUUAAUAUCAUUGAGAUAGUUAAUGUUUGCAUAAUUCCUUAGACCAUGAGAGUAUCAAGUUCCUUCGUGCUUGCUUCGUGAACUUUGGGGUUUGUUAAACGUCAUCCGUAACUGGGUGGCUAUUACGGCAGCUUUCGGGUUCACGGAAAAGUAUAGGAAGUAACAAGAUAGCUCAAGAUUGGGAUUUGCUCCUCCGACGAUGGAGAGAUAUACUCGGGCCCUCUCGGUGUAACGGUAUCCAUCAUCGUCUGGCCAGACACAUUGUGAUUUGAUCACUAGGAUGCCGGAACACGGAAACGAGAAAAGAGAACAAAACCGGUAACGAGGUAACUUGCAUGGUGGACAAAUUGUUCGUCCAUGGGCAUGCAAUAAAUCUCACCUCGGGUGUUUGUGACAUAUCGCGAAGCAACAGGAAUAGCUCACUGCAACUGGAGGUUCACUCGAAUAUUCAUUCGUGUGGGUAUAGGGGUCAAUAUGGGUGUCCACGGCUCCGAUGUUGAUAAUUGAUCGGAAGGGGUUCCAGGUCAUGUCUAUACUUCACCGAACCUAUAGGGUCACACGCUUAGGGGUCAUCUAUCUGUUGAAUACUAGACAGGGAGUCUGAGAGAAAAUCACCGAAAAAGUUUCGGACACCGAAAAGUUUCGGACAGCGGAAUCGUACCGCAGAGAGAGGUCAUCGGAUAAGUUUCGAUGAUACCGAAAAGUUGUUUCGGGAUACACCAUUAAGUCAAAUUGGUUUCGGCACAUGCCUGAUAAUUCUUGGAGGAUGCCAGAAUCAUUCUGGAAGCUUUUUGGAAUUUUCUGACAUAAAAACCGGAAAUGUUCCGGAGCUGCCGGAGCCACUUCAGAUGCGUUUCGCAGAUGAAAAUCACUAAAACCGGAAUUGUUUCGGAACGCGUUGAAAAACAUUUUAGUGGGUACUGGAAAUGUUCUUAGCCCACAUAAAUAUUUUCAGUUCGAUCAGACGCUGAAAAAUGUCGUCGUGAAUAGUGAAAAUCAGCUUUAUGGUUACUUUAUGGAAAGCCACCUUUUGGGGCUUUGCUCCAAAAGAUCUUGGGGAUGACAUGGAUGGAUAGGACCCAUUUUUUGGGCCCCUCAUGGGGGUGUGGCCGGCCACAUGGGGUAUCCCCCCUUGGGGACCCUUUUGUUCAUUGGUUUCACUUCUAGGUCCUUGUGGAAGGACUUCAUUCAUGUGCAUUUUGGGUUUUUGUGUGAAACUACCCUACCCCUUGGGAUUUCCUAUAAAUAGAGGUGGAGGGGCAGCCCUCCACACUCAUCCCUUGCUCUCAUACACAUGCCAUGCAUUAUCUGGCUUCUUCUCUCCCUCCCACGAAAAGAGUUUUGUAGAGCCGUAAGGCUGUCUGGGUUCCGGCAGGAACUAGUUCUGGACGGCGAAGCCCUGCCGGAUAGCUGAAACCGUAUGUGUGCAACCCCGUAGAGAGAUUGUAGUUUCGACCUUUUGCCCGAGGGGCUGUUCGAGUGUCCUCCCGAAGGGCUGUCCGAGUCUCCGUCCGAGUUUCGAGGGUCCUCCCGAAGGGCUGUCCGCGACAUUGUCCGGGGGACUGUCCGACCGCCUCCCGAAGGGCUGUCCGGAGAGGGAGUACAUCCUCGCGGUUGGGAGGUUGUAAAUCCUAGCUGCGGGGAUCUGCACCGACGAUCUACACCGAUUCUUCUUCCGCUGCGCUUCGAGUCGGUACGGAUCAGAUCAAACCUUGUAUGCAGUCUCCAUAGUGGUCCUGGGCGUGCUCGCUAUACCGAAAAUUUUCGUUUUCUGUCGCGUUCCCCUACACUAUCGCAGCCGGUUAACUUGCGUUGUGUGUGAUGGACACCCUUUUCGCACACCUUCACACAGCGAUGCAUCAAAGGUACGUGAGCAAAAGGGGUUUUUAACCGUUUGUGUUGGACUUGCGUGCACUAGUGUGACAUGCGUUACUUAACCUAGCUUUUGUUUAGUUUAGUUAAAUUUCAAGUAGUUUUUUAUGUAACUUGUUAAAUUUUAUCAUAUAUGCAUAUAUGUAAUAUAUCGUACUAGGUUUAUUUUCAUUCGUAAUUCAUUUGAAAUGUGUUCCGAACCGGGGGGUGGUAGUUAAAUGCAGAAAAAACACCACAAUAGCCAUCUCAUUAGCAAAAACAACCACUUUACAAUUUGUGGCAAAAAGGACGACACGCAACAACGGACAGUGGCAAAAGAGCCGGUCGGGACCGGCUCUUUCAAAAUGUGGGGUCCCACUCACCCACUCACUCUCUCACUCACCAGCUCUCGCUCACACUCGACGCCGGUGCCGCUCCUGCUUGACGCUGCCACACAAUGCAUUCAUGGAAUGACGAAGAGGAGAGCAGCAAGGAUGCCCUCAAGUACAGCAGCAUGGAUAUGGAUUUGUGGGUAAGUUUCAGCGCUCAAUAACUAGACGUUUGGAUUAGGGUUAGUGUUUGGAUUUGGGGAUUUAGGGUUUGUGCUCGUUUCCAGCCUUAUUGAAAGGAUUUGUUAGUUAAUUUAGAUAUUGUCAAUGCAGGAGAACCCUGAGACCAUUGUGAAUUCAUUUUACUAUGGGACAGUGGCAUUUUCGGCCAUCAAAUCCAAGCUUUACCAGGCAAGAGCCAAAAAAUCUGUUGGUUUUGGUGACAGACACUAGGAGGAAACUUUAUGGCUGCACUGCACAAGUACUCCCUCCGUCCUAUAUUAAUUGAGCUAAAAUGGAUGUAUCUAGUACAUAUGGAUACUUUCAUUUCAACAACAAUUAAUAUGGGACGGGGCAGUAAUUUUAACUUGCCUUGCUGUUUCACCACUUUGCUCUGUAGCUGUUUGAUUUCGCUGUGUAGUUAUCUAUGUAGUGACGAGUCAUCUGAACUUAGUUGUAUCUUGUUCAUUUUGACUGGAUUAAACUUAGUCUUGCUGCUAUUAAAGGUUAGUCUGUAAUUUAGUAAAUCGAAAUUUAACUGAAUUUUGUUGUUCAAGUUCAGUAUGUAGUUUAGUGAAUCAGAAUUUAACGGAAUAUUGUUUUUCAAGUCCAGUCUGUAGCUUGCUGAAUAUGUAUUGUACUGAUUGUUGUUACUCAAGUUCAGUAUGUAGUUAAGUCAAUCUAAAUUGUAGUGUCAUCAUGUAGUAAAAUAGGUAGUAUAUGUGAAAGAAAUAGGCUUGAUUUAUUGUUGUGUAGUUUUGGAAACAAUAAAUUUUGAGAUACUUUUGUCUGUCUGAACAAUAUGUCACUAGUAGAAAACAGGGCUUUGGUUCGGCUAGAAAAGAGCAUUAAUCCCGGUUGCAUUACGAACCGGGACUAAUGUGAGCAUUAGUCCCGGUUCGAGUGGCUAGGGCACCGUACAAGCAUUAGUCCCGGUUCAAAUGGGACCUUUAGUCCCGGUUGGUGCCACGAACCGGGACUAAAGGGUGCGAUGCCCAUUAGUACCGGUUCGUGGCACCAACCGGUACUAAAGGUUAGACCUUUAGUCCCGGUUCGAGCCACCAACCGGUACUAAUGGGGUUUGAGGCAUUAGUACCUGUUCAUGGCACGAACCGGUACUAAAGGUCCCAUUGUCAAACUCUACCCCCACCCUGGAUCGCCUUUUCAGUUUUGUAAAAAGCAAAGAAAAUGAUAAAAACUUCAAAAAUUAAAAUCCUUCCAGAUGUAUAGUUAUGUUACUACAUGUACUAGUUAGGAAAAUUUAAAAACUUAAAUUUGGACAUGUUUUGCAAAAAGUGUAGGAAAAAUGUAAAACGGCUAUAACUUUUGCAUACGAUGUUAGAAAAAAAGUAUAAUAUAUCAAAAUGUUCAGCACGAAAAUCCGAAUCCGAUUUUGACCGCAUAUGACCCGUUUGCAAAUGUUUAGAAUCCUCAAAUUCUAAAAGGAAAAAAAGUUAUGCUCAAAUUUCUGUUUUUUUUAAUUUUUGUUAAAUCUGGUCAAACUACUUAUUCAAGAAGUAUUAAUGUUACUAAAUAAAUAUUCAAGAAUAUUAGUGUUACUAAAUAAUUAUUUCAGUUUUUUUGAAUUUUCGUCAAAUCUGGUCAAACUAUGGUCAAACUAAUUAUUCAAGAAAUAUUAGUGUUACUAAAUAAUUAUUUCGGUUGUUUUGAAUUUUGGUCAAAUCUGGUCAAACUGUGGUCAAACUGUGGUCGAACUAUGGUCAAACUACUUAUUCAAGAAAUAUUAGUGUUACUAAAUAAUUAUUGUUUUUUAGAACAAUAGUUUCAAACUCAAACAGUGAAAUGUGUGACUUCAUGCUCAAGCUAAGUUCCUGGGGGUUAAUAGGAUUGACAUCUUACUAUUGUCAGGAAAACAACAAGUGCAGACUUGGAAACGAGGGAGAAUAGAACCCGGAAGUUAAGCGUGCUCAGGCUGGAGUAGUGAGAGGAUGGGUGACCGUCCGGGAAGUUAGAUGAUUUGGAAUGAUGAGGGGUGAUUAGGGGUGACAAGUUUUUGAUUACUUGUCCGGUAAGUAUACGAAUUAGAAACCGAGUCGGUUUGGGAUUGUGGUCGCGACACAAUACCGCCUCUGGUCCUAAUAUAUAUACAGCUACCGGCUGCGGCCAGAGACACACCGAAAAACACCUAGGGUUUUGCCUCAUCUCACAACCUGCGCCGCCAUUGUAGUCUACUCCAUCCCAAACGCCGGCGUGCAUCGACGCGUGGGAGAGCAGGUCUCCGGAACCGUUCGUCUUUGCGAUCCUGCACCGGGAGAGGACGAAUUAGGUUUAUGGGAAGCGUUGUGCGCGACUGCUCAAAUUCGUCAUCACGGGUCGUCUUCCGUCCAAGUCGGGCGGUGCUACUCAUCGUCGUAUUCAUCGCCGUCAGCAGCAGAUCGUCACCAACAUCGUCAUCAACACUGUCACACCCUUAAUAGCUAACGAUCAGUACGUCCGACAUCCUCUGUUCAUGUCUGCUUCUACAGCUAUUGUUACGUGUUUGCUGCUGUUAUGCAUGUCUUGCUGUUCUUCUAGUUUGCUAGAUUAUUGCAUGCUAGUAUCUCUUCUAGUCAUGAAUUAUUUACUGGAAUCAAUCAUGAACUUGCCUAAUAUUCCAACAAUCCAAAAACCUAAUUAUAGGCAAUUUCCUGAGUUAACUAUGGCUGGAUUCGCUGAUGCACUGAGGCCGGAUAAGUUUACCGGUGUGCACUUUAAGAGGUGGCAGUUGAAGACCACGCUCUGGCUUACUGGUCUGAAAGUUUUCCACGCUAGUGUUGGUGCUCCAGAGGGAAUGACCGACGAAGAUCGGAGAAAAUUCCAGGAAGCCAAUACUAUGUUUGUGGGAUGCAUUCUGAGUGUUCUUGCUGACUGUCUGUGUGAUGUGUACAUGCACAUAAAUGACGGAAAGAUUCUGUGGGAUGCACUGAAUGCAAAAUUCGGUGCAACAGAUGCAGGCAGUGAACUGUACAUCAUGGAGAGUUUUCAUGACUACAAGAUGGUGAAUAACCGUUCUGUGGUUGAACAAGCUCAUGAGAUACAGUGCAUUGUGAAGGAACUUGAACUCCUUAAAUGUGUUCUACCUGACAAAUUCGUGGCUGGGCGCAUGAUUGCAAAGUUGCCUCCUUCAUGGAGGAAUUUCGCCACAACUCUGAAGCAUAAGAGACAGGAGAUAUCAGUUGAAAAUCUGAUUGCAUCUCUUGAUGUUGAAGAAAAAGCUCGGGCUAAAGAUACUACUGAAAAAGGAGGUGAGGUUCAGCCUACUGCUAACAUGGUGCAGAGGUACCCACAGAACAAGAACAAAGGGAAGAACAAACCUGUUUUCAACAAGCCUACCAAGACUACUACCUUCAAGAAGAAGAAGUUCAACAAGGCUGAGCUAGAGUGCUACGCCUGUGGGAAGCCUGGACACUUUUCCAAGGAAUGCCCUGAACAUGCAGACCGCAGAGGGAAAAUAAGCUCCAAGACUGUCAACAUGGUGACCGCUAGCAAUACUGAUGGGUAUGGUAAUUUACCUAUUGUGCUUUCAGUAUUUCAAUCAUCUUCGUGGUGGAUUGAUUCGGGUGCUAACGUUCAUGUGUGUGCUGACAUCUCCCUAUUUACUUCUUAUCAGGUCGCAAGGGAUUCUUCCGUCCUAAUGGGGAAUGGGUCACAUGCUUCGGGAAAGAUCGUGCAACUAAGGAACGUGCAGCAUGUCCCUACUAUGAACAAGAAUCUAGUUAGCGUCUCCCUUCUAUGUCGAGAUGGAUUUAAGGUAGUUUUAGAGUCCAAUAAAGUAAUCGUGUCAAGAUUUGGACAAUUUAUAGGAAAAGGCUACGAGUGUGGAGGCUUGUUCCGCUUUUCUCUUUCAGAUUUUUGCAAUAAGUCAAUAAACCAAAUUUGUGCUAGUGAUAAUGAUGAUGCAAGUAUUUGGCACUCUCGUUUAUGUCAUAUUAAUUUUGGUUUAAUGUCUCGGCUAUCCAGCAUGAGUUUAAUUCCGAACUUCAGAGUUGCCAAAGGUUCUAAGUGCCAUAGUUGUGUGCAAUCUAUGCAACCUCGAAAGCCUCAUAAGGCCGCCGAGGAGAGAAACUUGGCACCUCAAGAACUCAUACAUUCUGAUCUUUGUGAGAUGAAUGGUGUGUUGACAAAAGGUGGAAAGAGAUAUUUCAUGACUUUGAUUGAUGAUGCGACUAGAUUUUGCUAUGUUUAUUUGUUGCAAACUAAAGAUGAAGCAUUAGACUACUUUAAAAUCUAUAAAGCUGAAGUUGAAAAUCAACUAGAGAGAAAGAUCAAGCGUCUUAGGUCCGAUCAUGGUGGAGAGUAUUUUCCAAAAGUUUUUGAUGAAUUUUGUGAGGAACAUGGUAUUAUUCAUGAGAGGACGCCUCCCUAUUCACCUCAAUCAAAUGGAGUGGCCGAGAGGAAAAACCGCACAUUGACUAACUUGGUGAAUGCCAUGUUAGACACUGCUGGUUUAUCUAAGGCAUGGUGGGGGGAGGCUCUAUUGACUUCAUGUCAUGUCCUGAAUAGAGUUCCCAACAAUAAUAAGGAGAAAACCCCUUAUGAGGAGUGGGUUGGGAGAAAACCAUCACUUUCUUAUUUGCGCACUUGGGGAUGUUUGGCAAAGGUCAAUAUUCCUAUUCCUAAGAAACGCAAACUUGGACCAAAGACAGUGGAUUGUGUCUUUCUAGGGUAUGCUCAACGGAGCAUUGCUUAUAGGGUUUUAGUGGUAAAAUCUGAAGUUCCUGAUAUGCAUGUUGAUACUAUAAUGGAAUCUCGUGAUGCAACAUUUUUUGAGAACAUAUUUCCUAUGAAAGAUAUGCAUAGCAUUGCUAGAUUUUCUUCUGAGAUAAUUCCUGUAUCUAGUACAACUGAUGAAUAUUUCGAACAAUCACAUGAGGAAGUCCUUGAGAAGGAUAACAAUGAAGUUCCUAGAAGGAACAAGAGACAAAGGAUUGCAAAAUCCUUUGGUGAUGAUUUCAUUGUAUACCUUGUGGACGACACACCCAAGACGAUUGCAGAAGCAUAUGCAUCUCCGGAUGUAGAUGAUUGGAAAGAAGCUGUUCAUAAUGAGAUGGACUCAAUUAUUUCUAAUGGAACUUGGGAACUAACUGAUAGACCAUAUGGUUGUAAACCUGUGGGCUGUAAGUGGGUGUUCAAAAAGAAGCUCAAGCCUGAUGGUACUAUUGAUAAGUACAAGGCGCGGCUAGUGGCCAAGGGCUACACUCAGAAAGAAGGCGAAGAUUACUUUGACACCUAUUCACCCGUUGCUAGAAUGACCACCAUUCGAGUGUUACUUUCCUUGGCUGCCUCUUAUGGUCUUAUCAUUCAUCAAAUGGAUGUAAAGACAGCUUUUCUCAAUGGAGAGUUGGAAGAGGAGAUCUAUAUGGAUCAGCCUGACGGGUUUGUGGUUAAGGGUGAAGAGAGAAAGGUGUGCAAGUUGUUAAAAUCUUUGUAUGGUCUGAAACAGGCACCUAAGCAAUGGCAUGAGAAGUUUGAAAGAACUCUGACUUCUGCAGGAUUUGUCAUUAACGAGGCUGAUAGGUGUGUUUACUAUCGCCAUGGUGGGGGCAAUAGUGUCAUAUUAUGUUUGUAUGUGGACGACAUACUGAUCUUUGGUACAAACAUUAAUGCAAUUAAUGAGGUCAAGUCUUUUCUAUCAAAAAGUUUUGACAUGAAAGAUCUGGGAGAAGCCGAUGUAAUUCUAAACAUCAAACUUAUUAAGGAUGAGAGUGGGAUUACAUUAACGCAAUCUCACUAUGUUGAGAAGGUCUUGAACCGAUUCGGUUUUAUGGAUAGCAAGCCUUCUCCAACACCUUAUGAUCCCAGCGUGACACUCAGAAAGAACAAGAAAGAAACGAGAGAUCAAUUAAGAUACUCUCAAAUUGUCGGUUCACUCAUGUACUUAGCUAGCGCUACAAGACCAGAUAUCUCUUUUGCUGUGAGCAAACUGAGUAGGUUCAUGUCCAACCCGGGUGAUGAUCAUUGGCAUGCACUAGAAAGGGUCUUACGCUAUCUGAGAGGUACUAUGAGUUACGGAAUUACUUAUUCAGGGCAUCCUGCUGUGCUAGAAGGAUAUAGUGAUUCAAAUUGGAUCUCCGAUGUUGAUGUACUUUACGCAACAAGUGGGUAUGUAUUUACUCAUGGUGGUGGCGCAGUGUCAUGGAGGUCUUGCAAGCAAACCAUAUUGACGAGGUCAACUAUGGAAGCAGAAUUAACUGCUUUGGACACAGCUACUGUUGAGGCAGAAUGGCUGCGUGAGCUCUUGAUGGACUUGCCGAUUGUUGAAAAACCUGUACCGGCUAUUCUUAUGAAUUGUGAUAACCAAACGGUUAUCGCUAAAGUGAACAAUUCUAAAGAUAAUGCAAAGUCAUCAAGACACGUGAAAAGACGUUUGAAGUCUGUCAGGAAGUUGAGAAACUCCGGAGUAAUAACUGUUACAUAUAUACAAACAGACAAAAACCUGGCAGAUCCCUUUACAAAGGGACUAUCACGAAAUGUGAUAGAUAUUGCAUCGAGGGAGAUGGGUAUGAGACCCAUAGAUGUUACACCAUAGUACUAACCCAACCUUUGUGAUCGGAGAUCCCGUGAAUUAGGAUCUGGGAAGAACAAGCUAUUGGUUAACUGAGGAGAGUAAUAACUUAUGAUCGUCUCCAAGUGAAGAUGCAAAACUCUCAGAGCUGUAAAGCUCAGAUCUGUAAGGCAGGUUGGCAACAUGCCUUAAUGUGGUUCUAUUGGCUAUAAUUAGCAAAGAUGCUGUCCUACAGAGCAGUCUUGAAAGAACACACCUAUAUGAGUUCUGACUGUAAACGUCGCAGUCUAUGAGAUUUGGGUGAUCUCUAGUAAGCUCACGAAGAGACAAGGGAGUAUGACGUAUAAGCUCCAAACCGCGGGGUAGCCUACUGACGUAUAAGCUUCCUUUUGCCGUUUUAUUUUUAUGUCUUGGCAUACAAGUUUUUUAUUACUUGUCCGGUAAGUAUACGAAUUAGAAACCGAGUCGGUUUGGGAUUGUGGUCGCGACACAAUACCGCCUCUGGUCCUAAUAUAUAUACAGCUACCGGCUGCGGCCAGAGACACACCGAAAAACACCUAGGGUUUUGCCUCAUCUCACAACUUGCGCCGCCAUCGUAGUCUACUCCAUCCCAACGCCGGCGUGCAUCGGCGCGUGGGAGAGCAGGUCUCCGGAACCGUUCGUCUUUGCGAUCCUGCACCGGGAGAGGACGAAUUAGGUUUUUGGGAAGCGCUGUGCGCGACUGCUCAAAUUCGUCAUCACGGGUCGUCUUCCGUCCAAGUCGGGCGGUGCUACUCAUCGUCGUAUUCAUCGCCGUCAGCAGCAGAUCAUCGCCAAUAUCGUCAUCAACACUGUCGCACCCAUAUAGCUAACGAUCAUUACGUCCGACAUCCUCUGUUCAUGUCUGCUUCUACAGCUAUUGUUACGUGUUUGUUGUUGUUAUGCAUGUCUUGCUGUUCUUCUAGUUUGCUAGAUUAUUGCAUGCUAGUAUCUCUUCUAGUCAUGAAUUAUUUACUGGAAUUAAUCAUGAACUUGCCUAAUAUUCCCACAGACGCAAUAAUUGUUUUCGGGAUUUUGAAUAAAUCAGAAAAUGAUUUGUUUAAUUCCGAAAAUACUCCAAAAUUUGGAAAAUCAUGGAAAAUAAUCUGUAACUCAGAUGGAGAUAAUUUAUAUAUGAAAAAUUAUCAGGAAAAUAUGAAGAAUCUAUUUAUAGCAUUUUCAUGUAUGUUUGAACAAGUUAAGUUUUCUGUAUAAGACAAUUUGAAUAAAUGUCAUUUUAAAUUCUUAUGUGGAGUUUGAAUUUGAACCUUUGGUUCAAACCAACUUUAUUUAAAUUGUUGCUAGUUGCAUUAGUCCAAACACCAGCAUGCCAUGUCAUGAUCAUGCAUCAUACUGCUGCAUUGCAUUGAUUGUGUUCCCUCUCUGUUGCCGGUGUUUGUUCCUUCUCGAUAGAAGACGAUUCGGACGUUGUGAUCAUUGACACCGAUGAAGAGCUACUAUCUUCAAAGUGUCAGGCAAGCAAAUCCCCUUUGAGCAUUCUGAUACAAUCCCACUCUCUAACUCUUGCUCUCUUUUACUGCAUUAGGACAACAAUGAUUCAACUGUUACAUGUUGUGGUAGUUGAACCCAUUCCUCUGCAUGAUCUGUCUUUGCCACAGUAAAUAGUAAAACCCACUAGCAUGAGUAGGAGUAUUUUGAGCCAUGAUGUGCCUACUCAUUCAUGCUUGCUUGUUAUACCUGCUAUGCUUAGAGUUGUGUCAGGUUUGAUUCAUCUGGGUUGGCUUGGAAUGGUGAUGAACAUGUCCUACUGCUGAGCUCUAAGUGUGUGAACACGAUUUGGUAAAGGUAGCGAUGAGAGGCAAUGUAGGAGUACAUGGUGGGUUGUCUCGUUGAAAUCGUCCUUAGGAACUGAGUUCCGUGUUUGUGAUCCAAGACAGUUACUACCACACAUCGGGUUUCGAUAACUUGACCCCUCUCGACUUACUAAUCGCCUUGAUCUCUAUCUAGGAGUUGUAACUAGUUUCUGGUGUUUGUAGGAUGUGCUGGGGGCUGUACCUAGCGCUGACCGGAGGGGUAGGCUUUGUUACGGUAGGCACCAUGGCACGGUGUAUCAAGCGCAGUACUAUUGGUCGAGGUGGACAUGGGAAUCCUGCACACAUCGUUUGACGCCGUGAUGGAAACUUCGGCCGAACAUCCGUUACGGGUCAGUUCUCAGAUAGGCGAUAAACCUAGACUAGAGUCUUGCGUGGUUAGUCAGGUUGUGGCUGACACCCUCGCUAGGCUUCCGCUUGAAGGUUUCCGAGAUACAUGACGUGUAUAUGGUGUUAAGUGGUGAGAGCGUGUGUGAAGAAAUACACCCCUGCAGGGUAAUAUAAUCUAUUCGGAUAGCCGCGUCCUCGGAUAUGGACUACUUGGAAAGCUUGUAUGGUCCAUAGAUAACCUGAAGUGGAUACUCUAAAUGCGCAAAAUAAGUGUGAGUGCUAUGGAUGGCCUUCUCAUGGGGAGACGGGAGCGGAUCCAUAGUGGUGUAUUGAUAUGGUGAAUAUGUGGACUCACGUGCGCUUUCUCACCUCAAAGAAGUUAUUGGUAGUCAUAGUACAUGAAAGCCACUGAGUCAAAGCUGGCUUGCUGUAGUUAAACUCCACAACCCCAUUGUUGAUACUGAUGCAUAAGUAGAUAGUUCUGAUGUAAGUCUUGCUGAGUACAUUUGUACUCACGUUUGCUUAAUUGAUGUUUUUGCAGAGGAGAUUUCAAUCUCGCUAGUAGUUUCACAUGGGCUUUGACGGUUAGCUUGGGAAUCCCAGACAGAGGUAUGGCUCCUAUGGAGGGUAUUGUAGACAGACAUGCUUCCUAGCCUUCUUUCUUUUCAGCUGUCUAUAUUCAGACAGGUUUAUGCUUCCGCUUGUUGCUUGUAUGACUUUGUAUGUUGGGUCAUGAGACCAAUGUUCGUAAUAUCAUGUUAUGUGUGGCUCUUCAGAGCCUCUUAAAUAAAUACUUGAGUCGUAGAGUUAUAUUGUGACGACAUGUUGUAUCCACACAUAUUUGCAUGUUCUACAUACAUAUGAUGUGUGUUGCAAUGUGUUGGGUCACGAUAAAUCUUCUAUUGGAUUGCUUGAAUCUUUUGAUCUUUUGGUCCAACAAAAUUAUACUGUAAUAAUUAGGUCCAACAGAACAAAUCAGAAAACUUUGCUUGUACCAGACAUGGUUAGGUCCAAUAGAACAAAUGAAUCAUCUCUUCUUGGAGGAUUGUUUAAUUUAUCUUAGAUGUACCAAAAAUGAUCAUUGUGUUGGUCACCAGGAAGCAUCACAAGAUAAUUUAACAUCCAACAUGAAAGAACAUAGAUCUCAAUUCAAACAUCAUGCAAUAACUAACAGACUUCUCAAGUGUAAAUGGAAUCAUCACCACUAUAGCAGCUAUAUUUUGAACACCACGGAAACUCCAAUUUGAAACUGCAUCCUCAUUAAUAGAAACUGGAAAUUAGCUUGUCUAGUUCCAGUUUGAUUUGUUCAUCAACUAAAGAGUUAUAGUUUAAAUGACAAAUUUCACAUCCAAACUACAUAUCACAUCACAAAUUUAGGGUAAUUCAUACAUAGUAUAAAUAUAGGUAGCAUAGUACAGAAGAUCAGUUCCCAUCAAUCAAAUAUAGCAAUAGUCUUUGCAACAAAAUAUAUAAUAUAGACUUUCUUCUUGAGCUCAGCCACUUAGAUCAAUGACAUCAUCCUCUUCAAAAUUCCCUUUGAUAUUUUUCGGCUUGCCCUUGUGAAUUUCCCCAAUUUUAAGAAGCUCAGCUAUGACAUACUCUACCUUCUUAAUAUCUUUCCGGAUAACAUCCAUGUCCUUCAUCAUAGUCUCGAGCUCAUAUAUGUCCUUCUUCAGAACAUCCCUCUUCUUCAUCACAUCAUCCGAAGGGAAAGCUAGCUCCUUCCUAUCCUUUUUUAGGUCAAGGGUCUCCCUCAUGAUCAGAACCAUCUCCUUCUUGAGCCCAUCUUUGUCCACUUUCAGCUUAUCAUUAUCCUUCCUAGUGUUCUUGGUCACUUCUCGCUGAACAACAUGAAUGGCCUUGAGAUCACUGAUUACAUACUGCUUGUUCUCUAGCUGCUUCUGCAGGUCUAUAGAGUCCUCUGACAUCAUUUUUGGUAAUUCUCUUGCCACACCUUUUGGCAUUGCCUGACCCAGUGCUUGUUCCCAUCACUAGCAAACUCAGUGAAUUGGAAGUCCAACUACUUAAUCUUAUCUUUGAGAUUGAGCACUUCCUCUGCAGGAUCAAGCCCUUCCUGGGUUCUAGCAACCAUACACUUUUCAUAUUUUUUCCAGAGCAUGUGAAGUGCCUUUUUCAGGGCUUCGGGCCAGUCCUUCACUACUAGGGAAAACCUUAUACACAGAGGUAUAGCAGUAGCGCUGGUCAAAACAUGGCGCUAUUGCUACUUAUUAGUUGCGCUUGUUACAAAAGCACGCUACAACCAUUGUUGUAGCAGUAGCGCGUCUGCCCGGAAAAGCGCUACUACUAUAAUUCCCUCGUUGGUGCCGGUAGGCUAGGAAUAGUAGUGGCGGUUCUUCCAGAAGCACGCUACUGCUAAAAACUUUGUAGCAGCGCAUUUAUGCUGUAGAGCGCUACUGCUAUGAAAAGGAAAAUAAAUAGAAAAAUAAGUAGAAAAGUAAAUGAAAAUGAAAGAAAUAGAAAAAGGAGAAAUGAAAAAAAGAAAAUGUAAAGAAAACAAAAGAAAAAGAAAAAGAAAACAGAAAGGAAUAGCUGUAGCGCGUUUCGCUGGAAAACGCUAUAGCUAACUUAGCUAUAGCGUGUUUCGGUAAAACGCACUACUGCUAGUUUGACUUAACCCCCAGCCGCGCGGGCUCAAAAUUUUGCUAAGUCCUUCCCCCUCCACUCCCCCCUCUCCCCCAACUGCUCCAUCGCCGUUGUCGCCCUGCCGCCUUCAACCACACCGCCGCCACCCAAGGCCGUCUUCGACCACACCGCCGCCGCCCGAGGCCGCCCUCGACUUCACCGCCGCCGCCCGAGCCAGAGCCUGCCCUCGCCGUCGACCGUAAAGCUCUGCCUCUCCUUUCCCCUACCCUCCUAUCUCUCUUUGCUAGGGUAAUUCAUAUAUAUGUUGACGUUGUGUUGAUGUUCAUAUGAACCCUAGGUGUUCAUAUGAACCCUAGAUUUGUUGAGGGCAGUAGGCAUUUUUUGGCAUUUAGGAAAAAUGAUUGGCAAUUUUUUUAGGAAAUUAGCUAGGGAAAUUUUUUAUGAAAAUGCCUAAACAGUAAUUCCAUUUAGCUUUCAAUUAAUAGAGGGUAUGUAAAUAAUAGUAGCAUUUUGAUUAGAUUAAUAGACGCUAUAAACAAAAAACACUUAGAUAUAAAAAUUUAUUUGGACUAUGGACUUGAAUCUGUUCCAAAUUUCAUUCAAAUGAAAUUUGAAUUAUUUGGACUAUGGACCUGAAUCUGUUCCAAAUUUCAUUCAAAUGAAAUUUGAAUUAUUUGGACUAUGGACCUGAAUAUUUCUGAAGAAAUUGGGUGUAGGUACUAAGCUCUUGCUGCGGAAUUUUUGGUGAGGUCAGAAGGGUUAGAGAAAAUGGAGUUCCUAGACUUUUAGCUUUAGACAAAAAACAAAAGUAUUUAGCUAUAAAUAAAAAACAGUAGCUAUGGCAUUUAGCUAUAAACAAAAAACAGAAUUGUUUUUCUUUUCAAAAACUUGGUUAAACUAAUCGUUGCUAUGUAAACAAAAAACAAGAUUUUUGUUAUAUCAUAUAUGUCAUUGAUGUUCAUUUGCACAUUCCAUUAUUGUUGAUUAUAUCUUUUCAUUGAAGUGGCUAUGUUAUAUGCAAAUUCCUCAAUAGUGUUUGCUCAUGUUAUAUCUUUUCAUUGAAGUGGUUCGAUUGUGCCCAAAGUGGCUUCGUUGUUUCCAGGGAAUGAAGCCGAGUGGCCUAUGUUUUUCCGGAAUGUUGAUUCGUUUCCGUUCCGGCAAAUUUCAGGCUCUCGAUUUGUCCACUUUUUAGCAAAAGUCAUGCCGAAAUUUUCCGUGAAUUUCGGCAUGACUUGUGCUACAAACUAGGACAUAUCGAGUGCCCGGGAUUUGCCGCACAGGGAAGGAGUCAACGUUCCUGCAGAGCAUAGACCUUUUUUUAUGUCAUUAUUCAUUUUAUUAGGUCUAGAAUUAAUUGACUAAAUUUAAUCGUAGGAAACAUGGCUAGCAACGAUGAAGGACAGGGUUCUGGUGACUGCGACAACGUCUACCUGGCAGCAGAAGAAUUUUUUAUGGAAGAUGACGAUCAAGAGUUGAUGUUGCUGGGUCCACCUGUCACAUCAGAGAUUGAGACCGACAUCGAGACCGGCGCUGAGAUAGAGACUGGCACUGAGAGUGAGACCGGCAUCGAGACCGGCACUGAGACUGAGACCGGCGCCGAGACCGGCGCCGAGACUAGCGGAGCCGGUAUAGACCCGAAAGCAAAGAGGCAACUGCUUCCUAACAAGCUCAGGUCUAAUAGACUGGUGGUCACGGAGGUGGACGACGGCAAUUUUGAACCAAACGCGCCCUAGGAAGCGCGCGCGUGCUACGACAAUCAAAUAGGAUGCAUCAUACGGACAACCGCCACCAUCAAAGAUGAGAAACUAAAGAAGAUAGAUAAUAUGAGGCCCUCCCUCCUAAAGAAGUUGCACCUGAUAUUCUUGUUCCCGGGCCGGAAUGAAAAGGAUUAUAAAGAUCCAGAUAAGGACCUGGCAAUGAAGAAGAAAAACAAACACGUCAUGACCAAGUUUAGCGACGCGUUGGCCGCCUGGAAAUCAAGGGUGAAAUAUCGGAUCGUUGACAAAAAGGAACCCUACUCCGAGAUUGUAAAGGAUAAUCCGACAACCAUGGUAGAGCACUUUCAAAUAUUCAAGGCAGCUUGCGAGGCCGAAGCUGCCAAAAAAUAGUCGAAGUACAUGAAGGGGCUUCAAUAGAGGAACAUUGGGUGCCCCCACCUCGGAAGUCGUGGUUACGGCAGGAAGAGGUCCAUAUGGGCCAUGGAGGACGCGGAAGCCGCGAGUCCGGGCAUCCCAGACCCCUUGGCGGAGUUCACCGUCCCGCAGGAGCGUGACAUCCUCAGGGCCCGGCACCGUUGGGAUCCAAUGAAGAAGGUUUUCGAGACGAACGCGGUCACGGCGGAGUUCAUGUGACUGCUGGCAAUUUUAGUUUCUGAUCAAUUCGACUGCACGUUAGUCAUAUUUAUAAACGAUCCUUGUGCCAUUUGCAGAGAGAGCAGCGCAGGAUUGCGGCCGAAAGCGACUCGCCGUCUGAGGCGUUGGCGAGGCCCAAGUGGGACACUCCAUUCAACCGGGCGUUGAACAUAUUGAAAGGACUCCCGGUGGAGACUCGACUGUCGUAUGGACGCGUGCACGGUGUCGGAGAUGGCGCCACGUGGAAGAAGUACUACCGUGAGACCACGGAGGAGAGAAAGGAAAGACGGAGGUUAACUGAAGAAAACAUUGACAAGAAGGUUGAGAUUGCGGUUGAGAAGAAAUCAUCUAAGACAGUCGCAAUAGCGGUAGCUGCCGCAAAACAGGUGCUUGUACAUAUGUCUACUACCUUGGUUCCGGCCGUUUUCAAUUGGAGCAGGCAAAAUCUAGAAAAAAAUGCAGCGGAGUUUCCCCUUGCUGACUUCUUUGGGAGCAGCUCGACUAGCGUUGCACCAGCACCUGCAGCUGCACAUGCUCCCGCACCGGCUCCCGCACCGGCUCGUGCACCUGCUCCCGCACCGGCUCCCGAACCUGCUCCAGCACCGGCUCCGGCACCGGACGUGCUCGGCGGUGCUUCGUCUUUGGCUGAGCUCGACGCCCUCACGGUGUCUGUCACACCGGCCCCCAUCAAUAAAUGUAUUAUCUCCCGUUUUCGUUGCCUUUCGGAUGUCUCACGUCACAGACUUUUCUUUGCAGGCCGACGAAACCCCGUGCACCAUAUUGUACACCAUCGGCGACAAGAAGGUGGACGUGGGGAAGGCGACGAUAAUGGAGCCGAAGGAACCAUUGUUCCACAGCGGCUGAUCCCCCAGGACGUCUUCAAGGUUUCCGUGGCCAGUGUCAAACCGGGCCACGAGAAUUUGACUCCUCUGGUACUAGUGGGGGAUGACAACGAGACCCCACGGCGGCUUGGUAAUUGUUGCAAUGGGUGGGUCCUGUUGUGGCCAAAGAGUCUGCUUCGUCUGGAGGUGGCCGGGAGCACACCCACGAGCACACAGUUAGGUAUGAACAUCAACACCUCACCUACCCAAUUAGCGUCGGCUGUCGUGCUAGGUGAUAGCGGAGGGGGUGAGGAAGAGGCUCCAUUAGUCACUGGUGAUGUCGCCAUAGAUGAGGAUGAGGAUGACGAUGACACUCAACAGUAUGUCAAUACUGGUGCCUACUUAGGGUUUGAGCGUCAUGAGUCGGUGCCUGAAUUGCCGCCUCCGAAGUCUGAACGUAUUAUGGACAACCUUCCGGUAGUAAAGAAGUCUAGGAAGAGACCGAGGAAAGGCAAAAAAGCUGCUUCUAUGAUCCAGCCGCCUCAGCAGCCUCGGGUUCAAGACUGUAUAGAUAUCCCCGGUGCGGCAAAAUGGCAUAUCCAUGGUCAACCAAUCCUACCUAAAGCAGCGCUAGGGGCUAGAUUCGGCGAUUUAAGGAGACUUCAUGACGAUGUGCUGCGGAUAGAGAAAUGGCUCAUCGCCUCAAAAAAUCCAGGAUACCCACUCUACAUGGUUAACGUGCCGCGGCAAUUCUCGUACGUCGACACAUUCCCCGCGGAGAAGUUCUUCCUUCGAUUCGAUUACAUCUUCGACAUGUUUCACUUAAAGAAACUGGAUUUUACGUUUGUCCGCCUUUAUGUCUUGCACAUGAACUACCUCAUCAGGGUUGAGCAGAUACCUCAUAUCUGUGUCGCUAGCCCGUACUUCAUGCAUGAGGGCUUCUUGGGAGUCUGCGCAGAGCACCGUGAAUAAGCAAGGGAAUACAUCGCCAAUUUCAUGCUCACCAUAAGGACAAGGAGGCGAUUCUCGUGCCUUAUCAUCCCCUGUAAGUCAUCUGCGCGGAUAUCCUUCCUUUGAUUUCAAUCAUUCAUUUGCACAGUGGAGGCUAAUUAAUUUGAGGUGUACUUAUUUUUCGCAGCGGCGGGCGCGCCGUCCUCAUCAUCCUCUACCCCCGAUACUCCCACGCUCUUUACUUGGACUCGUCGAAGAACAUUAACAAAAAGGAUUACACCCACAUGAAGUCUGUUCUCGACAGUGCUAUGUUUUACUACGGCGCACGGGGUGGAGAGGUCAAGGACAAGAAGAAAAGGGACGGCAGGCCCGCCUUUGGCCAUAAGACCGACUUCUGCUGCAUCCACCAACCGAGUUAUUCUCUUAAUGAUGGAUUCUAUGUCCUACACCACAUGCUGGAGUACAGACGGGAUCACCAGAACCUUCGCAUGUCACCUAGAUCCGGCGAUGCCCAUAUUCUGCAAUGGGCAAAGAACUUAGGAGAUAUCGAGGAUCAUCGACUUCGAGCUGAGUUCUAUCACAUCCAGCGCAAACUUGCCCAAAUCAUCAUGAAGGAGGUCGUCGAAAAAACAGGGAUUUUCUAUGAAGAAGGACAAAUGUCGCGGGAAGACGUCCGAACACGCGUAGCGGCUCAGCUUCUCGACCUGAAGCCUUUCACUAAGCUUGGGGACUAUCUCCCUGACUUGGAUGCAUGGCACGACAUGUUGGAGUGAUUGUCGAUAUAUGACAAUGUGUCUGUUUAGUCCAUACUAUCUGUAUCACGAAACUCUGAGUUAUGCAUGACGAAACUUUAUUUGUUAUGUAAUUAAACCGUCCUCCUCGACUAGUGAAGAUCACUCUAGUUAGGGCUUUUUGGGUACGAUGAAUUUUGUUAUAUAUGCUUAUGGUAUGUUGCUUCUAUUUUUGCCAAGUCUGUCUCUUUCUGUUGCUCAACUAUAUAUGUUGCAUAUCAUCGACUCAUGUGACGAUGCAGGUGUAUAGAUCAUCGAUGGCGAAGAAGUGCUACGCCAGGAGUAUACGACGAGUGGCCGGAAUGUCAGGCCCAGGUGUACCGGUUUCCGGUUUCCGAGCGACAGCCAGUAGUUAGUUUAGGUUCACGCUAAUGCGAGAGAGGGAUACGAACUCAUGUACUGCAUAGUUCCGCUCUCACUCAAAGUGAUAGCUCUUCUCGCGUAUAUCAUUGUUUAGAUGGAUGACGACGUAGUUGCAAGUAAUCGAGACUUGUAUCGCUAUUUUUGAGAUGAUGACGAGAGACCACUUGUUGUUGGAUGAUGAUUAUGAUGAUGGCAUGAUUUGAUGAGACUAUUUGUAUGUAUAUGCUAUGAUUACAUUUGUAUGUGUAUGAUAUGCUAAAGAUUAUUGUAUAAAGCCUAUUCAAAUACAAAACAAAUAUGCAUAAAAAAAUAAAAACUAAUAAAACUAGCAGUAGCGAGGGGAACAAAGUUAGCAGUAGCGCUCCCUUACCAGUAGCGCUUCGUGCUAAAAAGCGCUGCAGAUAUUAGCAGCAGCGCUCUGCACUAAAGCGCGCUACUGCUAGCCAUGUAUAGCAGUAGCAUGGGAUGACAGGUGCUACUGCUACACGUUAGCUGUAGCGCCUUAUCAGUAGCACGUCGUCCCGAGCUACUGAUAGGCAAAAUACCCGCGCUACUGCUAGGGUUUUCCGUAGUAGUGCUUGUCAACCCAAUGAAUAAAUCUACCGUUUCCUAGUUGCAAUAAGAAACAAUUAGCAUUUAAUUAAUGGACACACAUUAGUCAAUAUAUUUUGAAAUGAGCAAAGUAUAGCAUAACUAGAUGAAAACCAAAUAUAGCAUAAGUGAGCUAGAAUGUUCCACAAACACGACAUGUCACAACUAAGUUACAAUGUUCUACCAACACAGCUUAGCAGCCAAACAAAACAUAGCUAUAAGACAUCCAAAUAUAGCACAAUAUAGUUGAAUUGUUCCACAAAAGUUGUGCAUGGGAUAACUGAAAUAUACAAUGGGUAUUGUCACAGAACACUAACUCUAGUUUAUACCAUUUACAUAUACUUUUUCCAGACAACCAUCACUUACUGAACAAGCAUCCCAUCAUUAGAGUCUGAGAAGAAAUGCAGCCUUCUCAGGGCGUCGAGAUCUGGGCCGUUGGAUUAAGCUUUCAAAAGAAUUGCGACCAUCAGAUCUUCAGAUGGAUCGAUCCGGGCCGUCGGAUCAUAGCAAACACUGCUACAGUGAAUAGUGUUGUUUCUUUUUUAUUUUGGUCUAUUAUUACUAUCUCGCUGACUGAUGGGCCACGCGGUAAGUGGUCCAUUGCUGUUAGUGAGAGCAGAGCACUAAGCGGUCGGUGCUGGUUCGUACAGGCUCAGGGGUCAGGCCAACGCCUGUGAAAUUGGGUAGCCGCUGAGGGCAAAUUCAACAUUUCACGUCAUCGCCCCUGCGUGACGCUCCGUGGAUGGCUAGUCAGCAAGUAAUGGCGAGGGAGCGACCCAUUGGCUAGAAACCUAGCCGCCUCUUCCCCGUCGUGUUCCUAUCUGUGUCGUUUGAGCUGCGGUCGCCAUCGAGGACGUGUCACUCGCACCGCCACUUCCCUGUCGAGCUCAUGCGUCCACUAGCCACACCGUCUCUUUUCCAUGCCUGCUCAUCCUCCGUUCCUCUUCGAUCACCGAGCUCGCCGUCGCUAUCGUCGGGAGGAAGCGAUUGGUGGACCUAGCCCACCGCCAUCAACGGGUGGAGCGCAGGAACCCGCGAUGCCCCUCCAGCGACCAGCACUUAUCCCUCGCCCAGCGACGAGGCCCCAUCGAACUCGCGUGUGGUCGCAGCUGGGAAUCCUCCUGUCCGCUCCUUGCUCCCCGCCGAGAGCCUUGAUUGGAUCUGGAUCCUGAGCUCUCCGUGCCCGCAUCGCCCCACCAUUCAUGGUGCACCACCAGCACGAGCUGCACAUCAUCAUGUCGUCAGAGGGAGAGCGGGAGGAAGUUGGCGCUGUUUAUCCCCACGAGGUGUGCCGUCGACGGUAGGAAGCCAGGCAGGGCGACGGGGAAAUACCGACGUAGUUCAAGCCGCAUCAAAAGGAAUUUCUGGCGCAGUUGCCAGGGAGACAUCAUCAACAUCUAUGAGGUUCCUAAUCACAAAUCCCAUCUCCUUGCAAUUUACAUUAUUUGCCAUUUGCCUCUCGUUUUCAUCUCCCCCACUUCACAAAAAAUUGCCGUUUUAUUCGCCCUCUUUUUCGUUUGCCUUUUUCUGGUUCGAUCUUAUGUUUGUUUGUGUCUCCAUGUGCCUUCUAUUUUGCUUGCAUCUUUUCUUGCUAAAACCUAUUGUUAUGGAUCCACUCAAAGUUUUGUACCUGGAUCUUGUUCGACCCAUAUGUGCUCGUGCUGAAACCCCAACUAGUUUAGUUGAGGGAAAAUCAUUAGAUGAGCAUGCUCUUUUUGCCCGUCAUCGUUUGUCUGAAAAAGGGAAGCUCUUAUGGAAUCAAAUAAAUUGUUUGCUAUGAUAUGCUUGGAAUCAUUAUGAAAUUUGUGAUUUUACUUGUUGCUCUAAGAACCCCAAAAAACACUUCCCCUAUCUAUGUGAGUUUAAUGACAAUGAAGUCUUAUGUUCUUAUGCCAAGGAGGUUUAUAGUUACUAUGAUAUCGAACAAAUUGAACAAUUUGUUGCUUUUAAGGGUGCUUAGAAGUUGCUUAUUUGAUUGAAAAGUAUGAUAUUACUCUCUACAAAUCUGAAAAUUUUGACAUACUUAAAUAUUGCUAUGAAAACUAUGCUCAUAAUGCCUAUGUUAAAGAAUUUAUUGAGAGAAUGUCCUAUGCUUUGAAAGAAAAUAGUGAUAUGCAUGAAGCUAUGGAUAACCAUGAUUCCGUUGAUUUGAUUGAAUUAUCCCCUCUUGAUGAACACGUUGCUAGCUAUUCUUGUGGCCAUGAUGCCAAUAUUAAUGAUGCUUAUGAAGAUGAACUUGCUAUAGUUCUUUAUGUUAAACAUGAAAUUAUUGCUAUUGCACGCACGCUGGAUAGCUCCUUUAAUGAAAAGCAUGAUUGCAAUGAUAUUAUUAUAGAUUCUAUUAAUCUCAAGUUUGUUAGUGAUAUGCAAAACCCCAAGCUUGGGGAUGCUUGUUUUGUUAUGUCCGCUACUUAUUGCAAUGAUCAUGAUUGGGGUGAUGAUGACUUUUAUGAUCUUGAUAGUCUAUUUAAGCCUCAUGAUGAAUAUGUUUGCAAUAAUAUUAAAAGUGGGUUUGGAAGAGUGUCAAAUAUUGAUAAAAAUAAUCCCACAAAUUUGGAGAGUGUUCAAUCUUAUGAUUUUUUUAUAAAAGUGGGCUUGGAAAGGUCAUGACUUUAUUUUAUGGUAAUCCCACUAUUUUGGAAGAGUGUCAACUUUGCAUGCAUGUGGAUCAUGUAGAGAAUAUGUUAUGUGAUAUCUAUAUUAUUGAAUUUGAACAUGAUUCCACAUGUAAUUGUUAUGAGAGAGGGAAAUAUGGUUGUAGAAAUUUCUUGCUACUAAGUCACCUCUCGUUAUGUUGAAUUGUCAAAGUUUUAUUUGUUUCCUAUGUAUAUGCUAGAUAUUUCUUGUUUUGAUAAUUUGUUUGCCUGUAAAAUUCCUAUACAUAGGAAAUAUGUUAGACUUAAAUGUGUUUAUCACAUGUUUUAUGAUCCUCUCUUUGUGUUUCAAUUAUUAUCUUUCAUGUGAGCAUCAUUGAAAUCGCAAAGCCUAUCUUAAUGGCUAUAAAGAAAGAGCUUGUUGGGAGGCAACCCAACGAAUAAAUUUUAUGUUUGCCUUUUUGUUUCUGUACAAUUAUGCCUCUGUUAUGAUUAUGUUUUUUAUGUUUUAAUUAGUGUUUGUGCGAAGCAAAGCCUUUUAGGAUCAUGUUGGGUGAUAGUUGAUUUGAUCUUGCUGAAAAACAGAAAAUUAUGAGUCCAGUAACACAAUUAUUAAAAUUCACAGAAGCGUGAUAAAAUUCUGAUUUUUUUACAGAAGAUUAAUACAAAUAGCGUAUGUUGUCCUAAUUUUUCAGAAUUUUUGCAGUUACAUAAGUAUACGAAGUUUUCAGAUUGCUACAGACUAUUCUGUUUUUGACAGAUUAUAUUUUCUUUUUGUUGUGUGCUUAUUUUGAUGAAUAUAUGGACUUUAUUGGAGGGUAUAAGCUAUAGUAAAGUUCGAAUACAGUACAUAUAAUGCAAAAAUAAAAUAUGAAUGGGUUUGCAACAGUACUUAGACUAGUGAUUUGCUUUGUUAUACUAACGGAUCUCACGAUGGUUUUGUUGAGUUUUGUGUGAUUGAAGUUUUUCAAGUUUUGGGUGAGAUCACGAUGGAUGAAGGAAUAAGGAGUAUGAAGAGACUAAUCUCGGGGAGGCCCAUGGCACCCCAAGUUAUUAUCCAAAGAGGAACAAGCAAUUAAGAUUGGGGAUGCCCCCGAGUGGCAUCCCCUCUUUCUUCUAAUGACCAUCGGUAUUUUACUUGGAGCUAUAUUUUUAUUCGUCACAUAUCAUGAGUUUUGCUUGGAGCAUCUUGUAUUAUAUGAGUCUUUGCUUAUUUUGCUUUUUUAUUUUGUGUCAUCUAUCCUUGCUGGACACACCUAUUUGAGAGGGCCCAAAUUAUGCUAUGGAAUCUUUUUGCUUCACUUAAAUCUUUUUGAGCUAUGGAAUUGAUCUUUGUGCUUCACUUAAAUCUUUUUGAGCUAUGAAAUUGCUCUAGUGCUUCACUUAUAUCUUUUUGAGAACGGUGUGCUUUGGUAUUUUUGAAGAAAUGCUCUCAUACUUCACGUAGAUUUAUUUGAGAGUUAGUAAAUUUUUUAAGAAAUCCUCUCAUGCUUCACAUAAAUUAAUUUGAGAGAAGAAAUUUUUUAUGCUCGUGUUCUUCACUUAGAUUUGUUUGAGCUAUCAAAAGCAACAUAUGAAAUUAGUCCCAAAGUGAUAGAUAUUCAAGAGGGAUAUAAUAAAAACUUUCAUGAAGAUCGUUAGACAAAAUAAACUUGAUUCUUUGUAAUAGUUUUGCGGUAUGACGAUAUAAUAUGUGAGUCAUGUUGAUGAGUUAUUACGCUUUAGUGAGAAUAUUGAUGUUAAGGUUUGUGAUUCUCUAUGUAAGCACGAAAGUCAAUAGUUAUGCAAUGAAAUUACAUCCUACUUGUCGUGCAUUAUUCGGUGUUAGUUCUGCUUAAUUCUUGCUUAUGAGAUUUUUUGUUUCUUGGUUGGAUGCUUCUCAAUAUUUUGCUAGCCUUCAAUUGUACUAAGUGGGAUUACUACUUGUGCAUCCAAAAUCCUUGAACCCAGUUUUUGCCAUAUGAGUCCACUAUACCUACCUAUAUGCGGUAUUCAUUUGCCGUUCUAAGAAAAUUUGUAUGUGCCAUCUCUAAUCUUCAAAAUAACUUCCUUUUUGUGUGCUCGUACCGCUCAUGAAACGGUAGGGGGUGGCUGAUAUUUUUCCAUGCUAGAUGUGUUAUUCUCAAGAUGAGUGUUUAUUCACUUGUCACUGCACGAGAGUAUGGCAAAGUUAUUAGGGAUGCCCAGUCCUGAAAUGAAAAAUGAAUUUACUUUAUGUUGUCAAAUAAUAAACUCCUUGGAAAGUGUUGGUAUGGACGGUACCCGUGGAUUCGGUUCGCCGUGGAAUGUGAAAGUAUGGUGGAAAAAGGAAUAAACUUUAUUUUCUGUUUGGGAACCACCUAUGAUAUAUCUAGCAUGGAAAGUAUUGGGAACUACUCGAUCGUUUUCAUUGACAGGAAAGGCAUGCCACCCAAAAUGUCUUAUCUCUAUCUUUUUCCGCUUUUAGCUCUGGCACCUCUACAAAUCCCUACUUCCCUCUGCGAAGGGCCUGUCUAUUUACUUUAUGAAAUUUUUAUUUUUAUUUCAAGUCUCCAUCUUCUCUUACAAAGCACCAACUAAGGGGCACUACGAUCGUACCAUAGCAUUGGGUGUAGCUAAUAUGCGAGUGUGUUUCAUGAAUGGAUCAAUGAUUGAGCAUAAUGGGCUAGGGAUAAAUUGCUUUAGUGUUGAUAUUUUGAAAGACAUGGUUGCUUGUUGAUAUGCUUGAGUAUUGAAAUCUUCAUAUCAACACUAGACUAUUCCUUUGAAUCAUAUAAAAGUCCAAAUGUCCAUGCUACAAAAGAAAAAGAAUAUGUGAUGAACAUGAUAGGCAACAUUCCACAUCAAAAAUUCUAUUUUUAUCAUUUACCUACUCGAGGAGGAGCAGGAAUUAAGCUUGGGGAUGCUGAUACGUCUCCAACGCAUCUAUAAUUUUUCAUUGUCCCAUGUUGUUAUAUUAUCAUUUUUGGAUGUUUUACAAUCAUUUUAUAACAACUUUAUAUCUUUUUUGGGACUAGCCUAUUGACAUAGUGCCUAGUGCCAGUUGCUGUUUUUUGCUUGUUUUUACACUGCAGAAAAUCAAUACCAAAUGGAGUCCAAAUGCAGCGAAACAUUUUGCAGAAUUUAUUUGGACCAGAAGACACACGAUGGGCCAAUAGAGUACUAGAGGGGGGCUCCGAGGGAAGCACAACCCACCUGGGCGCGCCCUGGUGGGUUGUGCACACAUCGGCUCGCUAUCGUGCCGCCUCUUUGCUCCAUAAAUACCCCGAAAAUCCAAAAACCCUAGGAGUCGACGAACACAAUUCCAGCUGCCGCAAGUUCCACAAAGCACAGAUCCAAUCUAAACACUGAUACGUCUCCAAUGUAUCUAUAAGUUUUUAUUAUUCCACGCUAUUAUAUUAUCUGUUUUGGAUGUUUUAUAUGCAUUAAUAUGCUAUUUUAUAUUAUUUUUGGGACUAACCUAUUAACCUAGAACCCAGUGCUAGUUCCUGUUUUUUCUUGUUUUAGAGUUUCGCAGAAAAGGAAUAUCAAACAGAGUCCAAACGGAAUGAAACUUUGGCGAUGAUUUAUCUUUGACCAGACGAUAACCAGAGGACUUGGAGUACACGUCAAGGAAGCCACAAGGAAUCCCAAGGGGGUAGGGCGGGCCCCCCACCCUUGCGGACCCCUAGUGACACCACCGACCAAUUUCUUCCGCCUAUAUAUUCUCAAAUACCCCAAAACCUUCUAGGAGAGCCACGAAACCACUUUUCCACCGCUGCAACCUUCUGUACCCGUGAGAUCCCAUCUAGGGGCCUUUUCCGGCAUCCUGCCAGACGGGGACUCGAUCACGGAGCGCUCCUACAUCAACAUUGCCUCUCCGAUUAAGCGUGCGUAUUUUACCACAAACCUACGGGUCCAUAGCUAGUAGCUAGAUGGCUUCUUCUCUCUCUUUGAUUCUCAAUACCAUGUUCUCCUCGACGUUCUUGGAGAUCUAUUCGAUGUAAUACUUUUUUGCGGUGGGUUUGCCGAGAUCCGAUGAAUUGUGUAUUUAUGAUCAGCUUAUCUAUGAAUAUUAUUUGAAUCUCCUCUGAAUUCUUAUAUGCAUGAUUUGAUAUGUUUGCAAGUCUCUUCGAACUAUCGAUUUGGUUUUGCCACCUAGAUUUGUUUUUCUUGCAAUGGGAGAAGUGCUUAGCUUUGGGUCAAUAUUGCGGUGCUCGAUCCUAGUGAUAGAAGGGGAACCGACACGUAUUGUAUUGUUGCCAAUGAGGAUAACAAGAUGGGGUUUUCAUCAUAUUGCUUGAGUUUAUCCCGCUACAUCAUGUCAUCUUACUUAAUGUGUUACUCUUUUAUUCAUGAGCUUAAUACUCUAGAUGUAGGCAGGAGUCGGUCGAUGUGUGGAGUAAUAGUAGUAGAUGCAGGCAAGAGUCGCUCUACUUGAUACAGAUGUGGUGCCUAUAUUCAUGAUCAUUGCCUUAGAUAUCGUCAUAACUUUGCGCUUUUCUAUCAAUUGCUCGGCACUAAUUUUUUCACCCAACGUAAUAUUUUCUAUCUUAAGAGAAGCCUCUAGUGAAACCUAUGUUCCCGAGUCUAUUUUCCAUCAUAUAAUCUUCUAUUUUCCAUCAUAUAAGUUUCCGAUCUACAAUUUUAGUUUCCUAUUUACUUUCUUUGCAAUAUUUUGCAUUCCGAUCUAUAAACCAAAAAUACCAAAAAUAUUACUUUACCGUUUAUCCAUCUAUAUCAGAUCUCACUUUGCAAAUAAUUGUGAAGGGAUUGACAACCCGUUUAUCGCGUUGGGUGCAAGUUGGUGUUUGUUUGUGCAGGUAUUCGGUGGCUUGUGCAUUGUCUCCUACCGGAUCGAUACCUUGGUUCUCAAAACUGAGGGAAAUACUUACUCUACUUUGCUGCAUCACCCUUUCCUCUUCAAGGGAAAAACCAACGCAAGCUCAAGAAGUACUGGGAAGAAUUUUUGGCGCCAUUGCCGGGGAGAUCUACGCCAAGCCGAGACAUACCAAGUACCCAUCAUAAACUCUCAUCCCUCGCAUUACAUUAUUUGCCAUUCGCUUCUCGUUUUCCUCUCCCGCACCUCUCACUACUAGGAAAAGGGCUAUAGACAAUAUGCACACUAAUGGCGCACCAGACAUGCGGUGCGCCACUACUAUAUAGCGGUGGCGCACCGUGUGCUGGUGCGCCAUUAGUGUGAUAGACACUAAUGGCGCACCACAACCAUGGUGCGCCACUACUAACAAAUUUUCUUUUUCUUUUUAAAAAAAUACUAAUGGCGCACCGCAACCAUGGUGCGCCACUACUAAUUUUUUUCCUUUUUUCCAAAAAUACUAAUGGCGCUACUUGGCACAGUGCGCCAUUACUAGUUUUAACUAGUAAUGGCGCACCAGUCACCCCGUGCGCCACUACUAUCAUUUUUUUGCAAAACUACUAAUGGCGCACCGCCAGCUGGUGCGCCAUUAGUAACCAGGGUUACUAAUGGCGCAUUUGUUGGUGGUGCGCCAUUAGUAACCUGGGACCAGCUAGAUAUUUUGGACAGCCACCUACACACUCACUUUCCCCACUUCAUUCUCUCCACCUCCUCCUCCAAGCUUGUCUCGGCUGCCUCCUCCUCCUCACCUCAUUUGCACCAUAGAUUCAUCCAAAUUAAGUGGUUAAAUUACCUUUUUUGAUAGGUAAGUAAGGGGAAAGCUUUCUUUAUGUUGUAGAUCUACUUUUUUCUCCCUCCAACAACGUGCACAUGCACUUUUUAUGGCCUAGCUAGAUCUAUGUAUGUUUGUGGUGUUGCAUAUGUUUGUGGUGUUGCAUAUAUGUUUGUGUUUGCACGUACCGGUAUUUGAAAUGCGAUAGUUGCCAAUAUUUUGCCAGAAUGUUGAUUCAUUUCCGUUUCGUCAAGAAUUUUGGCACUAUGCAUUCUUUUUUGUCCUAUUUUUAGGCAAAGUCAUGCCAAAUUUUUUCUUGGUUCUAAAAUAUCGUUUUGCUCUACCCUGCAGGCGACCAUGGUCUGCACGAUGACCGAAGGCAUCGUGAAUAGGUUUUUGAGCUCCGCGAAGGCCGAGAUGCUUCAAAAGAAUGAGACGGAGAUAAGAUGUCCGUGUCGAAGAUGCAAGCUGAGGAGCCUUAUGGACCCGGAUUCCGUACAGGUGCGGGACCACCUGCUCUUGCGUGGUUUCAUGGAUGGCUAUCGGUGGCAAGGUGAUGAAGAUGAUUAUGAAGUCGUCCAUGGGGGCCGGCCGGUAAGAAAUGAGGAAGGGCAGCAAGACAACCGCGGCGAGGGCGGGCGAGAAGACGAAGAAUCUCCAGGACAUGAUCACGAAGUAGAUGCAGUACGCAGUCAUCAUGUAGAAGAUGCCGGACAUAAAGAUGAGGAAGAUGCCGGAGCAGACGAAGGGCAUGAUCAUGAAGAUGAAGAUGCCGGAGCGGACGACGAUGGACCAUCGAUGGGCUGGGUGCAGGACCCUCAUAUUCAAGAGCUGCUUCUCAAGCAGACGGAUAACGCAAGAGCUGCCGCCCGAGAGAAAGCCAAGCUGGAUCAACUGGAGAUAGACGCGGUUACUCCAUUGUAUGAAGGAUGCAGGCCCGAGGAUACCCGCCUGAAAGUAACGCUCAUGGCUCUGGAGAUGAAGGUAAAACACAAAAUGACCGACGCAUGCUUCGACGAGAACAUGUCAUUCUGGCACGAACGUCUUCCCAAGGGGAACAAGUGCCCGACCAGUUUUGAGGAGGCGAAGAAAAUCGUGUGUCCUCUGGAUUUACCGCACGUGAAAUACCAUGUGUGCAUGAACAAUUGCAUCAUUUAUCGGGACGAGCACGCGGAGUCUACCAUAUGUCCGGUGUGCGGCGUCACUCGAUACAAGAAGAGGAAGAAAGCUCCUCGAAAAGCGGUGUGGUACUUUCCGAUCGCUCCUCGUGUGCAGCGGUAUUUCGCGGACCCUAAGGUAGCAAAGCUCUUGCGUUGGCACGCGGAUAGGGAGGAGAAGAAGCGAGAAGAUGACGCAAAUGAUCCGGAGAUAAAUAAAAAAGACAAGAUGCUGAGUCACCCUAAGGAUGGGAGCCAGUGGCAAGCGUUGAACUUCGAACACCCAGAAUUUGGGAACGAUCCAAGGAACAUCGUGCUGGGCGCGAGCACCGAUGGAGUCAAUCCGUUUGGCAGCCAGAGAAGCACACAUAGCACCUGGCCUGUGUUUGUGGAUGUACAACCUUCCCCGCUGGUUGUGCAUGAAGAGGAAGUACAUUCACAUGAGUAUGCUAAUUGAAGGGCCGAAACAACCAGGGAACGACAUCAAUCUGUAUCUGGGGCUGCUGAAAGAGGAGCUAGACACGCUGUGGAAAACGCCAGCCAAUACGUGGGACACCGCAGAGAAAGAAUAUUUCCCUAUGAGAGCCGCUCUGCUCACGACGGUGCACGACUAUCUCGAUUACGGAUAUGUCGCGGGGCAGGUGGUCCACGGAUUUUCUGGAUGCGUCAGGUGCAUGGAUGACACAACAUAUCGCCAGCUAGAUAGAGAUCUCAGGUCUUCGAAAACCGUGUUCAUGGGACAUCGAAGGUGGCUUCGCGACGAUGACUCAUGGAGGAAACGCAAGGAUCUGUUCGAUGGUGAAACCGAAACCCGAAGACGCCCGCGUACGAGGAGCGACAAGGAAAUAGACGAGUUGUUGAAAAAUUGGAAAGAUUGCCCACUGCCGGGAAAGAAGCAAAAGGCACCAGAGCCGGAAAAGAAGCGAAAGGCGCAAGAGCCGCUGCUGAAGGUAUGGAAAAUGAGGUCUGUUUUCUGGGACUUGCUGUACUGGAAGAUCCACCGUGUGCCUCACAGCCUUGAUGUCAUGCAUAUCACGAAGAACGUGUGCGAGAGUCUGCUUGGUACCCUGCUCAACAUGCCGGAGAGGACCAAAGAUGGGCCGAAAGCAAGGGCAGACUUGAAAUCAAUGGGCAUCAGGGAGGAGCUUCACGCUAAUGAUGAUGAUGAUGAGGCGAAGCAGGACACGGAAAGUCGUCGCAAAGGCAAAAAGGCCAAGAAGACCGAAAAUGACUUCCCUCCCGCGUGCUUCACUCUAAGUCAGGAGGAGAUCGAUCAGUUUUUCACCUGCCUCGUAGGAGUAAAACUUCCUUACGGUUACGCGGGGAAGAUAAGCAGAUACCUAGACUCAGCGAAGCAGAAGUUCAGCGGGAUGAAGUCUCAUGACUGUCACGUGCUGAUGACGCAGAUACUUCCAGUUGCAAUCCGUGGGAUCAUGGACGCGCACGUCCGUGAAACGCUAUUUGGCCUAUGCAACUUUUUCGACGUCAUCUCUCGGAAGUCGGUUGGUGUGAGGCAACUCAGAAGGCUACAUGAAGAGAUCGUAGUGAUACUAUGCGAGCUUGAGAUGUACUUCCCGCCCGCAUUCUUCGACGUUAUGGUGCAUCUGCUGGUCCAUAUCGUGGAGGAUAUCAUCCAACUCGGGCCGACGUUCCUGCACAGCAUGAUGCCGUUCGAAAGGAUGAAUGGUGUCAUCAAAGGAUACGUUCGCAACAUGUCACGUCCAGUGGGAAGCAUAGCCAGGGGCUUUCUGACCGAAGAGUGCAUCUCCUACUGCACGAAUUAUCUAGGCAUCGAGAACCCCGUUGGUCUGCCCGCCAACAGGCACCUCGGCAGGCUCGCUGGAUGGGGUCAUCGUGAGGGUUGCCGCGAAAUGCAUGUCGAUUUCGAGGGUCGACUCGCCGACUUUGAAAGAGCAAACCUAGUCGCGCUACAACACAUAGACGUGGUCGAUCCUUGGGUGGUAGAGCACAAAACCUUUAUUGAGAAGACGUACAAUGACCGAGACCAACAGAGGACGGACGGAGAUAUAAUCAAAGAGCACAACUCAUAUUUCACGCGUUGGUUCAAGCAGCAUGAGGAUUCUUCCGCGGAAGAACAACUCAAAUUCGCCUUGUCACAGGGCGCCGAGCACAACCUGAUGACGUAUGAGGCGUACAAUAUCAACGGCUACACAUUCUACACCGAGGGAAAGGACAUGAAGAGCGAUGGUUAUCAGAACUCUGGGGUAACGAUGGAAUCCUACACCGGUAACGAUAAGGACAGAUACUACGGAAGGAUCGAGGAGAUCUGGGAGCUGAGCUAUGCUGGAGAGAAGGUCCCGAUGUUCCGUGUCAGAUGGGCCAAGAGCGUCCUAAAAGAAGACCGGUAUUUCACCACCAUGGUUAUACCCGAAGCCAAAUCCAAGACCGCGGGCGCAAACGACACCGUGAAAAAUGAGCCAUGGGUACUGGCUUCCCAAGUGGACCAAUGCUUCUUCAUUACCGACCCGUCAAAGCCCAGUCGUGUUGUCGUGAGGAGAGGCAAAAGGAAGAUCAUCGAAAUGGAUGGAGUCGCCAAUGAGCAAGACUUCGACAAGUACGGCGACCCGAAGAUGGAACAUGACGACGAUGAUGAAGUACCAGCAUACACCACAAGAAGAAGCAGGACCACCCUACCUAAAGGACGUCCGUUCAAGAGAAGAACUCCAUUUACGAAAAAUAAGGGCAAGAAGAUUGUGAACAGAUAGCUAGCUAAGAUCGAUUGUAUUUAAAUUGUAGCCUUCAUUUCUCGAUUGUAUUUCAUGGGCACUUUUUGAACUCAUGAAUAUUUUUAAAUUUCAUGGGCACUUUUUGAAUUCAUGAAUAUUUUUUCAAAUUUCACCGCCGCCGCCGCCGACCCCCCGCACCCUCCCCCGCUCCACCGCCACCGACGACCCACCGCACCCUCCCCCGCUCCACCGCCNNNNNNNNNNNNNNNNNNNNNNNNNNNNNNNNNNNNNNNNNNNNNNNNNNNNNNNNNNNNNNNNNNNNNNNNNNNNNNNNNNNNNNNNNNNNNNNNNNNNNNNNNNNNNNNNNNNNNNNNNNNNNNNNNNNNNNNNNNNNNNNNNNNNNNNNNNNNNNNNNNNNNNNNNNNNNNNNNNNNNNNNNNNNNNNNNNNNNNNNNNNNNNNNNNNNNNNNNNNNNNNNNNNNNNNNNNNNNNNNNNNNNNNNNNNNNNNNNNNNNNNNNNNNNNNNNNNNNNNNNNNNNNNNNNNNNNNNNNNNNNNNNNNNNNNNNNNNNNNNNNNNNNNNNNNNNNNNNNNNNNNNNNNNNNNNNNNNNNNNNNNNNNNNNNNNNNNNNNNNNNNNNNNNNNUCCACCGCCACCGACGACCCCCCGCACCCUCCCCUCUGCCCUCUAUCACAGCGGGGACAACAGGAAGCCGCCGUCGCGCCCCUCUGCACCGGCUGCCCACGGCGCCUCCGUCCCGAAGCCGCAGCCCAAGUGCCCACCACUCUCUGUCCACGGUGAGCCAUCCUCUCUGUCCCAACUCUCUGUUCUUCUUUUUUAGCUAUCCUUUGUUGAAACAGUAGUUGCUGUGUAGCAAAUCUUUGGGAUUAGUGUUCAGUACUUUGUUGGGUGAGCGGCCAUCUGAGACAUCCUGCUUACAUAGUCUCCUUUUUAAAACUCGUCAAAUUGGUUUUAGAUAGAAAUGAUCAACACUCAAUUGGCCAACUGCAUGUGGAAUGAUUUCGAAGGGCGCCAUAACUUAUUGUAGAUGCUGACUACAAUAACAAUACUAAACUCAGUGUAGUCUGUUGUAAAGACACUUGUGCUUCUUUCAUCUGGAAAGGGGUCGUCUGGCCUCCAAAACUGUCAGAUUAGGUUGUGCUGUAACUCCUCACAUGGCCAUGUUUUUGGAAGAUUGGUCGUUUGUCACCGGCCCUUUGGUCACCCAGCAAUGGGACUUGUAUCAUAUUGCCAAUGAGGUUAAUAAAACAGUAGUGCAUCAGUACUUUGUUGGAACAGAAAGUCAGAAAAUCAGAAAAUCCACGGUACUUUGUUUAGAUCUUCACUGUUGACAAACGCAGUCAACUAAAAAUCCAGUUCAGUGCAUAAUUAGUGUUGACAAAUACACUGAUCUUUAUCUGCAGUAAUUCAGUUUAAACUGAAAAUUCAGUGUUGUAGUACAGAAAAUUUAAACUGAAAAUUCAUAGUCUCCUGGUGCAUAUUGAUCUCAGUGUAUGAAUUCAUAGUGUUUCAAAUUACUGAUGCUAUGGUCCAGGAGUAGAAAAAUUUGUACUCCAAGAUCAAUAUGGUUCAAUUUCUACUGUACUGUAAUCAAAGUGGAUAUAAAUUGCAGAGUGUUUAUGUUGGCAUUCGACAACAUCUAAAUUUACCAAAUGAUUGUGAACUCAGUUUAUGUUUGCAACCAAAUGCUUAGUUCAUUGUUUACUCCAAAUGAUUGUGAACUUAUUCAAAGUUUCCAAUAUUGUUCAGACACUACUUGUACUGGAACUGGAACUACUACUACUGAUGCAGCACCCCAUGUAGUUUAAGUUUUCUUUAUCUUAAACUCAGACAGCUCUCUAAUUAUUGGAGUUUAUAUCAUAUAUAUUGCUGGCAUGUAUUUCAUAUGUUCUGUAGCAUUAAGGCUACAUAGCAUUGCUUUUGUCUCUGACCAUCGUGUCGUGAUGAUAUUGUGGGGUGUUGUGGGGUUGCAGAGGCCCUUGAGUUUCAUCGCGAUGAUGCUAAUCGUGAUGACCGCAGCUCUCUUCUAUGUGAUGGUAGUUUAGAUGAUCGAUAUCGACUUGUAAUGUGAAGACAAACUCGCUACUCGCGGUUUCGAGACUUGUAGUGUUCUAACUUUGUUUGGUCUUUUGAAUUCGGAGACUAAUAUGAUGAAUUGUAUUCGGAGACUAAUCUUCUAUUGUAUUCGAUAACUCUGCUGUUUAUAUGUUGUGUGUCUAUAUUCUGUGCAGUAAUAUGUUUUGUAACCUGUGCAAAUAUCAGAAAAGAAAAAAAUCCCUAAUAUUCAUACUAGUGGCGCACCACCCAGAACUUUAGUGGCGCACUGCAAAAUGCAUACUAGUGGUGCAUCAGCAAGCAGUGCGCCAUUAGUAAGCCAGAGACAUGGUUAAAUAUGGCCCCCUGGGAGGCAUUCUAAUGGCGCAUCAUAGGGUGUACUAAUAGCGCACUACAUGGUGCGCCAUUAGUAUCUGAUAUACUAAUGGCACACUUGUGGUGCGCCAUUAGUAAUAAAAUCUAAUGGCAUGGUACUAGUGGCGCACCUGUAGUGCGCCAUUAGUAGGCAAAACAGGUGCGCCACUAGCAGCCCUUUUCCUAGUAGUGUCUAAAACGAUUUUCGAAAAAUUUGUCUUUUCUUCGCCCCUCUUUCGUGCGUCUUCUUCUUUUGCUCUUUGUUCGCUUGUCCGUUUGAUCUUUUAUCUUGCUGUCAUGGCUAGUUUUCCAUCCUUGUUAGCACUCCCAAUAAUAAGGUCCUCAACUUCAAACAAAGGGAAGGAGAAAAUUUAAAAGAUGCUUGGUAUAGAAUUUAUAAUGCUCAAAUUUGAUGAUUACUGCUGGAGAUGACUAACAUCCUAGAUGUUACUCACUAUGUCUAGAUACAUUCGUUUGAGUGUCAACUAAUUCUGAACAUCUUAGGUGUUACUCCCAAGUCUAGAUACAUUUUUUUGAGUGGCAACUAAUUCUGAAUGGAGGAAGUACACAAAGCUAAGCCACAGCCAUGAAAUAUAUAUAGGGCGGGGGGCGCUCGUUCCACAAGGAGCGGCGGGUAGCUUAGCUAUAGCUCGAUCGAUGAAUAUGGCUGUAGAUGGGUUUGGUGAGCUGGGCAUUCGUGUGGUGAGUCGCCGGCUGGUGCUCUGCCUGCCAGCUACUGCUCUGCCUGCCGCUCCACCUCCUUGUCGAUCGCGCCCACCCAAACGGACGUCCAUGACACAUACACCGACAAUGUGCUCCUCCACGGCCACGACUACCCAAGUAGUGGCCACGGCACCUCCUCCACAGGCUCGGGCGUGGGCGGUGCUGGUGGUGGUGGGGGCACGUUGGCCUCCACUCCGGCCGCCAAUUGGGCCAGCGCCUGCGCAAGGCCAGGCCACCUGGCCUUGCUCCUCGCGCUCGGCCUCCACGAUGGCCCUCCAUGUGGCCUCCUCGAGGGACACAACACAGGCCUCCUCGGCAUCCUAAUCCUCCUCCUUCACCACUCCCGGAAGUGGUGGUGGAGUGGCAAGAACGCGUGGUGCACCGGGCGCACACUUGACGCACUACCGGCAAUGUUGGUCGUGCUCGGUGGCAAACCACGCGUCCUAGUUACCGCAUACGUUGGGUCACGGCGGAGGUUGGCUAGGAGUAGAGCAUGGGAUCUCCGUCAGCUGUGCGCGGCCUGAGGCCGGCACCGGAACCCUAGCAAGGUUGAGGUCCCACCCGUGCGGUAGGUUCACACUGGGCUAUGGCGCAGGCACGCCAUACUCCCAAAAGUACUGGUAGCGGUGCAUCGGCAUGUAGUGCCGAAACCAUGGCUGCCGACUCAAGGUCGAUUUAUCUGUUCUUAUAAACUAGCGAAUUAGCAACUAUAUUACCCAAGAGUAACAACCAAGUCAUAUAUACAAUGUACGCUUGCAACCAUUGAAUAAAUUGUACAGAAUACCAAACAAAGAAGAUUGAACGAGGUCGUGGAACAACUCACAUGCACCAUCCACAGGUCAAGUGGAUGAUCCCAAUGAUGAGCGAAUGAUCCUAAUGACGAGCAGUUGGCGAGAUUAUGUUGCUCUUGUGAUGGUUAGUGAUGUCUGCGCUAGAGCUUGCUUACAACCUUGCGAGGUAAGGAGCUACGGCUACAUGCGUAUUAGGUUUUAUAAGCCGUGAAACCUCGAUAAAAGUUGCCGCUAUAAGUUUUUUCUUCAUGUCACUAUAAACCUUAUNNNNNNNNNNNNNNNNNNNNNNNNNNNNNNNNNNNNNNNNNNNNNNNNNNNNNNNNNNNNNNNNNNNNNNNNNNNNNNNNNNNNNNNNNNNNNNNNNNNNNNNNNNNNNNNNNNNNNNNNNNNNNNNNNNNNNNNNNNNNNNNNNNNNNNNNNNNNNNNNNNNNNNNNNNNNNNNNNNNNNNNNNNNNNNNNNNNNNNNNNNNNNNNNNNNNNNNNNNNNNNNNNNNNNNNNNNNNNNNNNNNNNNNNNNNNNNNNNNNNNNNNNNNNNNNNNNNNNNNNNNNNNNNNNNNNNNNNNNNNNNNNNNNNNNNNNNNNNNNNNNNNNNNNNNNNNNNNNNNNNNNNNNNNNNNNNNNNNNNNNNNNNNNNNNNNNNNNNNNNNNNNNNNNNNNNNNNNNNNNNNNNNNNNNNNNNNNNNNNNNNNNNNNNNNNNNNNNNNNNNNNNNNNNNNNNNNNNNNNNNNNNNNNNNNNNNNNNNNNNNNNNNNNNNNNNNNNNNNNNNNNNNNNNNNNNNNNNNNNNNNNNNNNNNNNNNNNNNNNNNNNNNNNNNNNNNNNNNNNNNNNNNNNNNNNNNNUAUAUAUGUAUAUAUAUAUGGGGCAUGAAACUGCAAACUACCACUAUUGUUGCCGGUGGACCUCCCGGCUCCGGUGCACAUCCCAACGUCGCCCUCGUGAAGCAAGCGAAUGGCCCCGCGAGCAUGUGGACGUUGUCCAUGUGGCAUUGGGUUCCCGCUUCUUGAGUGAACCGGAAAAAAAACCCAAAGCUGGUCAAUCUUCGGCUCGAAAGGAAGCCUGGCUUAUGGUUUUGUGUUUUCGCGCCGGCGUAGCCGCUCUCCGUCUGGGUGAGCGAGCGGUGGAGGACUGCCGCAAUGGAGGAGAUGGUGGUCCUUGGGCCCCGAUGCCUUUCGUGGCAUGAGGGCCGUGUCUUGUAUUCGAUGGCCGGGGACGCCAUCCGGAGCAGCUUGAGAAGGCACCGUCGGGGCUUUGCGCUUGCACCCCUAUGCAGCCAUGCCCGGCGCAGCGGGCUGUCCGCUGUGUGUCUUGCGGAGUCUGAGUGCAUCCAUCGGCUGAUUUUUAUUUUAUUCUUUCGAUGAGGAUUAGUAGUCGGAGAGUAGAUAGGUUCUUCCUCGAUCCCAUGAUAUAAAAGCUUGGGUGUUCGUUGACGCUAGCAAUGUCAAAAACGCUCUUAUAAAAUGGGAGGGAGUCCCUCGCAAAGAAAAAAAGAGAGUAGAUAGCUACUUUAUCUUUUAUUUUGAAGGUGGGAGUAGAUUGAUAACUACUUAGUGCACGUACGAAAAGAAAGACACGAUCGCCUAAAAAAAAGAAAUACUAUAUUGAGAUAUAUAUAGGGCGUGCGGGCGCUAGCAGUUCCACAACGAGCGGCGGGUAGCUAGGUUCAACAUCCAUAUAGGUUGAAUAUGGCUGUAGAUGGGUUUGGCGAGGUGGGCAUUCGUGUGGUGAGUCGCCGGCUGGUGAAGGCAUCCGACCCCUCCAUCCAACCGCAGGUGGUGCCCCUCUCCAACCUCGACCUGUACGUCGGCAACGUACAAGUCGCCAUACUAUGCCUCUAUCCCAAGCCUCCGGCGGGCAGGGAUUUCGCCGGCGUGGUGGCCACCUUCGAGUCCUUGCUGCCGGCUUUACUCAACGAGUUCUACCCUUUCGCCGGCCGCAUCGGCACCAACCCAAGCUCAGGCCUCCCCGAGCUGCUCUGCCAGAACCAGGGCGCAGAGCUGGUCGUGGGAGAGGUCCGCGUCGCUCUGGGGAGCCUGGACUACGGCCUGGCGGACAAGUCCCUGAAGAAGCUGAUGCUCCCGUACGCGGAGGACGUCACCUUCUCGGUGCAGCUGCUAUCCUUCGCCUGCGGCAGCUUCUCCGUGCUGUGGGCAACCAACCACCUCGUCGGCGACGGCCAUGACAACAUCAGGUUCCUGCGGAUGUGGUCUGAGCUCGCACGAACGGGCAAAAUCGUCGCCGACGGCGGGGACGGAAAGCUAAGCCACGACCGCUCGGUGUUCCGCCCUCGCAACCCGCCGUCAUACAGAGCCUCGCUCGCCACCGACCUAACGACGUUCGACCCGCGCCGGCUGGUAAACGUCCUGACGGCCCACGACAGCUUCGUCGACCGCCUCUACUACAUCGACGCGGCCGACAUCGCCAGGCUGCGCGAGAUGGCGAGCACCAAGCUGCAGCGCUCGUCACGCGUCCAGGCCGUGUCCGCGUACCUGUGGAAGGUCCUCGCCGGCGUGGUUGCCGCUUCCCGCGUGCCCGAGGAGCGCUGCCGCAUGGGGUGGUGGGUGAGCGCGCGCCGUCGUCUCACGUCGCCUGACCUCGCCUCUGCGAUGCGCAACUACUUCGGCAACGUCACGACCUAUGCCUACGGGGACGCGACGCUGGAGGAGAUCCAGCGCAAGUCGCUCGCGGAGGUGGCGGCCAUGGCGCGGGAGCCGGUCGCCUCCGUCAACUACGACGAGUACAUCCAGGAUCUGGUGGACUUCGUGGAGGUGCACAAGGGACAAGGGCUGAUGGAGACGGCCGUCGUCGGGCUGGGCAGCCCGACCCUAAGCCAGUCCGUGUUCGACUCAUUCCCACUCGACACCGACUUCGGCUUCGGCCAAGCUGCUCUCGCCAUGCCCAUCUCCGACUUCGCCAACCUCUGCUCAGCCUACCUGUCCAUCAGCGCGCGGCCGGCAGGCGACGGCUCCUGGCUCGUCAGUGCCUACAUAUGGCCGCGUCUCGCCGCCGCCCUCGAGGCCGAUGAGCAGCACAUCUUCAAGCCUCUCACGGCGGACUACCUUGGCCUCACAGCCUGCUAGACAACACCCACGCUAUUCUGUGUGUUCUUUUAGCCAACAAUAAAAUUCCUUGGUGUUUUGCUCUUCUUCCAACAAUAAAAUCCUUGUGUUGUGUUGUGUGGUGCUAUGUACUUUGGUUUUUUUCUUCAUCCAACAAUAAAGUUAGGAAGCGUUACUUUUUGAAAAAUAGCACACCUUAUAUAUACAUUUACUUUGAAAGUUAGAGAGGAUUUACUUUGAAAGUCACAGGUUUGCCAAGCACCUGAGGAAAAACACUCGGCAAAGCCAGCCCUUGGUUUCCGUCAGCCAAUAAAAGAUAGAUCACACGCGUGGCCGCCUGCUUAGCUAUAACCAAGGGCUCGCCGCCGCCAUACCCCCUUCACCUCCCCGCUGCCCCCAUCGGCCUCCUAAUUCCGACCACAGCCGCCUCUAUCCCCCACUAGCCGUCCAACUUUCUCCUCUUCAUAGAUCUAAAACUAGGAAUGGGUUGGAGGGCUCAAUGAACUAGAUCUACUAUAUAGUCAUCUUUGAGCUCAGCUAUUGGGCAUCAUUGCUAGUUGCAAGCUCCCAAUUGGUCACAUCACUGCUAUUCAUAUACCAGCGGGAUCAAAUUGGCCUCUACACGAGUAAGUUGGUCCCUACGGUGAAGUACAGCAGUGGGCCCAUAUUGGCACCCACCACUGAUAGGUGGCAAAGUAAAAUUGGCAUGUGAAAAGAAUUGCCAUGUACUGAUAAGAAUUUACCAGUGCGGUCCCACUUUGCACACACCACUGGGAAAAAAAUGAGACCAACCCAAGGGAUAACCCUCGUUGGCAUUUUCUUUAUAGGAGAAACUUCGCGAGCACCACACGUCCAAGCCGAAGCUCGAACUCGCGUGGGCUGGCAGCUACCCCAGCUACCGAGCCGACGGGUCGACGCCCCGUCCUCGCACACACCUAUGUGAUUUGGCUAUAUUAUGAGUUGGUGGGCCAUUAGUGUUUUAUGCAUAUUCCAAAAAAUCACAUUGUUUUACCAAUAUUCUGCGGCAGAAGCUUAUCCUCAAAGUGCACAUAUCCCAUAUUUACGAAAAAUACUCGUUUAUUCGUUUUUCUGCAGACCGCUCGGCGUUAAGGUUGGUUUACAGCCGAGCAAGCCGACUGCUCGGCGGGAUGAAGAUGAAAAGGCAGUGGGCUAAGCCGCGUGUGUUUUAUCAACUACAUGGGCUACAUUUAGGUAUUUCAAAACCAAAGGGCAAUAUAUAAGCCGAGUAAGGCGUUAGAGGACACUCGGCCAAUACCAAGACGUCGUCAUGGAGCCGUCAAGCACGUGGCAAUAGAAACACUGCAGUUGCUUGCGUGAGCCACACGUGUAUGCCGUGGUUUUUCUACAUAAUAUAUCGUGUUCUUUCUGUAGGCCAUGCGUCUUUUUACGUUGUAUUCGGUUUACAUGGAGCUAAGUUGAGGGACCUGCAAAUGCCGUGUGUUUUCAAGAUGGUACUCGGCUUAGGGUCUCUUUGAUUCAAAGGAUUUUGAUAGGAUCUUUGAAGGAUUAAAAUCCUGAGGAAGUUUUCCUAUGUUGGUCGUUUGAUUUGUAGGAUUGAAUCAUGUAGGAUUUUUUUCUAAAGAUGUAUUUGUACUACAUUUUACAGGAAUUCUAACAUCCACUCCAACCUUUUGGAAGAAAUCCUUUGUUUUCUCCAUGACACAAUCAAACAAACUCAAAUCCUAUAGGAAUCCAAUGGACAUGUCAUUCCAAUCCUACGUUUUUCCUAUGGAAAACUAUUAAAAUCAUCCGACUUAUUUUUCACGAACGUAAACCGUCUUUGACGGACGCCACGUGUCCCUGCUGGUCGCUCACUCCUUAUCCUUAUCUUUUCUCCAGAAGAAGCGUGAGCCACUCAUUCCUUUUCCUCCUUUUUCUUCUUCCUUCGAGCAAACAUGCUUUCCCAGGGACGGCUCUCUCCAGCAAUCCCAGUCGCCGCUCACUUCGUGUUGAUGUAGGGCUAGGCUGAGAGGAUGCUCCUUCCAUGGCCGGCGGCGGAGCUGCGUUUGGUGAUGCGCGACGAUGUUGCGGCCACGUUGACGGCAAAGCUGCGUUGGAGCAGAAGGUGCUACGAGCUGCUGCCAUGACCGGCGGCGCUACUGCACAGCAACGGCGAAGCUGCGUUUCAGCAGCAAACAGCUAUGAGCUGCUGCCAUGGCGGGCAGCAGAGCUACAUGGCAGCAUGCAGCAGGCGAUGCGUCAAUGAAACUUGGCCGGAGCUCCAUUGAAGCUUCGCCGGUGCGUCAAUGAAACUUCGCCGGAGCUCCAUUGAAGCUUCGCCGGUGCGUCAAUGAAGCUUGGCCGUAGCUCCAUUGGAGCUUCGCCGGGGCGUCAAUGAAACUUCGCCGGAGCUCCAUUGAAGCUUCGCCAGUGCGUCAAUGAAGCUUCGACGGGGUGGCUCGGUGUUGCUAUGGAGCAGCACCCGGUGGCUCUCGGUGUUGUGAUGCAGCGGUCGCCGGUGGCUCCGGGGACGCGAGGUCGCCGAGGCAGGGUGACAGGGGAGGGUCUGCGUUGCUCUGCAUCAGGAGGAGUUGUUGUGCGCUGCUCUGUAUCAGAUGGCUGGGGAUUAGUGGAGAAAGGCCCAGGUUGUGUCGCGGCGAUCGAACGACCAUCUGUGCGGACCGAACGGCUGGCUGGGCGGAUGAUAUCUCUAGGAAAUCAUCCGCCUGAUUUGUAGCAGCCGCCUCCUAUUCCUGUGUUUUUGCAAUUCUAUGAAUCUGUCUAAGACGAGUAUCCGAGAAAAUACACCCGGCUUACCAAAAAGCACUAAGCAACAUGUCUUUUUCUCGUAGUGGCCUUUUAAGGUUUUUAUUUUACUUCAUAUAGGGCUCAAAGAGCCAACCUCGCCACCAACAUCGCCUACCAAACUUUGCCCAAGACGUCAUGUCCAUGAUCACAGACCAGUCAGGUUUAAACAUGUUUUCAUCUCUAUGAAAUUCACACAAAAAUUCCAAAUUGACUAGGUGUUUAAACUUAUGUUUCGACAAAGACUCAGACACCUGGACAUUUGAAAAUAGGACAAACGUCGACGCUCACAUGGACGCACCUAGACUCACAUCUAUGAACUUAUACACUAUCUCACUAAAUAGCAUAAAACUACUACAAUUCGGACUAGAGUUUCAAAAAACUACUAAAUAUAUUUUUCCGCUCAUAACUACUAAAUCAGGGGUCGGCUGUUUCAAAAAACCCAAAUCAUCGAGUCUUUAGUAAUUGAUCACGAUUAUGACAGUUGGGGCCAAGCGUAAGAUAACCGUUUGUUUGACCGUUUAGUUUGAAUGUUAACUUACAUGUGGGUCCCACAUGUUAGUUUUUUUAAAAGCAAUCAGGUCCCUGUAAGUUUUCUAAAAUAGCAACCGGGUACAUGUGAGUUUUCUAUAAGGUCCCUAAAAGUUUUUGCAAAAAGCAAUAUAAUCAGGUCUCCAGAGGAGCCGCGCCCGCGGCAGCCUGCUCGAUCCCGAGCGCUCUGCCCGAACCACGACGCUGCCUCCAUCGGCCGGCCAGCCGCGCCCGCAACGGCCGAAUCCACGCCGUGCCUCGCCUGCCACCAUGGCGUGACUCGCAUGCCGCCAUGUCAUGCCUCGCUGGCGGCCGCUGCCACGCCGUGCCUCACCUGUGGCUGCCGCCAUCCCCUGCCGCGAGCUCCUCAAGCUAGACGUGGACGGCCUGCGCCGCUGCUGGAGUGCGCACCUCCCAUUGCCGCGGACGAGGUCGCUGUCUGCUAUGCCUCCUCGAAGCCACCGUCACCACCAGGAGCUACGGUGAGCACCUACCACGACCAUGGGGAGGGUGGGAAGGAGAGGGAGGGUCGCCGCCAGCCAGGCCCGGCCCGGAUGGAGGGGUAGGGGGCGGCCGCCCCAGGCCCCCGAAAUUGAGGGGACCCCACGUUCGUGUGCUCUCUGUAUCCAGCCCAUGUGCUCUCUGUAUCCAGCUGAUGAGAAAAAAUGAUUCUGGGCUACUUUUGAUGAAACAGACCUGUACAUGUAGUGGAACUUGUGUUUCCCUCGCGUAGGUCCGCGGAUGACGACAUGAGCGAUCAACCUAGCGAUAUAUCCUACAAGCCCGAGGGAAACCCCGCCGCCGACACAGCCUCCUCCCGUGGAGGCCUCCCCCGAUGAUUUCUCGUCCAAUGGCGGAUCGAGUAAUUUCAUGUUCAUCGCCCUGGACAGGAGUAACAACACCACCGGCCCUGGCAGGCAGUUUUAAACUACAGAGGUCAGGUUAGCAUCUUCCUGAUGCAUCAUCCAACGGAGCUAGCUAGAUUGAUAUGUGACUAGUUGGUGGCAGAAUUAUUAGAUCUAGUGUAUUAGCGGAGAGGAGUAGGACGUAGUUGUCCUUCUGACUAAUUUUUUUAAUGCAAUCCUUCCGAUUAAUUAAUCUGGUCGUGUUGGAGAUCGAUGAAAGAUGAGGGGAGAGGAUGUCUAGAAUCCAUGGGAUAAUGAUAAUUGGCAAGCUGAAAUUAAUUGGAGGAUUCAUGGUCGAUUCAAUAUGAUUAGGUGGCAAAAUUAAUUUUUAGUAGCUAAAAAAAUUAACUUUUAGUGUUGCAAACUAUGAAGCUAUUCUACCUGCAUGCCACCAAGAGCAGUUCAAAUUACUUUUUGUUUGCCAAACUAUGAAAUAUACAAUGCAUGAAACUUCCCUAUCAAAAUCUUAGCAAAAGUGAGAAAUAAUAAUUAUAAUAAUGUAUAAUUAGAACCCGGAACUAGGUCGACCAGCUGGUUUUGCACGCCAUGAUAAAAAAAUUAACAACAAUUCAUGUUUAAAAUUUAUCUAGACAUGCACAUAAUGAUUAUAAUUUUGGAUAUAUAAAGGGCCUCCGAUUGUAUUUUUGCCCCGGGCCCCUGAAAUCUCAGGACCGGCCGUGCCGCUAGCUUGGGAUGGGAGGGGACGGUCGUCGGCUUGGGAGCGGAGGGGAGGGUCGCCGGCUUGGGAGGGGAGAUGGCCUGCUCGGGAGACACCAGAAGAGAGACGAGAAGAGACAAAGAGGAAGAAGAAAGAGAAUAGCAAGAGGAAACUUACAUGUAGGCCCCACAUGUAAGUUAACGGCCAAACUAAGGUCAAACUGACAGUUUGUUUAGGUGCGGGCCCAACCUGUCGUGACCGUGAUCAACCGAUAAGGACUCGGGGAUUUGGGUUUUUUGAAACAGCCGACCCCCCGGCUUGGUAGUUAUCAGCAAAAAGAAUUUGGUAGUGUUUUGUAACCCUAACGUGAAUUGUAGUAGUUUUAUGCUAUUUACUCAAACGAUCUCUAUGAGCAUUUUCAAGAUACUGAACCGGCACAUCAUUUUGAGAUUGGUGAACACCACAGACGUCUUCAUAGUUGACAGAAACGUCUCCUCCCAAUGAACGAACAUCGCAAAAGCCUGAAAUAAAUCCCAAAAACUGUCAGCACCAUUACCAAGUUUAAAACUUGAACCCUGAUAGGGUUGGUUCCACCACAAGAAAUCUAACUAUUUGAGCCAUGCACAUCUCAUAGUUUUCCCUGUGGCCAUGGAGGGUGCCACAUAUGUAACCCAUUAAUAUGGGAACCCAUACCUGUAAGCUUGUCAGCAUUUAUAGGCUAUAUAUGCUAAUCAAUUAUAAAAAAAACUGGGAUAACAAGUUUGAACUACACCCAUUAUUCCUCCGCCUAUAUAUUGUCGUGCAUGCAUGCCAGUGCCAUAUACGGAAACAAACCGACCGAGAAGGCCCUUAAUUAACAGCUAGCUAGCUCUCUUGGUCGAAUAUGGUAACUGCUAAUGCUAUUGGCUCCGGCGACCUGAGCAUCCGUGUCCUGAGUCGCCGCCUUGUCAAGGCCUCCGACCCAUCUACCAAGCCGCACGUAGCCGCCUUCUCGAACCUCGACCUCUACCCUGGCAACGAGCAGGCCUCGAUAGUAUGCCUCUACCCCAAGCUCCCAAACGCCGGUGACUUCCCGGCGGUUGUAGCCACCUUCGACUCCAUCCUCCCGUCGUUGCUCAACGACUUCUACCAUUUCGCCGGGCGCAUCCGCACCAACCCAAGCUCCGGCCUCCCCGAGCUGCUCUGCGACAACCAAGGCGCAGAGCUGGUGGUCGGCGAGGCCGGUGUCGCCAUGGCCAGCCUGGACUACGGCCUGGCGGAGCAGUCGUUGAAGAAGAUAAUGCUUCCGUACGCCGAGGACGUCACGCUCUCGGUUCAGCUGCUCUCCUUCGCCUGUGGCGGCUUCUCCGUCGUGUGGGCGACCAACAACCUUGUGUGUGACGGCCAAGCCUUCACCAUGUUCGUCAGGAGGUGGUCCGAGCUCGCCCGAACUGGGCGCAUCGUCGACGGACCGCCCAACCAUGACCGCUCGGUGUUCAGCCCUCGCAGGCCGCCGUCGUACGGAGCCUCGAUCAGGGACAUGUUCGCGACGUACGACCAUGACCGGCUGGUGAACGUGCUGACGGCGCACGACAGCUUCGUCGAGCGCCUCUACUACAUCGAGGCGAGCGACAUCGCUGCCCUGCGGGAGGCGGCAAGCAGCAAGCUCCAGCGCCCGUCGCGCGUCCAGGCGGUGUCCGCGUACCUGUGGAAGGCCCUCGCCCGCGUGGUGGCCGCGUCCCGCGUGCCGGAGGAGCGCUGCUGCAUGGGGUGGAUGGUGGACGCGCGGCGGCGGGUGAAGGCGCCGGAGCUCGUCCGGGCGAUGGGCAACUACUUCGGCAACGUUACGGCCUACGCUCUCGGGGAGGCAGCCGUUGAGGAGAUACAGGAGAAGGAGCUGUCGGAGGUGGCGGCCAUGGUGCGGGAGACCAUCACGUCUAUCGACUACGAUGAGUACACCCAGGAGCUGGUGGACUGGGUGGAGGAGCACAAGACAGAGAGGCUGAUGGAGAAGGGCGUCAUCGGGCUCGGUACGCCCACCUUGAACCAGACGGUGUUCGCGUCGUUCCCGCUCGACACCGACUUCGGCUUCGGCCAUGCCGUGCUGGCAAUGCCCAUGUGCGACUACGGGAGGCUCAGCUCGGGGUACCUGUCGAUCGGAGCUCGGCCGGGAGGCGACGGCUCCUGGCUGGUCAACGCCUACAUAUGGCCUCGCCUCGCGGCGGCGCUUGAGUCGGACCAGCAGCGCAUCUUCAAGCCUCUCACGGCGGAGUAUCUAGGGCUCGUCUAGGCGUACCACUCUGCUGUCUGCCCGGUUUCUUCUUCAAUAAGUCUUUGCUUCGUCUUUUGAGGCAUGAAAGCAGCUCGUGCUUGUUUUACUUCCACCUAUUUUGCAAUACCCCAAAUAAAGCCCUUCUGUGUGGAGGGUAGUUUGUUUGAUCAAUAAAUGUUUGAGUCGUUCAUAAGGUUUCCUUGAUUAGUAUACAAAUCAGUUGAUGACUACGUUUCACAACUCAUGUGCAUGGAGAUGCUAAACCGAUAGUAUGGACUCGGGGAUGGAGACCACGCAGUCGGACAUACCAACUCUGAGACGCAGCGAGAUGUUGUCAUAUGUUAGUGUCAAGCACAAUGUUUAUGCCAUGUCCUAGACCUAAGGUCCUCGCAUGUUCUCGGGAUGAGUAUCGACUCACUUAAGGUCUAUCAAACGCUACUCCAUAACUGGCUAGAUAUAAAUGUAGCUUUUGGGUGGGUGGUGAGAUAUGCCGCGAGACAUGGCCGACCAAGAUGGGAUUUACCCCUCCUAUUUGAAGAGAUAUUUUCUGGACCCUCUCGAGGGAUCGGAUUCGGAAAGCAUGACCAUGCGACUUGGUUAAGUGUUAACCCAGUGCGGGAAUCUAUAUCACGGUGUCAAGAAGAGAGGUCGAGCUACCACAAGGGUGACAAGUACUCACCUUGAGCUUGACAACAUAUAUCGUGAGGCAAAAGGAAUGUUGCAGAUGAUACAUUGUCGAGGUUCUUCGAACGACUUUACACGCACAUGAGAGUUGGCACGUUCAGCGAGGAGCUGCUACCAACUAUCGACUCUGGUCGUGUCCAUGUGUACGUAAACCUAUAGGGUCGCACACUUAAGGGGCUGCAGGCCAUUCGGAUUGGAUUCGAGUGGAAAUGGUUUUACUCCUAGUGGGCCUCAAGUAUUGAGCCUAUCUCGGAGGUCUAUAUAUAGGGGAGUGGCCGCACAACUGAGGUUGAUCUUUUUCCACCAUGGACAGCCUCCAUCGCAACUCCCCACGCCCAUCCCGCGCGACCUAACCUAGAUGCCUACCGCCCGACGCUGCUCCCCGUACGUGUGGAUACCUUGCAGGCAUCGCAUCCGUGGUGCUUGGAUGAACUGUUCGAGGGAACCGCGAGGUGCCGUUCGCGGGAGAUCAACGUUCACAGGUCUUUGUUGUUCGCGGGAGAUCGACGACGCGAGGAGGAGACGCCUCGGGAGAUCGUCUACAUGCAUCUCCAACUCUAUUUUCUGCUGCGGUUACUGCGCGUCUAGUGGUAAACUCGAUCUCAUGAUCUAUUUCCAGCAACUUGAUCUUGGGUGCGUGGUAGAAUUUUUUUUAUUUGGCUCUAGCUUAGCAUACCGCGUGUUUCUACAGUCGUAUCAGAGCCUAUGCUACGUGGUAUUAGAUUCAAGGUAGAAUUUUCAAAUGAUGAUAUGUAGAUUGCUUUAUGUACUGGCCGAUGAGAUCGGUUGUCAAUAUGAUUGACUAUACAUGGUGUCAGGCAUUCGAAAUUGUGAUCUAAUUUUCCGUGAUGAUGUUGUGGAGGUCGUGGCACAAAUUACCUAUACCGGUCGGUUUCGGCCAUCGGGUAAGACAGUGGAACGUAAAGUCGGUCACAACACGCGAAGACCAAUGAGAUUGGUUGAAUCAGAUAGAUGGUCAAAAUAGGAUAAAUAUGAUUUGCCGGUGAAAAUUCCCAUGCAAAAAUGCAUAGAUAUUGCAAGGGCGCUGCCAGUUGACCCCACAGGGGGCAAAGCCCCAUCGACCCCCAUCCUGUUAAUCUCUUAGGGCGGUGGAUAACUUGUUUUUGCAGGUAAUGCUUGUGAUUUGGUACAACCCGGGUAUGUUGCAUGUACGUAAUUAUAUCAUGACCUGCGUGUCGAGAGUACAAUAACUGGUUGGAGCCAUAUGGUUGUCCCAUUAUUGUAUUAAUGACCUUCAUGUCAACAUGAGAAGCAUUGUAUUGUUAUUUACUUUCAAUAGCUAUUAGUUUGUAAUAGCGUAGUAUCUUAUGUAACACUUGGCGGUUGACACCAUGGCGUGGAGAUGAAGAUCUCCACGAGGACAACCAUGCAUGGAGAUGGAGAUCACCAUGGGCAGGCCGUGCAGGUGGAGACGAAGAUCACCAUGCGAUAUCAAAAGGGGCUAAACCAUAUCACACAUAUAAACUGCCUGUGAAAGUUUAUCUCUGUUAUGCACCCUUCUUUUGCAUGGUAGACGUUUCAAGUAGGGUGAUCCCUCAAAGAAUGUCAAGUAAAAAUGCCUCUCCAAAUGUUGCACCAUCACACAUCAAGUAUACUUAGUGGUGGGAUUAUAAAAUUAAGGUGCCAUUUGGUGUCCUUGAAGUGAUGGGUUCGGUUCGGACACUUACAUGCAUAGCAUUGGUUAUCUUGUCGUGGCUAUCAAAACAGUUUUGGGCCUCGAGGCGUAGGAGUUGGUGCGACAUGAGAUGUCCCCAACAACAAGAGUCGUAUGGAGACACGAUUAGCAAGAAAUACUUAUGGAGUGAUCUCGUCUUCUAGCAGUGAUGCAAAUGCUCACUAGUUAACAUGUUGAUCUUGGAUCUUGAAUCACUAAGUAUCAUCUGAGGGAUGUUGAUUUUAUUUGGAGUGAUGAUCUUAUUAAAAUGUUUAAUAUGAAUUACUCUUCAUGAAUACAUGUCUUAGUGUUUUGCAUCUUUCUGUUGGAGAUCAGAGGCACCACCUGCUCAAGUUACUCCUUUUGCGCUGAAAACAAUCCUAGAAAAAGAUAAAUGGAAUGGGACAAACUUUACGACCUGGUAUAGAAAUCUGGGAAUUGUUCUUAGGCAUGAGAAAAAGGACCAAGUUCUAGAAAAUCCGCUUCCAGAUGUACCUGCCAAGAAUGCUAAUGCCACAACCAGGAGUGCCUACCAGAAACCCAUUGAUGAAUAAAAUGAGAUCAUCUAUCUCAUGCCGGCUUCAAUGGAGCCCGAUCUACAGCAGCAGUUCGAAAACAUUAAGGCUUUCGAUAUGAUCGAGAACCUCAAAAGCAUGUUUCUGAUGUAGGCUAGGACCGAAAGGUUCAACGUCUGGCUAUCCUUGAUGGAUUGUAAGUUGAAUGAAAGUGAUCAAGAUGACUAGGUACAUGCAAGCUUUGGAUUGGUUGGGCUUCCCACUUGGGAACGUUCAACUCGAACUACCAUAUGCAUGGGAUGGAAAAGAAGCUCACUGAAUUGCAUGGGAUGCUCAAGGUGGCAGAGCAGGAUAUAAAGAAAGUUACGCAUCGUCAAGUGUUGAUGGUGCAGAACUGGGCUAAGUUCAAGAAGAGAUGUUCCAAGAAAAAGCAUAAGGCAAACGGCCAGGAGGAGAAGGCAACUCCAACUUCUGCCGUUGCGCCUAAGUCAGGGCCAGCCGGGGACCGUUUUCUUUCACUGUAAGGAACACGGCCACUAGAAAAUGAACUGCAACAAGUGGCUUGUCGAGAAGGGCAAGAAGACUGGAAGUGUCACUUCUUCAAGUACACUUAUUGUAUAUGUUAUAGACAUUUAUCUUGCUGAUGUUUCUAGUAGCUCUUAGGUAUAUGUUACCGGAUCGGAUGUUCACAUAUGCAUCUCGAUGCAGAGUCUAAGAAGAACUAGGAAUGUUGGAAGAGAAGUUGACAUACACAUCGUGAAUAAAGCAAGAGUUGAUGCAUUGGCCGUCAGCACUAUGCAACUUAAUUUACCUUCAGGAUUUGGAAUGGAACUUGAUAAUUGUAAUUAUGUUCCUGCUUUGAGUCAAAACAUUAUUUCUGCCUCAUGUUUGAUGAUACAAGUUUAUGAAAUAAGUAUUAAGGACAAUGGUUGUUCUAUGUACUUGAAUAAAAUGUUUCAUGGCUUUCCACCUAUUGUGAACGGGUUAUUAAUCCUAGAUCUUGAAGGUGAGCCAGUCUAUAACAUAAAUGUCAAGAGGCAUAAGCCUAACGAAAUAAACCCGACUUACAUCUGGCAUUGUCGACUAGUACACAUUAGUAAAAGUGCAUGAGGAAGCUCAAUGAUGAUGGAAUUCUAACUUCAUUUGAUUUUGAAUCAUUCGAGACAUGUGAGUGUUGCCUUCUUGGCAAGAUGACUCAGACUCCUUUUGCAAGGAGUUGCGAAAGGACGUCCGAGUUAUCGAAACUCAUCAUAGUGAUGUAUGUGGACCAAUGAGCACGACAGCAGGUGGUUUCCAAUAUUUCGUGACGUUUACAGAAAACUUGAGUAGAUUUGGAUAUGUCUACUUGAUGAGGCACAAGUUAGAAACUUUUGGAAAGUUCAAGGAGUUUGAGAGCGAAGUGGAGAAUCAACUCGGCAAGAGAAUCAAACUUCUACGAUCUGAUCGUGGCGGUGAGUAUAUGAGCCAGGAGUUUGAUGAUUAUCUAAAGAGUCGUGGAAUAGUUCCACAACUGUAUCCUCGGGGUAUGCCACAGAGAAAUGGCGUGUUGGAACGAAGGAAUCGGACUCUGUUAGACAUGGUCCAAUCAAUGACGAGUCGGUCGGAUUUACCUUUGUUAUUUUGGCGAUACGCUCUAGAAACUGCGUAUUUCACACUAAAUAGGGUACCAUCCAAGUUUGUAGAUAAGACGGCAUAUGAGAUAUGGACUGCGAAGAGUCACAGUUUGUCUUCUCUAAAAAUUUGGGGUUGUGAAGCAUACGUCAAGCGACUCCAGUCAGACAAGCGCACACCCAAGUCGGACAAGUGCAUAUUCGUGGGGUAUCCAAGGGAAACCUUGGGAUCUUACUCCUACAUCCGUGAAGACUGCAAAGCGUUUGUCGCUCGACAUGGAGUUUUCCUUGAGAAAGAGUUUCUCAAUCAGAAGGCUAGUGGGAGGAUGAUACGACUCGAGGAAAUUCGAGAACCACAUGGAGUUAGUCAGGGAACCCAUGGUGGAGUCGACGCCAAUUCCACGGAGGUCAGAAAGGUUGCGCAAUAUGCAUGACUGCAAUGUGUUGUUCUUGGAGAACAACGAGCCGGCAACGUAUGCGGAAGCCAUAGAGAGCCCUGAUUCCGAGUUAUUGCUUGAGGCCAUGAGAUCCGGAUUAAAGUCCAUGGAUGGCAAUCAAGCUUGGAACUUGGUUGAUCUGCCAGAUGGCGCUCGAGGCAUUGAGUGCAAACUGGUAGUGAUGCCUAAAUAAAUUAGGACCAUUCUUGCUAUAUCUGCAUAUUUCGACUAUGUUACUAUUAUGUUCUUCAACAGAAGGUCCCAAAUGUUGUUGUGCCUCUGCUGAUGGACGCCGAAAGUGAGAUGACAAUUGUUUGCCCUUUGAAGAUCAGAUUCAAAUAUACAUACUCGACCGAGCGUUAAUCAAAUGGAUGCCUCAAAAUUGAGUGAUGGAGGCAAAUAGUCAAUGAGCUCGGGCCACAAAUUGGAGACCGGGGAUCUCUGUGGUCCAUCAUGGAGAUGUAGUUUUUUUUCUCUGUUUUAUUCUAUUUUACCUAAGACACUGGAGUAGGUCAUAGUACUUGUCAUGUGCUUGAAAGUUACUUACCUAGGAUGAUGACAAUUAGUUAGUAGUGGUUAACUUAUGAUGAUGAUGAUGGUGAUGAUGGUGAUGAUGAUGAUGAUGAGACAUUUUUAUAUAAUUAUGAUCAUGAUGAGCUGUUAUAUCACUACGAUGAUGAUGAGUUAUAUCAUUUUGAUAAUGAUGAGUUGUUACAUGAUGAUGAUGAUGAUGAUGAUGAUGAUGAUGAUGAUGAUGAUGAUGAGUUGUUAUAUAGUUGCUUGUGUAUAAAAAUCUGUAUAAUUAUUGUAUAAAUAUAGUAUAAUAUGUAGAAAGGAAAUACAUAGAGUUAGUAGUGGCGGGGGGCCUCGCGCUAUAGCUAGUUAUUAGUAGCACGGGCCAAACACCGCGCUGCUCCUAAUGUAAGUAGUAUUAGAGCCGAGCCUGGCCCGUCUUACUAGGAACCAGUUAGCUACACGCUGAUGAGUUGUUAUAUGAUGAUGAUGAUGAUGAUGAGUUUUUAUAUAGUUGCUAAUGUAAGUAGCGAGGCAACCCGCACUACUCCUAUGCCUUUAAACCGCGCCACUACUAGCCUUAUCCCUUGUAGUGACGGGCAGAUGGAGCGAUGAAAUGCGCAUGUCCUCAAUGGGCUCCAAACGAGAACAUUCGCCUAACUCAAGAAGUGUGGCCGGUGAUGGAUCGAUGAGCUUCCCUAUGUUCUAUUUAGUGUAGAUAUCACUCUUAAUUAACUUGUUUUUCUGCGGAUAGUAACUAACGCUUUGAGCCUUUGUGGUUUAUCUCACAAUUUUUGUCUUCACAACUGGAGUAGGCCACAAUGUUGAGAUGCAAAAAAAGGUCCAUAAACUAAUUAAAUGGAAUAUCAUUUAGAUACGACACUUAUAAGAUACACUAAAUAUUAAGAGACGUGUUGAGUAUAUAAUGAAUAGGGGUCAUUGUCUCUAAAUAGUUUUCACUAAAUAGGAUGAUGUGUUAAGAGACACUGCGUUGUGAGUUCCCUUUCGCUAAAUUAAUUUGCCCUGGUUCGAUUGCAGAGAUGUGUGCGGAGUUUCUUGGGGGAGUUUGGCAGCCAAUCGAUGAUAACUAGUUCUAGGACGCUACUAGGUCAGAUUCAAAACUGAACAUAUGGCUUGGUCCAAGAGUUUCGGCUCUCACAACCUGAAAAUCUGCAGCUUUCACACUAAAUAUUAAGAGAUUCGAAACUGAACAUAUCUGUCAUUGGUUUGAUGCUGUGGGUCCGUUUCAUUAUCUUUUUUUUUAUCAGGUAGUUGGACGGCCACACCAUGCCCUGAAAAUCUGUCUAGAUCUUGAUCGGGAGGCAUAAGAUUUCUUAUUCUGACAACCCUGAAACUGUUUGCCAUGCAUGCAUUAUCCUUCGCAAAGCGAAUUAAGUUGCCCCUAGACAAGGGCGGAUGGAGUAUAGUUCACUGUAGCUUCAUGAUUCUUUUGUCAGCUUAUUUUUUAGAGCUGCGGCUAUCAUAUUUACACCUGCUGUUAUAUCUGUUUCCAGAACCAUGUGUCAGCAGCUUCUGUUAUCAUAGCCAAUAAAACUAUCACGAAGCUACAGUGUGAGCAAUGAAGACGUUAUAUAAACAGGGAUAAAAUAUAUUGUGCUAAACUGCUCUAUCCAAAACCAUGUGUCUGCUCCUCUUGUUUGUUUCUUUACUAUUUUUCAUAUUGUGGAUGAUCAUGACGAUACAUACUAAAGAGUUUUGCAUAGCAUAUGUAAUUUCAUGCAUACAGACAAUGUUUUUUUAUUGGUGUAUUAUUUCACUCUGUUAAGACAAAAUUAUAUUUUGGAAUAUUGAAAUAAUAAUAUUAGGUAAAUCAUACAUGUGCACUAUGAAGCUAACUUUGUGCAAGAGAAAUGAGUAAAAUUAAGGACAAGAUUUAUACCUAUGCAAUACAAAAAAAAACUAUCUGCAGCAGUAAAUUCAUGUAGCUGGCAACAUUACUGGUACAAAUUAGAUCUAAUUAUAGUGCAUACAUGUACCUUUUUUAGAAAACAAAUCUUGAAACUUCGAUAGAAAAUUUUACGAUUUAUGAAAUUUGAAUGGGAAAACUAAACCAAAACCAAAAGGCCGGGAGUUAAAUGUGAGUGAAAAUAAAUGUCAGGAGGUAUUUGUCAGUGAAAAUAAAUAUGAGUGACACUUCUCCAUGCAAAAAUGUUAGUGAAAAAACUUGAAUUUUCACUGUAAAAACAACCCCAAAAUAAAGGAGGAAGCAGAACCAUCGAAAUGUUUAUGAAACGAACAACCACCAACAUAAGAGAGAAGUCACCAUACUCAUUAAGACGCCCAUGUUCAUCUGAGUAGUUAAGCCACUGCAUAGCAAUUAAUAGAAAGAAAACUGCAUAGAAAUUAAUUUUGAUGGGCUCGUGGAUCACGGCAGAAGCAUGCAUGAAUGCAUAUGUCUAUCGUUGCAGGUCAUUCAUGAGAGCAAUGCAUUCAUAUCUAUCUUUGCACGGAUGGAAAAAUUAGUCUGGCGCCAUAUAUCUUCUAUUUGUUAUACUACAGAAAGACAUAUUAAAAUAAAGUUGCCCCUAAACAAGGUGGAUGGACGACCACUCAUUUUGGCAGACUGUACUCGCACAAUUCGUUUUCCCAAUAAUAAUGUGAAUGGAGAGAGUAUAAUUCACACUGUCGCUUCAUGAUUCUUUUGUCAGCUUAUUUUUUAGAGCUGCCUUUUUUUUUGCGGGAAUAUUUUUUAGAGCUGUCAGCUAUUAUAUUUACCCCUACUGCCAUAACUAUUUCCAGAGCCAUGUGUCGGCAGCUUUUGUUAUCAUAGCCGACAAAACUAUAACGAAGCUACAGUGUGAGCCAGGAAGACGUUAUAUUUUCAGGGAUAACAUAUAUAUUGUGCCAAACUCCUCUAUCCAAAACUAUUUGCCGGCACCUCUUGUUUUGUUUAUUUACAAUUUUAAUAUUGUGGAUGAUCAUGACGAUACGAAGUAAAGAGUUUUGCAUAGCAUAUGUAAUUUCAUGCAGGCAGACAACACUUUUUUAUCAGUGUAUAAUUUUGCUCUGUAAAGACAAGAUUUUAUCUUGUGAUAUUGAAAACAUAGUGUUAGAUAAAUCAUAGAUGUGAUCUUUGUGGAUAAAUUUGUGCAAGAGAAUUGAAUAAAAUUAAGAACAAGUUGUAUACCUGUGCAAUAAAGAAAACUAUCUGCAGUAGUAAAUACAUGUAGGUGGCAACACUCACAUUUUGGUUAUUCCUGUAUAAACAUUGCUAGUGCAAAUUGGAUCCUAUAUAUUGUGCACACGGUGUUCCCGUCCUCGGAUGGUUUCCCCUUGUUCGGUCUUGCUCAUUCUCGUUGCUCACAAGCUCAUGCAAUUGAGAACCUGAGAUCUUCAAUCUGGCCAUCUGGGAUUUCCGGACUUCUCCUUCGAAGGAAAACAAGGACUGGCACAUAUGGCGCUCUUUGGACACCUUGACUAGAUAGGGGCCUGUCGUGUGCACCCGCAACAUCAGCAUAACCAGCUUUACCGGGGUAUCGUGCAGCUCUGUUUUUGUUGGCACCUUGGGACAUGUCUGCACCAAGAUUCCCAUGGGAUCAACACAUGUGGAGAAUGUCAUGGCGUGAUUGAAGGACUUGCAAGUGGCAAAGGCGGGGUCUUGGAUGCGAUGAAGACUUUGCUUCAUAGGCAGUUGUUUAGACAUGGCUUACGGGAUAUGUUCCCAUCCAGACGGGACGUGAAUUCCUGUGAGCCUAAUGGUGCGUGACUUGCAGUAGUAGCCUCCGCAAGUGGGGGUGGCGGCAUUGGAGGACUUCUUUGUUAUUCGGUGCUCCUCUGAGUACCCAAUCAGGAUUUCCAAGGUGAAAACCCAAGGUCUGGCCUUUAUUGGUUGUGCCUGGCAGUAGUCUUGUUGAAGGCAUUAUUGUUGGGAACCUCAUCUUUCUCCAGGGUGAAAACGUAAUAUCUUUGAUCAGGCAACGACAACGCUUGUGCUUUGUUUCCUUCCUGGAGGCAUUGCUUUUGGAGAACCUAUUUUGUAGUCCGGGUGCCAUCUUUGGUGGUGGUUAGAGUGCGGCUACUUCGGGUAUUGAUCACCGUGGUGGGAUAUUUUUUCUUCUCUUUUUAUUUUGAUUUUUAGUUGUGUGCAUCCUGGAUGUUUUUAGGCAUCUUGUUGUUGCAGAGUCUGGGAGUAAUUGGUAUCUGCUUGAUAUUAAUACAUUCUCCUUUACAAAAAAAAAUUACAUAUGCCUUUUCUAGAAUUUUUUUCCUAAAACUUCCAGGGAUGAUUCUAUCAUUUGUUUAAUUUUAAUGGAAAAAUUAAACCAAAACCAAAACGUCAGGAGGUAAAUGUGAGUGAAUAUUAAGGUCAAGAGGUAAAUGUGUUUGAAAUAAAUAUGAGUGACACUUCUCCAUGUGAAAUUGUUAGGGAGAAAACUAGACUUCUCUCUGUAAAAAUAACCCCAAAAUUAUGGAGGAAACAAAACCAUCCAAAUAAACAAUAUAUUGAGAAGUCUAUGAAACGAACAACCACCAAGAUAAAAGAGAAUUCGCCAUACUCAUCAAGACGCCCACAUGUCAAUAGCUCAGUCAGUCAACAUUAUAGCAAUUAAUUUUGAUAGGCUCAAGGAUCAUAGUAGAAGCAUGCAUGAAUCGUUGCAGGUCAUUGAUGAGAGCAAUGCAGAUCACUAUCUUUGCAUGGUCAGAAAAAUUAUUCUGGCGCCACCUAUCUUCUAUUUGUUAAACCAUAUGAAGGCGCAUAUCUCAUCACGAACGAUUAAUCAACAAUAUAUACUACACAAUGACACAUUAAAAUUAUUGCACAUGGGCGAGAUUGAUGGCUUUAUCCUUCAUAUGAUCCAAAUAAUCGUAUUUAUUGUUCACACUGUAACAACAUAAUGGUUUUGUUGGCUAUCUACCCCUGCUACCAUUCCUAUCUCUUGAGCAACAUGCUAGUAUCUUUUGUUUAGUUUAGCUAAAAAGAUUGGAAUGAGAGAUUUCCUUUUUUUGUGCAAUAACAUGAUAGUACAAACUACUGAACUUUACAUAUUUAGGUACUCAAUAAAAUACUGUUAAAGAUAGCUAUAGACAUUAGUCAUAUUAAUUCAACCAUAAGAGAUUAUCAUGUACCAUAUUAGCAUGAUUACUGGUCCUGUUCAAGAAUUCGUCCGAUUAACCAGUUAACUUGGAAAUUAAUCCCUACUUGUAAGGUCAUCGUGUAGCCAAUAAACUGAUAAAUCCUCCGUUUAAUUUCUUAACAGGACAAUUAACUUGCCGAUUACCCUAUUAAUCCCCUACUCCCUAGCCAACCAAGCAGCUACCAGUUAACAAUUUCCUCAACAAAUUUACUGGUAUGUUCCUGUUUAGAUGGUUCACCAAUACACUUCCAAAGUUAUUUUUGAGAAUGAUGCACCCUUUUUACAUUUUUUUGGUAUUAUUCCAUCAAUGCUGCACUACAUCAUAGCAUCUUCUUCUUUUUGGAAUGGCUAUGAAAGGACACGAUAGGUAUGUCUGGUGAACUUUUUGUGGAGAUACUUGGGCUCAUGUGUCUGAGAAUAAGAGGAUGUCCUCCCAUAGGAUUUACAUAUACCAACAACUAUUAACCAUGUCUCAAUGUGAGAUUGGAGACUAAAGAGUCUAGAUUUUAUAAGAUUAACCGGAAGUGUUGACUUCAACCGUGUAUUACUAAUCCACUGCAGUUGAAUUUUUGCAGUUGAAUUUUGCAUAUGGCUAAUUUAUUAAUCAACACCUAGGAGGAAUAGUUUGUAGGAGUUACCUAUAGCGUUGCCCUGGCAAAAGGAAAUGUGAUUGUUUAUCAAAAUUGUUUCUACUUAUAUUGUUUUAUCCCGUUACUACUGCAGCACUAAUUUUUAGUUAACUAAUGAAAGAAAGGCAUCAUAUUGUUUUAUCCCAUUGAUACCAGAGCACCAAUUUUUAGUUCAUUAAUUAUGUUGCUAUCUUCAAGUAUUUUUAAUCUGGAGGAAGUUCCACAAAACAAAAAUGUGAGAGUCAAAAAGGUGAGGGGAAAACGAGCUGAAUACCACCUUCUUUGUCCUGUCUUGCUUAAUCCACUUGAAGCCAGAUUACCACUUCGGCAGGGUAUGCUGAUGGAACUCGAACUAGGAACCUCAGUGACAUUUGUAGCCAUACAUUCAAAACACCUCCAGGCACAUGAUUUCAAAAGAUAUUUUUGAAGCAACAGGUCACCAAGCGUCUAAUUGAGUGUUGUAGACAUGACAAUGUCUAAAAUGGCGACUUUGAGGAAGCGUAAUGGAACAAACAUUGUGUCAUGCAUGUGCUCUCUACCACACCCUCGACAAAAAUCAAGAUCCCAGUCCAGUGGAAUGAGGAGGACUAGGAUAUGGACGACGAAGGGCCCAGCAACUAGAUAGAGACAACUUAGGAGUGAGCCAUAGGAAGAUCAUCUAGUGCACUGGGUGUGUGGAUUUGAGGGCCCACUUGUAAGAGAGUGCGUAUGCGUUUAAAAGGGGCAAGUGAAUCAGACAUGUGCCGUAACUUAUCGAUGAAAUAAUAAUUGUUUGAACUCUCACCUACUCUGUUCUGCAUCUCACCCUCUUCAUCUGUUCUUCAACUUCUUCUCAUCCCCUACUCCAUAUUAUCCUCUCCAAUAUGUGAUUCUUCCACCAACACUAGUUGGACAUCACAGUUUGACAAUGGAAAUCUUGGUAAAUUUUUCUCUUUGACAGCACUCGGAAACAAUUGAUGCAGGCGCAAAUCCAUGAUAUAAGGGAUAUUUUCUGUAGCAUUGUUUGAAAAUACAUCAGUUACGCAAGGGCCCUUUUGCUUCUUUACUUCUUGUUCUGUGUGCACUCUGAUGUUCGAAGGUGCAGUGAUGGUAGACAGAUAUUUAGUUGGAAGAAAAAUAGAUAAACUCAGAUUUCGUGUAACCCGGGCUCACUCUUUUCAGUGAAUAAAUUAUUGUCACAAAAAACCAGCCUUUUGCUUCUCUUGAUGACAUUAUUCUUAGAAGUAAGAAUGUGCAUUUCUGCAGCCCAUGCUCAUGUGCUAUUUUUUCUUUUUAACUAGUGUAACAAAUGGGGUAGAUGUUUUUUUUUCUGUGCCAAUAAUGGUGUUAAGACUGCUAAAAUCUUGUAAGGGAAGAAAACAUUGAAGAGCAGAAAGAAGAAGAAAAUCAUUUAUUUAUAUAGAACUGACAUGCAUUUGAACAUCAACAGUCAUUUAUUAUUAAUAAUUCCGCAUUUUGUGAAUUCCUUUCUCCAAUGUUUUCUUCCAGGUUUAUUUACUAUGAUAGGCUCACCAGGAAAGGAACCUGAAAAUUUAAAUCGUGUCAAUUUCCUUUUCACACAAUUCUCUCAUGAUGCAAUGGUUUCAGAGAACGCUGUUGUUAUUUGCCAGACAUGUGAUGUUUAGUAUGACUUGAACUAACAUAACAUGCAUAAUACGUUUAUUGAGUACAUGAAGGUUGGUUUCUUUGAAUCAUUUUGGAUUAGCCUGUUUGCAAAGGCUAUUAUCAUUCCACCACUCAGUGAUUUAUGAAUAUCUCCCAUUCAUUUGAUGUGAGUUCCCUGCAACCACACACGAUAUUUCCCUUACUCCGUUUUCGGUAAGAUAUGGGAAACUAAACAUUCAAGGAUAUUGUUCCCACAAGUGGAGAGACUGAAAAAGUCGCGCGCGUUGCUCUCCNNNNNNNNNNNNNNNNNNNNNNNNNNNNNNNNNNNNNNNNNNNNNNNNNNNNNNNNNNNNNNNNNNNNNNNNNNNNNNNNNNNNNNNNNNNNNNNNNNNNNNNNNNNNNNNNNNNNNNNNNNNNNNNNNNNNNNNNNNNNNNNNNNNNNNNNNNNNNNNNNNNNNNNNNNNNNNNNNNNNNNNNNNNNNNNNNNNNNNNNNNNNNNNNNNNNNNNNNNNNNNNNNNNNNNNNNNNNNNNNNNNNNNNNNNNNNNNNNNNNNNGAGGCCGAACAGGUGAAGCCCGCCUCGGUGGGCGGCGGCAUCAGGGCAGUCUAUUCCCGCGGCAACUCAUCGCCCUGGACGGCGGAGCCCGCUCGCGGCACGGUGGCGAAAGUCGGCGCGUUGGAUCCCACGGUGGACCCCUCGUCAGCGUGGAGAGAUGCUUGUGUGUGGCUGACCGGGGUCGAGCACGAGGGAUUCGGGCCUUGUUCGCCGUAUCAAUCUCGCGACGACACCUAUGUCUUCAGCUGGUGCGGUCAGGGUGGUGACCCGGGCUGGCGGCGGCGACCGGUUCCUCCAUGGCUGGUGGGUUAAGUCCUUGACCUGGACGACCAUGUGACGAUGGGUGGUGGCAGAGGCCGCAGAACUAGCGUGCCAUCCAGAUCCAUCUCGGCGUGGCCUUGGCCGGCAGGCGAUGCGUGCAGGGACCGAUCUGGGGCGGCUGGAGGCCCUAUGCCGACGUUCCAGCGAUAGCUUACGUCUCCAUGGCGACGCAACUUCUAGUGAAAAUGUGCUGACUGCGGUCAUGGAAGAUGGUGGCAUCUCUAAUGUCGUUUCCUUCUUCGAGGCAUCGUCGUUUGUAAGCUGUGUCACUACGCUCGGGAUGUUCCGGGGGGAACUCUAUUUCUGGGUAUCCCGGAUCAGACGAUGACGGUGCCUUCAGCGCCAUUCUCCCUCCUAGGGGCAUUGUUCUGGAGCAGGUGCCGACUGGAAGAGACAAGUGGAGGAGCGGUGUUACAUCUACCGCAAGGAUGACGCAGGGUCUCGGUGGCGUGGCAAGGCAGAGUGUCGGCGACGAGCGCCCACGCUAGAUGGUUGAGCUAUCUGGUGUCGAGAUGGCCUGGCGAGAUGAAUACGUUGAUCGCUCCUGAAGGUGGGACAGCAGAACAUGGCGGUGGCUUAAUCUAAAGUGUGUGCAUGCUGUGCGCGCAAAGGGUCUAGCUAGACCAGUUGGUGCUCUCGAAUUGCCGGCAGACAUCUUGGUGAGGUGACCGGAAUAUAUGAUGUGUGUUGAUAAGUGGUCAGGGCACGGCAUUAAAGCUUGUAGGUGUAACGACAAUAGUUUCUAGGGAGGUGGCUUUGCCUUGAUCCAUAUAUUUGUUUUGUUUGGUUCCGUUGAAUAAUAUAAUAAAAUGGUUGUGUGCAUGGCCCGAUGCAUAGACUAGGGGUAAUCGUCUUUUUCGAAAAAAAGUAGAAUGGUACAGUCACACCAUUUUGCCAGUGACAUGCUAAAAAUGGCAUGAUAAACAAUUCCUGAAUGAUAAAUCACAUGGUGACAGUAUAUCUAUUUUAUAGGAAGAGCUGGAUAGAUUAGAGUAUACUGCCCCAGGAUUUUAAAGUGAGUGCGAGAGUUCAGAUUUAUUUACAUGUUUAGCUUCAGAGCUUCAGAACGUCUUUUUUUCACGAAUACACAAAGCUUGAAUAUCUUUUAUUGAUAGAAGAAAGAGAAUGAGUACAACAGAGGAUACAACACAUGGCAUGAACCCAAAGAGGCAUGAUCAUGGAACCCGGAGUAGAGAGACAAGGGGUGCUCAGCCCGAAUAGGGAAAUGACACAACUACACCCACAAAUCCUAAACAGAGAGGCAGGCCGAACAAGCACGGCGUCGAACAUCUCAAAAUCCAACACCAGGGACACCACGAGCGAACAAGAUAGCGCCUUCAGGAAGGGGUGCGACGUCGUGACACCGCCGCCAUCCGAUCCGAGGAACCGGAUCUAGGGUUUCCCCCAGCGCUCAAAGAGGGGCACGGAUAAAAGCCAUGGCAAAUAACUCACGAGUGUCGCCUCUGCCAACAUCGGCAAGAAGAGCAUGGAUUUCGCCUGGCCCAAGUCCGAGCAAUCCCAUAGCUGCCAAAUCAGGAUCCGAAGAUGAGGAAGACAAUCCGCUAGUCAACCACCGUCCCAGUACGGAGGUGGUGGGGCUGCACCUGCUGCCAAAAGAACACGAGCUUUGGAAAUGACAUGCCGUGGGUGUCGACGGGGUCGGGGAGGCAGCGUGGUAGACAGCUUGCAUGGAGGGUGGGAUGGUGACCGGCGCCGCUGACGAGAUGGAGCCGGAAGGGAGCACAAGUCCGAGCUGCCGGAGGUGAAGCCGCCAGAACACCGGCAAACCGAAGAUGCCGGAAGGGGACGCAGCGACCGGGGUGUUGGGGCUGAAAUUGAAGGAAAUAUGCCCUAGAGGCAAUAAUAAAGUUAUUAUUUAUUUCCUUAUAUCAUGAUAAAUGUUUAUUAUUCAUGCUAGAAUUGUAUUAGCCGGAAACAUAAUACAUGUGUGAAUACAUAGACAAACAGAGUGUCACUAGUAUGCCUCUACUUGACUAGCUCGUUAAUUAAAGAUGGUUAUGUUUCCUAACCAUAGACAUGAGUUGUCAUUUGAUUAACGGGAUCACAUCAUUAGGAGAAUGAUGUGAUUGACUUGACCCAUUCCGUUAGCUUAGCGCACGAUUGUUUAGUAUUCUGCUAUUGCUUUCUUCAUGACUUAUACAUGUUCCUAUGACUAUGAGAUUAUGCAACUCCCGUUUACCGGAGGAACACUUUGUGUGCUAUCAAACGUCACAACGUAACUGGGUGAUUAUAAAGGUGCUCUACAGGUGUCUCCACAGGUACUUGUUGGGUUGGCGUAUUUCGAGAUUAGGAUUUGUCACUCCGAUUGUCGGAUAGGUAUCUCUGGGCCCACUCGGUAAUGCACAUCACUUAAGCCUUGCAAGCAUUGCAACUAAUGAGUUAGUUGCGAGAUGAUGUAUUACGGAACGAGUAAAGAGACUUGCCGGUAACGAGAUUGAACUAGGUAUUGAGACACCGACGAUCGAUUCUCGGGCAAGUAACAUACCGAUGACAAAGGGAACAACGUAUGUUGUUAUGCGGUUUGACCGAUAAAGAUCUUCAUAGAAUAUGUGGGAGCCAAUAUGAGCAUCCAGGUUCCGCUAUUGGUUAUUGACCGAAGACGUGUCUCGGUCAUGUCUACAUAGUUCUCGAACCCGUAGGGUCCGCACGCUUAAAGUUUCGAUGACAGUUAUAUUUUGAGUUUAUAUGUUUUGAUGUACCGAAGGUAGUUCGGAGUCCCAGAUGAGAUCACGGACAUCACGAGGAGUCCCGAAAUGGUCGAGACAUGAAGAUUGAUAUAUUGGACGACUAUAUUCGGACACCGGAAUGGUUCCGGUGGUUAUCGGAUAUAUACCGGAGUACCGGGAGGUUACCGGAACCCCCUGGGGGUUUAAUGGGCCUACAUGGGCCUUAGUGGAGAAGAGGAGAGGCGGCUAGGGCAGGCCGCGCGCCCCCUCCCCCUCUAGUCCGAAUUGGACAAGGAGGGGGGCGGCGCCCCCCCUUUCCUUCCUCUCUCUCUCCUCUUUCCCCCUUCUCCUAAUCCAACAAGGAAGGGAAGGGAGUCCUACUCCCGGUGGGAGUAGGACUCCUCCUGGCGCGCCCCUCUCCUGGCCGGCCGCCUCUCCCCCUUGCUCCUUUAUAUAAGGGGGCAGGGGGGCACCCCAAAGACACAACAAUUGAUCAUUGAUCUUUUAGCCGUGUGCGGUGCCCCCCUCCACCAUAGUCCACCUCGAUAAUAUCGUAGCGGUGCUUAGGCGAAUCCCUGCGUCGGUAGAACAUCAUCAUCGUCACGACGCCGUCGUGCUGACAAAACUCUCCCUCAACACUCGGCUGGAUCGGAGUUCGAGGGACGUCAUCGGGUUGAACGUGUGCUGAACUCGGAGGUGCCGUGCGUUCGGUACUUGAUCGGUCGGAUCGUGAAGAAGUACGACUACGUCAACCGCGUUGUGCUAACGCUUCCGCGUUCGGUCUACGAGGGUACGUGGACACACUCUCCCCUCUCGUUGCUAUGCAUCACCAUGAUCUUGCGUGUGCGUAGGAAUUUUUUUGAAAUUACUACGUUCCCCAACAGUGGCAUCCGAGCCAGGUUUUAUGCCUAGAUGUUAUAUGCAUGAGUAGAACACAAGUGAGUUGUGGGCGAUACAAGUCAUACUGCUUACCAGCAUGUCAUUCUUUGGUUCGGCGGUAUUGUUGGAUGAAGCGGCCCGGACCGACAUUACGCGUACGCUUACGCGAGACUGGUUCUACCGACGUGCUUUGCACACAGGUGGUUGGCAGGUGUCAGUUUCUCCAACUUUAGUUGAACCGAGUGUGGCUACGCGCGGUCCUUGAGAAGGUUAAAACAGCACUAACUUGACGACUAUCGUUCUGGUUUUGAUGCGUAGGUAAGAAUGGUUCUUGCUCAGCCCGUAGCAGCCAUGUAAAACUUGCGACAACAAAGUAGAGGACGUCUAACUUGUUUUUGCAGGGCAUGUUGUGAUGUGAUAUGGUCAAGACAUGAUGCUAUAUUUUAUUGUAUGAGAUGAUCAUGUUUUGUAACAGAGUUAUCAACAACUGGCAGGAGCCAUAUGGUUGUCGCUUUAUUGUAUGCAAUGCAAUCGCCCUGUAAUGCUUUACUUUAUCACUAAGCGGUAGCGAUAGUCGUAGAAGCAUAAGUUGGCGAGACGACAACGAUGCUAUGAUGGAGAUCAAGGUGUCGCGCCGGUGACGAUGGUGAUCAUGACGGUGCUUCGGAAAUGGAGACCACAAGCACAAGAUGAUGAUGGCCAUAUCAUAUCACUUAUAUUGAUUGCAUGUGAUGUUUAUCUUUUAUGCAUCUUAUCUUGCUUUGAUUGACAGUAGUAUUAUAGGAUGAUCUCUCACUAAAUUAUCAAGGUAUAAGUGUUCUCCCUGAGUAUGCACCGUUGCGAAAGUUCUUCGUGCUGAGACACCACGUGAUGAUCGGGUGUGAUAGGCUCUACGUUCAAACACAACGGGUGCAAAACAGUUGCACACGCGAAAUACUCAGGUUAAACUUGACGAGCCUAGCAUAUAACAGAUAUGGCCUCGGAACACUGAGACCGAAAGGUCGAGCGUGAAUCAUAUAGUAGAUAUGAUCAACAUAAAUGAUGUUCACCAUUGAAACUACUCCAUCUCACGUGAUGAUCGGACAUGGUUUAGUUGAUAUGGAUCACGUGCUCACUUAGAGGAUUAGAGGGAUGUCUAUCUAAGUGGGAGUUCUUAAGUAAUAUGAUUAAUUGAACUUUAAUUUAUCAUGAACUUAGUCCUGGUAGUAUUAGCAUAUCUAUGUUGUAGAUCAAUAGCUCGCGAUAUUGCUCCCCGUUUAAUUUUUAUAUGUUCCUAGAGAAAACUAAGUUGAAAGAUGUUAGUAGCAAUGAUGUGGAUUGGAUCCGUGAUCUGAGGUUUAUCCUCAUUGCUGCACAGAACAAUUAUGUCCUUGAUGCAGCGCUAGGUGACAGACGUAUUGCAGGAGGACAUGCAGACGUUAUGAACGUUUGGCUAGCUCAAUAUGAUGACUACUUGAUAGUUUAGUGCACCAUGCUUAACGGCUUAGAAUCAGGACUUCAAAGAUGUUUUGAACAUCAUGGACCAUAUGAGAUGUUCCAGGAGUUGAAGUUAAUAUUUCAAGCAAAUACCCUAGUUGAGAGAUAUGAAGUCUCCAACAAGUUCUAUAGCUAAAAGAUGGAGGAGAAUAGCUCAAGAAGUGAGCAUGUGCUCAGAUUGUCUGGGUACUACAAUCACUUGAAUCAAGUGGGAGUUAAUCUUCCAGAUAAAGAUAGUGAUUGACAGAAUUCUCUAGUCACCAUCACAAAGUUAGUAUAACUUCGUGAUGAACUAUAGUAUGCAAGGGAUAACGUAAACGAUUCCCGAGCUUUUCAUGCUGGUGAAAUCAGAAAUCAAGAAAGAGCAUCAAGUGUUGAUGAUUAACAAGACCACUAGUUUCAAGAAAAUGGCAAAGGGAAAGAAAGGGAACUUCAUGUAGAACGGCAAGCAAGUUGCUGCUCAAGUGAAGAAGCCCAAGUUUGGACCUAAGCCUGAGACUGAGUGCUUCUACUGCAAAAGGACUGGUCACUGGAAGCAGAACUACCCGAAAUAAUUGGCGUAUAAGAAGGAUGGCAAAGUGAACAAAAGUAUAUUUGAUAUACAUGUUAUUGAUGUGUACUUUACUAGUGUUUAUAGCAACCCCUCAGUAUUUUAUACUGGUUGGCAACCUCUGCUUGCCUCUGCGAAGGGCCUAUCUUUUACUUUUAUGCAAGAGUCAUGGUGAUCUUCACCUUUCCUUUUUUUCAUUUUAUCCUUUGGCAAGUACCUCGUGUUGGAAAGAUUCUGAUAUAUCCAAUUGGAUGUAAGGCAUCAUGAACUAUUAUUGUUAACAUUACCCUUGAGGUAAAAGGUUGGGAGGCGAAUCUAUAAGCCCCUAUCUUUCUCUGUGUCUGAUUAAAACUUUGAACCCAUAAAUAUCGCGUGAGUGUUAGCAAUUGUGAAAGACUAAAUGAUAGUUGAGUAUGUGGAGUUUGCUAAAUCAAAGCUCUGACAUAGACUCUUCCUGAAAAUAAGAUGAAUUGUAAUUGUUUGAUGACUAAUAACACGGCUUGUUAGUUUUCAAGAAAGUUUAUGAUCUAUACUUUAACAUGUGAAUAGCUUGUUACUUGAUCAUGAAAAGUUCUAUGAGUUGAGCUACUGUUAUGACAUAUGAUGAUGCUAGAAAAAGUGAUUGAAAUUAUCAUUGAUCAAACUUGUGCACCUGCUAGCAUUCACACUUCAUAAAUUCUUUCUUUUAUCAUUUACCUACUCGAGGAUGAGCAGGAAUUAAGCUUGGGGAUGCUGAUACGUCUCCAACGUAUCUAUAAUUUAUGAAGUAUUCAUGCUAUUAUAUUAUCUGUUUUGGAUGUUUAUGGGCUUUAUUGAACACUUUUAUAUUAUUUUUGGGACUAACCUAUUAACCUAGAGCCCAUUGCCAGUUUCUGUUUUUUGCUUGUUUUUGAGUUCUACAGAAAAGGAAUACCAAACGGAGUCCAAUGGACGUCCCAAUUUUUGACGAUUUUUUAUGGACCAAAAGGAGACCCCGGAGCAAAAGGGUUGGGACAGGAGAGUCCCGGGCUGCCCACGAGGGUGGGGGGCGUGCCCUCCCCCCCUGGGCGUGGGCCCCUGCCUCGUGGACAACCCGGAGACCCCCCUGACAUGAGACCUACGCCAAAAAAUCCUAUAAAUACUGAAACCUCCAGAAAGCAGAAUAGAUCGGGAGUUCCGCCGCCGCAAGCCUCUGUAGCCACCAAAAACCAACCGGGACCCUGUUCCGGCACCCUGCCCGAGGGGGUAUGUCGGUGUCAAAACCGGCGGAUCUCGGGUAGGGGGUCCCGAACUGUGCGUCUAAGGCGGAUGGUAACAGGAGGCGGGGGACACGAUGUUUACCCAGGUUCGGGCCCUCUCGAUGGAGGUAAUACCCUACUUCCUGCUUGAUUGAUCUUGAUGAUAUGAGUAUUACAAGAGUUGAUCUACCACGAGAUCGUAGAGGCUAAACCCUAGAAGCUAGCCUAUGGUAUGAUUGUUUUUGUCCUACGGACUAAACCCUCCGGUUUAUAUAGACACCGGAGGGGGCUAGGGUUACACAGAGUCGGUUACAAGGGAGGAGAUCUGCAUAUCCGUAUUGCCAAGCUUGCCUUCCAUGCCAAGGAGAGUCCCAUCCGGACACGGGACGAAGUCUUCAAUCUUUUGUCUUCAUAGUCCAACAGUUCGGCUAAAGUAUAUAGUCCGGCUGUCCGAGGACCCCCUAAUCCAGGACUCCCUCAGUAGCCCCUGAACGAGGCUUCAACGACGAUGGGUCCGACGCGCAGAUUGUCUUCGGCAUUGCAAGGCGGGUUCCUCCUCCGAAUAUUCCAUAGAAGAUUUUGAACACAAGGAUAGUGUCCGGCUCUGCAAAACAAAUUCCACAUACCACCAUAGAGAGAAUAAUAUUUCCACAAAUCUAAUCUACUGACACAUUCUGCAGCAUGACAUCACACCAUGGCCCGGUCAUUAUUCGGACCGUUUUUCUUAACCAGCCACUGCACAUAUCGCGAGGCGGUUUUCUUGGCACGUCUUGUCGAAGCAGAGAUCGUGUCCCCCUAUCACGGGAUUGUCAUCAAUACGGGUGUGGGUAACCUAACCGCGCCAUCAAUUACAGCUCUUGGGGAAUAAGCGAGUUUACCAGGCAGGUGGGGAGGCGCAUAGUUCCUUCCGCCCUUAUAAAGAGACAAGGAUUCAUCUUUUUCACCCACGCCCUCUUCCUCCUUGCUCAUCCGUUCUUGCGCACUUGAGCUCCAACACCCAAGUUCGCAUUCUCUCCUCAAACCACUCCAAGCAUGUCCGGAGCAGGAGGCAAGUGGAUGGUCUCCUCCGUUACGAAGGAGGACAUCACAAGGCUAUGGGGAGCCGGAUACCUGGCCGCGGAUAUCGCGCACCGGCUACAAGAUGCGGGGCAGAUCGUCCCUACUCCAGAACCCCAUGAGAGGGUGAUAUUUCUUACCCACUUUGUCCGCGGACUGGGAUUUCCCCUCCACCUGUUUGUCCGCGGGCUCAUGUUCUACUACGGGCUGGACUAUCACGAUCUGGCCCCCAAUUUCAUCCUCAACAUCUCGGCGUUUAUCGUCGUGUGCGAGGCCUUCCUCCGCAUCAAGCCCCACUUCGGCCUGUGGCUGAAGACCUUCAACGUUAAACCGAAGGUGGUGGCCGGCCAGCAAGCGGAGUGCGGAGGCGCCAUGGUGGGCAAAAUGCCCAACGUCACCUGGCUAGAAGGCUCCAAUGUGGAGACCGUAAAGGGGUGGCAAUCGGGGUGGUUCUACAUCACCGAGCCGCGCGACACCAACUGGGUAGCGGCCCCCGAAUUUUUAUCCGGAAUCCCCAUGCGGCUCACCUCCUAGAAAGAGAAGGGCCUAUCCUGGGGUUCCUCGGUAGAGCUGACCGGACCCCAGACCUGCGUCAAAAACAUGAUGAGCAAGAAAAUCAAGCUUGUCAACAUGGUCCAAGUCAUGCUCUUCCGCCCGAUCCUCCCGUGUCAAAGACGGGCAUUCAAUUUGUGGGAGUUCGACCCGGCCGAGCACCAGACGCUGCGAGAGCUCUUCGACACGGCGCACAAGGACGUCUGGAAGGUGAUGUUCAAGGGCGCUGAGGUACCUCCUCCCCUUACCAAGGACCGCGGACUCAGCGCAAAGCGCCCUGCCAAUCCGGUAUGUCUUUUAUAUUUCAUAAGAUGUUCUUUUCCCCAGUAUAACCACACGCGGGAUCUAAGCCCCCACGCCAUUUAACAGGACUGGGUAGCGACAGCGGAGCAGAUCGAUUGUCCAGCCCCCCUGCCUGAAGAUCCAGCGGAUGCUCUCCUAACGGAGAUCCUGGUUUCGGCGCCUUAUGAGGUGCCGGAGAAGAAGGCCACGGGGACCAGGAAGGGUCUCCGGCGCAAGGUUAUAUCGGACUCAUCGUCCGAAAACACCGAGGCGCACUCCUCCCACGAAAACGGGGAGGAAGAGGAAAGUUCUCCCCCCCAGCCAGGGGGGACAGGACAAGGAAGGCUGCCCCAUCAGGGGAGGCCGAAGGGUCCAAGAAGGGAAGGACCCUCCUCCCGGACUGCUCCACAAAGGCCGCUUUUAGCGACGAGGAGUGGUUACCCAGGGACAAGCCCCUGGCAAAGUCGUGAGUAUCCGGAUACCAUAAUAAUUCUUGGUACGUCUUAUUGUACUGUUUCUUAUCACGCCGCGCAUGAUUAUGCAGUCCGUCCCGAGCCCAUAUCGACGUAUCUUCGUCGGAUGAUUCUUUGGGCCCGUCAGAUAUGAAUAGCGAUUCACUCCCGACUGCCUCCUCCCCCCGCCCUACGGACGACGCCGAGGUGUUGUCUCAAAGGGAACUAAACCAAGGGGAGACAGUUCCGGAGGCGCCCCAAGGCGACAUUCCAGGCGCUAGGUGCACGAGGGGCAAGACUCCCCUAGGCCCUAACACCGGGGGCAGUAAGUCUAGCCCCAAGCCGAAUACGGCGCCGGAACCUCCAGUGGUUCCGGAUUCUGUCAGGCAACCCCUCGCUAAGGGGGGUAAGCCGUCUGUGCCGAUGGCCUCUGUCCAUCCAGAGGCAUCGGACAACUUGCUAGAAGUGCUUCGCGGCGCUUCCAUUGACGAAGAGCACCGCACUAUUAUGAGUGCGGUAGUUAAGAAGGUUCAGUCCGCUAAGAGCGGACUGACUGAAGCCUGUGCCAACCUCCUAACCGGCUUUGAGGUAAGUAAUCAAAUUGUAAGAAAAUGUUACAGCAUAGACAGUAGCCCCUGAUGCUCUGUUUGGCGUUCGCGGAGAAAGGCCGAAUAGAGGAUCAAAUAAUAAUCGCAGGAGUCUAAUCAGAAUGUGUCUAUGUGAAUAAGCGGGCUUCACUGCUGGCCGCCGCCGCUCGUACUGCGGAGGUCACCGCACUGAAGCGGGACCUUGAGCGGUCCAAGGAAGAGCUCGGCCUUACCAAGAGGCAGCUCGAAGAGAACAAAGGUAAGUGACACCCCGUCUGAAUAUUGGUAAAGAAAAAUUUGGUUUUGGAAUAAUAGGAUCCUCAUGAAUUUUGCUAGGGGCCACGACCGAAGUGGCGGCCCUGCAGAAGGCGCUAUCUGAGGCCGAAGACAAAGCGGCCAAGGAGCACAUCGAGCGAGAGAAGCAAGAGGCCCGAGUAGGCGAGGUGCGGCAAGAGCUCCAGGCUCUCGUCAAGAAACACGAGUCCUUGGAGCUUGACUCUAUGACGCAAGGGUCCGAGCUUGCGAAGGCCCUCGAAAGCGCACAACAUGCCAAGGCCAAAGCCCAAAAGGCCCUCCAGGAAAUUUAGGCGGUUAAGAAGAUAGCGGCGGGUAAGGCAUUCAUUAUGCAAAGCAAGCAUGUGAAGGAAACUUUCUUUUUACUUACCCGAGUUCGGAGUUCUCCAGAAGCGUUCGCAGAUCUACCCCGCAGUGUGUCGGAUGCCACGGAGUUCUACCGGGCCGAGGAGGGGAGCUCGGCGGAGAAGUUGUUCUGGUCUCAGUAUACUGGGACCGAACAUCCAAUGCCCUUGAGCGACCAGUUGAAGCAACUGGUCGAGCUUCACAAGGCGGCCGAACAGGCCAUGAAGGGUCUUAUGGUCUGGAUGUGGCAUGGCGACCCCUGCCUGGUAGCUACUUCGGUCUGGUGAGGCGGCUUGUGAAUGCCUGCACACGGUUUGAAGUCAUAAAGCGGUCCGUCUGCAUUGAGGGUGCGCGCAGGACUUUUGCCCGGGCGAAGGUGCACAGGGCGAAGCUGGACGCCGAAAAGCUGGUGAAGGAGGGGCCGCCGGAGGGCAAGGAGCAUCGCCACCCCGAAAAGUAUUAUGAUAGUGUCCUGAAGGGUGCUCGCCUUGUGGCGGAGGAAUGUGCUAAGGAUGUAAUAUUUGAAUGAAUGUACUCAUGUGAUCCUGUAAUAUGAAACGAGUUCAUUUGCGUACGCAAUGCUUGUUAAUUUAAAAUAUUACCUUCUAUGCGGCCGUUUAUAAAAUCUGAGAGUUGGCCAGUCGUCGGCUUCUGCCCCCAUGUAACUAGUACUAAGGUGUUCGGGGUAAACCUGAGCACUCUUUAUCCCAAUUUUGGGUCCUUCGAAGGAGGUGUUUAGCACAAUGAACCAGGCAAUCGGACUAUAAAGCUUUAUCACUCUCACUUAGCCAUAGAAGUCUACAAUUUUAAAUUUUGGCGAAGCCCCUAGUAUUUCGAAGGCCGAAUUUGGGGCACUAUAUACGCCUAAGUCGGGCAAGACGACUCCUUGCCCGAAGCGGAAAGAGACUUUAAGGACUUGAGACCUCUCGAACAGCGACCAGCUCUCGCCUCAUUAUGACAGUCAGUUUUCGGCUUUCUCUACUGAGGUGCUCGUCCGGAAGAACCGGGACACAAUCGCAGUAGUUCUCCCAAGGCUACCUUAGCCGAUAUUGCGGAACGUAAGGUACCAAAACAUGGGAGCCGGGCAAACCCAACUAUUGACCCAAGACAUGAUUCGGAGCUGGUGCAUAUAAUUCUAUAAGUUCGGGGUGCCGCACUGUCGAAAGUGUUCGGACUUCUCACACUGUAUUAUGGGGUAUACUAAAGCCCCUGGCGCACUGGUCAUACCAGGAUGUACGGGUGCAAUUUGUCGUAAAUAAGCAGACAAGGAAAAAAAAGAAAGGGGAAUGCAAUAAUAGACUAACGAUAUGCAUUGUUAUUAAAUAAUACGUCAAAGCGACGGAUACAAGUAGUGCAAUAAGCAAAAAAUAAGACUAUUUGACAUGUCCUAUCCAAGGGCAAGCUGCGUAUGGGUAUGUAAAACAGGUAUUUCGAUCGUUAUCAGAGACCACCUAGGGAUUCCCUUGUACGUCAGAGCGUCUUGCUUCCUUGGUAUUUCCUUACCGCGAUGGGUCCAACAAUUAGAUUGCCGAAAAGGGCUUCCAGAGAGUAAGGUCCUGAAAGAGAGAAAAUGAUAAAGGUAUAUGGCCCCUGGGGCGGUUGAGCCACCUUGUGGGACGUGCCGUAGCUGUGCCUCCGCCUAUGCCCAUGGUAUCUUGAGUGCGUAGUUAUGUACGCGCGGCGCAAAUUUCGCCACUUGACUGGGACUAGGACGGAGGCCGAAUUGCUAGGCGAGCUCAAAACGUGCAUGGCGAUCCUCCUGCGGGGUACCCCGGACUCGCUUGAAGGUGUCCGGGGUCUUUUUCGCCGAAUUGGCGGUUUGCCUAUUAAGGCUGCUUUGCGCUUCUGCUGCGAGGGCUGCAGUGUGCUCCUCCGUGCGGAGCGAGCGCUCUGUGUUUCCAUUAACUGUUAUAACCCCGCGUGGUCCUGGCAUUUUGAGUUUGAGGUAUGCAUAAUGCGGUACCGCAUUGAAUCUGGGAAAUGCGGUUCGUCCGAGCAGUGCGUGAUAGCCGCUGCGAAAGGGGACGAUGCCGAAGAUUAACUCCUCGCGUCGAAAAUUGUCCGGAGAUCCGAAGACCACUUCCAGUGUGAUUGAGUCCGUGCAACAGGCCUCUACACCUGGGAUUACACCUUCAAAGGAGGUUUUGGUGGGUUUGAUCCUCGAGGGGUCUAUGCCCAUUUUGCACACUGUAUCCUGAUAGAGCAGGUUCAGGCUGCUGCCACCGUCCAUAAGGACGCGAGUGAGGUGAAAUCCGUCAAUGAUGGGGUCAAGGACCAAUGCGGCAGAUCCGCCAUGACGGAUACUAGUGGGGUGGUCCCUGCGAUCGAAGGUGAUCGGACAAGAGGACCAUGGGUUCAACUUUGGGGCGACUGGCUCCAUAGCAUAGACGUCCCUUAGUGCACGCUUCCGUUCCCUCUUGGGAAUAUGGGUUGCGUAUAUCAUGUUCACCGUUUUCACUUGUGGAGGGAACCUCUUCUGUCCUCCAAUGUUCGGCGGCCGAGGCUCCUCCUCGUCGUCGCUAUGGAGCCCCUUGUCCUUGUUUUUGGCAUUUAACUUGUCGGCCUGCUUGAAUACCCAGCAUUCUCUGUUGGUGUGAUUGGCUGGCUUAUCGGGGGUGCCAUGAAUUUUAACGAGCAAUCGAGUAUACGGUCCAAACUGGACGGGCCCGGAUUGCUUGUUUUGAACGGCUUCUUCCGCUGACCGGAUUUAGAGCCACUGAAUCCGGCAUUGACUGUCGUGUCUUCGGCGUUGUCGCCGUUGUUGUGGCGCUUGUGUCUGUUGCGACGUGGUCUGCCAAUAGUAUCUUUGGCGUCUGAAUUGCCGGGAUUUCUUGAUGUGCUGUUGCUGCGAGCUAGCCAGCUGUCCUCGCCCGCGCAAAAGCGGGUCAUGAGUGUCGUGAGGGCUGCCAUGGACUUCAGCUUCUCUUGGCCGCGGUGUCAGGCGAGCCACUCGUCCCGGAUGUUAUGUUUAAAUGCCGCUAAGGCCUCGGCAUCCGGACAGUCGACAAUUUGGUUCUUUUUAGUUAGGAACCGAGUACAGAAUUUCCUGGCCGAUUCCCCUGGCUGUUGGGUUAUGUGGCUCAAGUCAUCAGCAUCUGGUGGUCGCACAUAAGUGCCCUAGAAGUUGUCAAGGAAUGCGUCUUCCAAAUUCUCCCAACUGCCAAUGGAGUUUGCUGGCAGGCUAUUCAGCCAAUGUCGAGCUGGUCCUUUGAGUUUUAGUGGGAGGUACUUGAUGGCAUGUAGAUCGUCAUCGCGGGCCAUGUGGAUGUGGACGAGGAAAUCCUCGAUCCAUACCGCGGGGUCUGUUGUACCAUCAUAUGACUCAAUGUUCACGGGUUUGAAUCCUUCUAGGAAUUCAUGAUCCAUUACUUCAUCGGUGAAGCAUAGUGGGUGUGCAGCGCCUCUGUGCCGGGCUAUGUCACGACGCAGUUCAUACGAGUCUUGUCUGCUGUAUUCGGCCCCGCCGGAUUUGCUUUUAGUGUAUCCGGCAUGACGAUCAUCAUCACACAUUGGGGCGCGACCCCGUGAUCCGUAGAUCGAUCUUGUUUGUCCUGCUCUGUUUUCCUAUACGUCUCGCAGGUCCCGCGUGUUGCCCCAGGCCUUGGUAUUUAUGUUUGAAUGGCGGCGGGGUGCGGGCUGGACUUCGGGCUGAUAUGCCCCUCUGUCUCGGCCACGAGGUGGCCGAUCAGCCGCAUCAUACGCUGGUGAUGUAGGUUUUAAUGCUUCCUCCUCGAUUUGGGGUAGCAACCUGCGCUUUGGGUAACUCUUGGUUGGGCGCUCGAGUUCGUAUUCCUCUACCUCCAGGACUUCAGUCCAUCUAUCCGCUAGCAGAUAUUGAUCAGCUCGAAGCUGUUGUUGCUUUUUCUUCAGGCUGUUUGUUGUAGCUAUAAGCCGACGCUUGAAGCGCUCCUGCUUGACGGGAUCCUCAGGCACGAUAAAUUCUUCGUCGCCGAGGCUCACCUCGUCUUCGGAGAGAGGCAUGUAAUUGUCAUCCUCUGAUUCUCCGUCUGCUGCCUAUUCCGGAGGGCUAGCUUGUUCAUCCUCUCGCUCGAGGUCUGGCUGGAGGGGAUUGUCGUCGUCUUUGGCACUAUCCGGAGCGUUAUUGUCUCUUGUGCCGGUAUCGCUGCUUUUGCUAUGGCGGGACUUAGAGCGGCGCCGCUGACGUCGGUGCUUGGGUUGCUUCUUGGAGGGAUUAUCCUCGGUUGUCUUAUCGCCGUCGCCUUCUUUGGGGGUGUCCACCAUGUAUAUAUCAUAUGAUGAGGUGGCAGUCCAGCGCCCUGUGGGCGGUGGUUCCUGUUCGUCUCCUGUAUCGUCGUCCAUACCGUCGAUGUUUUCGGAGCCGAAAUCGAGCAUGUCGGUUAAAUCGUCGACAGUGGCUACUAAGUGGCUGGUGGGUGGGGAGCGAAUUUCUUCGUCGUCCGCAUCCCAUUCUAGCCAGACAUAGUUCGGCCAAGGGUCUCCUGACAAGGAGAGAGACCUCAAUGAGUUCAGCACGUCGCCCAGUGGUGAGUGCUGAAAGAUAUCCGCGGAGGAAAACUCCAUAAUCGGUGCCCAAUCAGAUUCGAUAGGCACAUACGCAGGCGGCUCAGAGCCCGUGGCCGGGGAUGAAUCCAGGUGUCCGGCGACACAGGUCUCAUAGGAGGUGAAGUCAGUAUUCGGCUCUAUCGCCACUCAGUGUGUGGCCUCCGAGGCGGGGUCCAUCCACCCGUCCUCGGACGGCGCAAUCGACUCCGGAUCUAGGGCCGGAGUAGCCAUGGGUGUGAUCUCCCGAACACCGUCCGGCGGCAGAGCUAAGUCGUGCUCGUCGUGACUGUGCGGCGCACCUGACAUGGGCUCGAAUCCGUCAAAGAUAAAGUCUCCGCGGAUGUUGGCACUGUAGUUUAAAUUUCCAAACCUGACCUGACAGCCAGGGGCGUAGCUCUCGAUCUGCUCCAGAUGGCCAAGCGAGUUGGCCCACAGUACGAAGCCGCCGAAUACAAAGAUCUGUCCGGGGAGGAAAACCUCACCCUGGAUCGCAUCGUUGGCGAUGAUUGAAGGAGCCAUCAAGCCUUUAUCGCGACGGCAGAGUGGAACUCUCAAUGAAAGCACCAAUGUCGGUGUCAAAACCGGCGGAUCUCGGGUAGGGGGUCCUGAACUGUGCGUCUAAGGCGGCUGGUAACAGGAGGCGGGGGACAUGAUGUUUACCCAGGUUCGGGCCCUCUCGAUGGAGGUAAUACCCUACUUCCUGCUUGAUUGAUCUUGAUGAUAUGAGUAUUACAAGAGUUGAUCUACCACGAGAUCGUAGAGGGUAAACCUUAGAAGCUAGCCUAUGGUAUGAUUGUUGUUGUCCUAGGGACUAAACCCUCCGGUUUAUAUAGACACAGGAGGGGGCUAGGGUUACACAGAGUCGGUUACAAGGGAGGAGAUCUACAUAUCCGUAUUGCCAAGCUUGCCUUCCACGCCAAGGAGAGUCCCAUCCGGACACGGGACGGAGUCUUCAAUCUUGUGUCUUCAUAGUCUAACAGUCCGCCUAAAGUAUAUAGUCUGGCUGUCCGAGGACCCCCUAAUCCAGGACUCCCUCAGGGUAUCCCUCACCGGUGGCCAUCUUCAUCAUCCCGGCGCUCUCCAUGACGAAGAGGGAGUAGUUCACCCUCGGGGCUGAGGGUAUGUACCAGUAGCUAUGUGUUUGAUCUCUCUCUCUCUCUCGUGUUCUUGAUUCAGCACGAUCUUGAUGUAUCAUGAGAUUUGCUAUUAUAGUUGGAUCUUAUGAUGCUUCUCCCCCUCUACUCUCUUGUAAUGGAUUGAGUUCUCCCUUUGAAGUUAUCUUAUCGGAUUGAGUCUUUAAGGAUUUGAGAACACUUGAUGUAUGUCUUGUCGUGCUUAUCUAUGGUGACAAUGGGAUAUCACGUGAUCCACUUGAUGUAUGUUUUGGUGAUCAACUUGCGGGUUCCGCCCAUGAACCUAUGCAUAGGGGUUGGCACACGUUUUCGUCUUGACUCUCUGGUAGAAACUUUGGGGCACUCUUUGAAAUACUUUGUGUUGGUUGAAUAGAUGAAUCUGAGAUUGUGUGAUGCAUAUCGUAUAAUCAUGCCCACGGAUACUUGAGGUGACAAUGGAGUAUCUAGGUGACAUUAGGGUUUUGGUUGAUUUGUGUCUUAAGGUGUUAUUCUAGUACGAACUCUAUGAUAGAUUGAACGGAAAGAAUAGCUUCAUGUUAUUUUACUACGGACUCUUGAAUAGAUCGAUCAGAAAGGAUAACUUUGAGGUGGUCUCGUACCCUACCAUAAUCUCUUCGUUUGUUCUCCGCUAUUAGUUACUUUGGAGUGACUCUUUGUUGCAUGUCGAGGGAUAGUUAUAUGAUCCAAUUAUGUUAUUAUUGUUGAGAGAACUUGCACUAGUGAAAGUAUGAACUCUAGGCCCUGUUUCCUAGCAUUGCAAUACCAUUUACGCUCACUUUUAUUAUUAGUUACCUUGCUGUUUUUAUAUUUUCAGAUUACAAAAACCUAUAUAUACCAUCCAUAUUGCACUUGUAUCACCAUCUCUUCGCCGAAUUAGUGCACCUAUACAAUUUACCAUUGUAUUGGGUGUGUUGGGGACACAAGAGACUCUUUGUUAUUUGGUUGCAGGGUUGUUUGAGAGAGACUAUCUUCAUCCUACGCCUCCCACGGAUUGAUAAACCUUAGGUCAUCCACUUGAAAGAAAUUUGCUACUGUCCUACAAAGCUCUGCACUUGGAGGCCCAACAACGUCUACAAGAAGAAGGUUUUGUAGUAGAUAUCAGGGGGAGGGGGGUGAAACCGCCCCGCCGCCGCCGUCCCCGAGCGCGGCGCGGCUUCGCUGGCCGGCCCUCCGGCGGCAGCGAUGCGGGGGGAGGGGGGCACUGGCGGAGGAAGGCUACCGGUGGCGAUGAAGGUUUCCCCCGUAUCGCCUGUUGCGGGCGACGCGGGGGCAGGGUUGACCAGCUCGAGGAUUUCGGCUGAGCUGUAGAACGUAUGAAAUAUUGAAGGAAAACAAAAACAUGAGAAUCAACAGAUAUUGGAGAAGUUGGUACAGAGUGGUACAUGGAAAGGAAAUUUUACUUUUACUGGAGGUUGAAUGAAGUUAUGUUUACACCUUCCAUUUCACUUUGUGGGCACUCCGAAGUUGCAAAGAAAAAAUAUAUAAAAUAUCAUCAUUCGUACGCAUUUAUAUGCAGGUAAUGAAAAUGGCUCCACCUAAUUAUAAGAUUAUUAAGCACUUUUAGUACCCGGGAGUCCCUGGUACUGUGAAGAUGAUAUUAAGACUAAUUAAUGGACAUGGAUUUGUUCUGAUCACACAAAGAUAGCUCAAACACCCAUCCGCUUACUUGCUUGCAUUUCAAAAGAUUGAUAACCACAUUUCAUCAUUUUUCCCCACUUCUCCACCUUGCUGGUGAUAUAUAUCCAGCUUCCGCAUAUAUGAUAUUUUUCACUCUAGCACUUUCAGCUUCUUUUUGAAAUGAAGAGUACUUUUCUUGCUGAUGCAGCAACAAUAGUAAGUCAGAGCUUUCUUAGGCCUUGUACAAUGCAAGGUGCUUUGAGAAAUAAACUAGGCUUUCCUUAAGCACCGAUACUUAUUUGUACAGGAUACUUUAUUAAUUUUUCUCACAAGAUCUUACAAAGUCAUACAACAGUAAGACUAAAGCCGCCGUCUAAGCAACAAACUGUCGCUACACCUAUCCAGUUGAUGAAGGGACGCAGAUAGCCUGGGCCUAAUACCAAACAGACAUCGCAUCCAAGCCUAACAUCUAAGACCUGAGACCCCAACCUAGCCACUUGCCGGGUCUGGGGCACACACUGGUCCGGCGUGCUCUCAGAGGCCGCCGCCGCCAACUGCCACCGCUCCAUCUUCAGAAUUGUACUGAUGCAUCAACCUUACUCGGUCUAGCUAUCGUCGACGCCACCACUGCGCCCAGCGGCACCUCCUCCCUGCCCGCAAACAACUGAGCACAUCGCGGUCGCCACUGAUACACCUCAGCACCAUGCUGCCAAGUACCACCAGCUGACACAGCUUGAAGUCCUUGGAAGAUCUUUCAUGCGUAGCACCUGCCGACCAAGUAUGACAAAGUGUAGCACCUGUCGGUCAGGCAUGACUUGACAUCUCCACCGAAGCUCCGUGCAAGACGAAGCCGCUCCACCUCCUGCCUCUGACUUCCAGCGCUGCUCCACAAACGAUGCUCCCAAGAGAGAAACGAGACAGCGGUGCCACAAUCGUCCGAUCUGGAACACCAGAUCCUAGAGUUUCCCGUGGAGCAGCACGAGUGGGUCGACAGUAGUUACACGAUGAUGCCUCCAUCAAGGUAACGACGAGAACGCCGCCAUCGCCUACCGUCGGCUCGAUUUUCACCGGCAACCAUGUCUCCCCUACUCGCAGUCGGGACUAGAUGAUGGAUCUCGAGAUCCGAUCACCAAGCCUCUGGCCGGCCAUCUCUGGAAGAAGAUGACCACCACGUCCACCAGCGUCACCACACCGGGCACGCGUUGCCGCCGGCACCCCCAUGGUGCCUAGAGGCCGACAAGCCCCGACGAACACCACGCCUCGCCAGCCGCCAUAGCCCAGGCCCAAGCACCACCAGAUCCAGAUCAGAUCGGGGUCAAGGGCCCCAAGCCGCAGCCGUCGCGGAGGCAGCACCACUAGACGGUGCCCUGCCCUCCACCCCGCUGUAGGAUCGAGUCAUCGCCGGAGCUCCGCCACGCCACGCCGCCAAGACGCCGCCGGAAGAACUCGCGCCGCCGCUAGGGGAGAGAGAGACGCGCUAGGGAGAGGCCCCGCCGCUGGCACUGCCUUGGCUUUGCCCGGCUGUGUCCCUCGGCGGCGGCGAGGGGGGAGGGAGGGUGGAGGAGGGCCGGCGGCGGAGGGGGCUAGGGUUCCCCCGAGUCGCCUCAGAGAGGGACGCAGGCGACGGGGUGAGAAAACUGAGAGAGUGGAUAUGGCCUUUACUCGAGCUCAUGGGGUGGCCCGACUGCUGGUGAGUGUUCUCGAUAUUGAGUUCGUGCCUGAUGUGGUUAAGUGGACAUAUAGGGGACAGAUUUUCAACCUCGAGAUUGAGUUUGAGGAUGCCGCUCUCUUCGCUGAGGCUAUCAAUGGGACUGAUGUAGAUAUGCACGAGGGUGAUGACAGCUCGGGUGCUAAGGAGGCACCGGUUGAUGAUGUUGGACGAGAGUUGUCCAACUAAUCGGGGCCCGUUCCUCAGACGCCCAGGGACGGGACGGCACCAUCCUCUUCGGUGCCUAUGAGUUCUCUGAGAUUUGGGUCGUUUGAGCCAGCUUCUGCUCCUCCCAGACUCUGGAGUGACCGGGUGGAGUCCGAUGACGUGUUUGAGCGCACGCUACCUACCCUGGAUUUUGUUGCUGCUGAUAGUCCCGUGCUUGGAGGUUUGGAGGGGAUUAUCUCUGUGCAGACCUCGGUAAGGGGAGGGGAGGCGGAGCUUGGGCAGGUGGCCCCUCUUUCCCCCGCUCUCCCUGCGGUGUCACCUCGGGAGACGGAGUCGACUAUGGAGGCUGUCCCUAGGGAGGGAGUCCAUGGCAGGUGGCCUCGGCUCCUUCUUCUCUUCUCGCGGUGCCGGAGCUGCAGAUGGCGGUUGUGCUUAGGGGAGGCGGUCCAGGGCAGGUGGCCUCGGCCCCCUCUUCACCUCUGGCGGCUAGGGAGGCCACACCCCCUAUGGCGCCGGAGACCUCUUCUAGCCAGAGGGCUGGGGCGGGAGGAGCGUACGGGCAGGCGGCCCACGCGCUUCCCUCUCCCGGCGCGCCAACGUCCCAGGGCCUCGGUUCGAGGUGGACGUCAGUGGGGCCGGGGAGGUCCCCGCCGCUGCCCCCGGCAGCUCCCGCCGACUCUUCGACGUGUGCAGCUUCGCGGUGUGCUGGGGGUGAGGCCGGUGGCUUUACUCCGAGCGGGGUCACUCGGGAGGAGGUCAUCGCCUUUGGAGGGAUUCUAGAUCCUGUCUCUGCGGGGCGACGGAUGAGCUGUCGUCUCUAGGAUCAUCCGGAGGUUGAUGACAUGCAGCAGCGGUGCGCCAUGAGGGCGGCCAAGCUUCGUGACAUUGAGGUCACUACUGGUAUGUCGGUCAACACUUCUAAUUCCAUUCUGCAUUUUUCUAAUAAUGAGAUUAUUAAUAAUUCAAAUCAAUUGGGAGUUUCACUAGGUAGUAAUGAUAGUGAAAUUUCUAACUUUGUAAAUGAUAUCCUGGAUUUGGAAGCGGAACGCGCUUUAGAAAUGAUUCAAAACUUAGCAGCGGUUAAACCCAUGAAUGAUGCAGAUAUCGAUGCGUUGGGGGUCAGGGUGCUCGAUAAUUUUUGUGCAGAUCUUGCACCAUCCAUUCCUGAGUCAGAGGAAGAGGAUAACACUUUUGAGGCUGCCGUAGAUCGAUCCAUGGAGCCCGGUUGUGAGGACUGGGUGGAGGAUCAAAACAAACCUAAACGCAAGUGGAAGCGGAAGAUCUACCCUGCUUCGGCGGUGCGUAGGAGUGCUAGGAUCCGUACUAUUAAAACAUUUCAUGAUGAAAUAUGAAAGGAAUCUUUUGGAAUAGCAGAGGUCUGAAAGACUUGGCUAAAAGAAGGUUUCUUGCAGAUGCGUCUAUCGAGCAUAGGUUGGAUUUUAUCACUCUCUCGGAAACUGGUAGAGAUAAUUUUUCGCCCCAGUUUCUCAGUACUUUAUCGGGAGGUGUUGAUUUCAAUUGGCACUGCCUGCCUCCGAGAGGAAGAUCGGGUGGGAUCUUACUUGGAGUGAGAUGCGAUUCGCUAGAAGUCUGAAGUGUAGUGAUGGGAGAUUUCACAAUUAAGUUCCGGGUUAGGUCGAAAGCCAACGGGUUUAAUUGGGCUCUGAUGGCGGUUAUGCUCCCGCGCAGCCCGAUCUCAAACCAGAGUUCUUGGCGGAUCUUGUUCAAAUUUGCGGCUCUGAGCAGCUCCCAAUCCUGGAUGGGGGUGAUUUCAACAUCAUUAGGAGGAGAGAGGAAAAGAAUAAUGAUAAUUUCGACGGCAGGUGGUCGUUUAUGUUUAAUACCAUUAUUGAAAGCUUGGAUCCUAGAGAGAUAGAGCUUUCGGGUAGAAAAUUCACCUGGGCUAAUACUUUGCCAAAUCCGACGUUUGAGAAGCUGGAUCGAGUCCUAGUGAGCGUCGAAUGGGAACAGAUAUUUCCUUUGGUAACGGUCCAGGCUCUUUCGCGUGGUAUUUCUGACCACACGCCUUUAUUUGUGGACUCUGGUGAGCCAACCCACAUGGGGAACAAAAACUCCUUUUCUUUCGAGCUGGCAUGGUUUGAACGAGAAGGCUUCUUGGAUAUGAUAGCCAGGGAAUGGGCUAAGGAUGCAGGAGGUAGGACUUCGAUUGAGCGCUGACAGAAUAAGAUAAGGCACUUGAGAAGUUUCUUGCGUGCGUGGGCUAAGCAUCUUAGUGGGGUUUAUAAGGUCGAAAAGGAAAGGCUCCUUACACUUAUUCAGUCUCUAGAUUUAAAAGCCGAGUCCACAAUUUUGCAAGCCACAGAGCUUCAUGAUAAACUGGAGGCGGAGAUGAGAUUGAAAGAGCUUCUCCGUGAAGAGGAAUUAAAGUGGGCGCUGCGGGCUAAGGUUCGCAAAGUUGUCCAGGGGGACGCGAAUACUCAAUUCUUUCACAUGAUCGCUAAUGGCAAGCACAGAAAGAAUAGAAUCUUUCAGCUUGAACCAAGAUGAAGGAACGAUUUUAGGACAGGAAAACCUAAAAUUAUACAUAACCGAAUACUACAAGCAGUUGUUUGGGCCUCUGGAGGAUAAUUGUGUAUCCCUGGAUGAGUCUAGGAUUGAGGAUGUGCCUCAACUUACUGCUGAUGAGAAUGAUAUUUUGAUUGCCCCUUUUUCGGGGAAAGAGGUGUUUGAAGCCAUUACACAGAUGAAAAACAAUAAGGCUCCAGGGCCGGAUGGAUUUCCGGCGGAAUUCUAUAAAAAGUGUUGGCAUAUUAUUAAGGGGGAUUUGCAACCAAUGUUCCAUGAUUUAUUCUCUGGACAGCUUCAGUUAUUUCACUUGAACUUUGGAAUGAUAACAUUGCUUCCUAAGAAAACAAAGGCUGUGAGAAUUGAGCAGUUCAGGCCGAUCUGUCUUCUCAAGGUUAGUUUCAAAAAUUUCACAAAGGUUGGGACUAAUAGGCUCACGCAGACUGCGCAUUCUGUGGUGCAGCAUUCCCAAACUGCUUUCAUGCCGGACAGAAACAUCCUAGAAGGGGUUGUGGUCCUUCAUGAAACGCUCCACGAAAUUCACACGAAAAAACUAGAUGGAGUUGUUUUCAAGGUGGAUUUCGAGAAAGCGUACGAUAAAGUCAAAUGGCCUUUCCUUCAACAGGCCUUACAUAUGAAAGGUUUUGAUGAAGCCUGGCGACGCCAGGUAGAAUCUUUCACGCAAAAAGGGAGUGUUGGAAUUAAAGUGAAUGACGACAUAGGUCAUUAUUUCCACACACAUAAGGGCCUGAGACAAGGGGUUCCGAUGUCUCCUAUUUUGUUCAACAUUGUAGUUGAUAUGUUGGCAAUUCUAAUAGGAAGGGCUAAGGAGGUUGGUCAGGUGGGUGGCUUGGUGUCUCAUCUAGUUGAUGGAGGUGUGUCUAUCCUACAGUACAGCGAGAAAUAUGAAGCUGGUGUUAUGCUUAUUUGAACAAUUGACCGGGUUAAAGAUUAACUUUCACAAAAGCAAAUUGUUCUGCUUUGGAAGAGCCAAUGAGGAACAAGAGGCUUAUAGGCAAUUGUUUGGGUGCGAAUUGGGGACCUUACCAUUUACGUAUUUAGGUAUACCAAUUCACCAUCGUAAGCUGACAAACACAGAAUGGAAGUGUAUCGAGGAUCUCUUUGAGAAGAAACUGAGUUGCUGGAAGGGCAAGCUCAUGUCAUACGGAGGCCGAUUAAUUCUGAUUAAUUUGGUUCUCACGAGUAUGCCUAUGUUUCUCUUGUCUUUGUUCGAAGUCCCAGUUGGAGUUAGGAAAAGGCUGGACUUCUAUCGAUCCCGAUUCUUCUGGCAGAGCGAUGAACUAAAAAGAAAAUACAGACUCACCAAAGGGAUAUUAUCUGUCGACCGAAAGACCAAGGGGGUCUUGGCAUUGAAAAUCUUGAGGUCAAGAACAGAUGUCUUCGCAGCAUGUGGCUGUCUAAGUUAUCUGUAGAGAUCGAUGCCACAUGGGCGCAGAUUCUUAGUAGUAAGUAUCUUCAUUCCAAAACUUUGUCCCAGGUGACAGCGAGGCCGACAGACUCACCUUUUUGGAAAGGGCUUAUGAUAGUCAAAUUAGCCUUUUUUAAUAGGACAAAGUUUAUUAUCGUCAAUGGCGCUAGCACGCGAUUCUGGGAGGAUACUUGGCUCGGAGAGACCCCCUUGCACUUCAAUACCCGUCUCUGUAUCGUAUUGUUCAACGACGUGAUGCUUUCGUUGCAACGAUACUUCAAUCCAUCCCCCUUAAUAUUUAGGUCAGGAGGACGCUAGCCGGUAAUCGUUGGGAAGAGUGGCUCCAUCUAGUGAGUAGACUGAUGGAGGUUCAGCUGUCUCAACAGCCCGAUCAAUUACGCUGGAAACUUACUAGGUCUGGAGAGUGUACAGUUAAAUCAAUGUAUCUCGAUGUGAUCAAUUCUAGCUCUAUUCCUAGUUCCAAAUAUGUUUCGACAGUCAAAGUUCCAUUGAAAAUUAAAGUGUUUACGUGGUUUGUACAUAAACAAGUCAUCUUAACCAAGGACAAUUUGGCAAAGCGUAACUGGACAGGACCUACUAAGUGUAGUUUUUGUGAUCGGGAUGAAACUAUCAAACACCUUUUUCUUGAUUGCUCGAUGGCCAAAGUUCUAUGUCGGACAGUCCACAUAGCCUUUGACAUUUCCGAGUUCUGUUAGCACGUUAUUUGGAACGUGGCUUAAUGGGAUAGAGUCCGAAACAGCGAGACACAUUCGCGUAGGAGUAUGUGCUUUAUUGUGGGCAGUCUGGAACUGCAGAAAUGAUUUGGUUUUUAACAGAACAACAAAUAUUCAUUUUUUGCAGGUUAUCUUCCAAGCCACUGCGUUGAUCCGUACGUGGUCACUACUCACUCCGACGGAGGCCAGGGAGCGUUUGGUUACUGGAUCUAUCCGGUGGGAGAUGGUAGCACGGGAUAUCUUCAACCGGUUUGAAUGGCGGUCAUGUAAUAGGAUAGGCAAUUAGUUUACCUAUCUUUCUUAUGCCGGCCGAUUGUGGCUUUUUGGCUAGUUUGUUAUUGGCCCUUUGGCUCUUUAUGAGCUUUCCUUUACUUUCGUUUGAGACUUUAAGACCUUGUUAAACCUAUUUGCUUUUUUAUAAAGUUGGCCGUAUGCAUCGUUCUGAUGCAGAGGCCGGGGAGCCCCCACUUUUCGAAAAAAAACCUCUUGUUAUCUUGUAUUCUUGUGUGACAAUGCUCGAAGAAUAUAAAAGGGCUAGGUGGAAAGACCCCCAUAUCGAAAACUUGCCUACCUACGAGUUUUAUAGACACAGAGCCUCAUUGGAUUGUACUAGAUGGAGCCUCCAGUGAGAGCUGAAGACGAGGCGAUGAGCACGGAGGAGCUGCUCCAAGCCCAGACGGAUCUCUACCACCACUCCCUAGCCUACAUCAAAUCUAUGGCGCUCGGUGCCGCCACAGAACUCAGCGUCGCCGACGCCAUCCACGGCCGUGGCGGUGCCAUCACCUUGUCUGACCUUGCGGCCGCGACCGGCGUCCACCCGACGAAAGUCCAACACUUCGGGCGGCUGAUGCGCGCGCUUACCGUCACUGGUGUCUUCACCUCGGAAGAAAAAGAAGGCGGUGGUGGUGCCCUGUACAAGCUCACUCGGAUUUCACGCCUCCUUCUCGGAGUCGGCAAGCGUCGGCUCUCCCCGAUGGUGCGUAUGCUUGUCAGCGAGGUCAGUUUCACUACUCCCAUGAGCAUCUGCGAGUGGAUCACCACUGAGACGCCGGCCAGGGCCAUGUUCGAGGCCCAUUUUGGCUCUACGCAAAAUGGGUUGUGGGAGAAGGACGACGCGUAUGGUGCCCCCUUCUACUCAGCAAUGGCUGCGGACAGCCGUCUCGUCAUGGAGGUUCUGCUGAGAGAGUGCAGCAGCGUCUUUGAGGCCGUUGCCGGCUCACUUGUCGAUGUCGGCGGCGGCAGCGGAGGAGUCGUGGCUGCCGCCAUUGCCACAGCGUUCCCUCACAUCAAGUGCUCCGUGCUGGACCUCCCCAACGUGGUAGCCGCGGCUGACGACACCACCAACGUGCAGUUUGUCUCCGGCGAUAUGUUUGACUACAUUCCACCAGCGGAUGCCGUUCUACUCAAGGUACGUACUUACAUAGUACUCCCUCCGUAAGGAUAUAUAAGAGCAUUUAGAUCAUUAUUAUUUUAGUGAUUGAUCCAAACGCACUUAUAUUUCUUUACAGAGGGAGUAGCACAUACAAAUGCAGCAAGCUAUCCAUUUCUUAUAUAUAUAAUGAACCAAAUUAAUCAACCAAUCCUUCCUAUAAAUUUUGUAGUGGAUUUUGCAUGACUGGGAAGACCAAGACUGCGUCAAGAUACUGCGCAAGUGCAGAGAGGCCAUCCGCACAAGAGGUGCUGGGGGGAAGGUGAUUAUAAUCGAUUUCGUCGUCGGUGCUGGUUCUUGCAAGGAGACGGAGACACAGGUUCUGUUUGAUCUUUACAUGAUGAUGGAGAAUGGGGCUGAGCGGGACGAGCAAGAGUGGAGCAAGAUUUUCUUUGAAGCUGGAUUUAGUGACUACAAGAUCAUGCCAGUCUUAGGCGCUCGUUCACUCAUUCAAGUAUUCCCAUGAAUUCUGGCGGUUUGAUGUCCAAAUGUACUUCCUGUUUCCAAAUGUUUGUUUGCUUUCACAUCAGAAUAAUGCCUAGGACUAUACUAUAUAGUCUCGACUUUGAAUCUGAAUAAUGAAACUGUUUGUUAUCCUACGUGUUGUUUUCGUUCAUAAUUCAUAUGCUCACAAUGAAAUACAGUCUGCUAUUUUUGUUUACAUUAAAUUAUACUUUACCUAGCAAUAUGGUAAACAGGCUCACUUAGCAGAGGCUGGCUUGUUCGCUUAUUCGCCGCCCUAGGAAUGCGAGCUCCUUGCCGAAAUGAAAUUCUAGUAGCACUGGUUACUAUCGGGUCCUGCAUGUUCGUCAUUUGUGCAAGUAAACACAAUGCAUACGAGUACUCUACUGAAUUGAACUUUUUUGUAUUGUUUUCAUUGGACCAUCCACUGUAUAGUAACAGAGUAUUUAUUGCACACAGACUAUUUUAUUCUUUCAACCCAUAGUUCAUCCACCCACACUUUUAGUCUGAUUCUAAAAUUUGUAACACUUUUAAAUUUUGAACUUGUUCUGAACAAGUAAAAUUCCAAAUUUGACACCAUAAUGAAACUUAUGUCAAAUGUGAGAUCAUAUGAAAUGAAACUGAAGUGAACCAAUAAUAAAAAAUGCAAAAAUAAUUUAAUAAACCAUAAUAAAACUUAUAUCAAAUUUGAGAUGAAACAUAGACGAAUUGUGGAUUGAAACAAUAACGAAAACAAGCUAAGGGGAAUCUAUGAAUAAAUAAUGAGAACAUGUAAAAUUACGAUGACACGGAAAUGAUAUCGUAUGGAAAAUAUGCUAAGAGAACACUUUCAUUGGCCAGCCCAACCAUGAAAGGUAAUUUAACAAAAUGAUAUGAAACUUAUUUGAAAGCUCGAAAAAUAGAAAUAAAACCAGAAUGAAAAUAAUAAUGAAACAUGUAAAAAUACGAUGAAACACAUAUGUAAAAAUAAGGCCGCGAGAUCGUCGUCCUCUGAGUUGGAAGUUUAUGGUGAAGGUGACGUGGGAUCCAUUGCAGGCGCGCCCGGGGUCUGGUGUGGUUGUGGAACACAUAUGUGGAGAUCAUAGUAGCGGUGAAUGACGAACGUGAGCGCUCCGAAGAAUAUGGUGCAGGAAGGAGAAGUCGGUCUGUUAGUGUAGAACCGGCCUUCUGCGAUGAAGGUGAGGAAGCCGAUGGUUAAGCCGUGAGAUUGCCAGCCGUUAUUGAGGAUCUGAUCUAGAGUCGGUCCCCAGCUGACAUAGCCCCUUCCUGUGCUAACUGAUGGUAUGGGAAUUUGCGAGUAUCCUUUGUAGGGUGGCGAACAUGUCCGGAAGUACAAGAAGGGAGUUCGCCAAGGGGGUUUUCCAGAUUUGCGCCCUCAUGGCGAGGAAAUACCUUACGUCCUGCUAUUUGUUUUCUAUUGAUGAUGGAGAACGUUGAGCGAGGGGUUACAAGGGACAUAAAUAUGGCCAUAGGAGUAUAGUCUACGGGAGUAGAUUGGAAUCGCUACCCCUAUCCUCACCUUAUAUAGGUGACGGGGCUAGGUUUUACAUGGCGCCUACAUGAUCUCACACUGCCAUCAUCUUGGCUUCCACCCAAGAUGGUCUUCUGGCUUCCAGGACCCCCGGGCUGUCUCUUGAUGCCAGACCUCCUUCAAGACUUUUGGGCCCGAAGGCCGGCCCACUAUUGGGUUCAUAUCUAGUGUGCCAUCCACGUUGUAAUGCACCAUCACCAACCCCGAUUUCUGGGGCCUUAAGAGUGAAGCGAUUCCUAAUUCUUCUUGGUAACAUGCCAAAGUGUUGUGUCCCAAAGGCUCGACUGGGUAUUUUCGUCAUUGCGGUUGAUAUGGAGAAGGGGUGGGUCGCAUGGAGGCAGAAAUGGGUAAAUGAAGACAGAAACGAGGGGCUGGCCUGACAGUGGUUCAUGUAGACGACGAGCAAGAGCAUGUGGCCAAUUUUUCCGCAAGCGUUAGAAGCAUAGCCAUAAUUCCAGAAAUUUUAGUGGCGGCAACUGAAUUUGCCCUAUUAUAAGAAGGUAUUGCCCCACAACGGUGCGCACACGGGUGACCUUCCUCUUGGUCCAAUGACAGGUGGGCCAUGGACUCGCCGGGGGCCAUAUUAAUGGGACAUUGUCUAUCGUGCUCUUGUGAUUUCUCUCUCGGGUGAUGGGCGGGCUAGACCCACCUGUCGGUUUUUUCGGACACCGUUGGGCUGGCUCAGGUGUGCCAGGGGGCCAGGUCAGACUGUGGUGGGCCUAGACCCCGGCGGGUGUGCGUCGUUCAGGAUGGCCGGCCACGCGGGUGUGCCAUGCUGUUUGAUCGCGAGAGCUGGCAAAGCACGGGCACCAGGUUGUUCGGCUUGUGUGAGCGAAACAGGCGACGGUGAGUCUAUCGUCCAAGAGACGGGCCGAAUAUACCGACAGGCGGAUCAGGCUUCCUGCUCUUGUGCAAUACGAUGAGAAAGGGUUCUCGCGGGAGCACCGAGGCCGCUCCAUGAGAGUGGCCCUGCACGCACCCGCGGUCCACCCGUCAUGGACCCCCGAGUGCACGUCCACUAGUUGAAAACGGAGUUUUAUCACCGGUUCGUAAGGGCCUUUAGUGCCGGUUCUGCAACCGGCACUAAAGAGUGGGGACUAAAGGUCCCCCUUUAGUACCGGUUUGGCACGAACCGGCGUAAACGUGCCACCACGUGGCACGAGCCAGGCCUGGGUGCGUGUAGGACAUUAGUACCGGUUGGUAACACAACCGGUACUAAAUGUUUGGGUGUGUUUUGGUUUUAAUUUUUAUUUUUCCUUUAGUUUUGUGUUUUCAAUUUAAUUUAGUGAUUGUUUUACAUUAUAAUGAGUUGUUAAAUCAUUAGGUGAAAGUACCGCAGAUUAGUUUCGACUGGAUGCAUGUGGAUCCUAGCUAAGUGAUAAAGUAUAUGCCAUAUCCAUAUUACUUAGAUCUAAGUAAUAUGGAUAUGGCAUAUAGUUGAUCACUUAGCUAGGAUCCAUCCAGUUGAAACUAAUAUGCGGUUUCUUUCAUAAAUGAUAUAAUAACUCAUCAUCAUCAUCAUCAUAUUAAUAUAAAAACUCUUGCAUCAUAUCAUCACCAACAACAGUAUAUACUAGCUAGCAAAGAUAUCAUCGAGUUCAACAUGGUCAUGAUAUUAUAAGCAUUCAUAACACCACAAAAGCAAAUCACUCUUUGAGAUUAAGUUCAUGACGAAGAACACGGACACGCAUGAGAGGACAAGAAGUACUAAGAGCAUGAUAACUAGCUAAAUCACUCCUGCUGCUCUCUCUCAGGUAAAAUAGCAUAGAACAUGUAUAGCUCUCCUGAUUCAUCAUAUUGGAUCAUGCAGAUGAACCUGUCUCCUAAUCGUGGGCUGCGCUUCUGAUUGCUGCCCCCUAGUACUUCUUUGCGAUCGUUAACAAUUUUGCUCCAAUCUUUCACUAUUAAGCAUUCAUCGCUUUCAGAAAUUCUGAAUGCACUCAUGUGCACUGUAGGAUAUCUUGGCCGUAAGCUAACAAUUGACAUGCGACCUUUAGUCUUGAUCCACUGAGGCACAACUAUUAAGCAUUCAUCGCUUUCAGAAAUUCUGAAUGCACUCAUGUGCACUGUAGGAUAUCUUGGCCGUAAGCUAACAAUUGACAUGCGACCUUUAGUCUUGAUCCACUGAGGCACAACUGUCAUCGGGAGUCCCUGUUGAAGAACAUCGUAUAGUAAUUAAUAUACUUAGCAAUGAAAGUUUAGCUUGAAAAAUAAUGUAUGCAAAAGAUGCACUGAGGACUAAUAGUAAAAAUCUUACCAUCUUUCCUAAAUACAUGUGACCGUAGUUCAAUACGAUCACUAUUGGUCGCACGUUUUGAGUACUAAGAUUUUCAAAUUCAGGAAAAUGAUUUCUCUUAACAGCAUCAAGAUCCUCAAGCCAUGAAACAUAAUGACUUAUCUCCUCGCAGUUUAGUUCAGCCCCGGGACAGUGGAUGGUCCUGUCUACCAAGCGCCGAACAUGUUUGCUUGAAUCAAAAUAAGCUGUCAAUAGAAAUUACUUGUCAACUAUUUUUGAAUAAACAAUAUCGAAGACAUAAAUAUGGUUGAGAAACUCACAUAAUGGUAGAACUGGAGGCAUCUGCACAUCGACCCAGAUAUCUCUAUUACCUUCAAUAUCAUCUUCCGGACGAAUAUCAAAGGUGAUAACCAUAUCAGGCUCAAAUGCAUAAGUCUUGCAUAGUGCUUGCCAAGUUUUGCAUUCAAAAUAGGUGUAUGUGUCUGCAUUGUAUAAUUUGACGUUGAAAGUAUAACCAUGCUCGGUCUUCAGGUAAACUCUCUUUGCCUCCAUAGUUUCCAUAGCACUGAAACCUAUCUUAUCCAAGACAAAAAUUCUUGCAUGGCAGGGGAUGCGCUACUACAAUAGUGAAAAUUAAAAAUUAUAAGUUGAAGCAAAUGAAGCAUAAGUCAUGCUUAAUUAUGAAAAAAGACUUGUCGUUGUGACUUACUGUAUCCACUUCGAAGGUCUCAUCCAGCUUGAUGCUGAAGCGCCUAUCAUCAACAAGGAAAUUUCUGUCGCACAGGCCGCGCUGGUCUUCACAGUAUUCGCACUUAAUGAAAUCUUUUUCGUCGUCAGACGACAUUUCCUAUGUUCAUAUAGGUGAAACAUUAAACACUUACUAGUUCUAUUAAUUCAACUAGUUCAACUACUUCUAUUAAUUCAACUAGUUCUAUCAAUUCAACUAGUUCUAUUAAUUCAACUAAUUCAACUAAGCAUUUACUAAAAAUAAACUAGUUCUAUAUAUAUAUAUAUAUUAAUAUUUUAAUUAGAUCAUCAAAUCUCAAAUACCUAAAUUUUCUUACUAAAAAUAAACCAGUUCUAUUAAUUCAACAAAUUCAACUAAGAAUUUACUAAAAAUGAACUAGUUAUAUUAAUUUUCUUACUAAAAUAUAUAAAGUAGCUAUGUAUAGUAAUAUUUUAAUUAGAUCAUCAAAUCUCUUAUACCUAAAUUUUCUUACUAAAAAUAAACNNNNNNNNNNNNNNNNNNNNNNNNNNNNNNNNNNNNNNNNNNNNNNNNNNNNNNNNNNNNNNNNNNNNNNNNNNNNNNNNNNNNNNNNNNNNNNNNNNNNNNNNNNNNNNNNNNNNNNNNNNNNNNNNNNNNNNNNNNNNNNNNNNNNNNNNNNNNNNNNNNNNNNNNNNNNNNNNNNNNNNNNNNNNNNNNNNNNNNNNNNNNNNNNNNNNNNNNNNNNNNNNNNNNNNNNNNNNNNNNNNNNNNNNNNNNNNNNNNNNNNNNNNNNNNNNNNNNNNNNNNNNNNNNNNNNNNNNNNNNNNNNNNNNNNNNNNNNNNNNNNNNNNNNNNNNNNNNNNNNNNNNNNNNNNNNNNNNNNNNNNNNNNNNNNNNNNNNNNNNNNNNNNNNNNNNNNNNNNNNNNNNNNNNNNNNNNNNNNNNNNNNNNNNNNNNNNNNNNNNNNNNNNNNNNNNNNNNNNNNNNNNNNNNNNNNNNNNNNNNNNNNNNNNNNNNNNNNNNNNNNNNNNNNNNNNNCUGGGGCGGCGAUGGGGGCGGCGACGACGGCGGCGACGACGACGGCGACAGGAUGGGCUGGGGCGCGAUAGGGGCGGCGACGGGGGCGAAGAACAAACUGAAACGAACUGAAAAUAUUCGUAAGUGGUGCUUAUAUAGCGGUGGCCAUUAGUACCGGUUUGAUACUAAAGGCCUAUUUUGGCCAGGCCAAGAGGCGGGAAGAGCAGGCCUUUAGUACCGGUUGGUGGCUCCAACCGGUACUAAAGACCCACCUUUAGUACCGGGUUGGGCUACCAACCGGUACUAAAGGGGGUGCGCUGCCACCCGCGGUGUAGAAAGUUUAGUCCCACCUCGCCGGGCGAAGGGCAGCCGCACUGGUUUAUAAACCCAGCCGCGGCUGCUACUUUGAACUCCCUUGUAAAGCAGGCUUCUGGGCCUAACUAUGGCACGCUGCCCUGUGAGCCUGCUGGCCCUUGUGGGCCUGAAUUUCCACGCCCGUGGUCUUGUAGGCCCAUUGGGAAGCGCCCCAAUAAUUUUUUAUAUAGUUUGUUUCUUUUCUUCUUUAUUUAUUUUCUUCUAUUUAUUUCUGAGUAGUUUUUUAUAUAGUUUUUUCUUUUCUGCUUUUUUUUAUUUUCUUCUAUUUAUUUCGGAUUAGUUUUUUAUAUAUUUUUUUCUUUUCCCCAAAUCGGUAAAUGACUGAAAAAUAGCAAAUGUUGUCAGAAAGUGUUGAAAAUUGAUGACGUCGCUUUGAAUGGUGUGUAUGGAACGCAAAAAAGUCUGGAGUUGUAAUAAGUUUAAAAAAAUGAAGUGCCCAUGUAACAGAUGAGUUCUCGUCAGAAACCCUGAUACUACAAAAAAGAUAGUCCAGUUUGUACACGAAGUGCGUCCAGUUUUUGCCAUAACCCUCUCUACUCUUUUGCACAUGCUAUGUGGGUGAAAUGAUGAUACCAUGCCAAGUUUUGACAUUUUCAGAGUUUAUUUUGUAGUGAUUUUCAAUUUCACGGUCAUUUAACUCUCUAAACAAAUCGGUAAAUGACUGAAAAAUAGCAAAUGAUGUCAGAAAGUGUUGAAAAUUGAUGACGUCGCUUUGAAUGGUGCGUACGGAACGCAAAAAAGUCUGGAGUUGUAAUAAGUUUAAAAAAAUGAAGUGCCAGUGUAACAGAUGAGUUCUCGUCCGAAACCCUGAUACUCCGAAAGAGAUUGUCCAGUUUGUACACGAAGUGCGUCCAGUUUUUGCCGUAAUCCUCUCUACUCUUUUGCACAUGCUGUGUGGGUGAAAUGAUGAUACCAUGCCAAGUUUCGACAUUUUCAGAGUUCAUUUUGUAGUGAUUUUCAAUUUCACGGUCAUUUAGCUCUCUAAACAAAUCGGUAAAUGACUACAAAAGUGCAAAUAAUGUCAGAAAGUUUUGAAAAAUGAUGACGUCGCUUUGAAUGGUGUGUACGGAACGCAAAAAAGUCUGGAGUUGUAAUAAGUCUGAAAAAUCGAAGUGCCAAUGUAACAGAUGAGUUCUCGUCAGAAACCCUUAUACUUCGAAAGAGAUUGUCCAGUUUGUACACGAAGUGCGUCCAGUUUUUGCCGUAACCCUCUCUACUCUUUUGCACAAGCUAUGUGGGUGAAAUAAUGAUACCACACCAAGUUUCGACAUUUUCAGAGUUGAUUUUGUAGUGAUUUUCAAUUUCACGGUCAUUUAGCUCUCUAAACAAAUCGAUAAAUGACUGAAAAAUAGUAAAUGAUGUUAGAAAGUGUUGAAAAUUGAUGACGUCGCUUUGAAUGGUGCGUACGGAACGCAAAAAAAGUCUGUUGUUGUAAUAAGUUUAAAAAAAUGAAGUGCCAGUGUAACAGAUGAGUUCUCGUUCGAAACCCUGAUACUCCGAAAGAGAUUGUCCAGUUUGUACACGAAGUGCGUCCAGUUUUUGCCGUAACCCUCUCUAAUCUUUUGCACAUGCUAUGUGGGUGAAAUGAUGAUACUAUGCCAAGUUUCGACAUUUUCAGAGUUCAUUUUGUAGUGAUUUUCAAUUUCACGGUCAUUUAGCUCUCUAAACAAAUCGGUAGAUGACUAAAAAAUAGCAAAUGAUGUCAGAAAGUUUUGAAAAUUGAUGACGUCGCUUUGUAUGGCGUGUACGGAACGCAAAAAAUUCUGGAGUUGUAAUAAGUUUAAAAAAAUGAAGUACCCAUGUAACAGAUGAGUUCUCGUCAGAAACCCUGAUACUCCAAAAGAGAUUGUCCAGUUUGUACACGAAGUGCGUCCAGUUUUUGCCGUAACCCUCUCUACUCUUUUGCACAUGCUGUGUGGGUGAAAUGAUGAUACCAUGCCAAGUUUCGACAUUUUCAGAGUUCAUUUUGUAGUGAUUUUCAAUUUCACGGUCAUUUAGCUCUCUAAACAAAUCGGUAAAUGACUAAAAAAUAGCAAAUGAUGUCAGAAAGUGUUGAAAAUUGAUGACGUCGCUUUGAAUGGUGCGUACGGAACGCAAAAAAAGUCUNNNNNNNNNNNNNNNNNNNNNNNNNNNNNNNNNNNNNNNNNNNNNNNNNNNNNNNNNNNNNNNNNNNNNNNNNNNNNNNNNNNNNNNNNNNNNNNNNNNNNNNNNNNNNNNNNNNNNNNNNNNNNNNNNNNNNNNNNNNNNNNNNNNNNNNNNNNNNNNNNNNNNNNNNNNNNNNNNNNNNNNNNNNNNNNNNNNNNNNNNNNNNNNNNNNNNNNNNNNNNNNNNNNNNNNNNNNNNNNNNNNNNNNNNNNNNNNNNNNNNNNNNNNNNNNNNNNNNNNNNNNNNNNNNNNNNNNNNNNNNNNNNNNNNNNNNNNNGACUAAAAAUAGCAAAUGAUGUCAGGAAGUGUUGAAAAUUGAUGACGUCACUUUGAAUGGUGCGUACGGAACGCAAAAAAAGUCUGGAGUUGUAAUAAGUUUAGAAAAAUGAAGUGCCAAUGUAACAGAUGAGUUCUCGUCAGAAACGGUGAUACUCCGAAAGAGAUUGUCCAGUUUGUACACGAAGUGCGUCCAGUUUUUGCCGUAAUCAUCUCUAUUCUUGUGCACAUGCUGUGUGGGUGAAAUGAUGAUACCAUGCCAAGUUUUGACAUUUUCAGAGUUCAUUUUGUAGUGAUUUUCAAUUUCACGGUCAUUUAGCUCUCUAAACAAAUCGGUAAAUGACUACAAAAGUGCAAAUAAUGUCAGAAAGUUUUGAAAAAUGAUGACGUCGCUUUGAAUGGUGUGUACGGAACGCAAAAAAGUCUGGAGUUGUAAUAAGUCUGAAAAAAUGAAGUGCCAAUGUAACAGAUGAGUUCUCGUCAGAAACCCUUAUACUUCGAAAGAGAUUGUCCAGUUUGUACACGAAGUGCGUCCAGUUUUUGCCGUAACCCUCUCUACUCUUUUGCACAUGCUAUGUGGGUGAAAUGAUGAUAUCACGCCAAGUUUCGACAUUUUCAAAGUUGAUUUUGUAGUGAUUUUCAAUUUCACGGUCAUUUAGCUCUCUAAACAAAUCGAUAAAUGACUGAAAAAUAGUAAAUGAUGUCAGAAAGUGUUGAAAAUUGAUGACGUCGCUUUGAAUGGUGCGUACGGAACGCAAAAAAAGUCUGUUGUUGUAAUAAGUUUAAAAAAAUGAGUUGCCAGUGUGACAGAUGAGUUCUCGUUCGAAACCCUGAUACUCCGAAAGAGAUUGUCCAGUUUGUACACGAAGUGCGUUCAGUUUUUGCCGUUACUCUCUCUACUCUUUUGCACAUGCUAUGUGGGUGAAAUGAUGAUACUAUGCCAAGUUUCGACAUUUUCAGAGUUCAUUUUGUUGUGAUUUUCAAUUGCACGGUCAUUUAGCUCUCUAAACAAAUCGGUAGAUGACUAAAAAAUAGCAAAUGAUGUCAAAAAGUUUUCAAAAUUGAUGACGUCGCUUUGUAUGGUGUGUACGGAACUCAAAAAAUCUGGAGUUGUAAUAAGUUUAAAAAAAUGAAGUGCCCAUGUAACAGAUGAGUUCUUGUCAGAAACCCUGAUACUUCGAAAGAGAUUGUCCAGUUUGUACACGAAGUGCGUCCAGUUUUUGCCGUAACCCUCUCUACUCUUUUGCACAUGCUGUGUGGGUGAAAUGAUGAUACUAUGCCAAGUUUCGACAUUUUCAGAGUUCAGUUUGUAGUGAUUUUCAAUUUCACGGUCAUUUAGCUCUCUAAACAAAUCGGUAAAUGACUGAAAGAUAGCAAAUGAUGUCAGAAAGUGUUGAAAAUUGAUGGCGUCGAUUUGAAGGGUGCGUACGGAACGCAAAAAAAGUCUGGAGUUGUAAUAAGUUUAAAAAAAUGAAAUGCCAGUGUAACAGAUGAGUUCUCGUCCGAAACCCUGAUACUCCGAAAGAGAUUGUCCAGUUUGUACACGAAGUGCGUCCAGUUUUUGCCGUAACCCUCUCUACUCUUUUGCACAUGCUAUGUGGGUGAAAUGAGGAUACCAUGCCAAGUUUCGACAUUUUUAGAGUUCAUUUUGUAGUGAUUUUCAAUUUCACGGUCAUUUAGCUCUCUAAACAAAUCGGUAAAUGACUAAAAAAUAGCAAAUGAUGUCAGAAAGUUUUGAAAAUUGAUGACGUCGCUUUGAAUGGUGUGUACGGAACUCAAAAAAGUCUGGAGUUAUAAUAAGUUUUAAAAAAUAAAGUGCCCAUGUAACAGAUGAGUUCUCGUCAGAAACCCUGAUACUUCGAAAGAGAUUGUCCAGUUUGUACAGGAAGUGAGUCCAGUUUUUGCCGUAACACAAGAAGUCCGGAGUUGUUAUAAGUUAUUAAAGAUAAAAAAGAGGCACAAUGCUCGUUAAUUAGCUUCAAGCCUUUCGGAAUAGUGCAAACUGCACUGCACAUAGCUCCGUGCAGUCUACACUAUUCCUCAAGGCUUAAAGCUAAGCAACGUGUAGAUGAGCAUUUCACGGUCAUUUAGCUCUCUAAGCUAAUCUAGUAGCCAUGUUAAGUCGAUAAUGACGUGGAAUUGUUAUAUGACAUGCAAAUACCUUCUGAGUUAAUGGCACUAGUCAUCAACCCGUGCAACUGCAUGGGCUAGUUUUUUAAACGGUUCAUAGUUACAAUACUUUUCAUGACCACUUGUUUCUUUGCAUCCAGCAAGAAUAUAAAUUUGUUGUGUGUGAACCAUUAAAUGAACAAUUAAUAUGAAAAUAGAAAACUUAUAUCCUGAAAGUUUACAAUCUUCAUAAAAUAUUUAUAUUUUAUUUUAAGACAAACGGGAAAUUAAAAAUCCUACUUAUAGAGAUCCUGAAACAUAAUUCAAAUGUCGCAUAAAUUACGUAAUUUUGAAUGAUAAGUACUAAAAAUGUAAUAAUUUGUUUAGUUAAUAUUAAUCCUUUUUUUAUUUGGGAGUCUACUUAAUCAUGGGGUAUUUUGCAUAAUGCUUAGGCUUGUCAAAUGAAAUAAGCAUUUCAUAACAACAGUGUACCUCCCUACAGUUUAAUAACAAACUUACUCUACAAACACCGAAAACCGAACCAAAGACUGAAGAAGCAAUCAUAAGUGUCAUACUUCUUAAAUUCUCCUUUUUUUUCCCGGCACCACCCAUGGAGUAGUCUUUCCACCGUGUUUGACUCUCGUUGUGGUAGCAAAUGAUGGGUCCAAGUUUUCGCAUAGUAUUGUCCGUUUGUUUUAUCAUGAUAGAGUACUCCAUUAGUUGGCACCGCUCUUAUAUUUGUGUGUGAUCUUUUAGCAGUUCAACAUUAUAGUUCUUCCACCCAUAUGUUCGCAAUGUUAAAUCUAUGGAGAAAAAGAUUCAAAUCUUCACUAUUGUACCACAAAAGCAAGUCACAUGAAUAGCUCGCAAUUAUUUAACUACUGGUGGUUGGUGCCAGGUAUAUUAGCGUUAGGAAAGUAAAUGUACAUACUGAACAUUUGACUGUGGAAGAAAAUGAAUUUUCUUAUUUACUCUUAUUGAAUUCUAAAUAUAUUUUGGAUAUUUGUUUUCAGUAAUACACCUAAUUUUGGAAAAUCUAUUUCAUAGCCUUGUAUUUUUGAAAUAUUUUACAAAACAUGACACAAAUUGUUGUGUUUUUUCACAUACAUAUUUAUAACAUUAAUACACUCUUUAUAUGUAAUGUGAUAUUUAUUAUAUAAUUUUUUAAUCAUACAUAACUAAAUUCUUAUUAUUUUCAAAUCACAAAUUUUAAAUGAUAUGAUAACUUACAUUUUAAAAGCUCUAUUUCGGGACAUUAUAACUAAAAACUAUCUGAGCGAAUCGGGCACCAUAAUGUAUUUGGUGUCUACACUUUGUCGCAUACAUAGCCUUUUUUAUUUUUAAUGUAAUUGCUAAAAUAUGUAAUUAUGUAGAACUUAAUAUUACAUUCUAUUACACAGAUUGGACUUAUAUAGGUUGGAAAAGAAUUAAAUCUAUGCUGUCAAACCUACCGAAUAGCAUUCCUCCGGCACAUUGUAUAUCUGGCAUUUAUUAGUAAUGUGUCUAAAUCAGUUCGGGAUAAAUUCACUCUACAUCGUCAUAAUGGCUUGUUGUUAAAAUUUGGCAUCCUGACGCAUUACUUGGAAUUUUUAUAAACUCAGUGUAAACAGUUAUGUUAUCUUUUUAAACAUAAGUUAUUUAGUUCAAUUCGGAGUACUAUAUAGUAAUUUUCAACAGUAAAUCUAGCCUAUUUCAACUCGGUCAUUAUAAACAAUAAAUCUAGCCUGUUUCAACUCGGCCAUUAUAUUUAACUUAUUUAAGACAUAAGGUAAUCUAACUUUUGAACAAUCUUUAGAAAUCUACAUAUGUAGAGGUCAAGUAGGACAUACAUAUGUGAAAUUCCUUAAAAUAAUUUGAUAAUUGUUAUAUUAAAGAAAAUAAUAUUAUAAUUUAUUAUCUGUACUUACUAUAAUUGCAAUACUUUUUGAUAGCAUGUUCCCGUUGCAUAGUGUCGCUUACUGCACAAUAUCUUAAUUUGUUAUGUGUCUCGGAUAGAAAAAUAUUGUAUUUCCGCGUAUGUAUAUGCAUGUCUAUAUAUGUUUCACACACAUGAAAUUUUUUUAUAUAUUAAAAAAUGAUUUCGCCUGAGUUACAUCCAUGCAUGCUAAUUUCCUGUCUAUCAUUGGAGUUUAGAUCUAUGCAUGUAUGUGCUUGACUAAGCUCUGCACAUAUAUACGUGCCGGUCAAAUCAUAUACAUGAACGUACAUCACUCUAUUCUACUAUUAAGGGAUUCGUUGAGCACCUCGUCAAAGAAACAAACCUUUCAGAUCAACUUGUAAAUUUUCUUUUUACAUAUUUGCAUUUUUUUAGCAUAUUUGCAUUUCUUUCCUAAAAUAUUGCAAUAUUUGCAAAUAUCUGAAUCAUAUUCUUUUGAUUGACAAUAACACAAUGGCUUACCAGCAGAUCAAAACAGAUAUCUAGCUAGUGCGAAGGUUGUGCCACCUCUUGAUUGUUUCCUCCAUGAGCAAGCAAGCUUCUGGUAACGGUAACAGUCAUGGCGACGGAACAUGAUGUGCCGGCGAGCCGCAGACAUUAGAAAGAUCUGAAAAGAAGCAGAUAGGCAUGAUGCAUAAAUCUGGAAAGGAAGAAGAAUAUGCAUAACUCAAAAGCAUUGAAGCCGUCGGUUUUUGCAUUGCUCUACGAUCAGUUAAUGUACGCAUGCAUCGUAUAUGUACGCAUCCAGCCGCCGGAAUUUACUUCUCCUGCCUUCGUUUGUCAAGGGCAAAAAUACUGGCCAGCAGCACAAAUUGAAGACCAGCUUUCGGCACCUCCAUAACGCUCGUAGAAAAGUUCUCAAUGACUUGCAUCGGGAAUAUCUCUCCAGACCAGGGCAUGCGCCAAUUAAUGCUUCUUGCCGUGUCAUGUAUGCCGGGUCAUGUAUCUCUACGGGGACAACAAAAUUCAACUUGUUUAUUUUUGGAUAAUCAUUGGGAGAUAGAGACCCAGCACAGGACGUCUCCCAUGCGUGGGACAACCGAGGUUUUUUUUUUCAAUCUUAGGCUUCAUCAACGGCUAAAAUAUAUUAUAUUUUAAUCUGACGGAUGUAAAUCUUUAACUUAUAAAAUUGACGUGAAUCCUCGUAUGGCUCUUCCAAUUAGUAAAUAUAUAAGAUAGUAGUAGACGUGAAGAAUAAAGGGGCAGUAAUGGGAUAUUAAAUGUGGCAGCUAACUUGCUAGGCCUUCGAGUUAUAUUUUGUUCAGCAUUAAGUGGAAAACAUAUUUUGGCAUCCUUUUCCUCCUCUCGACUCUGACAAAAUGUUAGUGAUAUUCAAAUGGAAAAGCUUAGGCAAGAAAUAUUCCGAGGAAAAAUAAUGCAUCUACUCUAAAAUAUAUUUUCAUCAAUAGUAGUCCACUACUACCAUGAGCCAAUGGCCAUGGUUCUAUUCAAAAUUUUAAUUUAUCAAGAUCAGGCGUAGACUUGAUGUUGACAUCAAUGGCUAUCUAGGCUUAGAGAGAUGAGAGGAGUGAAGAACAAAAAAGGAGCGCCAAUAAUGGUUAUAACCCAUAGGGGAUAAAAUAAGGACGCCGCUAGUUGGCAUGAAUUGAUACAGGUAGACAUCACUUACUCUGCGUCCCUGAAUAGAGGCCAUAAUUUGUGUUGCUCUAGGGACCCAUAAUUUAUGAAUUCUGCUCACAAGAGAUCCGACUGUUGUGGGGAUCAAACUUUAGCACGCUGCCCUUAGAGCAACUCCAACGCGUCAACCCAAAUGGACGGCGAUUUUGUUAUAUUUUCGUCUGUUUGUGUCGACCGUCCACUCGGUGUCCGCCUAAUUUUCUUUUUGGGUCAGCAGUGCGCCCAAUGCCAGCGACUCAUUUCAUGUCCGUGCACAAAUUUUAAAAAGGCCCGCGGCUGUAGAUCAUGGCAGCGGCCAAGCCGUCACCCAAAGUUCAUGCCGGCACCAUGCCAGCAGCCGACAUACAAUGCCAGCUCCAAAAAAGCACCACACAGUUUGUGUUGGCGCACUUGCCAGCGACUGGCAUAGAUGCCAGCAAACAAAAAAGGGGCGGGAGUUCGACCACGCCAUCGCGACCGUAGUCAUGCCAACACACUUUUCGGCAUGCAAAAAAGGAUGGCGCUUUCCGCCAUAAAUCACUCGUCGUCGAACUUGAGCAUGUCGGCUUGCAUCUUGUCGAACCACGACCUCUUCCUCGGCGACAUGGUGUUGAGGUCCACCUUCAUGAUCUCCACACCCGUCAUCAUGCUAGCGAGAACCACUUCUUUCGCCUUGGUCUUGACAUUUGCGGCAUCGAUAUCUAGCAUCUUGGCUUGCACUGGUGCAGAACCGGGCUUUAGCACCAGUUCGUAAGGCCCUUUAGUGGCGGUUCUUGAACCGGUACUAAGGGGGGGGGGGCUUUAGGGAUUUUGGUUUUAUUAUUUAUUUUUCCUUUAAUUUUGUAUUUCCAUUUAUUUUAUUUUUCAUUUGCUGGUAUUUUACGAACUACAUAUUGUACACGUUAUGCAUAUAUAUAAAUAUAAUUUCUCGUAGAACCGAUCAUAUANNNNNNNNNNNNNNNNNNNNNNNNNNNNNNNNNNNNNNNNNNNNNNNNNNNNNNNNNNNNNNNNNNNNNNNNNNNNNNNNNNNNNNNNNNNNNNNNNNNNNNNNNNNNNNNNNNNNNNNNNNNNNNNNNNNNNNNNNNNNNNNNNNNNNNNNNNNNNNNNNNNNNAGCUAAUCAUUGAUAUAUACUACAUACUAAACGUACAUACUCUCUAUUUUGACGGAUACUACAUACAACAUACAAAAUGCAAGUGGUGGUAAUUACCACCGCUUGGAGGAAGCAUUUGAGGCACCACCAUUUGAAGCACCGCCAUUCACACAUAGAGCAGAAAAGAGUACCGGUUGGAGCGACCAACCGGUUUAAAGGGGUGUGCUGGCCCAGGUGCGAUGCACAAAGUUUAGUCCCACCUUGCUGAGCGAAGGGCGGCCGCACUGGUAUAUAAACCCAGCCGCGGCUGCUCCUUUGAGCUCCUCCCUAACGCAGGCCUUCUGGGCCUACUUGUGUUGCGCUGCCCUGUUGGGCCUACUAGCCUUGCGGGCCUACCUCCUGGCCCGACUACAGGUUGGGUUUCUAGUCGCAUGCAGGCCGCUGUGGCCCAGUAGGCGGGCUUUUAAAAAAAUAUUGUUUGCUUUAUUUAUUUUCUUUUAUUUAUUUCUGAGUUGUUUUUCCUGUAUUUCGAAUUUCUUUGUGAAUAUUUUUGCUUUAGGUACAAAAAAUUACAAAAUUUCUGUUAGUGCCAGUAGUUUUCAAAUUUGAAUAGUUUAAAUUUGUCUCCUUUAUUUAUUUUUAAGUUGUUUUUUGCUGUAUUUAGAAUUUCUUUGUGAAUAUUUUGCUUUAGGUAAAAAAAAUUACAAACUUUAUGUUAGUGCCAAUAGUUUUCAAUUUUGAAUAGUUUAAAUUUGUCUGCUUUAUUUAUUUUCUUUUAUUUAUUUGUGAGUUGUUUUUUGCUGUAUUUAGAAUUUUUUGUGAAUAUUUUUCUUUAGGUACAAAAAAUUACAAAAUUUCUGUNNNNNNNNNNNNNNNNNNNNNNNNNNNNNNNNNNNNNNNNNNNNNNNNNNNNNNNNNNNNNNNNNNNNNNNNNNNNNNNNNNNNNNNNNNNNNNNNNNNNNNNNNNNNNNNNNNNNNNNNNNNNNNNNNNNNNNNNNNNNNNNNNNNNNNNNNNNNNNNNNNNNNNNNNNNNNNNNNNNNNNNNNNNNNNNNNNNNNNNNNNNNNNNNNNNNNNNNNNNNNNNNNNNNNNNNNNNNNNNNNNNNNNNNNNNNNNNNNNNNNNNNNNNNNNNNNNNNNNNNNNNNNUAAGUUGUUUUUUGCUGUAUUUAGAAUUUCUUUGUGAAUAUUUUUGCUUUAGGUACUAAAAAUUACAAACUUUCUGUUAGUGCUAGUAGUUUUCAAAUUUGAAUAGUUUAAAUUUUUCUGCUUUAUUUAUUUUCUUUUAUUUAUUCCUGAGUUGUUUUUUGCUGUAUUUAGAAUUUCUUUGUAACUAUUUUUGCUUUAGGUACAAAAAAUUACAAACUUUAUGUUACUGCCAGUAGUUUUAAAAUUUGAAUAGUUUAAAUUUGUCUGUUUUAUUUAUUUCUGAGUUGUUUUUUGCUGUGUUUAGAAUUUAUUUUUGAAUAUUUUUGCUUUAGGUACAAAAAAUUACAAACUUUCUAUUAGUGCCAGUAGUUGUCAAAUUUGAAUAGUUUAAAUUUGAAUUAUUUGAAAUUUUUGUGAAUAACUAGUUUCGGAAUAACUUUACUUUAAAAAUAGAUUUUUCAGUGAUUCGUUUUUCUUAUGUCUAACAUUAGUGUGUUUUAUCAUUAUAUUCAAUUUGGUAAUACUUAGGUUAUUUAAAAAAUGAAAUGCCAUUGUAACAGAUGAGUUUUCGUCUAAAAACUCUGAUACUUCGAAAGAGAUUGUCCAUUUUGUACACUAAGUGCUUCCAGUUUUUGCCAUAACCCUCUAUACUUUUUUGCACAUGCUAUGUGGGUGAAAUGAUGAUACCAUGCCAACUUUCAACCUUUUCAGAGUUCAUUUGUAGUGCUUUUUAAUUUCAGGGUCAUUUAGCUAAAAAAAUCAUUAAAUGCAUGAAAAAUAGCAAAUGAUGUCCGAAAGUGUUGAAAGUUGAUGACGUGGCUUUGAAUGGUGCAUACUGGACGCACAAAAAGUAUGGAGUUGUAAUGAGUUUCAAAAAUGAAAUUCCUUUGUAACAGAUGAGUUUUCGUCCGAAACCCUGAUACUCCGAAAGAGAUUGUCCAUUUUGUACACGAAGUGCAUCCAGUUUUUUCCAUAACCCUCACUACUUUUUUGCACAUGCUAUGUGGGUGAAAUGAUGAUGCCAUGCCAACUUCCAACCUUUAAGAGUUCAUUUGUAGUGUUUUUCAAUUUCAGGGUCAUUUAGCUAAAAAAUCAAUAAAUGCAUGAGAAAUAGCAAAUGAUGUCAGAAAGGUAUGAAAGUUGAUGACGUGGCUUUGAAUGGUGCAUACUGAAUGCACAAAAAGUUUAGAGUUGUAAUAAAUUUAAAAAAUGAAAUGCCUUUGUAACAGAUGAGUUUUCGUCCGAAGCCCUCAUACUUCAAAAGAGAUUAUCCAUUUUGUGCACGAAGUGCAUCCAGUUUUUGCCGUAACCCUCUCUACUUUUUUGCACAUUAUAUGUGGGUGAAAUGAUGAUACGAUGCCAACUUCCAACCUUUCAGAGUUCAUUUGUAGUGCUUUUCAAUUUCAGGGUCAUUUAGCUAAAAAAAAUCAGGAAAUGCACGAAAAAUAGCAAAUGAUGUCAGAAAAGUUUGAAAGUUGAUGACAUGGCUUUGAAUUGUGCAUACUGAACGCACAAAAAGUCUAGAGUUGUAAUAAGUUUAAAAAAUGAAAUGCCUUUGUAACAGAUGAGUUUUCGUCCGAAACCCUCAUACUUCGAAAGAAAUUGUACAUUUUGUACACGAAGUGCAUCCAGUUUUUGCCGUAACCCUCUCUACUUUUUUGCACAUGCUAUGUGGGUGAAAUGAUGAUGCCAUGCCAACUUUCAACCUUUGUAGAGUUCAUUUGUAGUGCUUUUCAAUUGCAGGGUCAUUUAGCUAAAAAAUCAGUAAAUGCAUGAAAAAUAGCAAAUGAUGUCAGAAAGUGUUGAAAGUUGAUGACGUGGCUUUGAAUGGUGCAUACUGAAUGCACAAAAAGUCUGGAAUUGUAAUAAGUUUAAAAAAAUGAAAUGCCUUUGUAACAGAUGAGUUUUCGUCCGAAACCCUGAUACUCCGAAAGAGAUUGUCCAUUUUGUACACGAAGUGCAUCCAGUUUUUGCCGUAACCCUCCCCUACUUUUUUCCACAUGCUAUGUGGGUGAAAUGAUGAUACGAUGCCAACUUCCAACCUUUUCAGAGUUCAUUUGUAGUGCUUUUCAAUUUCAAGGUCAUUUAGCUAAAAAAUUAGUAAAUGCAUGAAAAAUAGCAAAUGAUAUCAGAAAGGUUUGAAAGUUGAUGACGUGUCUUUGAAUGGUGCAUACCGAAAGUACAAAAAGUCAGGAGUUGUAAUAAGUUUAAAAAAAUGAAAUGCCUUUGUAACAGAUGAGUUUUCGUCUAAAACCCUCAUACUUCGAAAGAGAUUGUCCAUUUUUUUCUACACGAAGUGCAUCCAGUUUUUGCCGUAACCCUCUCAACUUUUUUGCACAUGCGAUGUGGGUGAAAUGCUGAUACCGCCAACUUUUAACCUUUUGAGAGUUCAAUUUUAGUGCUUUUUAAUUUCAGGGUCAUUUAGCUAAAACAAUCAGUAAAUGAGCUAAAAGUAGCAAAUGAAGUCAGAAAAGGGUUGAAAAUUGCUGAUGUGCCUUGGAAUGGUGCAUAUUGAACACACAAAAAGUCUGGAGUUGAAAUAAGUUAUUAAAAAUAAAAUCCUUUUGUAAUAGAUGAGUUUCGUCCGAAACCCUGAUACUUCGAAAGAGAUUGUCCAGUUUGUAGAAGAAGUGCAUCCAAUUUUUGCCGUAACCCUCUCAACUUUUUAGCACAUGCUAUGUGGAUGAAAUGAUGAUAUCAUGCUAAGUUUCAACCAUUUCAGAGUUGAUUUGUAGUGCUUUUCAUUUUCAGGGUCAUUUAGCUAAAAAAAUUCAUUAAAUGCAUAAAAAUAGCAAAUGAAGGCAGAAAAGAGUUGAACAUUGAUGAUGUGACUUUGAAUGGUGCACAAUGAACACACAAAAAGUCCGGAGUUAAAAUAAGUUAUAAAAAUGAAGGAGAGGCGCAAUCCUCACUGGCACAUUGCUUAGCUUCAGGCCUUGACAAACUACACAUAGCUCUGUGCAAUCUACACCAUUUCCUCCAGGCAUGAAGCUAAGCAACGUGCAGGUGAGCAUUGCGCCUCUCCUUCAUCGUUCCUCGUCUCUGCACUCAGGGCUUAUAAACCGCUGAUACGUCUCCAACGUAUCUAUAAUUUUUGAUUGUUCCAUGCUAUUAUAUUAUCAAUCUUGGAUGUUCUAUAAUCAUUUUAUAGUCAUUUUUUGGUACUAACCUAUUGACAUAGUGUCAAGUGCUAGUUGUUGUUUUCUGCAUGUUUUUUACAUUGCAGGAAAUCAAUACCAAACGGCGUCCAAAUUCAAUGAAACUUUACGGGGAUUUUUUAUGCACCAGAAGACACCUAAUGGGCCAAGGCUGCGCCUAGGGGGUGCUCCGAGGAGAGCACAACCCACCAUGGCGCGCCAGGAGGCCCGGGCACGCCCUGGAGGGUUGUGCCCACCUCGGGUGCCCCUCGGGCCGCCUCUUUGCUCUAUAAAUAUCCCAAUAUUCCAGAAACCCUAGGGGAGUCGACGAAAAUCAAUUCAAGCCUCCGCAGAGUCCAGAACCACCAGAUCCAAUCUAGACACCAUCACGGAGGGGUUCACCACUUCCAUUGGUGCCUCUCCGAUGAUGCGUGAUUAGUUCUUUGUAGACCUUCGGGUCCGUAGUUAGUAGCUAGAUGGCUUCCUCUCUCUCGCCAAACUCUCAAUACAAUGGUGUCUUGGAGAUCCAUAUGAUGUGACUCUGUUUGCGGUGUGUUUGUUGGGAUCAGAUGAACUUUCAGUUUAUGAUCAGAUCUAUCUUUUUAUAUCCAUGAAAGUUAUUUGAGUUUCUUUGAACUAUUAUAUGCAUGAUUUCUUAUAGCCUCGUAUUUCUUCUCCGAUAUUUGGGUUUUGUUUGGACAAAUUGAUCUAUUUAUCUUGCAAUGGAAAGAGGUGCUUUGUAGUGGGUUCGAUCUUACGGUGCUUGAUCCCAGUGACAGAAGGGGAACCGACACGUAUGUAUCGUUGCUACUAAGGAUAAAACGAUGGGGUCUAUCUCUACAUAGAUAGAUCUUGUCUACAUCAUGUCAUCAUUCUUAUUGCAUUACUCCAUUUCCCCAUGAACUUAAUACACUAGAUGCAUGCUGUAUAGCGGUCGAUGUGUCGAGUAAUAGUAGUAGAUGCAGGUAGGAGUCGGUCUACUAAUCUUGGACGUGAUGGCUAUAUAUUGAUCAUUGCCUGGAUAUCGUCAUGAUUAUUUGGAACUCUAUCAAUUGCCCAACAGUAAUUUGUUUACCCACCGUUUGCUAUUUUGCUCGAGAGAAGCCACUAGUGAAACCUACGGCCCCCGGGUCUCUUUCUCACAUUAUUUGCCUUCGCGAUCUAUUUUAUUUGCCUUUUGUUUGCAGAUCUAUUAAACCAAAAAUACAAAAAUACCUUGCUGCGUUUUACUCUUAUUUAUUUUAUUUGGUGUUCGAUCUAUCAAUCUACUACAAUUAUCUCACGUCUGUUUGCCAAUUUCUGGCGCCGCUACCCGAAAGGGAUUGACAACCCCUUUAACACGCCAGGUUGCGAGGAUUUGUUAUCUGUGUGCAGGGGCUAUUUACAUUCUAUUGCUAGGUUCUCCUACUAGUUCGAUAACCUUGGUUUCAUAUCUGAGGGAAAUACCUACCGCUGCUAUGCUGCAUCAUCCCUUUCUCUUUGGGGAAAUACCGACGUAGCUUCAAGCCGCAUCAAAAGGAAUUUCUGGCGCCGUUGCCGGGGAGGAUCUUCAACAUAUACGAGGUUCCGAAUCACAAAUCUCAUCUCCUUGCAAUUUACAUUAUUUGCCAUUUGCCUCUCAUUUUCCUCUCCCCCACUUCACAAAAAUUUGCCAUUUUAUUCGUCCUCUUUUUCGUUCGCCUUUUUCUCGUUUGAUCUUUUGUUUGCUUGUGUUGCCAUGUGCCUUCUAUAUGCUUGCGUCUUCGCUUGCUAAAAAUAUAUUGAUAUGGAUCCUCAUCCACUUGCUAAUCUUUUUAAAAGAUCCAAUCAUGUUGAACCAGUUGCUAGUGAGUUGAGUGCACUAGAUUAUCUUUAUGAAGUUUUUCUUGAGAUUCGUGAAUCUAAAAAUUGCGAUGAAGAAAUUUAUGAAGUGAUUCAUGAUAGCUCCUUGAAUGAAAAGCAUGAUUGCAAUGAUUUUACUAUAAAUCCUAUUAAUGUCAAUUGUGCUAAUAAUAUGCAAAACCCCAAACUUUGGGAUGCUAAUUUUGCUAUGUCCACUACUUGUUGCAAUGAUCAUGAUUGGGGUGAUUCUUCUUAUGAGCUUGAAAUUUUAUUUAAACCUCAUGAUGAAUAUGAUAUUGAUAAUAAUGUUUGCAAUAAUAUUGAAAGUGGGUAUGGAAGAGCGUCAACUUUAGGUAAAAAUAAUCCCACAUAUUUGGAGAGUGUUCAAUCUUAUGAUUUUUUUUAUGAAAGUGGGUUCGGAGGGGUCAUGACUUUAGUUGAUGUUAAUCCCACUAUCUUGGAAGAUUAUAAGACUUGUAUGCAUGUGGAUCAUGAAAAGAAAGUUUUAUAUGAUUGCUAUAUUGUUGAAUUUGAGUAUUAUCCUACAUGUAAUUAUUAUGAGAAAGGAAAAUAUGGUUGUAGAAAUUUUUAUGUUACUAAAUUACCUCUCGUUAUGUUGAGAUCGUCAAUGUUUUAUUCCUCUUCUUUGCAUAUGUUAGAUGUUUCUUGUCUUGAUAUUUUGUUUUCUUAUAAAAUUCCUAUGCAUAGGAAGUAUGUUAGACUUAAAUGUGGUUGUCAUAUGUUUCAUGAUGCUCUCUUUGUGUUUCAAUUAUUAUCUCUCAUGUGAGCAUCAUUGAAAUUUUAUGCCUAGCUAGGGGCAUGAAACUAUAGCGCUUGUUGGGAGGCAACCCAAUGAAUAAAAUUUGUUUUUACCUUUUGCUUUCUGUUCUUGAAUGUUUGCACAAUUAUGCUAAUGUUAUGAUUGUGUGUUUUGUGUUUUAAUUAGUGUUUGUACCAAGUAGAACCUAUAGGAUCUUCUUGGGUGAUAGUUGUUUGAUCUUGCUGAAAAAACAGAAACUUUUGCGCUCAUGAAAACAAUUCUUAUUUUUUACCAGAGCGUGAUAAAAUGCCAAUUAUUUUUGCAGAAGAUUAAUAUACAAAUUUCUUAGGUCUUCCUAUUGUUUUAGAAUUUUUGGAGUUUCAGAAGUAUUCGAACAAUUCAGAUUGCAACACAUUGUUCUGUUUUUGACAGAUUUUGUUUUCUUUGCGUUGUGUGCUUGUUUUGAUGGCUCCAUGGUUUUCUUUGUUGAGUUUUUGCCAUAGAAAAGUUGGAAUAUAUUAGAUAUAAUGCAAGAAUAAAAUAUGAAUAGGUUGCAACAGUACUUAUAGUAGUGAUUUAUUUUCUUAUACUAAUGGAUCUCACGAAGGUUUUGUUGAGUUUUGUGUGAUUGAAGUCUUCAAGUUUUGGGUUAUCUUACGAUGGAUGAAGGAAUAAGGAGUAAGCAAAGCCUAAGCUUGGAGAUGCCCCGGCAACCCAAGCUAUUAUCCAAAAGAUAGCAAGCAAGUAAGCUUGGGGAUGCCCCGAGUGGCAUCCCCUCUUUCUUCUAACGACCAUCGAUAUUUUACUCGAAGCUAUAUUUUUAUUCGUCACAUACUAUGUGUUUUGCUUGGAGCGUCUUGUAUGAUAUGAGUCUUUGCUUGUUUUAUUUUGUGUUUUAAGUCUUGAUUCCUUGCGGGACACACCUAUUUGAGAGAGCCAAAAUUAUGCAUGACUUAUUAGAAUUGCUCUCUAUGCUUCACUUAAAUUUUUUAUGAGCCAUGGACUUGCUCUAGUGCUUCACUUAUAUCUUUUUGAGCACGGUGUGCUUAGUUAUUUUUUAAGAAAUGCUCUCUUGCUUCACUUAGAUUUGUUUUAGAGGUAGUAAAUUUUUCAGGAAAUUCUCUCUUUCUUCACUUAAAUUAAUUUGAAAGAAAGAAAUAUUAUGCUCAUGAUCUUCACUUAUAUUUGUUUGAGCUUAUCAAAAGCAACAUAUGAAAAUUAGUUCCAAAGUGAUAGAUAUCCAAGAAGGAUAUAAUAAAAACUUUCAUGAAGAUCAUUGGACAAAAUAAACUUGAUUCUUAGUAAUAGUUUUAAGAUAUGAUGAUGUGAUAUGUGAGUCAUGUUGAUGAGUAAUUAUGCUUUACUAAGAAUAUUGGUGUUAAGGUUUGUGACUCCCUAUGCAAGCACGAAAGUCAAUAAUUAUGCAAUGAAAUUAUAUCCUACUUGUGGUGCAUUAUUCGGUGUUAAUUAUGCUUAAUGCUCGCUUAUGAGAUUAUUCGUUUCUUGGUUGGUUGCUUCUCAAUCUUUUGCUAGCCUUCAUUUUGCACUAAGUAUGAUCUCUACUUGUGCAUCCAAAAACCUUUAAACCAGUUUUGCCACAUGACUCCACUAUAUCUACCUAUAUGCGGUAUUCUUUUGCCGUUCUAAGCAAAUUUGUAUGUGCCAUCUCUAAUUUUGAAAAUAAACUUCUCUUUUGUGUGUUCGUACCGCUCGCAGAGCUGUGAGGGGUGGCUAAUAUUUUCCAUGCUAGAUGUGUUAUUCUCACGAUGAGUGUUUAUUCACUUGUCAUUGCACGAGAGUAAGGCAAAGGUAUUAGGGAUGCCCAGUCCCGAAAUGAAAAAUGAAUUUACUUUAUGUUGUCAAAUAAUAAAUUCCUUGGAAAGUGUUGGUACGGAGGGAAACCGUGGAUACGGCUAGCCAAGGAAAGUGAAAGUAUGGUUGAAAAAAGAAUAAACUUUAUUUUCUGUUUGGGAACCGCCUAUGAUAUAUCUAGCAUGGAAAGUGUUGGGAACUCUAAGUCGUUUUCGUUGGUGGGAAGGACACACCUCCUGAAAUGUUCUUAUCUCUAAGUUUUUUCGCUUUGAGCUUUGGCACGUCUACAAAUCCCUACUUCCCUCUGUGAAGGGCCUUUGUUUUACUUUAUGCAAUUUUUAUUAUUGAAUUUGAAUCUCCUUAUAAAAGCACCAACUCGGAGGCACUAUGAUCUUACUUGAGCAUUGGGUGUAGCUAAUAUGCAAGUGUGUUUCAUGAAUGGAUCAAUGAUUGAGCAUGAUGGGCUAGGGAUAACUUAUUUUAGCGUUGAUAUUUUGAAAGACAUGGUUGCUUGUUGGUAUGCUUGAGUAUUUAAGUUAUCAUAUCAAAACUAGACUAUUGCUUUGAACAAUAUAAAAGUCCAAAUGUCCAUGCUAUAAAGAAAACAAUAUGAUAUGACAUGUUACGCAGUAUUCCACAUCAAAAAUUCCGUUUUUAUCACUUACCUACUCGAGGACGAGUAGGAGUUAAGCUUGGGGAUGCUGAUACGUCUCCAACGUAUCUAUAAUUUUUUAUUGUUCCAUGCUGUUAUAUUAUCAAUCUUUGAUGUUUUAUAGUCAUUUUAAAUAAUUUUUUGGUACUAACCUAUUGACAUAGUGCCAAGUGCCAGUUGUUGUUUUCUGUAUUUUUUUACAUCGUAGGAAAUCAAUAUCAGACGGAGUCCAAAUGCAAUGAAACUUUACGGAGAUUUUUUUAUUGACCAGAAGACACCUAAUGGGCCAAGGUUGCGCCUGGGGGCGCUCCGAGGAGAGCACAACCCACCAGGGCGCGCCAGGAGGCCCAGGCGCGCCCUAGUGGCUUGUGCCCACCUCGGGUGCCACCCGGACCACCUCUUUGCUCUAUAAAUACCCCAAUAUUCCAGAAACCCUAGGGGAGUCGACGAAAAUCAAUUCCAGCCGCCGCAGAGUCCAGAACCACCAGAUCCAAUCUAGACACUAUCACGGAGGGGUUCACCACUUUCAUUGGUGCCUCUCCGAUAAUGCGUGAGUAGUCCUUUGUAGACCUUCGGGUCCGUAGUUAGUAGCUAGAUGGCUUCCUCCCUCUCGCUAAAUUCUCAAUACAAUGGUCUCUUGGAGAUCCAUAUGAUGUAACUCUUUUUGCGGUGUGUUUGUUGGGAUCAGAUGAACUUUAGUUUAUGAUCAGAUCUAUCUUUUUAUAUCCAUGAAAGUUACUUGAGUUUUUUUGAUCUCUUGUAUGCAUGAUUUGUUAUAGCCUCGUAUUUCUUCUCCGAUAUUUGGGUUUUGUUUGGCCAACUUGAUCUAUUUAUCUUGCAUUGGGAAGAGGUGCUUUGUAGUGGGUUCGAUCUUAUGGUGCUUGAUCCCAGUGAUAGAAGGGGAACCGACACGUAUGUAUCGUUGCUACUAAGGAUAAAAUGAUGGGGUCUAUCUCUACAUAGAUAGAUCUUGUCUACAUCAUGUCAUCGUUCUUAUUGCAUUACUCCCUUUCCCCAUGAACUUAAUACACUAGAUGCAUGCUGGAUAGCGGUCGAUGUGUGGAGUAAUAGUAGUACAUGCAGGCAGGAGUCGGUCUACUAAUCUUGGAUGUGAUGCCUAUAUAUUGAUCAUUGCCUGGAUAUCGUCAUGUUUAUUUGUAGUUCUAUCAAUUGCCCAACAGUAAUUUGCUUACCCAUCAUUUGCUAUUUUUCUCGAGAAAAGCCACUAGUGAAACCUAUGACCCCCGGGUCUCUUUCUCAUUUUAUUUGCCUUCGCAAUCUAUUUUAUUUGCCUUUCAUUUUCAGAUCUAUUAAACCAAAAAUACAAAAAUACCUUCUUGCGCUUUAUUCUUUUUUUUUUAUUUGGCGUUCGAUCUAUCAAUGUACUACAAUUAUCUCACGUAUGUUUGCCAAUUUCUGGCGCCGUUACCCGAAAGGGAUUGACAACCCCUUUAACAUGUCGGGUUGCGAGGAUUUGUUAUCUGUGUGCAGGGGUUGUUUACGUUGUGUUGCUAGGUUCUCCUACUAGUUCUAUAACCUUGGUUUCAUAUCUGAGGGAAAUACCUACCUCUGCUCUGCCGCAUCAUCCCUUCCUCUUUGGGGAAAUACUGACGUAGCUUCAAGCCGCAUCAACCGCUGCGAGUCCCUCUUGCUAGGCGAGGUGGGACUAAAUUUUAGCCAUUGCCAGGACAAGGCCUUUAGUCUCGGUUGAUGGCUCAAUUAAAAUAUUUUGUUAUGAUCCACUUAUAGAAAGUUAUAAUAUUCUUCAAUAGCAAAAAGAAUCAACUAAAAAUCUCUAGUACCGGUUCGUGGCAUGAACCGGUACUAAAGGUGCUGGUGGGGGGCCCAGCCUGACAACAGCCUGCCACCACCUCUUUAGUACCGGUUCGUGGAACGAACUGGUACUAAAGGUUCGCCACGAACUAGUACUAAUGAGCACCGCCCGCCUAGCUGUUGGAACCGACACUAAUGGUCACAUUAGUGCUGGUUCAGUUACAAACCGGGACUAAUGUGCUUCACAUUAGGCCCUUUUUCUACUAGUGUUGCUUCUCCGCCUCCAUCUCAAGCAUCCUCAUUUGCUUCUCUGCCUCCAUCUCAAGCCUCCUCCUUUAGAUCUUCAUGAAGGCGUUCAUUUGUUCUUCCUUGUCUUGUCGGCGCUUCUCCUCCCUUGAGUCCUUCUUAGUCAUCAUGCCCUCCAUGGUAGCGAUCAAGGCAUUGGACGCCGCAUCCCUCUUGUCCUACUUCUUGGAGUUGGUCUUCCCCCACGGCCGUGGCUUCUCGCCCUCCCCAACCUCCUCCACGACUUUCUCUCCCCCACGCAACAUGAGGGCGGCAUAUUGCACCUUGAACUUCUCCUCGUCUUUGAUGACCCUCCAACAAUGAGAGAGGUUGAAGGACUUACCAUCAUGUUGGACCUUGAAUGCCUCCAAAGCUUGGAAUGCCUACAAAUGAAAUGCAUGCAAGCAUAUUGGCAAAUGGAUAUGAAUAUGGACUUGCAAGAAUAAACGGAAGAGGGGCGCAUGCAUGCAUACCAUAUCUUGCAUGCCGAUGCCGCUCACCGGGCGUGACUUGAUGCUCUCAAAGGUGGCACAAAACUUGUCAUGCUCUUGUUGGAUCACCUUCCAUCGGUUCGAAAUGGACACCCACCCGCGCAUGCUUUAUAUCUGGUACGGCAGAAACUUCUUGCGUUCGUGGAACUCACGAUGGACACGAGUCCAAAAGGUUGAUUCCUUUUGUUCGGCACCGACCAUGGGGUCUUGCCCAAUGUCCCUCCAAAACUCACAAAGGAGCUUGUCCUCGACCGUGGUGUAUGCCUUCGUCCGCCUGCUCUUGUGCUUUGGCUUCAGCCCGGCGGCUUGGCUGGCGAGCCCGUCCUCUUCCUCAAGGCCGUAGUCCUCCGGAAACUCGUGGUCGAACAGGAAGUCGUCUAGGUCCAGGCCGAAGUGAUCUUGCAUGAAGGCGUCCUGCAUGCUAUCUUGAUCAUAGGUCGACGGCGUGAACGGCCCUCAGCCGUCCUGGCUUUGUGUCUCCUCUGAAUCGUAGGCAGCCGCGGCGGCACCACAGGCGGCCGACGUACCACCCUCGAAGAUGAUGCUCACCAUGAAACGGUCGGCCGUCUUGUCUUCGCCGGAUGACGAGGCACCGACUACCGGUGUGGCGUUGAGAUCGAUGGGCGCGGGCGCGGGCAUGGAAUGCGCCACCACGCUCACCUCCAGCGAGCAUUCCCUGAAGAAUUGGGAGGCUUGCAAGUAGACGUGGAAGCCGGGAAUCGAGUAAGACGCCGACGCGCGAGGCGACUCUGGGAGCACCAUCCGAGGAAACGCGGACGAGUCGGAGCUGGCCACGGCCACAGCGGCGUUGACGAGCCCGUGCUGGCCAGGGUUUAGCCCUAGGUAGAUUAGCGCCUCCCUCAUUGCCGCGGCGACGUGGGCGGCGGUGUCCUCCUGCUGCGCGGCGGCGGCCAUGGCGAUGGCAGCGGACGCUGCUUCGUCCCACGCGUCCGCCGCGUGCCUUCGGCCCUUUCGCUUCGGUGACUCCGCGGCCCGCUCCUCGGACGUCAGCUGCUUCUUCUUCUUGGGCACGGUGGCAGUCUUGCGGGAGGCGCGCGGCUUGCCUUUGCCGAAGGGGGCGGCUGUGAUGCUGGACGAGGCAAGGGCGACGAGGCCGCCGACAGUAUCGAGGUCCUCAUCCAUGGCGUGCGGCCGGGAGCGAGCACGGGCGGAAGGUUUUUGAGAAAGUGGACGAAAAUGUUGGAGGCUUUGCCACCAAUUGGCAGGUCAGGGGUAGUUGGCACGCAACGCGCUUCUCCGUCUCGUGUCGCGCGCCAACGCAAAUGAGGCUCAAAAUUGGGCUGAGAAUGGGUCGGCAGGCGAACGAAAAGCGGACACGCGUCCAUUUGGGUCGGCACAUUGUGCCGACUUUUCUGUCCGCACCGACCCAAAUGAACGCGCGCGAACGAAAUGGGUCGUCACGUUGGAGUUGCUCUUACGUGGCACUGUAACAAGAAAUGAGGACCAGUGGAAACCAGCAUAUGCACCUAGAAGAAUCGUAUGGAUCUGCAUAUGUAAUUGAUCUAUAUCAUACGGACCCAUAAAUGAUAGGAAGGUCCUAGCUACCAGGUACCAGCUAUCCUGGUUACUCCAUUUGCUGCCCCUCCAACCUGGGUUCCGGUCAUGUCCUCGGGGUCUGUCGGUGGUUCCGUGUUCUUGUUCUGGACGGACGCUUGUAAGAUCAGGUUUUCGAUCGGGAGCCUUCUGUUGACAUUAUAAAAGUGCGUGUAUUCAAAGGAGAUGUAUGCAUUUCUCCGUGACAAAGCAAAUUAAGUUCUGCUGCUAGCUAUUUUCAAAAAAGAGUCUUGCCCCACCACUUGCGUCGUUUGCAAAGCCCUUAAAUAUACUGAUAUGUUAUACACACACACAUAUACACAUGAGAUUUAAUUUUAAAGAGCACACGGACAUGUUCGUUCUCGUGUUAAUGAAAUCCUAGAAAAUCUCAUUAAUUAACCAUGGGAUCUAUAAUUCCGAGAUCUUUAGCUGUUGGAUGUAUGUAAUGCCUUAAGAUGCAUUAAAACAAAUAUACGUGAGAUUUAAUUUUAAAGGCCUUAAGGUGCAUAAAAAAUACGCAUGAGAUUUAAUUUUAAAUAGCACAAGGACAUGUUCAUUGUCGUGUUAAUGAAAUCCUAGAAAAUCUCAUUAAUUAACCUUCGGAUCUGUAACUCCGAGAUCUUUAGCCAUUGGAUUUACAUAAUGCCUCAACCUGCAUCAAAAAAAAUAUACGCAUGAGAUUUAAUUUUAAAGGCCUUAACCUGCAUAAAAAAAUAUACGCAUGAGAUUUAAUUUUAAAGAGCAGACAGACAUCUUCAUUGUCGUCCGCUGGCUGUAUGAAUUAGAAUAACAUAUAUUUACUUAGUUGGAUUAGAGAGAAGAGAAAAGAGAAGAGAAGUGGGCUCUGGAUUAAAGCAAGUACAAUAAAAUGACGUAGGCGGGCUAUAAAAGAUGUCAUCUUAAAUUUGUGCUUUUUUAGUUAACCUUAAAUUUGUGCUUAGUUGAAGGAGAGAGAAGCGGGCUACAAGUGUGACAAAAGCCUUUUUCAGUAGGCAGGCUACAAACUUACAAUCGACUGUAGCACGAGCUCAAACAACCUUUGUAAGAAGAUAUGGGCCAUAUAUUAAUUCACAGUGUGACUUAAUGUUGACAUGAAUUGAUACAGGUGGACAUAGUUAGAGCAACUCUAGCAGACCCCGCAUCCCGCCCCGACUGUUAAAAUAACCGCCAAAAUGCGGGUCGGGCAGGAAAACCAGCCCGAUCAGACCCCGCAUCCCGCCCCCGCCCGCAAAAAAAUUUAGGGGGCGCGGCAAAAUCCCAACCCCAACCCGGGAAAACGCGGGUUUCCCUCUCGCGGCUGCGGUGCCCUGCAUAUAGGAGGAAGCGGCUGGUGAGGGGACAUUUCAUGCCGCGCUUUCUCCCACCAACCACCUCUCCUCUCCCCCCUCGCGCCGCUGCCGGCCGCCGCCCAAGAUUCUGGCGAAAGCAGCCGGCAGGAGCACGCCGGAAGGCCGCCACGCACACGAGGCCUCCCCUUCCUCCCCCUGCGUCGGCGGGCCACCGGAUUUGCAGAUUUGCAGCACUUCAUCGCGGGUCGCCGGAUUUGGCUUUUUCCGGCCGCCGGUUGCUGUCCCAAGCUAUGGAGUGGUCGGGGAGCCUCUCCCACAGCCCAGGCAAGGGCGCAUUGCCGCAUGCAGGUACGGGUUCGUCCGCCCGCCGCCGCCGAAGGUUUGCGGGCUUGGACUCAUCCGGCCGUCCACCGGGCUCGGCGCUCACGCAGCGUCUUUGUGGCAUGCCGAUGCCGCUCAUAGAGUGUGACGACUGCACGCGGAAAGUGCUGCGGCUCACUUCGGGCACGCCGAAGCACCCUGGGUGGGUGUUCUUCAAAUGCGAAAAUGACGGGGUACGUGCACUUGCGGUAGCUCGUUUCAUAGUUCAUUCUUUAGUUCAACUGCGGUAGCUCACUUCGAGCUUGCUCACUCUUUUGUGUAGGACGAUGGAUGCUCAUUUUGGUUUUGGGAAGGCCAAUACAUUUAUUUGUUGAUAGAAAGAAACUUAAUAGAUGUUAGUGCACUCCUUAGUACAAUCGAAGGCAAUGAUGCGGCUGCAUGUGCAAAUAGAGGGGAAGCAACGUCUACUUCUUUCGAACCAAAGAUGAAGAAAGAAGAAUGCAAAAUCAAGAAUCCACAGAUCAACAACGAAUGCAUGGAGAAGAUAUUAGUCCAACUAGUGGGGGCAGUUAUGGAAGUUGGAAAUCUUCUAAAAUGCAUACUUGUGGUUCUUAUUUUCUUUGGUCUUGCUAUUCUAGCAAAGAUUUGGUGAUGUCUUUUGUAUCCAAUGUUGUUGAUAAAGCAAAGCAAUGCAAUAUGCUAGAUCAAAUUAAGGUGCAAAUUUAAGUUUUGCGGGCCGGGAGAAGUUGCACCAGAUCAGACGCGGCAACCCAACCCGUAAAAAAGCAUAUUCCAGGAAUAUCGUUUUUACGGAUCCAUUAUGCGGGGUCUGCAACUGCGGCCGUCCGCGCCGGCCCGCAAAGCCGUUUUCCCGCGAACUGCAAAAACGUUUAGCGGGUCGGGAGGAUGUGGGGUCUGCUAGAGUUGCUCUUACUCUGCGUCUGUAAAUAAAGGUCAUCAUUUUUAUUGCUCUAGGGACCCAUAAAUGAUAGGGACUGUCCGCUACCAGCUACCAGCUAGUAGCUACCCUGGUGACUACAUUUGCUGCCCCUCAAACAUGGGUUCCCGACAUGUUCUCAGGGUCUGUCGGUGGUUCCAUGUUCUGGCCUUUGGGGUUGGUUUAACUAGUGGUAUGGGGGUUCUUGCAUCGCCCUGUACUCUCGAUCGGGACCCUUUAAUUCUAGGUGACAUACAGUGCGUGUAUUUAAAGCCGAGGCAUGGAUCCUCCGUGCCAAAGAAAAUUAAUUCAGCGGCUACUCGGGGAGAGUUGUGGCAGCAUAUCCGGGAUGCCAGCUUUUUAUUUUGGGUUUUGAUUGUCAAAGUUUUAGAUCUUAAAAAAAACUAAAAUUAAGUGCUGUUUUCAUAUUCGUGUUUCUCGUGACCAGCGCCUUGAAAUAAUAUCCAUUUUGAAUAUAUUUUGACGACUUUGAAAAAUGUUAAGUUUCAAAUGUUGAAACUUAGUAUGAGCAACCAAUAAAAAUCAAUUAUUUUGUACCUACGCCUGACAGAAAAAUGCUUACAGUUAUAUCCCUGAAACUUGCUGAAACUUUGCAUUUUUCAUCAUUGAAACUUAAAACUGUUUAAGGGAUUUUCUUUUUUACUGUGCCCUCAUGUGGGAUUCAACUACUCUUUUCUCUCCGUGAGAUCCACAUAAAAAAAGCACAAAUUUAAGAUGAGUGCCCUGCACUUACAUGCCCCUGCGAAUUUCCGCAGCUACUAGCUAUUUUUGGAAGAAAAAAAUCUUGCCCCGCCACUCCCAUCAUUAGCAGAGCCCUUAAAUAUACUCACAUGUACCAAAUUACGAGUCAGAAUCAAACAUGCGUUGGCAUCAUUACCUACGAACUCUACUAAACAAUGUUCCAACUAUCCUGCGAGUCAAAUCUAAUAACUCUUGUCUUGCACGUUGCAUUGUCCAUUGGCAGAUCUUUUUAAGAAUUUUACGUCAGAUCUAAUUUUAUUUGAACGAAUGAAAGAUAAGCAAGUAGUAGUAAAAUCGACCCAAUUUGCACAGCCGAAAUGUGGACCAGACAAUUUACUCUUUGUUACGGGACUAAGAAAUUCGGACCGGCUAAUNNNNNNNNNNNNNNNNNNNNNNNNNNNNNNNNNNNNNNNNNNNNNNNNNNNNNNNNNNNNNNNNNNNNNNNNNNNNNNNNNNNNNNNNNNNNNNNNNNNNNNNNNNNNNNNNNNNNNNNNNNNNNNNNNNNNNNNNNNNNNNNNNNNNNNNNNNNNNNNNNNNNNNNNNNNNNNNNNNNNNNNNNNNNNNNNNNNNNNNNNNNNNNNNNNNNNNNNNNNNNNNNNNNNNNNNNNNNNNNNNNNNNNNNNNNNNNNNNNNNNNNNNNNNNNNNNNNNNNNNNNNNNNNNNNNNAUGUCUCCCAUUUCUCAAUCCCAUCCCGACGGUGUGUCUACCAUGUUUAGAGGGCGCAUGGGGGAGUUACUCCAUUGGUUCUCGCGGGAUUUGAUCGAUGAUGGUUUUCCGUGGAUUUCCUUGAAUCCAGUUUUUGUUCAUCCUCAUCCGUGCGUUUAAAUAUCCCAACAAGGCGAAGAUUUGGUUGUGCACAGGCAACUGAGGAGGUGACCUACUUCUUUACUGUCUCCUAUGUCCCUUGUUACCCACUGAUCCUAGAUCCACAGCUCGAGACCCCCUACCCUGAGGUCUACCAGUUUUACCACUGACAACCGGCCACAAGGGAGAAAUCCCUUUGAAUUUAGAGAUAAGAUCUUAUCUCUAGAUUUAACCCUUUAAAUUUAGAGAUAUGACCUUAUCUCUAGAUUUUAAAGACAUGGAACUUAGGGACGAUGCGGCCAGCCCAUGUGGGUUGUUGCCCCACCCCUCGGUCUAUGUGGGGACUUUUCGGGUCGUUGGGCCCCAUGGUGGAACCCCGGAACAUUUCCGGUACUCUACCAAAUAUUCCCAAACUUUUCUGGAACCCAUAAAACCACUUUCCUUACAUAACUCUUUACCUCCAGAGCUCCUCGUGAUGUCCCGGAUUCUAUCCAGGACUCUGAACUACCUUCAGACUUACCACUAUGAAUGUCCCAAAACUAUCCAAUAGUGGUAAGUCUGAACGUUAAGUGUGUGACCCUGCGGGUUCGAGAACAUGCAUAAAUGACCGAGACACCUCUCCAAUCAAUAAUCAAUGAACAUCUUUAUCGGUUUGAACCACGAUGUCAAUGAUUCAGUUAAUCCCGUAUACAAUUCCCUUUGUCCAAUGAUUUGUUAUUUGCCCGAGAUUCGAUCGUCAGUAUCGCCAUACCUAGUUCAAUCUCAUUACCGGCAAGCCCCUUUACUCAGUCCUUAAUACAAGAUCCACGUGACUAAACACAUUGGUCACAUGCUUCCAAUCUAUUCACGAUGUUGUAUUACCGAGAGGACCUAGAGAUAUCUCUCUGUCAUAUGGAGUGACAAAUCCUACACUCGAUCUAUGUAACCCAACAAACACUUUCUGAGAUACCUAUAGAGCACCUUUCUGAUCACCCAGUUACGAAGUGACGUUUGUUUACCCAUAAUGUAUUCUUCCAGUAUUAGGGAGUGGCACGAUCUCAUGGUCUAAGGAACAGAUUCUUGACAUGAAGAAAGUUGUAGAAAAUAAACUAAGUGAUACGAUCUGAUGCUAAGCUUAUGGUUGGGUCUGUCCAUCACAUCAUAAUCCUAAUGAUGUGAUCCCAUUAUUAAAUGAUAACUCGUGUCUAUGGUUAGGAAACCUUAACCAUCUUUAAUUAAUGAGCUAGCCUAGUAGAGGCUCACUAGGGACACGUUGUCUAUUUAUGUAUCCACACAUGUAUUUAAGUCUCUGGUCAAUACAAUUCUAGCAUGCAUAAUAAAUAUUUAUCAUGAACACGGAAAUACGACAAUAACAUCUUUCUUAUUGCCUCUAGGACAUAUUUCCUACAGAUUAGUAGGAUAAAAGAUCAAGGUGGCCUUGGCAUUCAUGGCAUGAAGGUCAAGAAGGAUGCCUUACAUAGGAAAUGGUUAUUCAAAAUACUUACUAGGGGUGGCGUUUGGCAAACCUGUUGCGAAAGAAGUAUCUAAUACUAUGCCAAAAACUUAUCUCUCACACAUAUUGGAAAGCUGGUGACUCACACUUUUCGGGUGGUGUCGUGGAAUUCUCACGGCAGAUGUCCUAGUGUGAGGACUUAGUCGUGAGGCCAACGCAUCUAUGUGGUAGCUUGAGAGGGGUUGAUUGGGACGAGAGACGCAACACACAAGACAAGAAUUUAGACAGCUUCGGGCCCCAGGAAACAUCAUCCAAUAAUAGCCCUACAUGCUGUUUGUGGCUAGGUCUCAUUAUGAUCAUGAGAGAGUCAUCGGUAAGCCGGCUCUUUGUGUCUAGCCCUAGAGAUUGUUUCUUGUUUCUUGUCCCUCUUGGGGUGCCCUGCCCCUCCUUAUAUAAGUUAGAGGGGCGGGUUACAUAUGGAGUCCUAGUAGGAUUAGGACUAGUCUAUCUUUCUUUACAAGUUGAAUACAAGUCCGGGUCUUGCUUCCUUGUGAAGGAAAUAAUCCUCACGCCUUUCAUCUUAAACCGGCCCACCAAAGUAUAAGCCAGCCUGCUGGGCCUUGGGCCUUGUCGUCCGUCUGAUCAGCCCGCCGGGUCUCCAGUGAAUUACAAUGUCCAGGCGGGUUACCCUGUGAACCGCCAUGUUCGGGCGGAUCGCCAGUGAGUCGCCAAGCUCCAGCCAGGUCUCUGGUGAGUCGCCAAGUCCGGCCGGGUCAUACCGCGGGGUAUAUCCCCGACAUUAGCCCCCAGUUUAAUUUGGAUUUAUCCAUGUUAAACUGAUCCUGCAACAUAAACACAAGAACAAAUUUGACAGGUUGUGCUCCGGGUUAAAUAUUCUUGUAAGCCGGCACCUGAUCAUCCUUAAGUCCUUGACAUUUUCUCCUGAAAUAUCCGGGUCAAUAUUGGUCUUGAAAUAUCCAGCUUCAUAAUCCAUUUGCUGACAUUGGCUCUUGUAAAGAAAUAUUAUAAGAAAUAAUCCAUUUGAUUCGGCCUUCAAUGCUCUGAUUUGACAAAAAUAUUGCUCUUGAAAUAUCCAACUGAUAUUCAGCCGGCUUAAAGAUGUAGAUUCUUGCCGACGAUUGCCACAAUUGUCGGGUUAGAAAUAAAUGAUGCCGGGUCAUGAUUGUUGCAGACACCGGGUUAAUCUGGUCUACUCCAAACUGAGAAUUUGAAGAUUUUUUUCUCCCUUAUAUGCAUAUUACCUGUAGCCCCUAAGUCUUAAGGGGAGAACAUAGUGAUAACUUAAGACUUGCUUCAAUAUAAGUGUUGCAACCUUGAAGAAAUCCGGUUUAUUCAUCUCAAUCAUUAGUCAUAAGCUGAAUAUUCCACAUUCCACAUAUGUAGCCCCCAAGUGCCGAGUUGUCAUGCUUGCAGCAACCUGGGACUUGUAAUUGCCUUAUGCUCAUAAAAACUUCAACUAGUGUAGCCCCCAAGGGCCGGGUCAUUAUGCAAUAAUGAGCAGGGACUUUGUAAAUAUGAUCAUGUAAACUUGACCAGCAACGUGUAGCCCCCAAGGGCCGGGUCAGUAAGAUAUUACCGAGCUGGGACUUUGUAUAUGAUUCAUCGAUAAUAACAGCAUAUGAUGUGAUCUCCACCAUGGGGUUUGAACCCACGUCCAUAAGGUUAAGAGCUUUGUACUCUACCAACUGAGUAGUGGAUCUUUCAAUAUAAUGGAUUAAGGCUUGUGUACCUUGAAUUUUCGACAAGAGCAAUUGGUAGCCCCCAAGGGCCGGCUCAUUUAGAAUGUGAUGAGUCGGGUCUUCAAUAAGUUGAACAAAAAAUGACUUUGCAUUAGCCCCCAAGUGCAAUGGUACAUGCUGGCAGUAACAUGGGACUUGCAUAUUCGAUGUAAUAUCAAUUUGAAUAAUGUAGUCCCCAAGUGCCAGGUCGUAAGCCUGCAGCGACUCGGGACUAUUCCUUACAUUAUAGAAUAAAUCAUAUCCAUCGAUAAAAUAAUAGCCAUUGCGCCAAAGCGACUUUGAAUACCUCAUCUGUUGAUAAGUAAAUCCGGAGUUUAAAUACCCGGCGGCUCUUGGCCGAUGGCGAUUUAAUACGCCUCCAUUGUAAGCCGGAAUUUUUAUAAUCCGGCGGCUUAUAGCCUUUCAGAACAUCAAGAAUUGAUAACCCUUCUGAGACUCCAAUUUCAAUCUAUGAUGAUGGGCUUGAACUUAAUCAUUUAUGUAAGUCAUAGCUCUGCAAAUCCUGCAUAGAGUUUAAACAACAUAUGCCCUGGCGACUUAACGUCAAGCCAGGGCGGGUAACCACCCAAAUGUAGUAUCCUGCACACAAGUAGAUCACAAGAUCCCUUGGCGGUUUACCGCAGGGCGGGUCAUAAUAUCUCACUGUUGGAAAUAUGCCCUAGAGGCAAUAAUAAAAUGGUUAUUAUUGUAUUUCCUUGUUCAUGAUAAUUGUCUGGUGUUCAUGCUAUAAUUGUAUUAACUGGAAACCGUAAUACAUGUGUGAAUACAUAGACCACAACAUGUCCCUAGUAAGCCUCUAGUUGACUAGCUCGUUGAUCAAUAGAUGGUUAUGGUUUCCUGACCAUGGACAUUGGAUGUCAUUGAUAACGGGAUCACAUCAUUAGGAGAAUGAUGUGAUGGACAAGACCCAAUCCUAAGCAUAGCACAAGAUCGUGUAGUUCGUUUGCUAGAGCUUUUCUAAUGUCAAGUAUCAUUUCCUUAGACCAUGAGAUUGUGCAACUCCCGGAUACCGUAGGAAUGCUUUGGGUGUACCAAACGUCACAACGUAACUCGGUGGCUGUAAAGGUGCACUACAGGUAUCUCCGAAAGUGUCUGUUGGGUUGGCACGAAUCGAGACUGGGAUUUGUCACUCCGUAUGACGGAGAGGUAUCUCUGGGCCCACUCGGUAAUGCAUCAUCAUAAUGAGCUCAAUGUGACUAAGGAGUUAGCCACGGGAUCAUGCGUUACAGUACGAGUAAAGUGACUUGCCGAUAACGAGAUUGAACAAGGUAUUGGGAUACCGACGAUCGAAUCUCGGGCAAGUAACGUACCGAUUGACAAAGGGAAUUGUAUAUGGGAUUGAUUGAAUCCUCGACAUCGUGGUUCAUCCGAUGAGAUCAUCGUGGAACAUGUGGGAGCCAACAUGGGUAUCCAGAUCCCGCUGUUGGUUAUUGACCGGAGAGUCGUCUCGGUCAUGUCUGCAUGUCUCCCGAACCCGUAGGGUCUACACACUUAAGGUUCGGUGACGCUAGGGUUGUAGAGAUAUUAGUAUGCGGAAAUCCGAAAGUCGUUCGGAGUCCCGGAUGAGAUCCCGGACGUCACGAGGAGUUCCGGAAUGGUCCGGAGGUAAAGAUUUAUAUAUGGGAAGUCCUAUUUUGGCCACCGGAAAAUGUUCGGGAAUUUUCGGUAUUGUACCGGGAAGGUUCUAGAAGGUUCCGAAGUGGGGCCCACCUGCAUGGGGGACCCACAUGAACGUGGGUAGUGGGGGCAAGGCCCCACACCCCUGGUCAAGGCGCACCAAGAUCCCACCUUAGAAGGAAUAAGAUCAUAUCCCGAAGGGAUAAGAUCAAGAUCCCUAAAAAAGGGGAUAACAAUCGGUGGGGAAGGGAAAUGAUGGGAUUUCUUUCCCCCACCUUUGCCAACGCCCCAAUGGACUUGGAGGGCAAGAAACCAGCCCCCUCCACCCCUAUAUAUAGUGGGGAGGCGCAUGGGAGCAGCAACCCAAGCCCUGGCGCCUCCCUCCCUCCCGUGACACCUCUUCCUCCCCGCUUGCGCUUGGCGAAGCCCUGCCGGGAUCCCGCUACUUCCACCACCACGCCGUCGUGCUGCUGGAUCUCCAUCAACUUCUCCUCCCCCCUUGCUGGAUCAAGAAGGAGGAGACGUCCCCGCUCCGUACAUGUGUUGAACGCGGAGGUGCCGUCCGUUCGGCGCUAGGUUCAUCGGUGAUUUGGAUCACGACGAGUAUGACUCCAUCAACCCCGUUCUCUUGAACGCUUCCGCUCGCGAUCUACAAGGGUAUGUAGAUGCACUCCUCCCCUCUCAUUGUUAGCAUCUCCUAGAUUGAUCUUGGUGACACAUAGGAAAAUUUUGAAUUUCUGCUACGUUCGCCAACAGUGGCAUCAUGAGCCAGGUUUAUGCGUAGAUUCUAUGCAUGAGUAGAACACAAAGUAGUUGUGGGCGACGAUUUGUUCAAUUUUCUUACCGUUACUAGUCUUAUCUUGAUUCGGCGGCAUUGUGGGAUGAAGCGGCCCGGACCGACCUUACACGUACUCUUACGUGAGACAGGUUCCACCGACUGACAUGCACUUGAUGCAUAAGGUGGCUAGCGGGUGUCUGUCUCUCCCACUUUAGUCGGAUCGGAUUCGAUGAAAAGGGUCCUUAUGAAGGGUAAAUAGCAAUUGGCAUAUCACCGUUGUGGCUUUUGCGUAGGUAAGAAACGUUCUUGCUAGAAACCCAUAGCAGCCACGUAAAACAUGCAACAACAAUUAGAGAACGUCUAACUUGUUUUUGCAGGGUAUGCUAUGUGAUGUGAUAUGGCCAAAAGGAUGUGAUGAAUUAUAUAUGUGAUGUAUGAGAUUGAUCAUGUUCUUGUAAUAGGAAUCACGACUUGCAUGUCGAUGAGUAUGACAACCGGCAGGAGCCAUAGGAGUUGUCUUAAUUUGUUGUAUGACCUGUGUGUCAAUGAAAAACGCCAUGUAAUUACUUUACUUUAUUGCUAACCGUUAGCCAUAGUAGUAGAAGUAAUAGUUGGUGAGACAACUUCAUGAAGACACGAUGAUGGAGAUCAUGGUGUCAUGCCGGUGACGAAGGUGAUCAUGCCGCGCCUCGAAGAUGGAGAUCAAAAGGCGCAAGAUGAUAUUGGCCAUAUCAUGUCACUUUAUGAUUUGCAUGUGAUGUUUGUCAUGUUUACAUCUUAUUUUCUUAGAACGACGGUAGCAUAAAUAAGAUGAUCCCUCACUAAAAUUUCAAGAGAUGUGUUCCCCCUAACUGUGCACCGUUGCGAAGGUUCGUUGUUUCGAAGCACCACGUGAUGAUCGGGUGUGAUAGAUUCUAACGUUCGCAUACACCGGGUGUUGACGAGCCUAGCAUGUACAGACAUGGCCUCGGAACACAAGCAAAACACUUAGGUUGACUUGACGAGCCUAGCAUGUACAGACAUGGCCUCGGAACACAAGAGACCGAAAGGUCGAACAUGAGUCGUAUAGUAGAUACGAUCAACAUGGAGAUGUUCACCGAUGAUGACUAGUCCGUCUCACGUGAUGAUCGGACACGGCCUAGUCGAUUCGGAUCAUGUAUCACUUAGAUGACUAGAGGGAUGUCUAUCUAAGUGGGAGUUCAUUAAAUAAUCAAAUGAACUUAAUUAUCAUGAACAUAGUCAAAAGGUCUUUGCAAAUAAUGUCGUAGCUUACGCUUUAGUUCUACUAAGAUAUUUUCCUAGAGAAAAUUUAGUUGAAAGUUGAUAGUAGCAAUUAUGCGGACUAGGUCCGUAAACUGAGGAUUGUCCUCAUUGCUGCACAGAAGGCUUAUGUCGUUAAUGCACCGCUCGGUGUGCUGAACCUCGAGCGUCGUCUGUAGAUGUUACGAAACAUCUGACAUACAUGUUUUGAUGACUACGUGAUAGUUCAGUGUGUGAUGCUAACGGUUUAAAAUUGUGGCACCAAAGACGGUUUUGAAAUGUCGCAGAACAUAUGAGAUGUUCCAAAGACUGAAAUUGGGAUUUCAGACUAAUGCCCACGUCAAGAGGUAUGAGACCUCUGACAAGUUUCUUAAGCCUGCAAACUAAGGGAGAAAAGCUCAAUCGUUGAGCAUGUGCUCAGAUUGUCUGAGUACUACAAUCACUUGAAUCGAGUGGGAGUUAAUCUUCCAGAUGAGAUAGUGAUGGUUCUCCAUAGUCACUGCCACCAAGCUAUUAGAGCUUCGUGAUGAACUAUAACAUAUCAGGGAUAGACAUGAUGAUCCUUGAGCAACUCGCGAUGUUUGACACCGCGAAAGUAGAAAUCAAGAAGGAGCAUCAAUUGUUGAUGGUUAGUAAAACCACUAGUUUCUAGAAGGGCAAGGGCAAGAAGGGAUACUUCAUGAAACGGCAAAUCAGUUGCUGCUCUAGUGAAGAAACCCAAGGUUGAACCCAAACCCGAGACUAAGUGCUUCUGAAAUGAGGGGAACGGUCACUGAAGCAGAACUACCCUAGAUACUUCGUAGAUGAGAAGGCUGGCAAGGUCGACCGAAGUAUAUUGGAUAUACAUUAUAUUAAUGUGUACUUUACUAGUACUCCUAGUAGCACCAGGGUAUUAGAUACCGGUUCGGUUGCUAAGUGUUAGUAACUCGAAAUAAAAUAUGCGGAAUAAACGAAGACUAGCUAAAGGUGAGAUGACGAUAUGUGUUGGAAGUGUUUCCAAGGUUGAUGUGAUCAAGCAUCGCAUGCUCCCUCUACCAUCGAGAUUGGGGUUAAACCUGAAUAAUUAUUAUUUGGUGUUUGCAUUGAGCAUAGACAUGAUUGGAUUAUGUUAUCGCAAUACGGUUAUUCAUUAAAGGAGAAUAAUGGUUACUCUGUCUAUUUGAAUAAUACCUUCAAUGGUCUUGCACCUAAAAUGAAUGGUUUAUUGAAUCUCGAUCGUAGUGAUACACAUGUUCAUGCCAAAAGAUAUAAGAUAGUAAUGAUAGUACCACAUACUUGUGGCACUGCCAUUUGAGUCAUAUUGGUAUAAAACGCAUGAACAAGCUCCAUGUUGAUGGAUCUUUGGACUCACUCGUUUUUGAAAAGAUUGAGACAUGCGAACCAUGUCUAUUAGUAUAUAUGCAUGAAGAAAGUCCAUACAGAUGGAUCAUUUGGACUCACUUGAUUUUGAAUCACUUGAGACAUGCAAAUCAUACCACAUGGGCAAGAUGACUGAAAGGCCUCGUUUUCAGUAAGAUGGAACAAGAGAGCAACUUGUUGGAAGUAAUACAUUUGAUGUGUGCAGUCCAAUGAGUGCUGAGGCACGCAGUGGAUAUCGUUAUGUUCUUACUUCACAGAUGAUUUGAGUAGAUGCUGAGAAUAUUUACUUGAUGAAACACAAGUUUGAAUUAUUGAAAGGUUCAAGUAAUUUCAGAGUGAAGUUGAAGAUCGUCGUGACAAGAGGAUAAAAUGUCUGUGAUAUGAUCAUAGAGGUGAAUAUCUGAGUUACGAGUUUGGCACACAAUUAAUAAAUUGUGGAAAUUGUUUCACGACUAAUACCGCCUGGAACACCAUAUUGUGAUGGUGUGUCCGAACAUCAUAACUGCACCCUAUUGGAUAUGGUGCAUACCAUGAUGUCUCUUAUCGAAUUACAACUAUCGUUUAUGGGUUAGGCAUUAGAGACAACCGCAUUCACUUUAAAUAGGGAACCACGCAAUUCCGUUGAGACGACACCGUAUGAACUAUGGUUUAGAGAAACCUAAGCUGUCGUUUCUUAAAAGUUUGGGGCUGCGACGCUUAUGUGAAAAAGUUUCAGGCUGAUAAGCUCGAACCCAAAGCGGAUAAAUGCAUCUUCAUAGAAUACCCAAAACAGUUGGGUAUACCUCCUAUUUCAGAUCUGGAAGCAAAAGUGAUUGUUUCUAGAAAUGGGUCCUUUCUCGAGGAAAAGUUUCUCUCGAAAGAAUUGAGUGGGAGGAUGGUGGAGACUUGAUGAGGUCAUUGAACCGUCACUUCAACUAAUGUGUAGCAGGGCACAGGAAGUUGUUCCUGUGGCACCUACACCAAUUGAAGUGGAAGCUUAUGAUAGUGAUCAUGAAACUUCAGAUCAACUCACUACCAAACCUCAUAGGACGACAAGGAUGCGUACUACUUCAGAGUGGUACGUAAUCCUGUCUUGGAAGUCAUGUUGCUAGACAACAAUGAACCUACGAGCUAUGGAGAAGCGAUGGUGGGCCCGGAUUCCGACGAAUGGCUCGAGGCCAUAAAAUCCGAGAGGAUCCAUGUAUGAAAACAAAGUAUAGACUUUGGAAGAACUACUUGAUGGUCGUAAGGCUGUUGGGUACAGAUGGAUUUUAAAGGGAAGACAAACAAUGAUGGUAAGUGUCACCAUUAAGAAAGCUCGACUUGUCGUUAAGAUGUUUUCCGGCAAGUUCAAGGAGUUGACUGCGAUGAGACUUUCUCACUCGUAGCGAUGCUAAGAGUCUGUUAGAAUUAUAUUAGCAGUUACUGCAUUAUUUAUGAAAUCUUGCAGAUAGGAUGUCAAAACAUUGUUUCCUCGACGAUUUUCUUGAGGAAAGGUUGUAUGUGAUACAACCAGAAGGUUUUGUCAAUCCUGAAAGAUGCUAACAAGUAUGCAAAGCUCCAGCAAUCCUUCUAAGGAUUGGAGUAAGCAUCUCGGAGUUGGAAUGAACGCUUUGAUGAGAUGAUCAAAGAUUUUGGGUUUAUACAAAGUUCAUGAGAAACUUGUAUUUCCAAAGAAGUCAGUGGGAGCACUAUAGAAUUUUUGAUGAGUAUAUGUUGUUAACAUAUUGUUGAUCAGAAAUGAUGUAGAAUUUCUGGAAAGCAUCCAGGGUUGUUUGAAAAGUGUUUUUAAUGGAAAACCUAGAUUAACCUACUUGAACAUUGAGCAUCAAGAUCUAUAAGGAUAGAUCAAAAAUGCUUAAUAGUACUUUCAAAUGAAUACAUACCGUGACAAGAUUUUGAAGGAGUUCAAAAUAGAUCAGCAAAGAAGGAGUUCUUGGCUGUGUUACAAGGUGUGAGUAUUGAGUAAGACUCAAGACCUGACCACGGCAGAAGAAAGAGAAAGGACGAAGGUCGUCCCCUAUGCUUUAGACGUAGGCUUUGCAAUAUGCUAUGCUGUGUACCGCACCUGAAGUGUGCCUUGCCAUGAGUUAGUCAAGGGGUACAAUAGUGAUCCAGCAACGAAUCACAUGACAGCGGUCGAACUUAUCCUUAGUAUCUAGUGGACUAAGGAAUUUUCUUGAUUAUGGAGGUGGAAAGGGGGUUCGUCGUAAAGGGUUAUGUCGAUACAAACUUUGACACUAAUCCGGAUGACUCUGAGUAGUGAACCAGAUUCGUAUAGUAGAGCAGUUAUUUGGAAUAGCUCCAAGUAGCGCGUGGUAGCUGCAUCUACAAGAUGACAUAGAGAUUUGUAAAGCACACACGGAUCUGAAUGUGGCAGACCCGUUGACUAAAACCUCUCUCGUAAGCAUAACAUGAUCAAACCCUAGAACUCAUUGACUGUUAAUCACAUGGUGAUGUGAACUAGAUUAUUGACUCUAGUAAACUCUUGGGUAUUAGUCACAUGGCGAUGUGAACUUUGAGUGUUAAUCACAUGGUGAUGUGAACUAGAUUAUUGACUCUAGUGCAAGUGGAAGACUGUUGGAAAUAUGCCCUAGAGGCAAUAAUAAAAUGGUUAUUAUUGUAUUCCCUUGUUCAUGCUAUAAUUGUAUUAACUGGAAACCGUAAUACAUGUGUGAAUACAUAGACCAGAACAUGUCCCUAGUAAGCCUCUAGUUGACUAGCUCGUUGAUCAAUAGAUGGUUAUGGUUUCCUGACCAUGGACAUUGGAUGUCAUUGAUAACGGGAUCACAUCAUUAGGAGAAUGAUGUGAUGGACAAGACCCAAUCCUAAGCAUAGCACAAGAUCGUGUAGUUCGUUUGCUAGAGCUUUUCUAAUGUCAAGUAUCAUUUCCUUAGACCAUGAGAUUGUGCAACUCCCGGAUACCGUAGGAAUGCUUUGGGUGUACCAAACGUCACAACGUAACUCGGUGGCUGUAAAGGUGCACUACAGGUAUCUCCGAAAGUGUCUGUUGGGUUGGCACGAAUCGAGACUGGGAUUUGUCACUCCGUAUGACGGAGAGGUAUCUCUGGGCCCACUCGAUAAUGCAUCAUCAUAAUGAGCUCAAUGUGACUAAGGAGUUAGCCACGGGAUCAUGCGUUACGGUACGAGUAAAGUGACUUGCCGGUAACGAGAUUGAACAAGGUAUUGGGAUACCGACGAUUGAAUCUCGGGCAAGUAACGUACCGAUUGACAAAGGGAAUUGUAUACGGGAUUGAUUGAAUCCUCGACAUCGUGGUUCAUCUGAUGAUAUCAUCGUGGAACAUGUGGGAGCCAACAUGGGUAUCCAGAUCCCGCUGUUGGUUAUUGACCGGAGAGUCGUCUCGGUCAUGUCUGCAUGUCUCCCGAACCCGUAGGGUCUACACACUUAAGGUUCGGUGACGCUAGGGUUGUAGAGAUAUUAGUAUGCCGAAAUCCGAAAGUCGUUCGAAGUCCCGGAUGAGAUCCCGGACGUCACGAGGAGUUCCGGAAUGGUCCGGAGGUAAAGAUUUAUAUAUGGGAAGUCCUAUUUUGGCCACCGGAAAAUGUUCGGGAAUUUUCGGUAUUGUACCGGGAAGGUUCUAGAAGGUUCCGAAGUGGGGCCCACCUGCAUGGGGGGACCCACAUGAACGUGGGUAGUGGGGGCAAGGCCCCACACCCCUGGUCAAGGCGCACCAAGAUCCCACCUUAGAAGGAAUAAGAUCAUAUCCCGAAGGGAUAAGAUCAAGAUCCCUUAAAAAGGGGGAUAACAAUCGGUGGGGAAGGGAAAUGAUGGGAUUUCUUUCCGCCACCUUUUCCAACGCCCCAAUGGACUUGGAGGGCAAGAAACCAGCCCCCUCCACCCCUAUAUAUAGUGGGGAGGCGCAUGGGAGCAGCACCCCAAGCCCUGGCGCCUCCCUCCCUCCCGUGACACCUCUUCCUCCCCGCUUGCGCUUGGCGAAGCCCUGCCGGGAUCCCGCUACUUCCACCACCACGCCGUCGUGCUGCUGGAUCUCCAUCAACUUCUCCUCCCCCCUUGCUGGAUCAAGAAGGAGGAGACGUCCCGCUCCGUACGUGUGUUGAACGCGGAGGUGCCGUCCGUUCGGCGCUAGGUUCAUCGGUGAUUUGGAUCACGACGAGUACGACUCCAUCAACCCCGUUCUCUUGAACGCUUCCGCUCGCGAUCUACAAGGGUAUGUAGAUGCACUCCUCCCCUCUCGUUGCUAGCAUCUCCUACAUUGAUCUUGGUGACACGUAGGAAGAUUUUGAAUUUCUGCUACGUUCCCCAACACUCACAUAUAACCACUAUGAUAUUGAAUUUGUACUGCCGGUUUACAUGACCUGUGCAAUAAGGGUGAUAACCCAAUCUUUAGAAAUCAAGACUUCCAAAUGUUUAUGAUUGUCAUAUGAUGGCGACUUAUCAACCAAAGUCAAGCCGGGUUAAUCGAAGCCACAUAUAUACUUCAGAUAUGAUCAAAAGAACUUCAAAUAAAAUACAAAAUUUUGUUUGCAAAAAGAGACUUCAAAAAUUUUGAGGCUUCUGAUUCGAAUACUAUCAGAAAACCGUCCCAAAGGGGUUAAGCUAAGAUUCGAAUACGAUCAUAUAGCCCCCAGUGGCUUUGGCGUUGCCGAUCAAGAGGGUACCGACAGCUAUGUUCUCUUUGGUUCGAAUACGACCUAUGUUUGAACAGGAAGCCCCCAAAUGACCUGGAGAGUUGUUUAACGACGCUGAUUCGAAUACGAUCCAUGUCGGUUCCCAAAAGGGGUUGAGCUAUGAUUCGAAUACGAUCAAGAAGCCCCCUAGUGAGCUCAGCAGUGUGCCGAUCAAGAGGGUACCGACAGCUAUGUUCUCUUUGGUUCGGAUACGACCUAUGUUUGAACAGGAAGCCCCCAAGUGAUCUUGAGAAUAUUUAACGACUCUCAUUCCAAUACGAUCAGGGUCACACCAAAAGGGUUAAGCUAAAUUUGAAUACGAUCAGCUCCCAACGGUCAUUAAAGCAGGUAGUUAUGUUUGAGUUGUGCUUUGUAACAGACUCUCCUUGGUCCCUUUAAUUUUUCUUGAAAACUUGAACUUUGCGAGAGAUAAAAUCUUUUUAAAACCGGAAGUUCUUAAACCGGAUAUUAAGAGUUUCAAAGCAUGGUGAUAGACAAAUUUACCUUGAACCGGGUUUUGAACCGGAUUUGAGAUCUUCAAAGCAUUGUGGCAGAUAAAUUUCAUUUGAACCGGAUUUUAAACCGGACAUUAAGAGCUUCAAUGCUUUGUGGGAGAUGUCAAGUCUCUUGAUAAGGAUCUAAACCGGAAUCCUUCUUUUUAAGCCAGAUAUUUUUCUGACGGUCUUUAAAUUUUUACCAAUAUGGCGGUAGCCUCCGGGACCGGGUUAUUUUUUUCCUCCAAUGACCCAGAGUUCUUGAAUGCAUUGAAACCGACCAAUGUUGCCGAGUCAUAUCAUUGUAACCCCUGAGUCUCAAAACGACUCAAGGAGUUGGCUUUGAGAUUCUCCAUAUUGACCAUAGCAUAAGGUGUAUAUCAUUGGUGUUGAUAGUGCGAUGUGAAUCCACAGAAGGUUGAGGUGACUGCGGCGGAUUAUAAAUGAUCAUGUAUGAGCCGUGUCAGCAACUCGGCCAAUGGUCCCUUCCAACUGGCUGUUUGAAGUUAACCAAACUAUAGUGGCGGCGACUUGUGCGCCUGCCCAUUUAAACCAUCCAGUGUAGACGGCGGCUGAUAAUACAUGAUAAUUUGCCUCCAAUUUUGUUGGAAGAAAAACCAGGCUUCCCAAGCAGUGACUUGCUCAUACUCGAUGAUCAGCUCACGCAGACAGGUGCGGCCCGGUAUGUUGAUAUAGACCAGGCCGCAAGAGACAGAUGGUAAAAACAACCGUGGCAUCAAAGGUGGUACAGACAGAUGAGUUGGUCACGACGUUGUAAACCGGUGUGGUCGGGCGAGUCAAUCGCCGGCGCGGUAAGCCGCGCGGAUGGGCGAGUCAACCACGUCGUGUUGAUGUAGUGAACAAUUGUCCUACAUCAAAAACAUCGCAAGCAAGAGUAAUUGCUCUUUUUUAAAGAAAACAAUAUAUAAUAUAUAAAAAUUUACUGGAUUGAUUUCACCUGAUAUGUUAGGCCAGAAAAUAUCCACCGCGGAGUUGAUCAUCACGACGGUGAAGCUGAAAUCAAUCACGGCCGAGUCGGCCGCGGGAACAGACAGACGGGUCGGCCGCGGCGUUGUAAGCCGGUGCGGUCGGGCGAGUCAAUCGCAUGAGCGAUAAGCCACGCGGACGCUGAGUCGGCCGCGGGGGCGGACAGGUAAGUUGUCCGUCACAUUGUAAGGCGGCGCGUUGAUGUAGACCGGACCACAGGGGCGGUGGCUUGCGCCCACCUGUUGACCAGUAAGCGGUCGCAGAUGCCGUUGCAUGAUGAUGCUACCGCACACUCCAUGGAUACGGCAUUACACCAUCUUUAUGAUGAAUCCUUGUCCUGCACAUAAAAGUGUACAUAGCAAAGCGAUUGUUUUUUGACAAAAAACAAUAUGCGCUUAAUAAAAUAAUCUUAGAUGGAUAUCACCUGAUUUGUUCGGAUGACCGAUGAUCCAUUCAAUGCAACAAAAAACGGCUCUGGUAGACCGGUAACCCAUGGCGAGUCAACACAGCAGAAGCGACUCAACGCAGCCCCGGCAGCUCGAGGCACGGCGGGUCUCAGCUCACGGCGGGUUGAGGUGUGGCGGUUCAAGGUCACAGCGGGGGGACUCGCAGGCUCAGGCGAGGCCGUUUUGAAGAUGGUUGGCAGCGGCGCGGUGACUCGCCACGGUGCGCCGAAAUAGCAGCAGCGUAGUGGGAGAAACAGCCGGUCUGUUGAUUUUGACCGUGAUGUGAAGCUCGCGGGGCAGCCACGAAGGCGCUGGGACGGAGUGGCUCCGAUGUGCGAGACGUGCCACCACAAGGACGCACGUAGGAGAAGACCAGAGGGGCAUCGAAGUCGGGUCCGCGGCGGCUCUGGAGAUGACAAGUGUGCGGGAGGCAAGGCCGUGCUGGCCAGCAGAAAACGGCGAGGUGCCGGCGACUUAGCGUAAAACCGCGGGUCAGAGGCGGCUCGGAGUUGAGUCCAUGUCCUGCUCUGGUCGUUGUUGGUUUGACAAUUCCCUUUAAGUGCUCCUUUAAAAUUUCCUUCAUCACACGUGGUGUCGUGCCAGGCAACAGCAUGGCCGGACUAAAAAUCCACUAGACCUUGAUUUUUAAUGCUCCUGUAGAUCUUGGGGACUGCGUGUGAGCUGACUAUUAAAACCUUCAAAUUCAUGCACGUACAGUGGCUGUACUAGUUGAUGCUACGUGCAGAAGGUAAGGUAAUCUAUCAGGCUUUGUUUUUCGCGUUGAUCAGCACUUGGACCCUUGAUCAACAGUUGGCUUGAUCCGGAGACUUCACAGGGCUGAAGCAAACUGUCUUGAUCGCCGCUGUACCAACAGAUGGCGCUCGUGACGCGUGUUUGGCUGUCUUUGAUCACCUCGGACUUGGACAGCUAUAUAUGGACCAGCAGAAGCGACCUGGCGAAUCGGACACGGCGGCUAGAUUUGACAGCGGCACAGUAGAAAUUCGAGUCGGCCUCGGUGUACUGCUGCAGCAGAAACUAACCCGGACUCGACGGAUCAUCUAAUUGUGGCGGCGCUCACCAUGCAACUCUAAUCUUUCUUGAAUUCAGACCUCGUACGAGUAUUAGAUCUGACUGCUCGCUUUGGAGACAAUGUAAAUCCUUCCGCGACGAUUCUUCUUUCAUCCGAAGAAAUUGUCAACUUCUCGACCCUUGAAAGAGAUCCCUCCAAGAACUCAUCACCACCGUGCGCAGCCCCACGGUGGGCGCCAACUGUCGUGGAAUUGUCACGGCAGAUGUCCUAGUGUGAGGACUUAGUCGUGAGGCCAACGCAUCUAUGCGGUAGCUUGAGAGGGGUUGAUUGGGAUGAGAGACGCAACACACAAGACAAGAAUUUAGACAGCUUCGGGCCCCGGGAAACAUCAUCCGGUAAUAGCCCUACAUGCUGUUUGUGGCUAGGUCUCAUUAUGAUCAUGAGAGAGUCGCCGGUAAGCCGGCUCUUUGUGUCUAGCCCUAGAGAUUGUUUCUUGUUUCUUGUCCCUCUUGGGGUGCCCUGCCCCUCCUUAUAUAAGUUAGAGGGGCGGGUUACAUACGGAGUCCUAGUAGGAUUAGGACUAGUCUAUCUUUCUUUACAAGUUGAAUACAAGUCCAGGUCUUGCUUCCUUAUGAAGGAAAUAAUCCUCACGCCUUUCAUCUUAAACCGGCCCACCAGAGUAUAAGCCAGCCUGCUGGGCCUUGGGCCUUGUCAUCCGUCUGAUCCGCCCGCCGGGUCUCCAGUGAAUUACAAUGUCUAGGCGGGUUACCCUGUGAACCGCCAUGUUCGGGCGGAUCGCCAGUGAGUCGCCAAGCUUGUCCGGCCGGGUCAUACCGCGGGGUAUAUCCCCGACAGGUGGUCUAAUACGGGUAAAGAAACGCAUUUUUCGCUUUGGAUCCUUUACAAUAAAAGAUGGGUCAAAAAUUCGAUUCUGGGAAGACAAGUGGCUAGAAAAUGCUUGGAUCCAAUAAAAAUAUCUAUCUUUGUACUGCAUCAUUCAUCACAAUAAUGAUACUCUUGUGCUAGUGCUUAUUUCUUUCAUGCCAGAUAUUUCUUUCAGGCGAGAUUUGAUUGGCCUAUGUCUUAUGUGAUGGUAAAAUCAUUAUCCUGAUUGGAUUUAAUUAACCUGACACAAGGGCGGGGAUGUGUUUCAUUGGAAUCUCUCUACAUAUGGGUCCUUCAAGUCAACUUUAUGUACCAUGCACUAACGCAUUCAGAGGUCCUAGUGGAUAAUAAAAUAAUAGAAGAAGAUAUGGGCCAUACUCCCUCCGUCCAGUGAAGAGUGAAAUCUAGAGAUUUUAGGACAAAUUAUGGAGUAAAAUAGAAAAUGCAUUGGAAAGGUGCAAGCCACCAUCUUUCUUCUCUUUAAUUAUCCAAUCCCUAAUGUGUUUAGUGCAUGUAAAAAUUAAGAAGACCAUGUGUAGAUUGUUAUUGGUCUUGGUUACCAUGUGAUGAGAGAGAAAUAUAUUUUUUUCUACUUUAAAGUGCAUUGAGAAGAUAGAAGUACACUCUUUUGUGGACAAAUUUUAAAGCCAAACGUACACUCUUCACCGGACGGAGGGAGUAUAUUAAUUCCUAGUGUGACUUAAUGUUGACAUGAAUUGAUACAGGUGGAUAUAGUUACUCUGCGUCCGUAAAUAAAGGUCAUCAUUUUUGUUGCUCUAGGGACCCAUAAAUGAUAGGGACUGUCCGCUACCAGCUACCCUGAUGACUCCAUUCGCUGCCCCUCAAACAUGGGUUCCCGACAUGUUCUCAGGGUCUGCCCGUGGUUCCAUGUUCUGGCCUUCGGGGUUGGUUUAACUAGUGGUAUGGGGGUUCUUGCAUCGCCCUGUACUCUCGAUCGGGACCCUUUAAUGCUAGCACUUCUGGUGACAUACAGUGCGUGUAUUUAAAGGCCAGGCAUGCAUCCUCCGUGCCAAAGAAAAUUCAUUCGGCGGCUACACGGGGAGAGUUGUGGCAGCAAAUCCGGGAUGCCAGCUUUUUGUUUUGGGUUUCGAUUGUCAAAGUUUUAGAUCUUAAAAAAACUAAAAUUAAGUGUUGUUUUCAUAUUCGUGUUUCUCGUGACCACUGUUUUGAAAUAAUAUCCGUUUUGAAUAUAUAUUUUGACGACUUUAAAAAAUAUUAAGUUUCAUAUGUUGAAACUUAGUACGGGCAACCAGUAAAAAUCAAUUAUUUUGUACCUACGCCUGACAGAAAAAUGCUUACAUUUAUAUCUCUGAAACUUGCUGAAACUUUGCAUUUUUCAUCAUUGAAACUUAAAACUUUUUGAGGGAUUUUCUUUUUUACUGUGCCCUCAUGUGGGAUUCAACUACUCUUUUCUCUUCCGCGAGAUCCACAUGAAAAAAAGCACAAAUUUAAGAUGAGUGCAGGGCUUGGCAGAUGAGUGCCCUGCACUUACAUGCCCCUGCGAAUUUCCGCAGCUACUAGAUAUUUUUGGCAAAUUUAUUGUUUGCUCUUUUACAGGUGUGCCACUUAAGUAUUUAAACCUAUAAGGAUUUCUGCACUGGUGCUAAACUCACUUAUGAGAGCAUACCGGAUUUUCUCAUAUGAGCUAACAAAGAAUCAAACAUAGUUAUAUCUUGUAUUAUUUUCUCAUUAAUUACUUACCCACUGGGCUGAAGCAGUUAUUGUAGCAUAUCAUGCAACACUCAUGGUUUUCCAACAUGUUUCCUUAAGGGGUCUUAAUCAAGAUGAUUUACAUUCAAAAACAAUCAUUGAGUAUGGAUCAUUAAGAAUAAUUUGAUCCUACUUAAUCCAUGCUUAGGAAAUAAGAAAAUGGUUACUCAAUGAGCAAACGCUGCCUGUUGCUGCCUCCUCACCAACAAACUUUGGUUCUUCACAUCCCUUACCGAAGAGGCACCUUUACAUUGCAUCCCUUGUAUACUACUAUAUAUAUGUGAUCUUCAUAAAGAGUUCAGCGAUUUCUCCAUUGUUGAGUUCCUUACACUCAAUAUUCAAUAAUAGUUAUUUCCAAAUUCACAUAAUCAGUUGGCAGGAUGGUCACCAAAGUACAUUCAUCCAUCGAAAGAAACACACAAAAGAAAACAGUAACAGCACCAAAAAAACUACACGUUGUCCAAUUAUGAAUAAUGUUUCGUCCGUGUAACAAGAGCUUCGACGGUCAUUUUCUUAAGCAUAAUUAAAUAAAAAACUAAUCAUAGACUCUGAUUGUAAAGCAUUCCAAAAGAAAUUCAUAUGUCAGUUCUUCAACGCUUAUUGUGUUGGAAGCCUGUCCUCAAAUAUUCUCUCCUUCGCCUUGUCGGCCUGCAAAUAAAUAUCAGUUAUUUUUUCUUACUAUCCUUGGUACCAGUGCUUAGGGUUUUGAUAGACAGGUCGCUAGUUAUUGAAAUGAAACAUUUAAGACAAGGAGAAGCAUGCAUUAGGGCAACUCCAACUAUGUGCAUCAAAUCGGACACAUCUAACAUUCAUGGGCACGUCCGGACGUGUCCACAAAGAGCAUAUAGGGGGCGGCCAUCCAAGCCUAUGCACCAAAUGUCCGCACCUUUUCAAAGAAAAUAAAAUAAAGCUAGACCAAAUGUUGGCUCACUUUAAAUCAUCGAUCGAUAGCAAUUCAAAAGUGUUGGAUGAAAGUACUUCUCGAAAGCAGCCUUCAUUACAUACUUUCUCUCCUCGAGUUUGCACUUCUUCAUUACAAAUGUUGUUCAUCCAGAUGUUGUGCCCUUUGAGCUUCAUCCAACAGUGCAUAAAUGCGAAGAACUUGCCCUCCGUCCUUUGGUAUAGCAUGGGCUGCGCGUCUGGGCUAUACAAUGACGUGAUCAUCAAGUGUAACAUUGAGCAAUUUGCCAUUUGUGCUUGCUUCAUGUUAAACAAGGAGAAAGUCAAAGAAAUUCUCAAUGGUAUUUGGCCGAACACUUGCCGGGGUUGGCCUCCAUUAUGGAGGGCAUCGGCAAGGGGGCGGCCAAUGCAUGGGCUGCCGCCGGAUACUGGGUGCAACCGCGGCGAAGUACAAUGCGCCUGGUGGAGCAAUGGAGGUCUAGCAAGGCCUAGGCGCGGGACGGAGUGGUAUAGCAGCGGCGGUCUUGGUGGGUGCGGAUACAGAUUAAGAGUGGGACNNNNNNNNNNNNNNNNNNNNNNNNNNNNNNNNNNNNNNNNNNNNNNNNNNNNNNNNNNNNNNNNNNNNNNNNNNNNNNNNNNNNNNNNNNNNNNNNNNNNNNNNNNNNNNNNNNNNNNNNNNNNNNNNNNNNNNNNNNNNNNNNNNNNNNNNNNNNNNNNNNNNNNNNNNNNNNNNNNNNNNNNNNNNNNNNNNNNNNNNNNNNNNNNNNNNNNNNNNNNNNNNNNNNNNNNNNNNNNNNNNNNNNNNNNNNNNNNNNNNNNNNNNNNNNNNNNNNNNNNNNNNNNNNNNNNNNNNNAUAGUCCGACCAGGCGGGCGUCCGGACUCCCAAACCUCCAAUGAGUUUGCUUCCGGUUUGGCUGAUGUUGGACGUCCGGAUUAGGCCGCGGGCAUUUGAUGCAUGGCAGUGGAUGGCAAAAAAUGUACAGGCAGCGCAGUCCGGACCUUGCGGGCAAUUUGAUGCAUGGCAUUGGAGUUGCCCUUAGCAAUACCUAAGGCAUGUUCUGAUCACGAAUCAUCAGGCAUAAAAACUGAGAAAGGACUUACCAUCUUGUUCCAGUUUGUGGUAGCCGUAAUAACAGACAGGAGAGUGACCUGUGUGGCUCCACCAGCCAGUAUGCCAAUCCAAAACCCCUUUGCUCUUAGUUGCAUUGCAAAACCAAAGUAGAGUGCAACGGGGAUACCAACAAGAUAGAAGGCACCCAGGUUAACAUAAGCCCCUAGAUGCUGCCAUCCACAGCCCCGAGACACACCUGAGUGGUGCAAUGGAAGCAUUCAGUCUAUUAGUUUAAUUUAGUUUAUGAUGCUAUAUGCCAAAAGAAAGACAUGUGGAUACCUUGAAGGACUGCCAUGAGGCUGUCUGUAAUUGCUGAAAUGGAAAGUAGGGGUACCAUUCUUGUGACAUAACGCCUGACCUCUUCCUCAUUGCUGAACGCAAUUCCAAUAAAGUGGCGCAGUAAUAGAAGAGUUGUGCUCACUAAGAAUGCUGAGCAGACCACAAUAGACAAGGCAACACACACCACCAAGCGGGGACCUUGUGUGUUGCCGGCGCCUAAUUCAUUUGAGACGCGCACACUGGCACACGGACAACAUAUAUACGUAGCAUGUUAAAUUCUGUAGAAACAGGUGAUACUGACGAUAUAUAGCAACAAAUGCACUAGCUAGUAGCUACCCACCUGGUAGCUAUUCCAAUGCCGUAAGGAAGGUUGGCCAACAGUAUCAUUGUAGAUACGCUGUUCCAAAAGGACAUCAGUAUGGUAAACUUCAUAGAAUAUGAUGGAUUCAAGUAUAAUCUUAUUUAGGGUUCUACUAAUGCAUACCAUAUAGAAAGCACAGAGGUUUCCAGUGCAGGAUUUGGUAACAUCCCGGAAAGCAGAACAAGCAGCUCGUAAGACCACCACUCCAGACUGUGGUCAAGGAAAGCUAGGUUAAUAUUCAGAGGUUUCCGGGAUGUUUUGAUGCUAGAGAAUACAUAAUUAGAAGCUAAACUUAAAGUAAUAUAUGUGCAGAAAUUAUCCAGUUCAUUUCAAGAGGAGAGGGAAGAAUAUAUCCAGUGGUAUUGCGAGCGGGUGGCAAAAAAACAAAAGGUAUCUGAUCAGGAUCUGCUCACAACAAAGGCGAAGACGAAGACGGACUUUCUUUUGUUGAAAGAUGUCUUCACAACAAAGACGAAGAGGAAAACAAACUUGAUUUGGACAAUCAAUCCGAGACGAGCCGACAUUUCAAAUUUUCAAAUGGUUUGUAAAAGACCAUCAUCCUUUUCUGACAGUAUUCUAACAGACCAAUCAAGUGUGCAAGGGUGCUGUGGCAAGAACAACAGAAAAAUAGUAUUUCCUCCAUCCGAAAAUAAGUGUCGCUCAAAUAGAUGUAUCUGGACGUAUUUUAGUGCUAGAUACAUCCGUUUGAGCGGUACUUAUUUCCAGACGGAGGGAGUAGGUAUGAACGAACAUAAGUAGAAAGAGAUAUAAAAAAUAGCAACAAUGCUUGGAUCUUAUGGGCUGCAAGUGCACCACUAUUAAAAAGGUUUUGCCACGUACUUGUUAUUAUUAAUAUAUUUUUUGAGAGGAACGUACUUGUUAUUUUCCAUGCUGACACCUUUAGAAACGUUGGCUACUGAUACACAAACUAUAUAGAUUUGUCACAUGAAGAUACCAUUAGUGUUAUGAAUGAUCACAUCAUUAUAAUUAUAAUCUUAAUUAUUUGCCAAAAGGUGCACGUUGGAAACUAUAUUAAUGUCCACAAGAACAAGUAAAAGUGAAUGAAGAGUGCAUAAGAGUUUGCUGUAUUGGACAAUAUUUUGCUUGCCAAAAUAUGAAAUACUAGAUAAAAUAGCAUAUGUUAUUUUUUGUGCUAGAGGUUAAAACAACAUCAUUAUAGAAACAUGGCAAAUAACAUUUACUUACCAAAUCAUAAGAGCCGAUGGUACAGCCAAACGCAUGAAACUGCCAAUCCCUCUAAAAGCUUCCCACGAUGGUGGAGCGCGUGUUUUCUCACAAGAGGGUGAGAACUUAAUGUAAAGGCCAAGAAAAGUCACUUCAACCCAAUCACAAAUGCUAACGGAUAAAGCAGCUCCAGCAUUACCCAUCCCAACUUUGUAAACCAUGAACCAGCAAAGAGGAAGAAAUACCGCAAUUGUAAUCAAGGAGCUAAGAACCAUUGGAAAUAUUAGGCUUUGACAUUGCAGAAACUUUGAAAAGCAUUGAGUAACACCGAAGGCAAAUAAACCAGGGAUAAGCCAUAAUGCAUAUUUGCCAGCCUCAUUUGCAAUUUGUGGUUCCUGGCCCAUGAGAGGAAGUACUUCCGGGAUGAAACACCAAACAAUGGAGAUGGGCACACUCACAACAAGAAGUGCAAUGAUGGACCUGUAGGUACAUAAAGAUAAUGUAUGAUAUUGUUCUGCUCCAUAGGCCUGCCCACAAAGAGUUUCCAAUCCGCCUGCCAGUCCAAUCUAAAAGGGAAACUGCAUCAGUAACAAAUUAUACAUAUUGUUGCUGAAUAAAUGGAAGUUAAACUAGGAUAAAGUGCAUCGACAUUACUGAAAGAAGAGUUUUGCUACACCUACACAUUAAUCUUAUGGAAUUAAAUUUACAGGAUGAGGUGGCAACAUCUGAUUGGAAGGGAGGAGACUCAUAGUAAAUUCGGGGAAGACGGGUUACUUGGAGGUUAGGGGGGAGGGGUGGCAGUCCAUACGGGUCGCUCAUAAGUUUGGAUUUUCGCUGAAAGAAUAUCAAGAAUAACAAACGUGGCUUGUGCAAGGUGGGCAACAGUUGCUAUGAAGAUUUUGUUUCAAUCAUCACUGCAAAGAAUGCGAACAUCACCCUGGCCGAAUUUUCUCAACACCCAACUCAGUCGGAUCAAGUGACUGAUUAUAUUUUUCGCGGGAAUAUAAUAGAUCGAUAUUGCCCACCGAAACUAGCUAUAUGUACAGCGGGGUGGGGUGAAUCAAGCACCACAGGUCCAUUGUAAAAAAGAUUAAUCGAACGACCUAGCUAGCCGCGUGCGGUCGGCGCUAAUCAGAAAGGUUGAGAAAUGGAACCAUCUGAUUUGAUUCAUUCCCAGUAGUCAUGAGAUGAUCAUUUUUUUUUAGAAAAGAGGGGAGAUCCUGAAUGAUCCACACAACCUUUUGUUUAUCAUAUCAAAGUACAUCAUCUGACCAUAACAAAGUUCAUCUUGCCAACGGAUGCUUCUAUUACACUCGUGGUCUCUAAAAGAUGAGAACCCACUAUGUAGCAUCCACAUCAAUAAUUCAAGCAUUUAUGUCCUUAGUACGAUUCUUUGUAGGAACUAUCCGUAAUAACAAAGAACAUCAGAAGUAGCAGAGAUCUCCGCACGAUGCAACUGGAUAAAUGGCGGUCGCAUGGAGGGAGAAGACACUGAGACAUCUGGACCGGUCGCCGAUCUUGUACACAUCCGGAUGGGAUUCAGGGGCUGCUCUAACGGAAUUGAAAGUACCAAUAGCUAAACAUAAACGAAAUAAAUUAAUGUGCGCUGCAUGCUUGCUCACAAGGACGCUGAAGCCGGAGACGUUGGUGAGGGAGUUGGCGAUGGCCGCACCGGCGAGCGCGACGUCGCCGAGGUGCCCCACCAUGACGGUGGAGAUGAACUGCAUCGUGACCUGCAGCAGCAUCACCACCACCAUCGGCGCCGCAAGCCCCGCCAGCUGCGCGGCUUCCCUACACCAGCGCCGGCUGGUACUGCCGGGCUCUUCCCACCUCGCGGCCAGCAGCGGCGCAUCGGAAGAAGAGUCCAUGGAUCCCCCCGACCAAAGCUCUGCCCAAGCAACGUGGGUGUGGUUAAUGAAAAUGGUAAAUGCGGGAGCUACCAUCCGUCUAGCUGUCUCCCUUUGCACAAUGCAUGGAGCUCGAACUAUAUAUAGAGUAUUACUCCAGUCGUAGUAGCUACGGAAACUAUUUCCUCUGUCCAGAUUUAUUAGUUUUGUCAGAGCAUCGGUAAUUGAGGAGCUAAUUUGAUUUCAUAUACAUCCACUGACCCGUCUUGGCGCUGUUCAGGCAUAUUCACUUAAGCCCACAUUUAUCUGUGCACGCAGUGGUAACCCCACUUUUCUCCCUAUUAUAUGCCCGAUUACAUGCAUAUGAAUGGUAGGGACAGAACCUCAAAAAAAAAAGAAUGGUAAGGACAAAAAAAGAAAAUAAAAGAAAAUAGUGAAGGUGAAAAAGUGGUCCGGACUCUGGAGUGUGCCAAAUUCGACGUGGCAGACUGCUCAGACAUACCACAACAUCUCAUACCCUUUCCACGUAUGGGCUCGGUAUAAGGGGUGCCAGAAAGCCCGCGCCCAUGUAUAUAGUUUUGAGUUAAUGAUACUCCCUUUCAUCCAUAUUACUUGUCACACGGACGUAUUUAGACGUUUUUCAGUGCUAGAUAAAUUCGUUUGAGCGACAAGUACACUAGUAGAAAAAGGACCUUACGUGAGACACAUUAGUCCCGGUUCAAUUUUGGCUCGGUACUAAUGGUAUUAGUCCCGGUUCAAACGGCUAUGCAUUAGUCCCGGUUCAUGUUGAACCUUUAGUACCGGUUCGUGCCACUAACCGCUACUAAAGGGGUGGUGGCAGGCUGGCGUCAGGCCGGGGCCCCACGAGCCCCUUUGACUAAAGGGGUUUAACCUUUAGUCCCGGUUGGAGACACAAACCGGGACUAAAGGGCAAUUAUCAAACUCUACCCCCCUCCCCUCUCCCUGUCUAUCGCCAUUUCAGUUUUGAAAAAAACAAAACAAAAUGAUAAAAACUUCAAAAAUUAAGAUCCUUCGAGAUGUAGUUAUGUUACUACAUCUACUAGUUAGGAAAAUUUAAAAACUUAAAUUUGGACAUGUUUUGCAAAAAAAUAUGAUGAAAAGGUAAAACAACUAUAUCUUUUGCAUCCGAUAUCGGAAAACAACGUAUAAUAUAUCAAAAUGUUCAGCACGAAAAUACGCAUCCGAUUUUGACGGCUGUAGGCCGUUUUGCAAAUUUUUAGAAUCCUCAAACUCUAAAAGGAAAAAAGUUAUGCUCACAUUUCAGUUUUUUUUUUGAAUUUUGGUCAAACUGUGGUCAAACUACUUAUUCAAGAAAUAUUAGUGUUACUAAAUAAUUAUUUCAGUUUUUUGAAUUUUGGUCAAAUCUGGUCAAACUAUGGUCAAACUACUUACUCAAGAAAUAUUAAUGUUACUAAAUAAUUAGUGUUUUUUAGAAUAAUAGUUUCAAACUCAAACGAUGAACGUGUGACUUCAUGCUCAAGCUAAACUCCUGAGGGUUAAUAGGAUUGACAGCUUAAUAUUGUUAGGAAACAACAAGUGCGGACUUGGAAACUAGGGGGAAUAGAACUCAGAAGUUAAGCGUGCUCAGGCUGGAGUAGUAAGACGAUGGGUGACCGGCCGGAAACUUAGGUGAUUUGGGAUGAGUGAUCCACACUUGAGCAGUUAUGAGUGGUGAUUAGAGACUAAAUCGUCAAAUAAUUAAGAAAAUUGAAAAUCGGGAAAAAAAUCAAAGUUUUUUCCAAAAAAUUCAAAAAAAAAACCUUUAGUCCAGGUUGGUGUUACCAGCCGGGACUAAAGGUCCCGCAUACCACGGCGCGGGCUCGUGCCACGUGGUGGGCCUUUACUGGCGGUUCGUGUUGAACCGGGACUAAAGGGGGGGCCUUUGGUCUCCAACCUUUAGUGCGGGUUCCGAACCGGCACUAAAGGCCCUUAAGAACCGGCAUGAAAGCUCCGUUUUCUACUAGUGGUAAUACAUAUCAGAUGGAGUAGUGGAUUUAACUAGACGGGGAAGCAACGGAUGGGCGGCGGCUUUCAGAUAUGACGAUGGUGGUCCUACCGGGGUGGCUUGUUCGGCGGAGCGGGUUGGGAUGGCACGGGCCAGAGGCUGCUUCGCUGCCUCCCAAAGGUGGUGGUGGGCUGCGGGUGUAUGCGACAACUCAGAUCCGUCGUGGAUCAUCUGGUUGAUGCGGGAUCGACUCUGGCCUACCUUGGCUUCUCUGACGCGGCUCUGGUGGGCGGAGGGCUAGGUCAUGGCAGGGAGCUCCCCCUGCCUUGGUCUUGUUCGGCCGUCAUGGCAGCGAGCUCCCCCUGCCUUGGUCUUGUUCGGCCGUCAUGGCAGGGAGCUCACCCUACGCGUUUUGGCUCACGGGCUCAGAUGAGUCCGGGAAUGAACAAAAAAUCAUUAAAAAUUACUAAAUAAAUUCAAAAAAAAUCUGAAUUUUUUUUGUGCAGAAAUAUAACUGAGUGUCUGAUGUUCGUACCGAAUUUCAGAACACUUGAAUGUUUGAGUAGCUCUCAGCAAAAAAGGACGAAUUUAAUGUAUGUGAAAAAGGUUACUAUUUGUGCAUUGUCUGGACCCUUUUUUUACUGAGAGCUAAUCCGAUGUCCAAAUGUUUUGAAAUUUGGCACGCACUUCACACACUAAAAUAUCUUCCAUUCAAAAAAAUAGAUUUUAAAAAAAAAAUCUAUUUUUGCUGAAUUUACUGUUCACCAGGUGGAGCAGCGUCGAAGACCACAGACAUGGUGUCGGGCGAGCGCGCUCGGAGACAGAUGUCUGUAGUUGUGUCUCCCCCGGUCCACCGGGACUGGCUGGAGAUGCAGGCGUGGGUGCCUCCUACCAUGGAGGCAUCGAUCCAGACUAUGUGGCUGAUGUAUGGCUAUGAUUGUAAGGGGACGCCAUUUGCUUCUCCUACCGUGGUGGGUGCACCGUGAUGUGGGCGGUUGGUGGUGUCUCUGAUAUGGAUGUCGAGGUGGCAACCCUGGAUGGCGGUCUGAUGGUUCGCUCUCUAGCGGGCCCCAUGGCAGCAGUGAUAGGUGGAGCGACGGGUGGCUCGGGUGUGCUCUUUGUCUCCGGCAGUGGUGACACCUAGAUCCAGAUCUGGAGGUCUGAACUCGUCGUGCUUACCCUGGAGACCUCGUGGUGUCAUGGGGGAGCUGUCGAGUAAAGCCCCAUGCUUUGCCGUCAACGAGGGUGAUGCUCGCGGGUGCCGCUUUGCUCUUAAAGAUAUCACCGUGGUGCUCUUCUUCUUGUCUGGGCUCGGAGUAAAAACCUUUGUUCGGUGUGGACUCAACAACGCUGACACUUAGGGCUAUUCGCUCUCCUAAGAGUGUUGUCGUUGAGCUUAGAUGUUAUAGGGCAUAGUGUGACGUUGCUAUCGGUUCUUCCUAUGCUCACUUUGGUAGUAUAGCUGCAUGCGUUCUGUGUGAUCCGGUUAUCCUGGGAUCUAUUAGAAUAAUCCGAGGCAUACCGUUGAUCAUCCGAGGACCAAGGAACCACACGAGCACGACACCGAGAUUUGUUAACGAGGUUCACCUUGGCUACAUCCCCGGGGCUUGACUAUGGGCGCUCCUCCCCAUGACAUCGCUACAAUACCGCACCCCGUCGCCCUGCACGCCGGCACAUGCCGCCGGCUUCCCUUGCGUUCCUAUGCUAUUAUGUUGGCAUGGGUUACAUCGUGUGUCUACCCCCAUUAUAUAUGAGAGGCCUAGGAUACAAGUGUCCUAUUAGGACACGACUCUAUAUCCUAUCUAAACACAAUACUACUCAAAGUCCAACUCUAACCUAUCUUAUACGCAAUAUUCGACACAACUCUAACAGGAUCUGCAUUGUAUGAGGACUACCUCAUCACCUUGUAUUGGUCAGCCAUGCACUUUGUUCGGUUGUUGCAUUAUACUCUCUCUGUUCAGAAUUAUUGGUCGCAGAAAUGGAUGUAUCUAGUUAUAUUUAUAUAGUUCUAUAUACAUCAAUUUCUAUUCAUUUUUGAGACAGGUAGUCCCGGACGGAAGGAAUAUAUAAAGCGGGGCGCCUGGUUCAAACUUUAAAGAGAGACAUAACCACAAAGGAGACGUAAGAAGGCAAAUAACUACAGCGCAAUUGAUGUCAUGUCAGCAAGAAAUGUUCUUAAGGGCCACUCCACAGCUUCCCACUACGAACCUAAAUCUUCAUGAAACUUGAGAAAAUCAUACUCGACGAAAAUCAUACGCUUGUUUUAGAUGCCUGUCGUCGUUGGUUGCUACAGAAGAUGGAUUUAAAUAAUUGAAAUUAAGUUUUUUUUUAGCACUCUCUCUGAGCCAAAUUAAUUAACAUAGCUCUAGUACAACUUUUUCUUUUUGAGUUUGGACUUGGUUUGGCUGUGUGCAUCUUUUUUUUUGAAAUGUUGGCUGUGUGCAUUUUAGUUAUGCAGAAGCCAGAUAAUACUUAAAAACUUUGUAAGCAAUAAAGCGCCCCUUAUCGAACAAUAGAAUUAUGCAGAGGACUAACACUUAACUCUCGAGUAGUAACUGGUUGAAACUUACCAGCUCUACGUGGUUGAUGUUGACAUCCAAUUUCGAAUACAGAACAUAUUUCCCAAACCAUUCAAAAACAUCACAUUGCCAUCUUGGUUAUUACCCUUUAACCUCCUCACAGCAGAUUCCAUCUGCAUACACUCAGUGUAAGAACGCAGCAGAUCCAUUAAAACAUGUAGUACGAAUUAUCACGUUAUACUAAAAUUUUAGAAUCAACAAGACAUUAGCUACAUAUUGACUUCUUUAAUUAUUUAUGAAGACUGCCUCUAGAGAAUUGUUGGCAUGUCUAUGACGGUAAAUUUGCAGCUCAGUUAAAGUGUGCUUGGUUGGUUAAACAAGGUAUACUAGAUGAUUUUCCCGCGCGUUGCUGCGGGAUUUUAAAGAUUAAUUUUGGAUAUAUUAUAUAAGAAUGAAAUGAUCUAAAUCAAAAGCUAUUAUUUUCAAAAGUAAUUAUAUGUGAACAAAGAGUAUGCAUGUACGUUGGACCAUUGGAGAUGGAACAAUUAAAUUGGAGUAUGCAUGUGCUACAAAAUAAUUCUAGUGGGUGAUGAUAUGUGGAGGGCUGCAUGUUGAGAUAAUUAGACUUAAUGGGAUCAACUAUAUAUUUAUUAUAGAUGGGAUAGGUUGUUUGCUUGGUUGGGUGGAUGGGAGUAUCAAAAAAGAUUAAUUAGCUAAAUGAUACCUCCUAACUUCUACAUUAACACCAUCAAGACCUAGUGAACCUACUUAAGUCAAACCAGAAAAACAUGUACCUGUUUCAGAUAAUCAUCCAUGAACAUGAUUGCAUGGUCAUCAUGCCCAGUACUGAGUUUGAAAACAUGAAGUACAUUGUCUUUCUUCAAUGACUGCAAAAAUGAUUUCUAUAUAUGUUCAGAUUUUCAUCAAAGCAAGGAAAAUUUUCUCUGGUGCAGUUGAAGAUUACUACACAUUGGUAAACAAUAAUCACCAACAGUUUAACACAAGAAUAGCUAGAAAAGAAUCCAAAGGUAAAACACAAACUCAUCAUUGCAUUACAACAGUUGUGUAUACAUAAAGAAUUAUUGCAUAAGUUCAAAACAAUACCUUGAAAUCUCUGGCAGCUUGUGUCCUGUCCUUCACGCUAUUAUAGUUUGGGACUGCAAAAUGAAUGGUUGUGUCACAGCCUACAAGUGAACACAAGAAAAAGGUGAAUUUCGGAUCUGAAUCACCAUUAAAAAAGGAAACAGUUAGAGAAGAAGCACACACUGAGUUUAUAUAACCAUCUUUAUUAUAUAACAACAUGUUACAUGGGAGUAUUGUUACAUCCCUCCAUUAAGAGGAGGAGCAAACAUAAGUACAAGAGUUUAAUAGUGGCCGUGUCCCCCAACCCACAAAUAACUUUGGCACAUGCACGCACAGACCAGAAUUUUGCAACAGAAAACAUCACUAACCUAUGCACACGGUGGCUCUCGCAGCCAGUGAUGGUAGGCCUGAAUCGUCGCUCCACCUCUGCCUUGAUGUUGUUGGCCAUUGUCUGAAGGUCCUGGUUCUCUCCCUCGAACACCAGGUAGCUAUGUUCUCUCCAAAAUCCCUACGGGCCAAAUUUGUACAAUCACUAUCGAGUCCAGGUCUUUUUGCCGAUCUUUUGGCAGUGCUUUUCACCUAGACAGCCACCAAAUUCACCUGAAGUGGCGAGCUGUUCAUUUUAAAAUGACUUGCCACAGUUAUGUCAACCAGGAUCAUUGCUCUCUUUCUCGGCCUCCCGCAGAACUUCACAAGUUAUGAGUUUGCUGUAUGAGUAUAUAACUGAAUGAAGUAGUCUUUGAACCUGCAAACAGAGCACUUAAUCUACUUCUCAACGCACUGGAAUUUUUUGCAAUGUCUCUCUGUACUAAUUGUCCACUGCUACCCUACCACGAAGAAGUAGCGAUUUCUCCACCAAUCCAGCUCGCAAUCGGAUUAAACACUAGGCAAAGAAAUUCCUCUCUGCAACUAUAUAUCCAUACAAAAGUACCAUUUACUCCUGGAUCGAGCACUAAGCCACUAACUGACGGACGGAGAAUGGAUGACUAACCUUCUAGUUGCAACCGCAUGACCUCUGACCUGCCCUGCCGGCGGCUCACAGCGAUGGAUAGCGGACUAGCCUGCCAUCUAGGGUAAUUGCAGACGGCCAGAGUUGCAACGGAGGCCUCAUCGUGAUACACGACGACCUCCGUAGCUGGGAUCAGAUGUAUUUUCUAAUUUGAAUUGAAUAUGUAGUGUCACCAUUCCAGAUUUUUGGUACAUAUGAACAAAAAUAAAUUUAUUCAUGGGCCAUUCAACACUUUUCAACUCAUCGGAUACUGGCUCAGAUCGAGUUCACAUAUCAUUAACAUAUUUCGAACCAAAUCCAUAAUCAUAAAAUCCUCUGGUUUUAUUCAAACAAGCGGUGGAGAUGCCCCAUCCCUCCUAGCAUUGUUUUUCCUUAUCAUUUAGGAUCUCUUCAUUCAGCCUUUAAUAGAUUAAUAACAAAAAAACAUAAGUAUGGCCUAGAUAUAUAAGAUGCUUCAGAAUAGCUGGGCACAAACAAGUUGGCAUGAAACGGUCUAGAACUUCUUUUGCGGGAAAAAAUCUAGACCUUCUCAAAAUCCAACAAAUAAAAUAUGCUCGUUGUCCAUGAUCUAGGAGGGUAUCUACGAAUAGGUACUUAAGGUUUGUUCAUGAAAAGUAUUAAAAUAUUUGGCAAUUUUCCUUUUGGGUAGACAAAGUACCUAGAAAUAUGUAAAUUCAUGCUUAUACACCUGAACAUGCACCAUAGUAGACCAAAUUAUGUUGCCAAAGUAUAACGAACAUAUUAUAUUUUUGAAUAGGUUAUCUGUGUAAAUGGUCUACACAAUUCAAAUAAGUAUCAACUUCAUGCCCAAAAGAUUUAGUAAAAGGUACCGGGUGGUCCCAAUGAAAUAUUUACAUAACAUUACAAACUUAGUCCACCAAAAGAAUGAUUUGAUCCAGAAAAAUCCUUCUUCACACAUAGAUCGAACUGAUGAUGACGUAUCUAGAGUUAGGACCGGAUAUAUGCUAGUAACUUGUAAGCAAUUACCAUCCUUUACAUGUAAGGGAAUUCUAUGAGUCAUGUCAUGAUCUAUACCUCUCAGUUCAUCUUAUCAUCUUAGAGAACAAUACAAAGUUAGUUUUAUAAAAAAGCAACCGAGUCUAGACGAACCCUCCACAUACAAGGCUUUAAUAAUCGAGCAUAUCUUAACAGUCCACACACGAUUGCAACUUAGUCCUACACAGGUUUUGCCUUUCUUGUUUAUGGUUGACAGCCUAUACAAGGUUCCAAACUCGGUUGCAAAAGUGAUACUAUCCUGAUAAAUGUGUGACAUGUAAAGUGAAUAAGGCGAGUCAUAUAUACCACACAUCAGGGUUUCUAUAAUUUGUGUGUGAUCAUAUGCACAACUAAAAAGCAACUUUGAUGAUCAAUCCAAAAGUACGCUUGUAGCUAGUGCAACCUAACACAAUGUACCAAAAAAUCAUUUCUGAUGCAUCCAAAUAGAAUUAUUUAAGUUGAUGCAAAGAAGGAAAGAGGUGGUGCCCGGACUACUAUAAAUAGGCAUGAAGUAUAAUGAUCAUCACAAGCACAAGCAUCAAAACCAAGCAAAAGUAGUUAGCACCAAUCCAUCAUGAAGACCUUCCUCGUCUUUGCCCUCAUCGCCGUUGUGGCGACAAGUGCCAUUGCACAGAUGGAGACUAGCUGCAUCUCUGGUUUGGAGAGACCAUGGCAGCAGCAACCAUUACCACCACAACAGUCAUUUUCACAACAACCACCAUUUUCACAACAACAACAACAACCAUUACCUCAACAACCAUCAUUUUCGCAGCAACAACCACCAUUUUCGCAGCAACAACCAAUUCUAUCGCAGCAACCACCAUUUUCACAGCAACAACAACCAGUUCUACCGCAACAAUCACCAUUUUCGCAGCAACAACAACUAGUUUUACCUCCACAACAACAACAACAACAACUUGUGCAACAGCAAAUCCCUAUUGUUCAGCCAUCCGUUUUGCAGCAGCUAAACCCAUGCAAAGUAUUCCUCCAGCAGCAGUGCAGCCCUGUAGCAAUGCCACAACGUCUUGCUAGGUCACAGAUGUGGCAGCAGAGCAGUUGCCAUGUGAUGCAACAACAAUGUUGCCAGCAAUUGCAGCAAAUCCCCGAACAAUCCCGCUAUGAAGCAAUCCGUGCCAUCAUCUACUCCAUCAUCCUGCAAGAACAACAACAGGGCUUUGUCCAACCUCAGCAGCAACAACCCCAACAGUCAGGUCAAGGUGUCUCCCAAUCCCAACAGCAGUCGCAGCAGCAGCUCGGACAAUGUUCUUUCCAACAACCUCAACAGCAACUGGGUCAACAGCCUCAACAACAACAACAACAGGUACUACAGGGUACCUUUUUGCAGCCACACCAGAUAGCUCACCUUGAGGCGGUGACUUCCAUUGCACUCCGUACCUUGCCAACGAUGUGCAGUGUCAAUGUGCCGUUGUACAGCGCCACCACCAGUGUGCCAUUCGGCGUUGGCACCGGAGUUGGUGCCUACUGAUAAGAAAAGUUGU